UCCCGCGGCAGACGAGCGUUGCCUAAUUCCAAUUUCGAGCCCUAUCAUGUUAAGUUUCUCAAUCUUCUUCACUAAGUUUCUUUCUGAUUUUUGCGCCUUGCUUCAACAUUUCCACAUGGUUAUUAAACCAACACCUCAUAAUAAGAGACCAUUGUGUAUAUUUCAGGUCGGUACUCGCCAUUGCAAAAUCUGUCAACAAACAUGAGAGGAGAGGGAUGGUGACCAAUGGAGCAUCGCGCCAUCCAUCGACCAAAGUCUUUUCUAGAAUGCUUGAAAUACGUUCACACGACGAGGGUUGAGAUAUGAGCGCAUCAUGUCCAUUGCCAAAAUAUCCUCUUUCGAGCUUGAUGUAGUUAAGUUUCCUAAUUAGGCACUAUGUUUGUUCUCCGAGAGCUCUAGGAGUACGUGAUGGGGGAGAGAUUGUGGGCAAAUGUGCAUCGUGUCAGCCAUAUACCGAAGGAUACACGAGAUUUGUUUGUCAUCAGUAUGUCAUCUAUGUAUAGGGUGACAUUCUAUCUUCCGAGCUAGUAGACAUAUACAUACAUUGCUCACUGCAGGGACCCAGAUUCUUACCUCACAAAAAAAUCCAAUCCCAGCACUUCCCUUUCAUAAUAUAUUAGACCACUUAUUAGACCUAGAUACAUCCAAUGAGGACUGACAUACCCGUCUAUCAGGAGUUGCUACUAAAAUCACCUCUGUCGAGCUCCCUUGUAGUUGAGUUUCUCAAUUUUAGCACUAAGUUCCUUUUUCAUAACCUCUUCCUCUAUUGAGCAGGUGAAGGGAGAGGGGUUGUUUCCAAAUGUGCAUUGGCCAUCCCUUGAAAGAAGAACAUAUCUGAUUCGCCUAUGACAAGGCACUAGGUGCAAUUUUCUCAUGACAAGGCAAAAUCUCUCAACCAAUGCCAGCAGAGACGGAUGGUGAUAAAAUGACCAUUGAUAUUUGCAGCAUAUGGAUGCCUAGCUCAUUAAAACGAGGCACUAGGUGGAAUAUAUAUAGGUGUUCGUGUGCUCAACCAUUGAGCGUCGGAAACCUCCUCUUUUUGAGCUAUACGGAGUUAAGUUUCUGAUAUUUACCCCUAAGUUUCUUUCCCAUGAGCUCUAUGGAAGGGUGACCAAAUAUGCGCUCGCCGACUCUAUCGUGUUAAGUUUCUCAAUCUUCUUCACUAAGUUUCUUUCUGAUUUUGGCACCUAGACGGGCCGCUCAUUAAAACAAGGUAGUAUGUGGAAUAUAUGUAGGUGUUAGGUGUGCUUCACCGGCGAGCGUUGUAAACCUCCUUUUUCUGAGCCAUAUGGAAUUAAGUUUCUCAUAUUUAGCCUUAAGUUUCUCUCCCGUGAGCUCUACGGAAGGGUCACCAAAUAUGCGUUCGACGACUCCUCGUUCGAUCGAAUGGUACACGUGAUUCUCCCGUGGCAGACGAGCGUUGCCUAAUUCCAAUUUCGUGCCCUAUCAUGUUUAGUUUCUCAAACUUCUUCACUAAGUUUCUUUCUAAUUUUUGCCCCUUGCUUCAGCAUUUCCACAUGGUUAUUAAACCAACACCUCAUGAUAAGAGACCGUUGUUUAUAUUUCAGCUCGGUACUCGCUGUUGCAAAAUCUCUCAACAAACAUGAGAGGAGAGGGAUGGUGACCAAAGGAGCAUCAUGCCAUCCAUCGACCGACGUGUAUUUGAUAUUUACCUGCGAAGUAUUUUCCAGAACACAUGAAAUACAUUCACAUGACGAGGAUAUGAGGGCAUCAGGUCCAUCGCCAAAAUCGCCUCUUUCGAGCUUGAUGUAGUUAAGUUUCCUAAUUAGGCACUAAGUUUGUUCUCCGUGAGCUCUAGGAGUACGUGACGGGGGAGGGAUUGUGGUCAAAUGUGCAUCGAGUCAGCCAUAUACCGAAGGACACACGAGAUUUGUUUGUCAUCAGUACAUAGUCUAUGUAUAGGGUGACAUUCUAUCUCCUGAGCUCGUAGACAUAUACAUACGUUGCUCACUACAGGGACCCAAAUUCUUACCUCGCAAAAAAUCCAAUCCCAGCGCUUCCCUUUCAUAAUAUAUUAGACCUAUAUACAUCCAAUGAGGACUGAGAUACCCAUCUAUCGGGAGUUGCUACUAAAAUCACCUCUGUCGAGCUCCCUUGUAGUUAAGUUUCUCAAUUUUAGCACUAAGUUCCUUUUUCAUAACUUCUAUUAAGCAGGUGAUGGGAGAGGGGUGGUUUACAAAUAUGCAUUGGCCAUCGCUCGGUAGAAGAACAUAUCUGAUUCGACUAUGACGAGGCACUAGGUGCAAUUUUCUCAUGACAAGGCAAAAUCUCUCAACCAGUGCCAGCGAAGACGGAUGGUGAUCAAAUAACCAUUGAUAUUUGCAGCAUAUGGAUGCGUAGCUCAUUAAAAUGAGGCACUAGGUGGAAUAUAUAUAGGUGUUCUUGUGCGCAACUUGUGAGCGUCGGAAACCUCCUCUUCUUGAGCCAUAUGGAGUUAAGUUUCUCAAAUUUACCCCUAAGUUUCUUUCCCAUGAGCUCUACGAAAGGUUGACCAAAUAUGCACUCGCCGACUCAAUCGUGUUAAGUUUCUCAAUCUUCUUCGCUAAGUUUCUUUCUGAUUUUGGUGCCUAGACGGGCUGCUCAUUAAAACGAGGUACUAUGUGGAAUAUAUGUAGGUGUUCGGUGUGCUUCACCGGCGAGCAUUGUAAACCUCCUUUUUUUGAGCCAUAUGGAGUUAAGUUUCUCAUAUUUAGCCUUAGGUUUCUUUCCCAUGAGCUCUACGGAAGGGUCACCAAAUAUGCAUUCGACGACUCCUCGUUCGAGCGAAUGGUACAUGUGAUUCUCCCGCAGCAGACGAGCGUUGCCUAAUUCCAACUUCGAGCCCUAUCAUGUUAAGUUUCUCAAUCUUCUUCACUAAGUUUCUUUCUGAUUUUUGCGCCUUGCUUCAGUAUUUCCACAUGGUUAUUAAACCAACACCUCAUGAUAAGAGACCAUUGUGUAUAUUUCAGGUCGGUACUUGCCGUUGCAAAAUUUCUCAACAAACAUGAGAGGAGAGGGAUGGUGACCAAAGGAGCAUCGCGCCAUCCAUCGACCGAAAUAUAUUAGAUAUUCACCUGCGAAGUCUUUUCUAGAACGCACGAAAUACGUUCACACGAGGAGGGUUGAGAUAUGAGGGCAUCAAGUCCAUCACCAAAAUCGCCUCUUCCGAGCUUUAUGUAGUUAAGUUUCCUAAUUAGGCACUAAGUUUGUUCUCUGUGAGCUCUAGGAGUACGUGACAGGGGAGGGAUUGUGAGCAGAUGUUCAUCGAGUCAGCCAUAUACCAAAGGAUAGACGAGGUUUGUUUGUCUUCAGUACGUCACCUAUGUAUAGGGUGACAUUCUAUCUUCCGAGCUUGUAGACAUUGUUGGGGAACGCGGUAAUUUCAAAGAAAAUCCUACGAUCACGCAAGAUCUAUCUAGGUGAUGCGUAGCAACAAGAGGGGAGAGUGUUGUCUACGUACCCUCGUAGACCAAAAGCGGAAGCAUUUAGUUAACGUGGUUGAUGUAGUCGAACGUCUUCGCGAUCCAACAUAUCCAAGCACCGAACGUACAGCACCUCCGCGUUCAGCACACGUUCAGCUCGAUGACGUCCCUCGUACUCUUGAUCCAGUUGAGGCCGAGGGAGAGUUUCGUCAGCACGAUGGCGUGGCGAUGGUGAUGAUGAAGUUACCAGCACAAGGCUUCGCCUAAGCACUACGACGAUAUGACCGAGGUGUUUAACUAUGGAGGGGGCACCGCACACGGCUAAAAGAUCAACUUGUGUCUCUAUGGGAUGAGGGGAGGGAAGAGGUGGCCGACCCAAGGGGGGCGCUAGGUGUGGGGAAUCCUACUAGGACUCCCCAGUCCAAGUAGGAUUCCCCUCCUCUUUCCUAUUCCAAGUAGGAGAAGGAGGGAAGGAGGAAGAGGGGAAAAGGAAGGAGGGGGGCGCCGCCCCGUCCUAGUCCAAUUCGGACCAGCCCAUGUGGAGGGGGGGUGGGGGCACGGCCACCCCUUGAGGCUCUUCUCUCCUUUCCCGUAUGGCCCAUAAAGGCCCAUUACUUCCCCCACGAAUUCCCGUAGCUCUCCAGUACUCCAAAAAAUACCCGAAUCACUCGGAACCUUUCCGAUGUCCGGAUAUAGCCUUCCAAUAUAUCGAUCUUUAUGUCUCGACCAUUUCGAGACUCCUCGUCGCGUCCGUGAUCUCAUCCGGGAUUCCGAACAACUUCGGUCAUCGAAUCACAUAACUCAUAAUACAAAUCGUCAUCGAACGUUAACCGUGCGGACCCUACGGGUUCGAGAACUAUGUAGACAUGGCCGAGACACAUCUCCGGUCAAUAACCAGUAGCGGAACCUGGAUGCUCAUAUUGGCUCCUACAUAUUCUACGAAGAUCUUUAUCGGUCAAACCACAUAACAACAUAUGUUGUUCCCUUUGCAUCGGUAUGUGACUUGCCCGAGAUUCGAUCGUGCUAUCAUGAUACCUAGUUCAAUCUCGUUACCGGCAAGUCUCUUUACUCAUUUCGUAAUACUUCAUCCUGCAACAACUCAUUAGUUACAAUGCUUGCAAGGCUUAUAGUGAUGAGCAUUACCGAGAGGGCCCAGAGAUACCUCUCCGAAACACGGAGUGACAAAUCCUAAUCUCGAUCUAUGCCAACCCAACAAACACCUUCGGAGGCACCUGUAGAGCACAUUUAUAAUCACCCUUUUACGUUGUGACGUUUGGUAGCACACAAAGUGUUCCUCCGGUAUUCAGGAGUUGCAUAAUCUCAUAGUCUGAGGAAAAUGUAUAAGUCAUGAAUAGAGCAGUAGCAAUGAAACUGUAACGAUCAUAAUGCUAAGCUAACGGAUGGUCAUGUCCAUCACAUCAUUCUCCUAAUGAUGUGAUCCCUUUCAUCAAAUGACAACACAUGUCUAUGGUUAGGAAACAUAACCAUCUUUGAUUAACGAGGUAGUCUAACAGAGGCAUACUAGGGACACUAUAUAUUGUCUAUGUAUUCACACAUGUACUAAGUUUCCAGUUACUACAAUUCUAGCAUAAAUAAUAAACAUUUAUCAUGAUAUAAGGAAAUAAAUAAUUGCCUCUACGGCAUAUUUCCUUCAGUCUCCCACUUGCAGUAGAGUCAAUAAUCUAGUUCACAUCGCCAUAUGAUUUAACAUCAAUAGUUCACAUCUGUAUGUGAUUAACACCUAUAGUUCACAUCGCCAUGUGACCAACAACCAAAGGGUUUACUAGAGUCAAUAAUCUAGUUCACAUUCCUAUGUGAUUAACACCCAAAGAUUACUAAGGUGUGAUCAUGUUUUGCUUAUGAGAGAAGUUUAGUCAACGGGUCUGUCACAUUCAGAGCCGUAUGUAUGUUGCAAAUAUUCUAUGUCUACAAUGCUUUGUAUGGAGCUACUCUAGCUAAUUGCUCCCACUUUCAAUAUGUAUCCAGAUUGAGACUUAGAGUCAUCUGGAUCGGUGUAAAAGCUUGCAUCGACGUAACAAUUUACGACGAACUCUUUAUCACCCCCAUCACUGAGAAACAUUUCCUAAGUCCUCACUAAGGAUAAUUUUGACCGCUGUCCAGUGAUCUACUCUUAGAUCACUAUUGUACCCCCUUGCCAAACUCAUGGCAAGGUACACAAUAGGUCUGGUACACAGCACAACAUACUUUAUAGAACCUAUGACUGUGGCAUAGGGAAUGCCUUUCAUUCUCUUUCUAUUUUCUGUCGUGGUCGGGCUUUGAGUCUUACUCAACUUUACACCUUGUAAUACAGACAAGAACUCCUUCUUUGACUGAUCCAUUUUGAACUCUUCAAAAACUUGUGAAGGUAUUUACUCAUCGAAAUAUCUUAUUAAGCGUCUUGAUCUAUCUCUAUAGAUCUUGAUGCCCAAUAUGUAAGCAGCUUCACCGAGGUCUUUUAUUGAAAAACACUUAUUUAAGUAUCCCUCUAUGUUAUCCAGAAUUCUAUAUCAUUUCCAAUCAACAAUAUGUCAUCCACAUAUAAUAUUAGAAAUGCUACAUAGCUCCCAUUCACUUUCUUGUAAAUACAUGCUUCUCCAAAAGUUUGUAUAAAACCAUAUUCUUUGAUCAUAGUAUCAAAGUGUUUAUUCCAACUCCAAGAGACUUGCACCAGUCCAUAAAUGGAUCACUGGAGCUUGCACACUUUGUUAGCACCCUUUGGAUUGACAAAACCUUCUGGUUGCAUCAUAUACAACUCUUCUUCCAGAAAUCCAUUCAAGAAUGUAGUUUUGACCUCCAUCUGCCAAAUUUCAUAAUCAUAAAAUGAAGCAAUUGCUAACAUGAUUUGGACAGACUUUAAGCAUCGCCACGGGUGAGAAAGUCUCAUCGUAGUCAACUCUUGAACUUGUCGGAAACCUUUUUGCGACAAGUCGAGCUUUAUAGAUAGUAACACUACUAUCAACAUUUGUCUUCCUCUUGAAGAUCCAUUUAUUCUUAAUGGCUUGCCGAUCACCGGGCAAGUCCACCAAAGUCCACACUUUGUCCUCAUACAUGGAUCCCAUCUCAGAUUUCAUGGCCACAAGCCAUUUCGCGGAAUUUGGGCUCGUCAUCUCUUCCUCAUAGUUUGUAGGUUUGUCAUGGUCUAGUAACAUGACUUAUAGAAUAGGAUUAUCAUACCACUCUCGUGCGGAUCGUACUCUGGUUGACCUACGAGGUUCGGUAGUAACUUGAUCUGAAGUUUCAUGAUCUUCAUCAUUAGCUUCCUCACUAAUUGGUGUAGGAAUCACUGGACCUGAUUUCUGUAAUGAACAACUUUCCAAUUCAGGAGAAGGUACAAUUACCUCAUCAAGUUCUACUUUCCUCCCACUCACUUCUUUCGAGAGAAACUCCUUCUCUAGAAAGGAUCCAUUUUAGCAAUAAAGAUUUUGCCUUCAAAUCUGUGAUAGAAGGUGUACCCAACAGUUUCCUUUGGGUAUCAUAUGAAGACGCACUUCUCUGAUUUGUGUUCGAGCUUAUUAGGUUGAAGCUUUUUCACAUAAGCAUCACAGCCCCAAACUUUAAGAAAUUACAACUUUGGUUUCUUGCCAAACCAUAGUUCAUAAGGCGUCGUCUCAAUGGAUUUCGAUGGUGCCCUGUUUAAUGUGAAUGCAGCUAUCUCUAAUGCAUAACCCCAGAAUGACAGUGGUAAAUCGGUAAGAGACAUCAUAGAUCGCACCAUAUCCAAUAAAGUGCGGUUACGACGUUCGGACACACCAUUAUGUUGUGGUGUUCCAGGUGGCGUGAGCUAUGAAACUAUUCCACAUUGUUUUAAAUGAAGCCCAAACUCGUAACUCAAAUAUUCUCCUCCACGAUCAGAUUGUAGAAACUUUAUUUUCUUGUUACAAUGAUUCUCCACUUCACUCUGAAAUUCUUUGAACUUUUCAAAUGUUCCAGACUUGUGUUUCAUUAAGUAGAUAUAACCAUAUCCGCUCAAAUAAUAUGUGAAGGCAAGAAAAUAACGAUACCCGCCACGAGCCUCAACACUCAUUGGACCGCAUACAUCGGUAUGUAUUAUUUCCAAUAAGUCAGUAGCUCGCUCCAUUGUUCUGUAGAAUGGAGUUUUAGUCAUCUUGCCCAUGUGGCACAGUUUGCAAGCACCAAGUGAUUCAUAAUCAAGUGAUUCCAAAAGUCCAUCAUCAUGGAGUUUCUUCAUGCGUGUUACACCGAUAUGACCCAAACGGUUGUGCCACAAAUAAGUUGCACUAUCUUUAUCACUUUGCAUCUUUUGGCUUCAAUACUAUGAAUAUGUGUAUUACCACGAUGGAAAUUCAAUAAACCAUCAACAUUUGGUGUAUGACCAUAGAAGGUUUUAUUCAUGUAAACAGAAUAACAAUUAUUCACUGUCUUAAAUGAAUAACUGUAUUGCAAUUAACAUGAUCUAAUCAUAUUCAUGCUCAAGGCAAACACCAAAUAACAUUUAUUUAAGUUCAACCCAAAUCCCGAAAGUAUAGGGAGUGCUCGAUGAUGAUCAUAUCAAUCUUGGAAGCACUUCCAACACACAUCGUCACUUCAUCCUCAACUAGUCUCUAUUUAUUCUGCAACUCCUGUUUCGAGUUACUAAUCUUAGCAAUUGAACAACUAUCAAAUACCCAGGGAUUACUACGAGCACUAGUAAGGUACACAUCAAUAAUAUGUAUAUCAAAUAUACCUUUGUUCACUUUGCCAUCCUUCUUAUCCGCCAAAUAUUUGGGUCAGUUCCACUUCCAGUGACCAUUUCCUUUGUAGUAGAAGCACUCAGUUUCAGGCUUAGGUCCAGCUUUGGGCUUCUUCACGGGAGUGACAACUUGCUUGCCAUUCUACUUGAAGUUCCUUUUUCCCUUUACCCUUUUCUUCAAACUAGUGGUCUUGUCAAUCAUCAACACUUGAUGCUCUUUCCUGAUUUCUACCUUCAUCAAUUUCAGCAUCACGAAGAGCUCGGGAAUCGUUUUCGUCAUCCCUUGCAUACUAUAGUUCAUCACGAAGUUCCACUAACUUGGUGAUGUUGACUAGAGAACUUUGUCAAUCACUAUCUUAUCUGGAAGAUUAACUCCCACUUGAUUCAAGCGAUUGUAGUACCCAGACAUUCUGAGUACAUGCUCACUAGUUGAGCAAUUCUCCUCCAUCUUUCGGGUCAAGUACUUGUCGAAGGCCUCGUACCUCUCGACACGGGCAUGAGUUGAAAAUACCAAUUUCAUCUCUUGGAAUAUCUCAUACGCUCUGUGGCGUUCAAAACGUUUUUGAAGUCCCGAUUAUAAGCCGUAAAGCAUGGUGCACUAAACUAUCAAGUAGUCAUCAUACUGAUCUAGCCAAACGUUCAUAACGUCUGCGUCUGCUCCUGCAAUAGGUCUGUCACCUAGCGGUGCAUCACUGACAUAAUUCUUCUAUGCAACAAUGAGGAUAAACCUCAGAUCACGGACCUAGUCCGCAUCAUUGCUACUAUCAUCUUUCAACUUAGUUUUCUCUAGGAACACAUAAAAAAAUAGGGAAGCUAUAGCGCGAGCUAUUGAUCUACAACAAAAUUUGCAAAAUACUAUCAGGACUAAGUUCAUUAUAAAUUAAAGUUCAAUUAAUCAUAUUACUUAAGAACUCCCACUUAGAUAGACAUUCCUCUAGUCAUCUAAAUGAUCACGUGAUCCAAAUCAACUAAACCAUGUCCGAUCAUCACGUGAGAUGGAGUAGUUUUGAAUGGUGAACAACACUAUGUUGAUCAUAUCUACUGUGUGAUUCACGCUCGACCUUUCGGUCUCCAGUGUUUCGAGGCCAUAUCUGCAUAUGCUAGGCUCGUCAAGUUUAACCCGAGUAUUCCGCGUGUGCAGAAAUGGCUUGCACGCGUGGUAUGUGAACGUAGAGCUUAUCACACACGAUCAUCACGUGGUGUCUCGGCAUGAAGAACUGUCGCAACGAUGCAUACUCAGGGAGAACACUUAUGUAACAUCCGAAAUUUUUCAAUUUGGAAUGUUAUACAUAGAUCAUCUUUGCAUAUCAUAUUUUAUUGCAUUCUUGAUCCUAGAAAUUCUAACCAACUCAAGGACCCACGGAGAGAGUUGGGUUCAUUAUUUUCAUAUUUGAGUUUUCUCAAAUUUUGAAAAUGAGGAUCAUUUGGUUUUAAUUAAUUUUCUCUCCUAAAUAUUUCAAAUAUCAAAAUAAAUGAGAGGAGAUAAUAUGACUUCUCCAAAAUAAAAGAAAUAUUGGAGGAAAUAUUAAAAUCAAAUUUUAGUUCUUUUUGGAGUUUUAUUGCUAUUUUAUUUGUAGUAGAAAAAUAUGCAUAAUUUUCAAAAAAUGCAUUUUAGGGCAAGAAAAUGUUCACUUUGUUCUAUUUUAAUUAGACGGUGAAAAUUUGUUUUGGCAUUUUUAGUUUUUUAUUUUAUUUAUUAGGAUUUUUUUUCUGUUUGGCGGAACUAUUUAAAAAAAAUAAAAAAUCCGUUCGGACCGACCGGGCCGAAGCCCAGCCACCACAAGCCGCUGCCCCGACCCCGAGCGGGAGUCCUGCGCCGCGCCCCCGCCUGCCGUGGCCGAGCCGGCCUCGCCCCGCUGCCUUGCCCCCUCCCCCAAGCCACCUUGCCCCCCUCCAUAAAUACCACCGCCGCUGACACCCACCACCACCCCAAGCCACGCCGCCAGCCCCGCCGCCUGCGCGCACGCCGCCGCCGUCGCUGCUACCGCCUAGCGCCGUCGCCGCCACUUCUCACUGCUGUGCCGCCGCUGCCUAGUCCCGCCGGAGCCUCGCCGAAAGUAUACGCCGCCGCCGCCAUCGUUCGGUUUAUUUUAAAACCGUCCGUUUUAAAAAAAACCUAGUUUCGUUUUUUUAGUUUAGAUCGGUUCGGUUUUCCGGUUUAGUUAUUUAGCGGAUGUUCGUCCGUACGUUCAUUUUAACGAACAGUGUUCACCCAUUAGCCGCAGACAGCGAACGUUCAUUCGUUAGGCUGUUCGUCAGUUUUCUUUUUCCAGGGUUUUUCCGCGGUUAUUUUCGAUCGCGAUAUCAGCACUGUUCUUUGUUUUAGUUUAUCUUUUUGCUCGUUUGUUGGAAUCAGGCGAUUCAAGCGCCUAGAUCUUCGUUUCAAAGCCCUCUUUCCGCUUAACCAACUUGAACAAGAUUUUGGUACUGUAAUAUUUGACUUUAGUCCAGAUUAGUAAUCGGAUCUUGUUUCUGUCGCAGUUAGAGUUUGGUUGCUUCAUUUGAGUUGAUUCUUUUUGCAAACCGGAGUUCUUAAGUUGAACUUUCUGGCUAGAUCUUAUUUUAUUUGAGUUUUACCCGUGAUUUUAGUUGAGUGCUUAUGUAUGUUAUUGUUUGUUUACGAUAGAGUACCCGGAGUGCGAAGCGUGCUACCACGAGUCUCUAGGGUUUUCAGAUCAUCAGCAAGGCAAGUAACACUUUGAUCAUAUAUCUUUACUACCCAGUUUUAUUGCAUUAGAUCAACCCUCAAACAUUGCAUAAUUAGGAUCUGAAUAACAUGUGGGUAUUGGGAAGUAGAUGAUGAGGUAGAACCUAUUGUCCUGUUUAUUAUCAAACCUUUGGGAGUUACAUCUGCGAUGCUUAUAUUGCUAUGCUAUGCUCGUAGAUGUGGUUUGGUUGAGUGUAUCCAUGACAGAUGUGAGUAUUGCUAAUUAAUGGUUAACUUAAGGUGGCUACUUAAAUACACAUCUGGGUGGAUUGCUUGUGGGCACCUGGAGAAUCCAGUGUUGUCCUAGGAUAUCCCAGGGUUCCGUGUGAUCAUCCUAAGGUCCGCCACCCAGGCUCAAAGGGAUCAUAAGAUUAUUCAUGCUAGAAACUUCCGUGUGCAGCCACAAGCUAUUAUGGGCUCUAGCAUAGUUGAUUAAGUUGCAUGACCUCUUUCAGUGGUGGGCUAGUAGAUGUAGGGGAAAGUAGGUGUAACUGUCCAUCCAGGGUAAAGAGUUAUUGUUCCUGAAAGACUGUGUCUCGGUCAUCCGUUUCUCAAACACCAUGUCGUGCGAGAAAUCCAACGGAGGAGAUCGAGUCUUGUGGGGAAAAGUGCGCAAACCUCUGCAGAGUGUACAAACUAAUCAUGGUUAGCCGUGUCCCCGGUUAUGGACAUCUUGAAUAUCUGGUUCUUGGAUUAUCAUGUUGAUCUCAUCACUCUAAAUUAAAUAAUUUGGUUGGGUUUAAUGAUGAUGCUUAAUUGGGAUUGAGUUGGUGGAACCUUCUCAAUGUUUAACAACCACCAUGAUAGUUAAAUAAAAUUUACUCCUUUGUUGUAGGGAAAAAUUGGCUUUAUGCAAAACCGUAACCAUAGAGCUUUCCACCAGCCAAACUGCAUGUAGUGAUAGCAUUUAUUCUGUUCAUUACUCUAUGUGUUACAUUGCCAGCAUAUUCCAUGUGCUGACCCGUUUCGGGCUGCAACGUUUCAUGUUGCAGACUUUUCAGACGACGAGUAAGGUGCCAUAGGUCGUUAUCUUUCACUCAGCUAUGCCGUCGGAGUUGAUGGAAUCACUGUAUCUUCCAAGCCUUCCGCUGUUAUAGUUUUUAGAUGGCGUUAAGCCAUAUUAUUGUAAUAAGUUCUCUUUGAGACAUUCGAUAUAAUAAGUGUGUGAUUGCUACUCUGUUAUAAAUCCUCGAGUACUCUGUGUGUCAGCAUUACCGAUCCAGGGAUGACACUGAUGCACAGAUAUCAGACUGUUUGAGGUCUGGUUGCUACAACUUAUACCUUGAAAUUUUAGUAAGGGAUCAUCUUAUAAUGCUACCGCCAAAGUAAGCAAAAUAAGAAUAUAAAAGAUAAACAUCACAUGCAAUCAAAAUAUGUGACAUGAUAUGGCCAUCAUCAUCUUGUGCCUUUGAUCUCCAUCUCCAAAAUACCAUCAUGAUCUCCAUCGUCACCGGCAUGACACCAUGAUCUCCAUCAUCUUGAUCUUUAUCAACGUGUCAUCACAUGGUCGUCUCGCCAACUAUUGCUUUUGCAACUAUUGUUAUCGCAUAGCGAUAAAGUAAAGCAAUUACAUGGCGCUUGCAUCUUAUGCAAUAAAGAGACAACCAUAAGGCUCAUGCUAGUCGCCGAUAACUUUAACAAAACGUGAUCAUCUCAUACAACACAUCAUGUCUUGACCAUAUCACAUCACAACUUGCCCUGCAAAAGCAAGUUAGAUGUCCUGUAAUUUAUUGUUGCAAGUUUUACGUGGUUGCUACGGGCUUCUAGCAAGAACUGUUCUUACCUACACAUCAAAACAACAACGAUUUUUCGUCAAGUGUGUUGUUUUAAACUUCAACAAGGACUGGGCGUAGUCAAACUCGAUUCAACUAAUGUUGGAGAAACAGACACCCGCUAGCCACCUGUGUGCGAAGCACGUCGGUAGAACCAGUCUCAUGAACGCGGUCAUGUAAUGUCGGUCCGGGCCGCUUCAUCCAACAAUACCGCCGAAUCAAAGUAUGACAUGCUGGUAAGCAGUAUGACUAUUAUCGCCCACAACUCUUUGUGUUCUACUCGUGCAUAUAACAUCUACGCAUAAACCUGGCUCGGAUGCCACUGUUGGCAAAGCAGUAAUUUCAAAAAAAUUCCUACAAUCACGCAAGAUCUAUCUAGGUGAUGCAUAGCAACAAGAGGGGAGAGUAUUGUCUACGUACCCUCGUAGACCGAAAGCGGAAGCGUUUAGUUAACACGGUUUAUGUAGUCGAACGUCUUCGCGAUCCAACCAAUCCAAGCACCGAAUGUACGGCACCUCCACGUUCAGCACACGUUCAGCUCGAUGACGUCCCUCGUGCUCUUGAUCCAGUUGAGGCCGAGGGAGAGUUUUGUCAGCAUGACGGCGUGGCGACGGUGAUGAUGAAGUUACCGGCGCAGGGCUCCGCCUAAGCACUACGAUGAUAUGACCGAGGUAUGUAACUAUGGAGGGGGGCACCGAACACGGCUAAAAGAUCAACUUGUGUCUCUAUGGGGUGCCCCUUGGCCACGUAUAUAAAGGUGGGUAGGGAAGAGGUGGCCAGCCCAAGAGGGGCGCCAGGUGUGGGGAAUCGUACUAGGACUCCCCAGUCCAGGUAGGGUUCCCCUCCUCUUUCCUAUUCCUAGUAGGAGAAGGAGGGAAGGAGGAAGAGGGGAGAAGGAAGGAGGGGGGCGACGCCCCAUCCUAGUACAAUUUGGACCAGCCCAUGGGGGGGGGGCACCUCUUGAGGCCCUUCUCUCCUUUCCCGUAUGGCCCAUUAAGGCCCAUUACUUCCCCCGGCGAAUUCCCGUAACUCUCCGGUACUCCAAAAAUACCCGAAUCACUCGGAACCUUUCCGAUGUCCGAAUAUAGCCUUCCAAUAUAUCGAUCUUUGCGUCUCGACCAUUUCGAAACUCCCCGUCAUGUCUGUGAUCUCAUCCGGGACUCCGAACAAACUUCAGUCAUCAAAUCACAUAACUCAUAAUACAAAUCGUCAUCGAACAUUAAGCGUGCGGACCCUACGUGUUCGAGAACUAUGUAGACAUGACCGAGACACAUCUCCGGUCAAUAACCAAUAGCGGAACCUGGAUGCUCAUAUUGGCUCCUACAUAUUCUACGAAGAUCUUCAUCGGUCAAACUGCAUAACAACAUACGUUGUUCCCUUUGUCAUCGGUAUGUCACUUGCCCGAGAUUCGAUCGUCGGUAUCAUCACACCUAGUUCAAUCUCAUUACCGGCAAGUCUCUAUGCUCAUUCUGUAAUACUUCAUCCCGCAACUAACUCAUUAGUUUCAAUGCUUGCAAGGCUUAUAGUGAUGAGCAUUACCGAGAGGGCCCGGAGAUACCUCUUCGAAACAUGGAGUGACAAAUCCUAAUCUCGAUCUAUACCAACCCAACAAACACCUUCGGAGGCACCUGUAGAGCACCUUCAUAAUCACCCUUUUACGUUCUGACGUUUGGUAGCACACAAAGUGUUCCUCCGGUAUUCGGGAGUUGCAUAAUCUCAUAGUCUCAGGAACAUGUAUAAGUCAUGAAGAGAGCAGUAGCGAUGAAACUAUAACGAUCAUAAUGCUAAGCUAACGGAUGGGUCAUGUCCAUCACAUCAUUCUCCUAAUGAUGUGAUCCCGUUCAUCAAAUGACAACACAUGUCUAUGGUUGGGAAACAUAACCAUCUUUGAUUAACGAGCUAGUCUAGUAGAGGCAUACGAGGGACACUAUGUAGUGUCUAUGUAUUCACACAUUUACUAAGUUUCUGGUUAAUACAAUUCUAGCAUGAAUAAUAAACAUUUAUCAUGAUAUAAGUAAGGAAAUAAUAACUUUAUUAUUGCCUCUAGGGCAUAUUUCCUUCAGACAUAGCAUAUUUCCUUUAGACAUAUACAUACGUUGCUCACUGCAGGGACCCAGAUUCUUACCUCACGAAAAAAUCCAAUCCCAGCACUUCCCUUUCAUAAUAUAUUAGACCACUUAUUAGGCCUAGAUACAUCUAGUGAGGACUGAGAUACCCGUCUAUCAGGGUUGCUACUAAAAUCACCUCUGUCGAGCUCCCUUGUAGUUAAGUUUCUCAAUUUUAGCACUAAGUUCCUUUUCAUAACCCCUUCCUCUAUUGAGCAGGUGAUGGGAGAGGGGUGGUUUCCAAAUGUGCAUUGGCCAUCCCUUGAUAGAGGAACAUAUCCGAUUCGCCUAUGAGAAGGCACUAGGUGCAAUUUUCUCAUGACAAGGCAAAAUCUCUCAACCAGUGACAGCGGAGACAGAUGGUGAUCAAAUGACCAUUGAUAUUUGUAGCAUAUGGAUGCGUAGCAAAUUAAAAAUCACCUCUUUCGAGCUUGAUGUAGUUAAGUUUCCUACUUAGGCACUAAGUUUGUUCUCCGUGAGCUCUAGGAGUACGUGACGGGGGAGGGAUUGUGGGCAAAUGUGCAUCGAGUGUCGGUGUGAAAACCGGCGGAUCUCAGGUAGGGGGUCCCGAACUGUGCGUCUAAGGCUAAUGGUAACAGGAGGCGGGGGACACGAUGUUUACCCAGGUUUGGGCCCUCUCUAUGGAGGUAAUACCCAACUUCCUGCUAGAUUGAUCUUGAUGAUAUGAGUAUUACAAGAGUUGAUCUAGCACGAGGUCGAUGAGGCCAACCCUAGAAGCUAGCCUAUGAUGAUGAUUGUUUAUCUUGGUCCUACGGACUAAACCCUCCGGUUUAUAUAGACACCGGAGGGGGCUAGGGUUACCCGGAGUCAGUUAUAGAGAAGUAAAUCUACAUAUCCGAAUCGCCAAGCUUGCCUUCCACACAAAUGAGAGUCCCAUCCGGACACGGGACGAAGUCUUCUAUCUUGUAUCUUCAUAGUCCAAUAGUCCGGCCAAAGUAUAUAGUCCGGCUGUCCGAGGACCCCUUAAUCCAGGACUCCCUUAGUAGCCCCUGAACCAGGCUUCAAAUACAAUUGAGUCCGGCGCGCAGAUUGUCUUCGGCAUUGCAAGGCGGGUUUCUUCUCCGAAUACUCCAAAGUAGAUCUUGAACACAAGAAUCGUGUUCGGCUCUGCAAAAACAAAUUCCACAUACCACCUUAGAGAGCAUACUAUUUCACGGAUCUAAUCUGCUGACAGUUUAUUCAUAGAAUGACAUCACACCAUGGCCCGGUUAUUAUUCAAACCGUUUUAUCAGCCUACCCCAACACGAUUUACGAGGCGCUUUCAUUGGCACGUCUUGUCGAAGCAGAGAUCGUGUCCCCUUAUGACGGGAUACUCAUUAAUACGGGCAUGGGUAACCCAACCGAGCUAUUAGCACGGCGGUUGGGAAAUAAGCGAGUUUUAAGGCAUGUGGGGAGGCGCAUGAUCUGCCUUUAUAAAGGGAUAAGGAUUCCCCUUUCUCACCCACGCCUUCUUCUUCCUCUGCUCAUCCAUCCUCGAGCUCCAACGCCCAAGCUUUCGCCUUCUCCGCAAGAACACUCCAAACAUGUCCAACGCGGGAGGCAAGUGGAUGGCUUCCUCCGUCAAGAAGGAAGAUAUCAAGAAUCUUCGGGAGGCCGGAUAUUUGUCCAAGGACAUCGUGCAUCGGCUUCCGGCCAAGGGGCAGGUCAUCCCUACCCCGGAGCCCCAGGAAAGGGUGGUAUUCCUCUCCCAUUUCGUCCGCGGGCUGGGAUUCCCCCUACACCCGUUCGUCCGCGGACUUAUGUUCUAUUACGGGUUGGAUUUCCAUGAUUUGUCCCCCAACUCCAUCCUCAACAUCUCAGCAUUUGUUGUCGUGUGCGAGUCCUUUCUCCACAUCCCACCUCACUUCGGCCUAUGGCUGAAGACUUUCAAUGUGAAACCAAAAGUGGUGAGCGGCCAACAAGCGGAGUGCGGAGGCGCCAUGGUGGGUAAGAUGCCAAAGGUCACCUGGCUCAAAGGCUCUUUUGUGGAGACCGUAAAGGGGUGGCAAUCGGGGUGGUUCUACAUCACCGAGCCGCGCGACACUAACUGGGCAGCGACCCCCGAAUUCCGAUCCGGCGUUCCCAUGCGGCUCACCUCCUUGACGGAGAAGGGCCUAUCCUGGGGCUUAGCGGAAGAACUGACCGAACUCCAGACAUGUGUCCAAAAUAUGGUGAGCAAGAAAAUCAAGAUCGUCAAUGUGAUCCAAGUCAUGCUCUUCCGCCGGUCCGUGCCAGAGACGGGCUUACAAUUUAUGGGAGUUUGACCCGGCCACACACCAGAUGUUGAAAGAGCUCUUCGACUCGACACACGAACACAUCUAGAAGGUGCUGUUCUAGGCCGGCGAGACACCACCGCCCACGACCGAAGACCGCGGGCUCAGCGCAAAACACCAAGCUAAUCCGGUGAGUCAUCAUAUUCGCGAGACAUGCCCUUUUACUAACAUGCCUGCGGGAGGAACCUAAGCCCCUAUACCAAUCUUUCAGGAUUGGGUAGUAGUGGCGGAGAGGAUCGACUGUCCGGCCCCGCAACCUAAAGAUCUAGAAUCACCUCUCUUGACGAGGAUGCUGUUUCCGGCACCCUAUGAGGUGCCGGAGAAGAAGGCCAAGAAGGCGGCAACGGGGACCAGAGAUGGUCUCUGUCGCAAGGGUGCCUUGGACACGACGUCCGAGGACACCGAGACAAACUCCACCACCGAAGAAGAGGAGGAGGAAAUCCAUCCCCCACCUACUAGGGGGAGGAAGAGGAAGGUCUCCACGCAAGGGAAGGCCGAAACAUCCAAGAAGGGAAAGACUUCCCUUCCGGACUACUCCGCCGCAACUUCCAACAGCAGCGAGGAGUGGGACCCCAGGGUCAAGCCCCUGGCCAAAUCGUAAGUAUCCGGACAUACUAGUAUGCCAGAUCUAUUCGUUUCAUUGCGUCUUACCGUACUAGUUAUGCUACUGCAGCCCGGCCAAUUCCAACAUCGAGAUAUCCUCUUCUUCGGAGGGAUCGUUGGACUCGGCGGGGAAGAACAGCGAGUCUCUACCGACGGCUUCCUCCCCCAAGGGUGUGGACAACACCGAGGUGUUGUCUCAAGGAUGCCGGGCCAAGGGGAGACCACUCCGGAGACGCCGGUGGGUGAGACUCCGGUGACCGAACAUGUGGGGGCAAGGCCCCUGCGGACACCGAGUUUGGGGGCCGCAGCCAGUUUGGCCCCAAGCCGAACUCAGCUCCGGAAAACCAAAAGGUUAUGGAUUCGAGAAAGAGGGCCGCCCCCAGCAAGCGGAGCGAGCCAUCUGUACCAGUGACUUCCGUCCGUCCGGAGGCACCAGACAGGUUGCUGGAAGCGCUUCGCGGCGCAUCCAUUGAUGAAGAACAUCGUACUCUGAUGAGUAUGGUGAUUAAGAAGGUUCAGUCCGCCAAAAACGGAGUGAUAGAAGCCUGCGCCAGCCUUCUAACAGGCUUUGAGGUAAGCACUAAAAUUGUGGAAAAUUUUCACAGCAAAGACAGUAGCCCCUGAUGCUCUGUUAGGUGUUCGGAAAGAAAAGCCGAAUAGAGGAUCCAAUAAUAAUCGCAGGAGUCUAACAGAAAUGUCUUAUGUGAAAUAAGCAGGCGUCGCUACUUGCCGCUGCCGCUCGUACUGCCGAGGUCUCCGGGCUGAAGCAGAGCUUGGCGCGGACCGAGGAAGAACUCGUCCUUCUGAAGGGGCAGUUGGAGGAGAGCCAAUGUAUAUAGUACCCUGCGUGUAAAUUUUAUGAGCAGUAGCUGGUUUGCGCUAAUGAAAGCGUUGUGAACUUUUUGUAGGGGCCACGACCGAGGUGGCGACCCUGAAGAAGGCGUUAGCCGAGGCCGAAGACAAAGUGGCCAAGGAAUGUGCCACAUGUGAGAAGGAUGAGGCCCGGGUCGGUGAGGUGCAGCAAGAGCUCCAGGAUGCCGUCAAGAAGUACGAAUCCUUGGAGCGUGACUCGAAGACUAAAGAGUCCGAGCUUGCCAAGGCCCUCCAGAGUGCACAAGACGCCAGAGCCGAGCCCAGAAAGCCCUCCAGGAAAUCGAGGAGGCCCAAAAGAUUGCGACGGGUAAGGCUUUUCUUAUGCAAAGCAAGCAUGUGAAGGAAACAUUCUUUUUACUUACCCGAAUUCGGAGUUCUCCAGGAGCAUUUGCGGAUUUGACACGCAGUAUAUUAGAUGCCACGGAGUUCUACCGAGCCGAAGAAGGGAGUUCGAUGGAGAAGUUGUUCUGGUCCCAGUACCUUGGGUCAGAGCAUCCGAGGCUCUUAAGCGACCAGCUGAAACAGUUAAUUAGUCGAACGGCACAAGGCGGCCGAACUGGCCAUGAAGGACCUUAUAGUCCGGAUGUGGCCGGUCGAGCCCCUGCCUACCAGUUACUUCGGACUUGUUAAGGGGCUUGUGAGUGCCUGCCCAUGACUUGACGUCAAAAAGCGGUUGGUGUGUAUUGAGGGUGCGCGGAUGGCGUUUGCCUAUGCGAAGGUGCAUUGGGCAAAGAUGAAUGCCAAGGCGCUGAUGACCGAGGGGCCGCUAGAGGGCAAGGAGCACCGUCGUCCCGAGAUGUAUACAGAUGGAGUCCUCGAGGGAGCCCGCAUUGUGGCGGAGCGAUGUGCGAAGGAUGUAAUCUUUGAAUGAAUACAUUCAUUUUAUCCUAUCUUGUAAUAUAAAACAAGUUCGCUAUGCAAUAUGUGUUGCAUGUUUAUUUAAAAUUGUCUCUCCUAUGCGGCCGUUUAUGAAAUUUUGAGACUUGGCCAGUCGUUGGCUUCUGCCCCCUCAUAGCUAGUAUAGGGGUGUUCGGGAUAAAUCCAAACAAUCUUUACCCCAGUUUUGGGUCCUUUAUGGAGGUGUUCGGCGCAACGAACCAGGCAAUCGGACUAUACGGCUUUAUCACUCUCACUUAGCUAGAGAGCUCUAUAACUUUAAAUUUUGGCGAAGCCCCUAGUAUUCGGAAGGCCGAACUUGGGGCGCUAUACACGCCUAAAUCGGGCGAUAACCGAUUCAUCGCUUGAAGCGGGAUAAAAUCUUUAGGGAUUUUGAGACCUCUCGAACAGCGACCAGCUCUCGCUACAUCAUGACAGUCAGUUCUCGGCUUUCUCUACCGAGGUGCUCGUUCGGAAGAACCGGGACACAAUCGCAGUAGUUCUCCCUGUGCCGCCUUAGCCGAUAUAGCGGAACGUAAGGUGGCAAAACAUGGGAGCCGGGCAAACCCAACAUUUGACCAAAGAGAUGAUUCGGAGCCAAUGCAUAUAAUGCUAUAAGUUCGGGGUGCCGAGCUAUACUAUAAAGUGUUCGGACUUUCUUGCCGUGUUAUGGGUGCGUUGAAGCCCCUGGCGAUUUAAAGCGUACCAGAAUGUACGAAUGCAGUAAGUAUAAAGACAGGGAAAAGGAGGAAUAAAAAGAAAAACACAUCAAGUUUGAUUUCCAUUGUCAUUUGAAUGAUACGUCAAGGCGUAUUUGUACCAUACGUGCGAGAAGCGAGCAAGGCUAUUUAACAUGCCGUUUACCAAGAGCAGGCUGUGUGCGGAUAUGUAAACAGGAAUAACGAUCAUUAACAAAGACCACCUGGGGGUUCCUUCAUACGUCAAAGCCCUUGGCUUCUCUUGGUGUAUUCUUCCGCGAUGGGUUCGAUGAUCACGUUUAUCAAAAACGAAGCCUCGAGAAGAGGAGACCUCAAAAGGAGAAGAAGAAAACAAGGUAAAGGUGUGCGGAUCCUGGGGCGGUUGAGCCGUAUUAUGGACCGCCAUCUAGCUGUGCCUCCGUUGAUGCCCAUGGUAUCUUAAGUGCGUAGUUAUGUACGCGCGGCACAAAUUGCGCCGCUUGACUAGGACUAGAACGGAGGCCGAAUUGCUAGGUGCGCUCUGGGCGAGCCGGAUGGUUCUGUUGCAGAGCAGUUCGGACUCGUUUAAGAUUGUCCGGAGGCUUUAUUGCUGAAUUGAGGUUCUGCCUAGAAAGGCCGCUCUGUGCUUCUGCUGCCAGUGCCACGGUGUGCUCCUCCGUGCGGAGGGAGUGCUCCGUAUUUCUAUUGACUGUUAUGACACCGCGGGGUCCGUGCAUCUUGAGCUUGAGAUAGGCAUAGUGUGGCACCGCCUUGAAUCGAGCAAAUGUGGUUCGUCCAAGCAGUGCGUGGUAACCACUUCGAAACGGGACGAUGUCAAAGAUUAACUCCUCGCUUCGGAAGUUAUCCGGGGAUCCUAAUACCACUUCCAGCGUGAUUGAGCCUGUCCAACGGGCCUCUACACCAGGUAUGACACCUUUGAAGGUGGUGUUGGUAGGUUUGAUCCUUGAGGGAUCAAUACCCAUUUUACGCACUGUAUCCUGAUAAAGCAGGUUCAGGCUGCUGCCACUGUCCAUGAGGACUCUUGUGAGGUGGAAUCCGUCGGUUAUAGGGUCAAAGACCAGUGUGGCUGAACCGCCAUGACGAAUACUGGUCGGAUGGUCUCUGUGAUCAAAGGUGAUCGGACAGGAAGACCAUGGGUUGAUUUUUGGGGCGACUGGCUCCAUCGCGUACACGUCCCUUAGUGCACCCUUCCAUUCCCGCUUGGGGAUAUGGGUGGCGUAUAUCAUAUUCACCGUUUUAACUUGGGGAGGAAAUUUCUUCUGUCCCCCUGUGUUCGGUGGCCGGGGCUCCUCGUCGUCAUCGCUAUGCAGCCCCUUUGUAUUUUCGGCAUUUAACUUGCCGGCCUGUUUGAACACCUAGCACUCUCUGUUGGUGUGGUUGGCUGGUUUAUCGGGGGUGCCAUGGAUUUGACAUGGACGAUCUAGGAUACGGUCCAACCUGGACGGACCCAGAUUGUUUCUUUUGAAUGGCUUCUUCCGCUGACCGGACUUGGAGACACUGAAUCCGGCACUGACGGCCGUGUCUUCGGUGUUAUCGCCAUUACUUUGAAGCUUGAAUUUGCUGCAUCGGGGUUUGCCUAUGCUGUCUCGGGUAUAUGAGGCGCCAGGCUUUCCCGACGCACCGCUACUACGGGCUAACCAGCUAUCCUCGUCCGCACAAAAGCGGGUCAUGAGUGUUGUGAGGGCUGCCAUGGAUUUCGGCUUCUCUUGGCCAAGGUGUCGGGCUAGCCACUCGUCGCGGAUGUUAUGUUUAAAGGCCGCUAGGGCUUCGGCAUCCGGACAGUGACAAUCUGGUUCUUUUUAGUUAAAAAUCGAGUCCAGAAUUUCCUAGCUGACUCUCCGGGCUGUUGGGUUAUAUGACUUAAGUCAUCAGCGUCCGGUGGUCGUACAUAGGUUCCCUGGAAGUUGUUAAGAAAUGCGUCUUCCAUGUUCUCCCAACUGCCAAUGGAGUUUUCGAGCAGACUAUUCAACUAGUGCCGAGCUGGUCCAUUGAGUUUUAGUGGGAGGUACUUGAUGGCGUGGAGAUCAUCACUGCGGGCCAUAUGAAUGUGGAGAAGGAAGUCCUCAAUCCACACCAUGGGAUCUGUUGUCCCAUCGUAUGAUUUGAUGUUUACGGGUUUAAACACUUCAGGGAACUCAUGUUCCAUUACUUCAUCCGUGAAGCAUAGGGGGUGUGCAACGCCUCUGUGCCGAGCCACUUCGUGACACAGUUCGGAUGUAGCUGGUCUGUUGUAUUCGGCUUGGGUGGAUUUGUAUGUAGUGUAUCCGGCGUGACAGUCAUCGUCGCGUGUUGAGGCACACCCCCAUGAUGCGUAGAUCGAUCUUGGCUGUCCUGCUUUAUUUUCCAGUUCGUCUCGCAGGUCAUGCGUGUAGCCCCGGGCCUUGGUGUUUUUAUUUGUUCGGCGACGUGGUGCAGGGUGGUGUUCGAGCUGAUACGUCACUUUAUCUCGGCCACGGGGUGGCCGGUCAGCCGCAUCCUGUGUUAGCGCCUCGUCCUCAAAUUGAGGUGACAACUUCCGCCUCGGGUAGCUUUUUUUUGGGCGUUCGAGUCCAUAUUCCUCGGUUGCCAGGACUUCAGUCCAUCUAUCAGCUAGCAGAUCUUGAUCAGCUUGAAGCUGUUGCUGCUUCUUAUUUAGGCUUUUUGCAGUGGCUAUAAGCCGUCGCUUGAAGCUUUCCUGCUCGGCGGGAUCCUCAGGCACGGUUAAUUCGUCAUAGCCGAGGCUCACCUCAUCCUUUGAGGGGGGCAUGUAGUUGUCCUCCUCCGAUUUUCAUUAGUGGCCUGUUCAUUAGGGCUGGCUUGCCCGACCCCUUGUCCGGCCUGUUCUUAUCCAGGCUGGGUGGGGUUGUCUUCAUUGUCUUCGGCAUCGUCCCAAUUGCUAUUGUCUCAGGUGCCGGUAUCACUAUUUUUGCUAUGGCAUGGUUUAGAGUGGCGCCGCUGACGUCGGUGCUUCGGCUUCUUUUCGAGAGGUUUGUCCUCACAUGUAUCCUUUUUUUCCUCGCCAUUAUCUUCUUUGGGGGUAUCCACCAUGUAAAUGUCAUAUGACGAGGUGGCUAUCCAGCGCCCUGUGGGCGGUGGUUCCUCUUCUUCUCCCGCAUCGUCGUCCAUACUGUCGAUGUCUUCGGAGCCGAAGUCUGGCAUGUCGGUCAAGUCAUCGACAGUGGCUACCAAGUGGGUGGUGGGUGGGCAGCGAAAUUCUUUGUCGUCGGCUUCCCACUCAAGCCGGACAUAGUUCGGCGGAGAGUGCUCUGACAAGGAGAGGGACUUCAAUGAAAUUAACACGUCGCCCAAGGGCGAGUGUUGAAAGAUGUCCGCGGAGGUAAACUACAAGAUCGGUGCCCAGUCCGUUUUGAUGGGCGCGGACACACGCGGUUCGGAACCCGUAUCCGGAGACGAGUCCGGGGGCCCGAAGACACAGGUGAGGGAUUGUGACACCCAAUUUUUUUUUUGGUUUUAUCAAAAUCUUUUCUUUGAUUUGAGGAGGGUAUUUAAAUUUUCUUCUAAAGAACCCUCCCUCUCAAAAACUUUCUUUUAUGACAAGUGUUUUGUUUGGAUUCACCCAAGACUUGAUUUUCUGGUCUUGGAGGUUUUACCCAUCAUAUGUGGAUUCAAAACCAAAUGCUUUUCACUUGGGAGAUUUCUUUUGAAAAAUCUUUUAAAAUAGCCUUAUGGCAUUUGGAGUGAUCUUCUCCCCCUUUUCUAAAUCUCUUCUUGCCAUGACAUGAGUGGAAAUCCCCCCAUAAGCCUUUCCCCAUCUUUGGAUCAUGAUAUACUUCAAAUCCAGCAGUUUGAACCUCCCCAUAUUCUUCCUUCCAUUUAUUUCUCAUCAAAAAUAAUUUCUGCCCUCUACUCUAGCUCUUGGAGAUUUACAAAGGAGCUACCCUUUCUACUUUGAGUUUUGCCUCCAAACUAAUUUCACUAGCUAGUCCUUAGAGCCCUCAACCAAGAUCCAUGAAGAUCCACUGGUCUCCAGUUCAAAUAUUUCAAAUUGUGCUUGCUGCAAGUUUGGACCAUGUUUGCCAAAUUUGAUGAAAUUCAAUUGUUUUCUCGUCCUAAAAAUCUGAGAAAAUUCAGGCAGCCUCUGGGUGCAUUGAGAGGUCACCUCACCAAGUCCCAGCUCCAGAAAAAAAAUUCUUCGUGCCAAAUCAUUUCGUCGAACACCUGAUGGACACUGUUGCUGUCAAUGUUCAGAGUUCAGUUAAACAGUUUUAGUAACCACUGUCGUUUUCUUCAGAGCUCGUUCUCGAUCUCGCCAGUACCACGGUGGCGCCUUGCUCCCUGUUCCCUCCUUCUUAUCCCUGCGCCGCACGAUCGUCUGGAGGCUAGCGGGCGUCGGCGACGAGCAGGCGGAGGUGCGCCACCCCGUGAGCAACGGCAGCAGCGGCUUUGCGGCUGCCAGAGAGAGGCGCAGCAUGGACGGCGCCGUCCAGCGCCGCCCAAGCCACCAGAGGCCGCCGCGUGGCCCUCCACUCACCCGUGCACGCUGCCAUCCUUCGUCAUGAACUGCUAGGCGCCGAGCGCGCUCUCUCCCGCCGCCGUGCUCGUACGGCCGCCCCGUCGAGGAUCGGCGCAUUACGCCUAGCCCGACCGAAGUUUAUCAGGGGAACGGCACCAGUAAUCCUCCCUGAUGGUGCCUAGCCGCAUAAACCCCCUGCCCAACCCCUGCCUCGCUGUAAUCGCUCGCCGGAGAUAUCCCGUUCACGGCCACCCCUCAGAUCGCCUAUAAAAGGAGGCCCCGAGCUCGAACUCGAACCCACACCACCUCUGCACACCACCAAUACCACACCAAGCCACUAGAAGAGCCCCGAGGGAACCUUCUUCCCCAACUCCGGCCGCCUCGACCCGCCACGGGACUCAGCUCGAUUCACUCCCGUGCGUGCACCUCUCCCCCUCAGCUCUUGCCAGCAGCCUUCUAGUGCAUCCACUCUUCUGACCCGCGCUUCAAUUUGGAGUUUUGCAGCACCCACCGGAGUUCUCCACCAUCGCCCGAACCACCGUCCGCCGGAGAAAGUGUCGCCGCCGACGUGGUGCUCUCCGUCGGCCAAGUCCACCACCCACCGACGCGGAAGAACACACUGAACCUCUUGGUACCCUCCGAUCUCUCUGCCUCGCCGUGGUUCAACGCCAGCGACCGCCGCAGCCUUCGGGCGCCGGUGAGCUCCAUUGGAGUUUUAAACCUGACGGGUGGACCCCCCGUCAGCCUCUCUUCUUUCCCCCCCUCGAACCGUUCUCUGUUGGUGCCUUCGGGCAAAUGCGCUUUCUCUUUGGGCUGGCACCUUUUAUUCCGAACCGUUUUCUGCUUUCUCAAACAAGUCCCUGGUUCUUUUCUGUUUGAUCACAGAUCAGUCCCUGGACUAAAACCCUUAUAACUUUUUAAUAAAAGGUGAUUUUUGUUUGAUUCUUUUUCUGACAGUCUUGUAUUUUUGUCUAGUUUUUUAUAGUAUUUAUUUGGAAAAUUUUUGGAACAAUUUUUAUGCACGCGACGAUUUUCACGUUAGUGAACGGUUUCGAUAUACCGUAGGUUCCGGAGGAGGUGACGGAGCCGCGAACUUCGCCGAGCUAGACUCCGACUUCUCCGAACCAGGCAAGCAUGUUUGAACCUUUGAUAUGAUAGGUGUUUUGCAUGUUUGCUUGAAUGGUUUUUGCAUGUCAUAUGAGCAUCGGUGAGUAUUACGUUGCAUGAAAGGCAACUAUCCUUGUGUUCCGAAGUUACUGUGAUCUUCGAUGAAAGAUGACCUGAUCAUGUGGUGACAUGAAAGGUAGUGAGGUGGUAUUGUUGUAGCAUGCCAGCCUUACGUCAUCCGUUAAACUCCGACGUUAACGUGGACUGAGUCACGUUACCGUUCCUUCCCUUUCGUGCUGCCACAUGUUUUCUGCAAAGAAUACGGUUUAGUAAGUUGUUAACCUCUUUCCUUGUACACACCAAAUAGAGGGGCCAGGAUGAGGGUUCCAUGGCCCUGGAUUAAAGCCAGUCAUCCGGUCAGGGGGCAUGGGUGUUUCUGGUUGGGACCGAGAGGGGGGCACCCCUUAGAGCGCGCGUAUAUAAAUUUGAUCCCAUGCUACGCGAGGUUGUAGCCUCCCCGUCUCAACGUUUUUCUUGAACGUUGCCGAGGGUGAUUCCUGGCAUCGGAAUGUUGAAUGGGUGUCUUCUGGUUCAAUGUGUUUCUCCUAAAACACCGUAAACGGAACUAGUCCAUUGUGACUACUGAAAUCCGUUGGCUGUGGUUAAAUAGUACAAACUCUGCAGAGUCAAAUCCUUCCGAGUCAUCGUGUCCAUGGUCCAAGACCGUGACCAACUUAUCCAUAUCCAUGUCAGUUCCUAUCUCGCUUUGAGUGGUAAAUCCCCGGUGAACAAGUCUGAGUGGUAAACCCGGUUGAAUUAUUAUUCCUGUGGAUGGACUAAUCUUUUAUUUACCUCAUACCUGAAUGUUCCCUUGAAAUGAUUUAAAUUCAUGAGCUGCUGAAAUAUCUAGUUAUGUAAUAUAAGCCCUUUAUGCGAUGUCGCUCAGACGUCCGACUGUGGCAUUCUUGUCAUUUACUAUUGAUAUAAGCCCUUUAUGUGAUGUCGCUUAGACGUCCGACUGUGGCAUUCUUGUCAUUUACUUUUGAUAUAAGCCCUUUAUGUGAUGUCGCUCAGACGUCCGACUGUGGCAUUCUUGUCAUUUACUUUUGAUAUAAGCCCUUUAUGUGAUGUCGCUCAGACGUCCGACUGUGGCACUCUUGUCAUUUACUUUUGAUAUAAGCCCUUUAUGUGAUGUCGCUCAGACGUCCGACUGUGGCACUCUUGUCAUUUACAUUUGAUAUAAGCCCUUUAUGUGAUGUCGCUCAGAUGUCCGACUGUGGCACACACUGUCAUUUAUUUUCCACUAUAAGCCCUUUAUGAGGUGUCACCUUGACGCCCGACUGCGGCAUUGUUAUUUCACUUGUACCCUUCCGAGGAGUCAUUCAGACACUCGAUUGGCCUUCAGCAUUACGUUGGGAUUUCGGGAGGACUACCGCCCGACUUUUUUUUUAAUUCCCAUGCAUAGCUAUUUUAUUAUCUGAGUGCGCUUGUUAAUCUGUUCAUAUGCAUCAUGUUUACAUUUGUUAUAUCUUAUGUCCGAACUGUCUUGCGAGUACUUUCAUAGUACUCACCUGGCUUGUUGAUUUGGCCAGAUGUUGACGAAGGCGAUCUCAUGGAUGAAGAGUUUGAUAGUGAGUCCGACGCCUAGAGGAGUCCCAGUUAGUCCCGUGCGAUCCUGGAUAUUGGUCACUUGUAUUAUAUUCGCUUCCGCCACCCACAAUAAGUAUCCUCGAGCCUCACUCUGACGCUCGAAGAGUUGUUAGUUUCAGGAGUCAUGUCACCCACUUCACUGUGAUUUAUCCACCACCGCUUUUAUCGUGAGUUAGUAGUUAUGCCACCCUAUCCGCCUUUAUGUAUUAUUGGCGUGCUUGUAAUAAAUUGUUGAGCAGUCUCCGCUCAACCUUGUAUUAUAUCUAGUACUCCUGGUUUUUCUUCUGUGAUCAAAAUAUUGUCUACCAGUGAGAAGGAAUUCUUCUUUACUGGUCCCUAAAAGGGAUCGGUCUCUCAAUAAAUAUUUUUAUUGGAAAAUCGGUCGUGACAAGCUUGGUAUCAGAGCCAGGCUGACUGUAGGAAGCCACUAGGUGCCAUCGCUAAUCGGUUAUUAGCGUUUUUAGUGCUUUUUCAGCAUUUUGCAAAUGUAGCUAUUUUCUGUUGGUCAUCAUAAAUUUAUGAUUUGACUAUUCGGAAUUUGUGCCUACUUUUGUAAAUGGCUGGCUACGACUGAGCAGUCCUUCUCCGUGCGAAAUCAAAUAUUUUCUUGGAAAAUCUUGAGGUCUUUUAAAUUUUUUGUCUUUGCAUGAUUUUCCUUGUGCCACACAGUUCUUGUCAUGAUUUUUGCAAAAUAAUACCCCAGAGUGGAAAAUGUCUCGUCCUUGGACCCGUUCCAUGCCAAAUCCAACCGAAGAAGUUUAUGGAACACAGACCAGCAACAACUUCACUCAGGGACAGUCUAGUCAACAGGACAGCAAGGCAGCCUUAUCUCAAGUAUGCCGCCUCUUCGAACAAAGCCAGCAACAGCACCAAGAGAUGAUGAAUCACGUCAUCAAUAUGGGAAAUCACCGUGAGCCAUACCAACCACACUCCAAGUUGUAUGAACUGCAGAAGACACGCCCUCCAACGUUUGCUCACACUGAUAGGCCGCUUGAAGCCGAUGAUUGGCUUCGUGACAUCGAAAGAAAGUUGAUUAUUGCUCAAUGUUCUGAUCAUGAGAAGGUGCUUUAUGCACCUCACUACCUCACUGGAGCAGCUGCCGCAUGGUGGGAGAACUUCCUACACAUGCAUCCCAGUGAACAUAACAUCACCUGGGAAGAGUUUAAGGAAGGCUUUCGUGGGGCACACAACCCCAGGAGCAUUAUAAAAAUCAAGAAAAGAGAAUUUGAUUACCUCAAGCAAAGAGGCAUGUCAGUGACAGAAUACAACGGUCAGUUUACCCAGCUAUCUAGUUAUGCCCACGAUGAACAUAUGACUGAGAACAAAAGGAUGGAAAAAUUUCUGGACGGCCUAGCGCCAGCAUUAAGAUGCCAACUGGUCGUACACACUCUCCCAGAUUUCAGAACUCUAGUUGACAAGGCCAUUACGUUGGAGAAUGAGCGCCACAGUCUGGAGGAUAUCCGUAAGCGGAAAAGGGACAAGACAACUCUUGCUCGCAAUAACCGAAGCAAGACUGAUGUUCAGAGGAAUGAAACGAGAAAAUCCAUGACUACUGCUAUAAGGCCAACUAGACAGUUUCAUUCAAGGGACAAGGACUUUACGUACUAUCCAGGGGUCACUUGCUAUGCUUGUGGUGAAGAAGGGCACUAUGCCAAACAGUGCCCAAAACCAAGGAACUCGGCCCCCAAGCCGAACAAUGGUGGGAACAAUCCAGCCCCCAAGCGCAACAAUUUCAAUCCCAACAACAAUCACAGGAAGGGUCACCUGAACCAUGUGACCAGGGAAGAAGCACAGAAUGCCCCAGACAUCGUACUCGGUACGUUCCCUGUCAACACAGUACCUGCCACGGUUUUGUUUGAUUCUGGAGCUUCUCACUCGUUCAUUUCGAAGAGUUUUGUCUUGCAACAUGGUUUUCCGAUACUCCCCUUGGAAAAAUCUAUGAUCAUCAAGUCCCCCGGAAAUAAGCAGAUCACUCAGAGUUACUGCCAAGGAGUGAUUAUUGAAUUCGAAGGACUAAAGUUUCAAGCUAAUCUCAUCGUGUAGGAAAAUAAGGGACUGGAUGUCAUCCUAGGGAUGGACUGGUUGACCGCCAACAAAGGAUUUAUUGACUGUUUCAAUCGGACUGUGAUCCUCACUCACCAUCACGGCAAGACAAUAAAGGUUAUAGCUCAAGAGAGACCACGGUCACGGCAGCCAAAGUUGAACAAAGUGGAUAUUUCAGAACUGAGAAAGGUUCCAGUGGUGUGCGAGUUUCCAGACGUAUUUCCUGAAGAACUACCAGGCAUGCCACCAGACCGAGAGAUAGAGUUCAGCAUUGAACUAGCACCUGGCACCACUCCCAUCUAUAAGAAACCUUAUAGAAUGGCACCCUCAGAGUUGGUAGAAUUGAAGAAGCAAAUAAAGGAAUUACUGGACAAAGGAUUUAUUCGAGCCAGCUCCUCACCUUGGGGUUCGCCAGUAUUAUUCCCCAAGAAAAAGGAUGGGACACUGAGACUGUGCAUAGACUAUCGAGCUCUCAAUAUGGUUGCCAUCAAAAACAAAUAUCCGAUGCCACGGAUAAAUGAUUUGUUUGACCAGCUCGCACAACCCAAGGUGUUCUCAAAAAUUGAUUUAAGAUCGGGAUAUCAUCAAUUGAAAGUACGGACAAAAGAUAUCCCUAAGACAACAUUCACCUCCAGAAACGGAUUAUAUGAGUUCACAGUAAUGCCUUUUGGACUGACAAACGCCCCCGCAUAUUUCGUCCACCUCAUGGACAAAGUGUUUAUGAAAUUCAUGGACAAAUUUGUAGUGGUGUUCAUUGACGAUAUUCUGGUAUACUCAAGAACACCAGAAGAACAUGCCGAACAUCUCAAAAUUGUUUUGGGAGAAUUAAGGAAACAUCAAUUGUACGCCAAAUUUAGCAAGUGUGAAUUUUGGCUAAGACAAGUUUGUUUUCUAGGCCAUAUAUUAACCCAAGAAGGCAUGGCCCUAGACCCAGAAAAGGUCAAAGCCAUACUUGACUGGAAACCACCAGCCAACGUGACCGAUGAACGGAGUUUCCUUGGAAUGGCUGGAUAUUACCGGACGUUUAUUGAAGGAUUCUCCACUGUGGCAAAACCAAUGACACAGUUGCUCAAGAAGGACAAGAAAUUUGUAUGGACGGAAGCAUGCGAGAAAAGCUUCCAAGAACUCAAGAAGAAACUAACAACGACACCAGUUUUGACCGUGCCAGACAUACACAAGAGUUUUGAAGUGUAUUGUGACGCAUCCCGGAAGGGCCUCGGAUGUGUACUGAUGCAGGAUGGCAAAGUUGUCGCGUAUGCUUCCAGGCAACUACGAAAGCAUGAGGAAAAUUAUCCAACUCAUGACUUGGAGCUAGCAGCGGUCAUCCAUGCACUCAAGGAGUGGAGGCACUUUCUAUUGGGAAAUCGUUGUGAAAUAUAUACGGACCAUAAGAGCCUUAAAUAUAUUUUCACACAACCAGAGCUAAAUUUACGCCAACGACACUGGUUGGAAUUGGUCAAGGACUAUGAUGUCGGCAUUCACUACCAUCCAGGGAAAGCAAAAUGUAGUGGCAGAUGCUCUUAGUCGGAACCCCAGCCCGGGCAACGACAGUCCACAGAACUUGAGACCUGAGUUUCAGCAGGAGUUCGCUAGACUCAACAUGGUGUUAGUCUCUGAGGGCACCGUAUCAAAUCUGGAGAUACAACCCACCCUAAUGGAACAAAUUAAGAAGGCUCGGCAUGGGCAUCCUAGCAUCGAAGGUAUAAAGAGGAAGAUGAGCCUUGGCAAGGCUUCAGAGUUCGUCACAGACAAUGAAGGAAUAUUAUGGUACGGGGACAGACUUUGCGUACCAAACAUUGAGGAACUCAAGCAACAAAUCCUAACCGAAAUCCGCACCGCUCCAUACUCGAUCCACCCUAGAGGAACCAAAAUGUACAAAGACAUUCAGGAAAGAUUUUGGUGGCAUGGUAUAAAAAGGGAUAGAGCCGCAUUCAUUGCUUGUUGCGAUUCAUGUCAGCGCAUUAAAGCCGAGCAUCAAAAGCCAGCAGGGCUGCUACAGCCAAACAGGAUACCUGAGUGGAAAUGGGAUGAAAUUGGAAUGGACUUCAUCGUCGGACUACCUCGAUCUCAACGCGGAAAUGAUGCCAUAUGGGUCAUCACAGAUAGGCUAACCAAGGUAGCACAUUUCAUUCCCGUGAAGACGACCUACUCCACUCAAAGGCUAGCCAAGCUUUAUCUCUCCCGUAUAGUUUGUUUGCAUGGAGUCCCAAAAACCAUAAUAUCCGACCGAGGCACUCAAUUUGUCUCUAAAUUUUGGAAUCACCUACAACAAGCUCUGGGCACGCAACUAGCUUUCAGUACAGCGUACCACCCUCAGACUGAUGGACAAACGGAACGCGUGAACCAAAUCCUAGAGGACAUGCUGAGAGCCUGUGUGCUCACCUAUGGAUCAAGUUGGGAAGAAAGUCUGCCGUAUGCCGAGUUUGCUUACAACAAUAGUUACCAAGCCAGUCUGCAAAUGGCACCUUUGGAAGCACUGUACAGACGGAGAUGUCGUACCCCACUAAAUUGGUCAGAAACAGGUGACAGUCGUAUCUUCGGCCCAGACAUGCUCAAGGAAGCCGAGGAGAAGGUUAAACAGAUCAGGGACAGACUCAAGACAACUCAAAGCCGACAGAAGAGCUAUUACGAUCAAAAACAUCAUGAGGUCAGCUUUGAACCCGGUGAUUACGUUUACCUCCGAGUGUCUCCUAUGAGGGGCCUGCAACGGUUCAAAAUUAAGGGGAAGCUAGCCCCGAGAUUUAUUGGACCCUUCUGUAUAGUUGCACGAAGAGGCACAGUAGCCUACCAGCUAGACCUACCCAAAGAGCUGUCAGACGUCCACGACGUGUUUCACGUCUCACAGUUGAGGAAAUGUGUGAGUAACCCGGAAAAGCAUGUAUCUCAUGAAAGCAUUGAUGUGCAACCAGAUCUCACCUACAGAGAACGGCCAGUAAAGAUAUUGGAAGAGUCUGAAAGGAGGACCCGUCAGAAAACGAUAAAAAUUUUCAAGGUUCAGUGGAGCAAUCACACCGAGGAUGAAGCUACAUGGGAAAGAGAAGAUUUUCUUCAGGCAGAGUACCCACAUCUAUUUGAGGAUCAGCUGAAAUCUCGAGGACGAGAUUUUUCCUAAGGGGGUAGGUGUUGUGACAUCCAAAUAUUUUUUUGGUUUUAUCAAAAUCUUUUCUUUGAUUUGAGGCGGGUAUUUAAAUUUUCUUCUAAAGAACCCUCCCUCUCAAAAACUUUAUUUUAUGACAAGUGUUUUGUUUGGAUUCACCCAAGACUUGGUUUUUUGGUCUUGGAGGUUUUACCCAUCAUAUGUGGACUCAAAACCAAAUGCUUUUCACUUGGGAGAUUUCUUUUGAAAAAUCUUUUAAAAUAGCCCUAUGGCAUUUGGAGUGAUCUUCUCCCCCUUUUCUAAAUCUCUUCUUGCCAUGACAUGAGUGGAAAUCCCCCCCAUAAGCCUUUCCCCAUCUUUGGAUCAUGAUAUACUUCAAAUCCAGCAGUUUGAACCUCCCCAUAUUCUUCCUUCCAUUUAUUUCUCAUCAAAAAUAAUUUCUGCCCUCUACUCUAGCUCUUGGAGAUUUACAAAGGAGCUACCCUUUCUACUUUGAGUUUUGCCUCCAAACCAAUUUCACUAGCUAGUCCUUAGAGCCCUCAACCAAGAUCCAUGAAGAUCCACUGGUCUCCAGUUCAAAUACUUCAAAUUGUGCUUGCUGCAAGUUUGGACCAUGUUUGCCAAAUUUGAUUAAAUUCAAUUGUUUUCUCGUCCUAAAAAUCUGAGAAAAUUCAGGCAGCCUCUGGGUGCAUUGAGAGGUCACCUCACCAAGUCCCAGCUCCAGAAAAAAAUUUCUUCGUGCCAAAUCAUUUCGUCGAACACCUGAUGGACACUGUUGCUGUCAAUGUUCAGAGUUCAGUUAAACAGUUUCAGUAACCACUAUCGUUUUCUUCAGAGCUCGUUCUCGAUCUCGCCAGUACCACGGUGGCGCCUUGCUCCCUGUUCCCUCCUUCUUAUCCCUGCACCGCACGAUCGUCUGGAGGCUAGCGGGCGUUGGCGACGAGCAGGCGGAGGUGCGCCACCCCGUGAGCGACGGCAGUAGCGGCUUUGCGGCUGCCAGAGAGAGGUGCAGCAUGGACGGCGCCGUCCAGCACCGCCCAAGCCACCGGAGGCCGCCGCGUGGCCCUCCACUCACCCGUGCACGCUGCCAUCCUUCGUCGUGAACUGCUAGGCGCGGAGCACGCUCUCUGCCGCCGCCGUGCCCGUACGGCCACCCCGUCGAGGAUCGGCGCAUUACGCCUAGCCCGACCGAAGUUUAGCAGGGGAACGGCACCAGUGAUCCUCCCUGAUGGUGCCUAGCCGCAUAAACCCCCUGCCCAACCCCUGCCUCGCCGUAAUCGCUCUCCGGGGAUAUCCCGUUCAUGGCCACCCCUCGGAUCGCCUAUAAAAGGAGGCCCCGAGCUCGAACUCGAACCCACACCACCUCUACACACCACUAAUACCACGCCAAGCCACUGGAAGAGCCCCGAGGGAGCCUUCUUCCCCAACUCCGGCCGCCUCGACCCGCCACGGGACCCAGCUCGAUUCACUCUCGUGCGUGCACCUCUCCCCCUCAGCUCUUGCCAGUAGCCUUCUAGUGCAUCCACUCUGCUGACCCGCGCUUCAAUUUGGAGUUUUGCAGCACCCACCGGAGUUCUCCACCAUCGCCCGAACCACCGUCCGCCGGAGAAAGUGUCGCCGCCGACGUGGUGCUCUCCGUCGGCCAAGUCCACCACCCACCGACGCGGAAGAACACACUGAACCUCUUGGUACCCUCCGAUCUCUCUGCCUCGCCGUGGUUCAACGCCAGCGACCGCCGCAGCCUUCAGGCACCGGUGAGCUCCAUUGGAGUUUUAAACCUGAUGGGUGGACCCCCCGUCAGCCUCUCUUCUUCCCCCCCUCGAACCGUUUUCUGUUGGCGCCUUCGGGCAAAUGCGCUUUCUCUUUGGGCUGGCGCCUUUUAUUCCGAACCGUUUUCUGCUUUCUCAAACAAGUCCCUGGUUCUUUUCUGUUUCAUCACAGAUCAGUCCCUGGACUAAAACCCUUAUAACUUUUUAAUAAAAGUUGAUUUUUGAUUGAUUCUUUUUCUGUCAGUCUUGUAUUUUUGUCUAGUUUUUUAUAGUAUUUGUUUGGAAAAAAUUUGGAACAAUUUUUAUGCACGCGACGAUUUUCACGUUAGUGUACGGUUUUGAUAUACCGUAGGUUCCGGAGGAGGUGACGGAGCCGCGAACUGCGCCGAGCUAGACUCCGACUUCUCCGAACCAGGCAAGCAUGUUUGAACCUUUGAUAUGAUAGGUGUUUUGCAUGUUUGCUUGAAUGGUUUGUGCAUGUCAUAUGAGCAUCGGUGAGUAUUACGUUGCAUGCAAGGCAACUAUCCGUGUGUUCCGAAGUUAUUGUGAUCUUCGAUGAAAGAUGACCUGAUCAUGUGGUGACAUGAAAGGUAGUGAGGUGGUAUUGUUGUAGCAUGCCAGCCUUACGUCAACCGUUAAACUCCGACGUUAACAUGGACUGAGUCACGUUACCAUUCCUUCCCUUUCGUGCUGCCACAUGUUUUCUGCAAAGAAUACGGUUUAGUAAGUUGUUAACCUCUUUCCUUGUACACACCAAAUAGAGGGGCCGGGAUGAGGGUUCCAUGGCCCUGGAUUAAAGCCAGUCAUCCGGUCAGGGGGCAUGGGUGUUUCCGGUUGGGACCGAGAGGGGGGCACCCCUUAGAGCGCGCAUAUAUAAAUUUGAUCCCAUGCUACGCGAGUUUGUAGCCUCCCCGUCUCAAAGUUUUUCUUGAACGUUGCCGAGGGUGAUUCCUGGCUUCAGAAUGUUGAAUGGGUGUGUACUGGUUAGAUGUGUUUCUCCUAAAACACCAUAAACGGAACUAGUCCCUUGUGACUACUGAAAUCCGUUGGCUGUGGUUAAAUAGUACAAACUCUGCAGAGUCAAAUCCUUCCGAGUCAUCGUGUCCAUGGUCCAAGACCGUGACCAACUUAUCCAUAUCCAUGUCAGUUCCUAUCUCGCUUUGAGUGGUAAAUCCCCGGUGAACAAGUCUGAGUGGUAAACCCGGUUGAAUUAUUAUUCCUGUGGACGGACUAAUCUUUUAUUUACCUCAUACCUGAAUGUUCCCUUGAAAUGAUUUAAAUUCAUGAGCUGCUGAAAUAUCUAGUUAUGUAAUAUAAGCCCUUUAUGCGAUGUCGCUCAGACGUCCGACUGUGGCAUUCUUGUCAUUUACUAUUGAUAUAAGCCCUUUAUGUGAUGUCGCUUAGACGUCCGACUGUGGCAUUCUUGUCAUUUACUUUUGAUAUAAGCCCUUUAUGUGAUGUCGCUCAGACGUCCGACUAUGGCAUUCUUGUCAUUUACUUUUGAUAUAAGCCCUUUAUGUGAUGUCGCUCAGACGUUCGACUGUGGCACUCUUGUCAUUUACUUUUGAUAUAAGCCCUUUAUGUGAUGUCUCUCAGACGUCCGACUGUGGCACACACUGUCAUUUAUUUUCCACUAUAAGCCCUUUAUGAGGUGUCGCCUUGACGCCCGACUGCGGCAUUGUUAUUUCACUUGUACCCUUCCGAGGAGUCAUUCAGACACUCGAUUGGCCUUCAGCAUUACGUUGGGAUUUCGGGAGGACUACCGCCCGACUUUCUUUUUUCUAAUUCCCAUGCAUAGCUAUUUUAUUAUCUGAGUGCGCUUGUUAAUCUGUUCAUAUGCAUCAUGUUUACAUUUGUUAUAUCUUAUGUCCGAACUGUCUUGCGAGUACUUUCAUAGUACUCACCUGGCUUGUUGAUUUGGCUAGAUGUUGAUGAAGGCGAUCUCAUGGAUGAAGAGUUUGAUAGUGAGUCCGAUGCCUAGAGGAGUCCCAGUCAGUCCUGUGCGAUCCUGGAUAUUGGUCACUUGUAUUAUAUUCGCUUCCGCCACCCACAAUAAGUAUCCUCGAGCCUCACUCCGACGCUCGAAGAGUUGUUAGUUUCAGGAGUCAUGUCACCCACUUCACUGUGAUUUAUCCACCACCGCUUUUAUCGUGAGUUAGUAGUUAUGCCACCCUAUCCGCCUUUAUGUAUUAUUGGCGUGCUUGUAAUAAAUUGUUGAGCAGUCUCCGCUCAACCUUGUAUUAUAUCUAGUACUCCCGGUUUUUCUUCUGUGAUCAAGAUAUUGUCUACCAGUGAGAAGAAAUUCUUCUUUACUGGUCCGUAAAAGGGAUCGGUCUCUCAAUAAAUAUUUUUAUUGGAAAAUCAGUCGUGACAGGGAUUCCUGGAUUAGGGGGUCCUCAGACAGCCGGACUAUAUACUUUGGCCGGACCGUUGGACUAUGAAGAUACAAGAUAGAAGACUUCGUCCCGUGUCCGGAUGGGACUCUCCUUUGCGUGGAAGGAAAGCUUGGGAUUCGGAUAUGUAGAUUUCCUUCUCUAUAACCGACUCUGUGUAACCCUAGCCCCCUCCGGUAUCUAUAUAAAUCGGAGGGUUUAGUCCGUAGGACCAAGAACAACAAUCGUAAUCAUAGGCUAGGUUCUAGGUUUAGCCUCCUCUAUCUCGUGGUAGACCAACUCUUGUAAUACUCAUAUCAUCAAGAUUAAUCUAGAAGGAAGUAGGGUAUAAUUACCUCCAUAGAGAGGGCCAGAACCUGGGUAAACAUCGUGUCCCCCGCCUCCUGUUACCAUUAACCUUAGACGCAUAGUUCGGGACACCCUACCCGAGAUCUGCCGGUUUUGACACCGACAUUGGUGCUUUCAUUGAGAGUUCCACUGUGUCGUCACCAUAAGGUUUGAUGGCUCCUUCAAUCGUCUACAGUGAUGCGAUCCAGGGUGAGGUUUUCCUCCCCGGACAAAUCUUCAUAUUCGGCGGCUUCGCACUGCGGGCCAACUCGCUUGGCCAUCUGGAGCAGAUCGAUAACUACGCUCCUGGGCAUCAGGUCAGGUUUGGAAACCUGAAUUACACUACCGAGAUCCGCGGAGACUUGAUCUUUGACGGAUUUGAGCCCAUGACAGGUGCUCCCUAAGGCCGCGAUGAGCAUGACUUAGAUCCGCCAUCAGGCGGCGAUCAGGAGAUCACACAUGCGGCUGCCCCGUCUCUAAAUCCGGAGUAGAUCGUGUCGUCCGUGGAUGGGGGGCUGCACCCCACCACGGAGGCCUCAUACUCUACGGCGUUAGAGCCGAACACAGAUUCAGCCUCUAUCGAGGCCUGGGUCGUCGGGCCCACGGACUCGUCUCCGGAUACGGGUUUCGGACCGUGUGUGUCCACGCCCGUCAAAAUUGACUGGGUACCGAUCUUGGAGUUUACCUCCGCGAACAUCUUUCAACACUCACCCUUGGGCGACGUGUUAAGUUCAUUGAAGUCCCUCUCCUUGUCAGAGGACUCUCCGCCGAACUAUGUCCGGCUUGAGUGGGAAGCGGACAACAAAGAAUUUCGCUUCCCACCCACCACCCACUUGGUAGCCUCUGUCGACGACUUGACCGACAUGCUAGACUUCGACUCCGAAGACAUCGAUGGUAUGGACGAUGAUGCGGGAGAAGAAGAGGAACCACCGCCCACAGGGCGAUGGACAGCCACCUCGUCAUAUGACAUUUACAUGGUGGAUACCCCCAAAGAAGAUAAUGGCGAGGAAAAAAAGGAUACAUGUGAGGAUAAACCUCUUGAGAAGCAGCCAAAGCGCCGACGUCAGUGGCUCCACUCUAAACAACGCCAUGGUAAAAAUAGCAAUACAGGUACAGGAGAUAAUACCCCGGACAACGGUGAAAACAAUGAAGUCCCCGAAGACCCAGCCAUGAAGCAGGAAGAGCAGGGGGACGGCAAACACAGUCCGGGGCCACUGUCUGACCAGAGCGAUGCCAAAGACGCCACUUAUCAACCUGUCUCCGCAGAAUAGGACAAUUCAGAUGACGAUACAUUCAACAUCCCUGAUACACAAGUGGAGCGAGAACGACUCCAACAGAGACUCAUCGCCACUGCUAGGAGUUUGAAUAAGCAGAAGCAAAGGCUUAAAGCUGCACAGGAUAUGCUCGAUGACUAAUGGAACAAAGUGCUCGACACUAAGGGAAGAUACGGCGGUAAUCGCCAAACAAAGAGCUAUCCCAAACGUAAACUGCUUCCCGAAUUCGACGACGAGGCUAUAGCGCCCAUACCGCUGAAUAACCGUACAGACGACUAACAGGACCGACCACCUCGUGGCCGAGACAGAGCAACUAAUAACGCCGCACACAAAUCCGCACCCCAGCACCAUAAAGAAAGGGAAGUAACAACCCAGAACAAGCAACACGAUUUACGUGAAGACUUGGAUAGAAGGGCUGGCAUAACAAGGUCCAUCUACGGAUCUCGAGACCACCAAAACAAAUAUACCAGCCGCUCUCUGCUACGUCUUGAGCUUGCAUUGGUUUUCCUUGAAGAGGAAAGGAUGAUGCAGCACAGUAGCAUAAGUAUUUCCCUCAGUUUUUGAGAACCAAGGUAUCAAUCCAGUAGGAGGCUCCUGACAACUCCCACGCACCUACACAAACAAACAAAGAACUCGCAACCAACGCAAUAAAGGGGUUGUCAAUCCCUUCACAGCCACUUGCGAAAGUGAGAUCUGAUAGAGAUAAUAUGAUAAGAUAAAUAUAGUUUUGGUAUUUUAUGAUAUAGAUUGGAAAAGUAAAGAUGCAAAUAAAAGUAGAUUGAAAGCGUAUAUGAUAAAAGAUAGACCCGGGGGCCAAAGGUUUCACUAGUGGCUUCUCUCAAGAUAGCAUAAGUAGUAGGGUGGGUGAACAUAUUACUGUCGAGCAAUUGAUAGAAAAGCGAAUAAUUAUGAGAUUAUCUAGGCAUGAUCAUGUAUAUAGGCAUCACGUCCGUGACAAGUAGACCGACUCCUGCCUGCAUCUACUACUAUUACUCCACACAUCGACCGCUAUCCAGCAUGCAUCUAGAGUAUUAAGUUCAUAAGAACAGAGUAACGCUUUAAGAAAGAUGACAUGAUGUAGAGGGAUAAACUCAUGCAAUAUGAUAUAAACCCCAUCUUUUUAUCCUCGAUGGCAACAAUACAAUACGUGCCUUGCUGCCCCUGCUUUCACUGGGAAAGGACACCGCAAGAUUGAACCCAAAGCUAAGAACUUCUCCCAUGGCAAGAAAGAUCAAUCUAGUAGGCCAAACCAAACCGAUAAUUCGAAGAGACUUGCAAAGAUAACCCAAUCAUACAUAAAAGAAUUCAAAGGAGAUUCAAAUAUUUCUCAUAGAUAAACUUGAUCAUAAACCCACAAUUCAUCGGAUCUCGACAAACACACCGAAAAAACAGUUUCAUCGAAUAGAUCUCCAAGAAGAGGAAGGAGAACAUGGUAUUGAGAUUCGAAGAGAGAGAAGAAGCCAUCUAGCUAAUAACUAUGGACACAAAGGUCUGUGGUAAAAUACUCACAACUCAUCGGAGAGGCCUUGGAGUUGAUGUAGAGGCCCUCCGUGGUGGAUUCCCCCUCCGGCAGAGCGCCGGCGACGGCUCCAAGAUGGGAUCUCAUGGAUACAGAAGGUUACGGUGGUGGAAAUAGUUUUUUGGUGGCUCCCCUGAUGGUUUCGGGGUACAUGGGUAUAUAUAGGAGGAAGAAGUACGUCGGUGGAUGCCCGAGGGGCCCACGAGAUAGGGGGCGCGCCCAGUAGGGGGGGCGCCCUCCACCCUCAUGGCUUCCUCGAUUGCUUCUUGACUUGCACUCCAAGUCCUCUGGAUCACGUUUGUUCCAAAAAUCACGCUCCCGAACGUUUCAUUCUGUUUGGACUCCGUUUGAUAUUCCUUUUCUUCGAAACACUUAAAUAGGCAAAAAAACAGCAAUACGGGCUCGGCCUCCGGUUAGUAGGUUAGUCCCAAAAAUGAUAUAAAAGUGUAAAGUAAAGCCCAUAAACAUCCAAAACAGGUAAUAUAAUAGCAUGGAACAAUCAAAAAUUAUAGAUACGUUGGAGACGUAUCACUCUCCAGUUCGGAACCAACAUCAAACACUACAACCAUCGGACUCACUCCACGGCAUAACUAAAUACAGGGGCGCGGCGCACCCCCUGUGCUCCACCGAUGAGGUGCUGGAUCAUGAAUUUCCGGCAGGGUUUAAACACGUAAACAUCGAGGCAUACGAUGGAACGACAGACCCUGUGGUCUAGAUAGAGGACUUUAUUCUUCACAUCCAUAAGGCAUGCGGAGAUGAUCUCCACGCCAUCAAAUACUUACCCCUCAAGCUCAAGGGACCAGCUCGGCACUUGCUGAAAAGCCUCCCCGAAAAUUCUAUAGGAAGCUGGGAGGAGCUCGAGGACGCUUUCAGGGCAAAAUUUCAAGGGACCUAUGUCCGACCUCGGGACGCAGACGAUCUAAGUCAUAUAACCCAACAACCCGGAGAGUCCGCCCGUAAACUUUGGAACAUAUUUCUGACCAAGAAAAACCAAAUCGUCGACUGUCCGGAUGUCGAAGCCUUAGCAGCUUUCAAACAAAGUAUCCGGAUUGAAUGGCUUGCCAGACAUCUUGGCCAAGAAAAGCCCAGGACAAUGGCAGCCCUAACCACCCUCAUGACCCGCUUUUGCGCAGGCGAGGAUAGCUGGUUGGCCCGUAGCAGCACCAGCGACCCAGGCAUAUCCGAAACCAGGGAUGGCAACGGAAAACCACGACGCAAUAAAAACAAACGUCGAAACAAUGAAGACAGCCUAGAAAAUACGGCGGUAAACGCCGGAUUCAGGGGCUCCAAACCCGGUCAACAGAAAAAGACAUUCAAAGGCAGCCGAGAAGGUCUAUCCAUCUUAGACAAAAUUCUUGACAGGCCCUGCCAGAUUCAUGGCACCCUGGAUAAGCCAGCUAACCACACCAACAGAGAAUGUUGGGUCUUUAAACAGGCCGGCAAGCUCAACGCCGAACACAGGGGGAAGGGGUCGCUAAGUUUAGACGAGGAUGAAUCUCGCCAGCCGAACACAAGUGGACAGAAAAAAUCCCCACCAGAGGUUAAAACAGUGAACAUGAUUUACGUCACUCAUAUCCCAAAAAGGGAGCGCAAACACGCACUCCGAGACGUAUAUGCUAUAGAGCCCAUCAUCCCCAAAUUCAACCCAUGGCCGGCCUGUCCAAUCACCUUUGAUCGCAGGGAUCAUCCGACUAGUAUCCGUCACGAGGGCUCGGCCACCUUAGUGCUCGACCCGAUAAUCGACGGAUACCACCUCACCCGAGUCCUCAUGGACGGCGGCAGUAGUCUCAAUCUGAUAUAUCAGGACACUGUCCGCAAGAUGGGGAUAGACCCGUCCAGAAUUAAGCAAAGCAGCACUACCUUGAAAGGAGUGAUGCCAGGCGCAGAGUCCCGCAGCAGUGGCUCCCUGACAUUGGACGUUGUAUUCGGUUCUCCCGAUAACUUUCGAAGCGAAGAACUACUCUUCGAUAUUGCUCCAUUCCAUGGCGGCUACCAUGCGUUACUGGGAAGAACGGCAUUCGCCCGCUUCAAUGCAGUCCCACAUUACGCUUAUCUUAAACUUAAGAUGCCCGGCCCACGUGGCGUCAUCACAAUCAGUGGAAACACGAAGCGUUCCCUUUGAACGGACGAAUACGUCAUGGCUCUAGCAGCCGAAUCAUGGAGUGACCUCUGCAAAACGAGCAACUCAUCGGUUCUCGAAACCGCGCACACCUAGGUGUAGCAGCUCAGAUAAACCUGAGCUAGAUUAGAGGCUAUACCCCCACAAGAAGACCAUACACGUCUCCCUGUAAAACAGGGCUUCAAAACUCCCUGUGUGGUGCGUGGGGCCGCACGUAUAUAAAAGGUCCAUAGUUCGGCUUGACCCUAUUCGGACUCAAAAAUUAUAUCUUCAUGGUUCUUCAAAACAAACCAAUCCUACUUACGCUCACAGCAUAUCCGGUCACCUAAUUCUUUCUUUGUUUCAGUUAACCAUCACUCUUUACCCUCAAGGACACAGGCGCAACGGAGAUAAAGGCGCAGACGUGCUGCAGAGCCCCGUUCUAAGGUUUCUUUCUAGAUUAAGCCCCUGCGUAAACCUUUUUUACCAUCUUUUGUUGUCUUCAUAUACUCCUGGCUCUUAAAAUGACCCACAAGGAUGUCGGCAUUAUCGUCACGUCGAAUAGACCUGUACCUUGAAAUCCAGGGUUUCUACCAAGGGCUGUCAUUCAGCUCGGUAUAUUUGUAAAGACUGAAUACCUUCGGGAGUGUUUGGCGUCGCGAGUUUGGCCUUAUAUGCAUCAGCUCCGAAUCAUGUCUUUGGUCAAAUGUUGGGUUUGCCCGGCUCCCGCGUUUUGCUACCUUACGUUCCGCACCAUCGGCUAAGGAAGCAUUCGGUGAACUACUGCGAUUGUGCCCUGGUUCAUCCGGACGAGCACCUCAGUAGAGAAAGCCGAAAACUGACUGUCAUGAUACAGCGAGAGACUGGUCAACCACUCCAUGACUCAAUGGAAUCCUCGAUAUUCCUCCGCAUUAACGAAGGACAGUUUCCCGGUCACAUAUGUCAACGCACCGUUUUCGGAUAAAAACACGGACAUACCAGGGGCUAUGUAGUAGCCCCAUCAUCAAACUCCGAUGGCUAAGUGAAAGUGUUAAAGCUUUAUAGUCUGAUUGCCUUGUUCGCCACACUAUCACCUCCUCAAAUGGACCAAGACGUUGGAUCAAAUGUGACUACGUGCUUUUUUCCAAACACCCACGCGUUAUUUGCAAAGGGGUUGAAGCCGACGACUGCAAUCUUUCAAGUUAUAUACAUAUAUACAUAAACAACCGCACAGGAGGCACUAAAAAACUUUACGGGCAAAAGUAUAAAUAUAGCCUUUAUUAUAAAAUGCAUUGUCUUUACAAAUUCAGACACAUAUCAUUCGAACAUGAUUGUCUUCGAGCACUAAGCCUCUAUCAGGCGGGCACCUUCUAAGACCUCUUCAAAAUAGUGCUCCGGCAGGUCUUGGCCUCCAGUGGGACCCUGUGUUGCAACACCGGUGGCCUCCAUCCCCGCCCAGUACAUUUUAACGCGGGCGAGGGACAUCCGAGCGCCCUCUAUGCAUGUCGACCGCUUGAUAGUGGCGAUAUGCGGCACAGCACGAAUAAAUCGUUUCACAAAACCAAAAUAACUACUCGGGCUUGGUUCCCCCGGCCAUAAGCAGUCCAUGACAGCCUUCAUGGCAAGUCUGGAUAACCUAUGGAGCUCGGCCCAUUCGGGCGCUUUGGCAUGCUGAACUGUGACCAGAACAGUCUUUCCACUUCAUGAUCUUCUCGGUCCUAGAAGAACUGCGUCGCAUCAGCAGCACUCUUCGACAAGUCCAAAUACGCGUCGUGAGAACUCCACAAUUGAUCAAGAGAGCCAUACUUCGGAUCACCGAACUUAGUUCGCAAUAAAAAGGGCUUCCCAGCCGCGAUCUCGCCGGCUUGCCGGAGCUCCUCCCGAGCUGCUCUGAUCUCAGAUCGAGUCUCUUUUUCCGUCUGCAAGGCCUUUUCAGGUCCUUCGUUUUUUCCUGGCUCUCCUUCUGGAGCAGCUCAUAACGGUUAGCAUCAUCCUUCAGCUCAAGAGCCAUAUUGGCUAUUUUUUCCUCACUUCGGUGAUGAGCAGCUUGUUCGGCUUUCAAUUCACUAGCUGCCUUUUCGGCAGCCGUGUCGCUUACUCAGGCUUGCUCCUUAGCACGCGCAAGCUUAGCCCGAAGAGUCUCCACGGCAGCCGCACCAUCUGUAGUCAAAAGCAUAUGGUAAGUCUCAGCGUCAUACUGUUAUACAUACUUGCUGACCGCCCAGAAGACACACCUUGCGCCUCGUCAAGAUGCUUAUGCACGAGCAUGAUGUCCUCAUCCGCCGCAUCAAGUUGCCGCAUUAAUUCGGCAAAUUCAGCAGCCCGCGCACUGGUCGGGGCUGCUGCUGCCUGUGUACAAAAUUGGAAGAAUCCUUUCCUGAGGUUAUUGAUAUUAUUUUUGAUCCUCUGAUUGCUCCAUUCGGAUAGCAACCAGAGUAUCAGGGGCUACUAUCUACACACAGUGCACCUUGCGUUCUGCAAUACAAAAAUAACAAGAAUUGCCAUAUUACGUACCUGGAAGCCUCUUAACGGGCUCAUAAAGGCUUCAUCAAGCCCGCUUUUCGCGGACAAAAUCCUUAUAAUCACUGUACCCAUUAAGGUAUGAUGUUCCUCUGAAACAGGUGCUUGCCGCAGAAGACCCACCAAUGUAUCCGGCUGUGCGUCGGACGGUCUGGGGUCCGAACUCCACGCACCUCGAGCGGCCGAAUAUUCACCUUCUGGCCCCGUCCUACUUUGGGGAUCGGGAGAGAUCCUCCGAGACGACGCUUCGGGGUCGCCCUCCUUGUGGGGCGGAGGAGUAUGAGGAGGCGUCUCGCUCUCCAUCAUCUCCGGAAGAAGGUCCCCCGAGGACAAAGAUUGCAGUGCAAGGCUAUAGGCCGGGCUACCAAACAUAUGUUUCAGACGUUACUAUCAUAAAUGGGAGAAGAACGGGGUAUGCUUACAAAGCACCUUUGUUCACUUACGUCUUGGCUAGCGGCCGGUCCCCUUGAGGGCGCUGUUCGGCGACGUCGCUCCCCGAGACGGGACCCCCUGACAGGGAUUUCUUCCCUUGCUUGGAGGCCUCCGCCUUCAGGUCUUCGGGGGCGGCCCUUUUCUUCCCACGGGGGGAGGGAAUAUUUGAUUCUCCUCCCCGAUUACUCUCCAACACGGGAGUUCCAAUUUCUCCGGAUACAGUACGUAAUGUACCACCUGCACUACUAGGAAAAGGCCUACUAGUGGCGCACCAGUUUUGCCUACUAAUGGCGCACUACUGGUGCGCCACUAGUACCACGCCACUAGUAUUUUUUACUAAUGUCGCACCAAUGGUGCGCCAUUAGUAUCUGGUAUACUAAUGGCGGACCACUGCUGCGCCAUUAGUAUAGGCCACGGUGCGCCAUUAGAAUAGGCCACUGGUGCGCCAUUAGUAUAGGCCACGGUGCGCCAUUAGUAUUUUUGAAUUUUGAAGGCGGGAAAAUAGUAGUGGUGCACCGUCUAACCCCCACCGUGCGCCAUUGCUAUUUUUGAAUUUUGAAUUUGGAUCUGGAUCGCGAUUUUUUUGCCCAUUUUUUGCUCGUUUUUUUGCACGAUAUUAUUUCAAAUUUUGUUCCCGUUUUUGGAUCGUGUACGUUCUUUUGCCGUGUUCUUUUGCCGGAGAGGAGGAGGAGGUCGCCGGAGAGGAGUUCACCGGAGCAUCGGAGAGGAGGAAGGAGAAACCAUGAGGGGAUGGGAGGAGAGGAGGGAGGAGGAGCUCACCGGUGAUGAGGGAGGAGGAGCUCACCGGAGAUGAGGGAGGAGGAGCUCACCGGAGAGGAGGGAGGAGAAACCGUGAGGGGAGGGGAGGGGAGGAGAGGNNNNNNNNNNNNNNNNNNNNNNNNNNNNNNNNNNNNNNNNNNNNNNNNNNNNNNNNNNNNNNNNNNNNNNNNNNNNNNNNNNNNNNNNNNNNNNNNNNNNNNNNNNNNNNNNNNNNNNNNNNNNNNNNNNNNNNNNNNNNNNNNNNNNNNNNNNNNNNNNNNNNNNNNNNNNNNNNNNNNNNNNNNNNNNNNNNNNNNNNNNNNNNNNNNNNNNNNNNNNNNNNNNNNNNNNNNNNNNNNNNNNNNNNNNNNNNNNNNNNNNNNNNNNNNNNNNNNNNNNNNNNNNNNNNNNNNNNNNNNNNNNNNNNNNNNNNNNNNNNNNNNNNNNNNNNNNNNNNNNNNNNNNNNNNNNNNNNNNNNNNNNNNNNNNNNNNNNNNNNNNNNNNNNNNNNNNNNNNNNNNNNNNNNNNNNNNNNNNNNNNNNNNNAGGAGGUCGCCGGAGAGGAGGAGGAGGUCGCCGGACAGGAGGAGCAGGAGGUCGCCGGAGAGGAGGAGGGUAGUAUGGUGGAGGAGAGAAGGGAAGAUGGAGUGGAGGAGAGGAGGAGAUGGAGUGGAGGAGAGGUGGACUAGAGGAGAAGAAUGAAGAGGUAAGGAGGAGAGGACACGCCCAGCCAUAUAUACGGCAUAGUAAUGGCGCACCGUGGGUAGGUGCGCCAUUACUAUUUUUUUGAUUUCUUUUGAAUUUUGAAGGCGGGAAGAUACUAAUGGCGCACCAUGGGCAAGUGCGCCAUUAGUAACUUUUUUUUAUUUUUUUUAUUUAUUUUGAAUUUUGAAGGCGGGAAGAUAGUAAUGGCGCACCAUGGGCAGGUGCGCCAUUAGUAUGUUUGAAUUUUUUUGCCUCUCCAGAUCUUAAAAGCCCCGUAUCUUUUUUUCUGUUAGGUUUUUGAGGAUUUUGAAAAUGUUUAACAAGGUUCCCUGGUUAAAUUCUGAUGUAACUUUUCGAGUAGAUGAUUUUUCAUAUAAAAAACUUUUUCAUCCGAGUUCGUAUGCAAAAGUUAUGCCCAUUUUUACAAAUUCUCGAGAGAUUUUGCAAAAAUGUCGAAAAUUCAUGUUUGUAAAUUUUGCUAACAACUAGACCACAUAUCACAUGGGAAUCUUAUUUUCUUUUAUAUUUUUGACAUUUCUAUGAUUUUCUUUUAUUUUUUUGAAACUGAAAAGGCGGUCUAGGGGGGUGUGAAUUCGGGGGAAUGUUUGGGCCAAAUUACUAAUGGCGCACCGUGGGAGUGGUGCGCCAUUACUUGUUGAACUAGUAAUGGCGUACCAUCCCAUGGUGCGCCAUUAGUAGUUUUGAAAAAAUUAAAAAAAAAUUUACUAAUGGCGCACCGUGGAUGUGGUGCGCCAUUAGUAUUUGCACACUAAUGGCACACCAACACAUGGUGCGCCAUUAGUAUUUAGUAAUGGCGCACCACAUGUACAGUGCGCCAUUAGUGUCCAUAUUGGCUAUAGCUGUUUUUGUAGUAGUGCUGUGUGGAGGCCAUGUUUGACCUCCCCGCUCCCUCCUUCUCUUCCACCGAUGGCACUUGAUGUGCUGCACGAGCCAGCAUCCUGGUUAACACCGGAUCCGCUGAGUCUUCGGGAAGAGGCGCCGAACACCUGAUCCUCUCUGUCUUCCGUAUCCAAUCCCGGCCAAGGACAAUUUUUUUCAGGAUAAUGUUAUGAUGAAUACAAUGGCAACGUGUUCGGUUACGGGUUGCUUACCGGGGUAUCUGGAUGGUUGCAGUCAAGGCAUGCGUCUUCCGUGGUAUCCGGACACUUUAUUCGUGAUCCGAAGAAUUAUUUAUACAUCCCUUCGAGCGUCAUGCCGAAGAAGUGCUGAACGGUUCGCGGUCCUUCCGGAUUGAACUCCCACAUACGGAGAGGUCGUCGUUGGCAUGGCAGGACCCGUCGAACUAGCAUUACCUGAAUUACCUUUACAAGACCGAUAUCCUUCUCGAUAAGAUCUCGGAUAUGGCUUUGCAACGUUCGUACAUCAUCAGCCGACCCCCAGUCCAGCCCCUUGUUGACCCAUGACGCAAGCUGUGGUGGAGGGCCGGAGCGGAAGGCAGGAGCAGCCGCACACUUUUUUCCUCGGGCAGCUAUGAUGUAAAACCAGUCCCGUUGCCACAGGUCGGAAACCUCUGGGAAGGAACCCUUUGGCCAUAAAGCAUUGGCGCAUUUGCUUAUUCUAGCCCCUCCGCACUCCGCGUGUUUCCCGUUGAUCAUCUUCGAUGUUACAUUAAAGGUUUUUAGCCAUAAGCCAAAGUGCGGAACAAUGCGGAGGAAGGCCUCGCACACGAUGAUGAAGGAUGAGAUGUGAAGGAAGGAAUUCGGAGCUAGAUCAUGAAAAUCUAGCCCGUAAUAAAACAUGAGCCCUCUAACGAAGGGAUGAAGACUGAGGCCUAGCCCUCGGAGGAAGUGAGAGAUGAACACAAUGCUCUCGUCGGACUUGGGAGUAGGUAUGACCUGACCUUGAGCAGGAAGCCUGUGGGGAAUUUCCGCAGUCAAGUACCUCGCCCCGCUAAGCUUCUUGAUAUCCUCCUAUGUGAUGGAGGAGGCCAUCCACCGGCCUUGAAGGCUGGAUCCGGACAUGGUCAGAAGCUUGGAGCAUUUUCCCUGGAACCUUGGGUGUUGGAACUCAAGGUAGGAGAAGGAGAGGAUUAAGCGUAAAGGGAAAAGACAGGCCUUGAUCUCUUUAUAAAGAGGAUGAAUAUCAAAUGUCCCCGCCUGGCCUUUUCGGAACUUACCUAUUCUCAAGGAAUCCUAUCCAUGGAACGGUUGGGUUACCCAGUCCUGUAUUGAUGAGAAUCCCGUAAUAAGGGGACAUGAUCUCUGAUUCGACAAGACGGGCCAAUAAACUGCCUCGUGAAAUGUGUCGUGGCAGGCUGAUAAAAAAGUUUGGAUAAAAACUGGGCCGUGUUAAACUGUCAGCAGAUUAGAUCCAUGAAAUAUUAUACUCUCUACGGUGGUAUGUGGAAAUUGUUUUUGCAGAGCCGGACACGAUUCUUGUGUUCAAGAUCUACUUUGGAGUAUUCGGAUAAGGAACCCGCCUUGCAAUGCCGAAGACAAUCUGCGCGCCGGACUCAAUCGUCAUUGAAGCCUGGUUCUGGGGCUACUGAGGGAGUCCUGGAUUAGGGGGUCCUCGGACAGCCGGACUAGAUACUUUGGUCGGACUGUUGGACUAUGAAGAUACAAGAUAGAAGACUUCGUCCCGUGUCCGGAUGGGACUCUCCUUUGCAUGGAAGGCAAGCUUGGCAUUCAGAUAUGUAGAUUUCCUUCUCUGUAGCUGACUCUGUGUAACCCUAGCCGCCUCCGGUGUCUAUAUAAACCGGAGAGUUUAGUCCGUAGGACCAAGGACAACAAUCAUAAUCAUAGGCUAGCUUCUAGGGUUAGCCUCCUCGAUCUCGUGGUAGAUCAACCCUUUUAAUACUCAUAUCAUCAAGAUCAAUCUAACAGGAAGUAGGGUAUUACCUCCAUAGAGAGGGCCUGAACCUGGGUAAACAUCGUGUCCCCCGCCUCCUAUUACCAUUAACCUUAGACGCAUGGUUUGGGACCCCCUACCCGUGAUCCGCCGGUUUUGACACCGACAACAGGCCUCGAUGGAGGCUGAAUCUGUGUUCGGCUCCAACACCGUAGAGUAUGAGGCCUCCGUGGUGGGGUCCAGCCCCCCGUCCACGGAUGGAACGAUCUGCUCCGGAUUUAGAGGCGGGGCAGCCGCAGGUGUGAUCUCCUGACCACCAUCUGAUGGCAGAUCUAAGUCAUGCUCAUCGCGGCCGUUGGGCGCACUUGUCAUGGGCUUGAAUCCGUCAAAGAUCAAGUCUCCGCGGAUGUCAGUCGGGUAAUCAGGUUUCCAAACCUGACCUGAUGGCCAGGGGCGUAGCUAUCGAUCUGCUGCAGAUGGCCAAGCGAGUUGGCCCGCAGUGCGAAGCCGCCGAAUACGAAGAUUUGUCCGGAGAGGAAAACCUAACCCUGGAUCGCGUCGCUGUAGACGAUUGAAGGAGCCAUCAAGCCUUAUGGUGACGACACAGUGGAACUCUGAAUGAAAGCACCAAUGUCGGUGUCAAAACCGGCGGAUCUCAGGUAGGGGUCCCGAACUGUGCGUCUAAGGCUGAUGGUAACAGGAGGCGGGGGACACGAUGUUUACCCAGGUUCGGGCCCUCUCUAUGGAGGUAAUAAUACCCUAGUUCCUGCUAUAUUGAUCAUGAUGAUAUGAGUAUUACAAGAGUUGAUCUACCACGAGAUCGAUGAGGCUAACCCUAGAAGCUAGCCUAUGAUUAUUAUUGUCGCUCUUGAUCCUACGUACUAAAUCCUCCGGUUUAUAUAGACACUGGAGGGGGCUAGGGUUACCCAGAGUCAGUUACAGAGAAGGAAAUCUACAUAUCUGAAUCGCCAAGCUUGCCUUCCACGCAAAGGAGAGUCCCAUCCGGACACGGGACGAAGUCUUCUAUCUUGUAUCUUCAUAGUCCAACAGUCCGGCCAAAGUAUAUAGUCCGGCUGUCCGAGGACACCUUAAUCUAGGACUCCCUCAUCGAGUUAGCCAUAUGCCGAAGGAUACACGAGAUUUGUUUGUCAUCAGUACAUUGUCUAUGUAUAGGGUGACAUUCUAUCUUCCGAGCUCGUAGACAUAUACAUACGUUGCUCACUGUAGGGACCCAGAUUCUUACCUCACAAAAAAAUCCAAUCCCAGCACUUCCCUUUCAUAAUAUACUAGACCACUUAUUAGAUCUAGAUACAUCCAAUCAGGAAUGAGAUACCCGUCUAUCGGGAGUUGCUACUAAGAUCACCUCUGUCGAGCUCCCUUGUAGUUAAGUUUCUCAAUUUUAGCACCAAGUUCCUUUUUCGUAACCUCUAUUGAGCAAGUGAUGGGAUAGGGGUGGUUUCCAAAUGUGCAUUGGCCAUCCCUCGAUAGAAGAACAUAUCUGAUUCGCCUAUGACAAGGCACUAGGUGCAGUUUUCUCAUGACAAGGCAAAAUAUCUCAACCAGUGCCAGCGGAGACGGAUGGUGAUCAAAUGACCAUUGAUAUUUGCAUCAUAUGGACGUGUAGCUCAUUAAAUUGAGGCACUACGUGGAACAUAUAUAUGUGUUCGUGUGCGCAACCGGUGAGCGUCGGAAUACUCCUCUUUUUGAGCCAUAUGGGGUUAAGUUUCUCAUAUUUACUCCUAAUUUUCUUUCGCGUGAGCUCUACAGAAGGGUGACCAAAUAUGCGCUCGCCGACUCUAUUGUUUUAAGUUUCUCAAUCUUCUUCACUAAGUUUCUUUAUGAUUUUGGCGCAUAGACGGGCUGCUCAUUAAAAUGAGGCAUUAGGUGGAAUAUAUAUUGGUGUUCGGUGUGUUUCACCGGCGAGCGUUGUAAACCUCCUUUUUCUGACCCAUAUGGAGUUAAGUUUCUCAUAUUUAGCCUUAAGUUUCUUUCCCGUGAGCUCUACGGAAGGGUCAUCAAAUAUGUGUUCGACGACUGCUCGUUCAACAAAAUGGUACACGUGAUUCUCCCGCGGAAGACGAGCGUUGCCUAAUUCCAAUUUCGAGCCCUAUCAUGUUAAGUUUCUCAACCUUCUUCACUUAGUUUAUUUCCGAUUUUUGUGCCUUGCUUCACCAUUUCCACAUGGUUAUUAAACCAACACCUCAUGAUAAGAUACCAUUCUAUGUAUUUCUGGUCGGUACUCGCCAUUGCAAAAUCUCUCAACAAAUAUGAGAGGAUAGGGAUGGUAAACAAAGUAGCAUCGCGCCAUCCAUCGACCGAAGUAUAUUUUAUAUUCACCUGCGAAGUCUUUUCAAGAAUGCUUGAAAUACGUUCACACGACGAGGGUUGAGAUAUGAGGGCAUCAGGUCCAUUGCCAAAAUCGCCUCUUUCAAGCUUUGAUGUAGUUAAGUUUCCUAAUUAGGCACUAAGUUUGUUUUUCGUGAGCUCUGGAGUACGUGACGGGGGAGGGAUUGUGGGAAAAUGUGCAUCGAGUCAGCCAUAUAUCGAAGGAUACAUGAGAUUUGUUUGUCAUCGGUACGUCAUCUAUGUAUAUGGUGACAUUCUAUCUUCCGAGCUCGUAGACAUAUACAUACGUUGCUCACCGCAGGGACCCAGAUUCUUACCUCACAAAAAAAUCCAAUCCCAGCACUUCCCUUUCAUAAUAUAUUAGACCACUUAUUAGACCGAGAUACAUCCAGUGAGGACUAAGAUACCCGUCUAUUGGGAGUUGCUAUUAAAAUCACCUCUGUCGAGGUCCCUUGUAGUUAAGUUUCUCAAUUUUAGCACUAAGUUCCUUUUUCAGAACUUCUAUAGCACAGGUGAUGGGAGAAGGGUUGUUUCGAAAUGUGCAUUGGCCAUCCCUCGAUAGAAGAGCAUAUCUGAUUUGCUUAUGACAAGGAACGAUGUGCAAUUUUAUCAUGACAAGGCAAAAUCUUUCAACCAGUGCCAGCGGAGACGGAUGGUGAUCAAAUGACCAUUGAUAUUUGCAGCAUAUGGAUGCGUAGCUCAUUAAAAUGAGGCACUAGGUGGAAUAUAUACAGGUAUUCGUGUGUGCCACCGGUGAGCUUCAGAAUACUCUUUAUGAGCCAUAUGGAGUUAAGUUUCUCAAGUUUACCCUAAGUUUCUUUCCCGUGAGCUCUACAGAUCGGGUGACCAAAUAUGCGCUCGCCGACUCCAUCGUGUUAAGUUUCUCAAUCUUCUUCACUAAGUUUCUUUCUGAUUUUGGCGCCUAGACGGGAUGCUCAUUAAAAUGAGACACUAGGGGGAAUAUAUAUAGGUGUUCGGUGUGCGUCACCAGCGAGCGUUGUAAACCACCUUUUUUGAGCCAUAUGGAGUUAAGUUUAUCAUAUUUAGCCUUAAGUUUCUUUCCCGUGAGCUCUACGGAAGGGUCACCAAAUAUACGUUCGACGACUCCUCGUUCGACCGAAUGGUACACGUGAUUCUCCCGCGGCAGACGAGCAUUGCCUAAUUCCAAUUUCGAGCCCUAUGAUGUUAAGUGCUAAAUCUUCUUCACUAAGUAUCUUUCUGAUUUUUGCGCCUUGCUUCAGAAUUUCCUCAUGGUUAUUAAACCAACACCUCAUGAUAAGAGACCAUUGUGUAUAUUUUAGGUCGGUACUCGCCAUUGCAAAAUCUCUCAGUAAACAUGAGAGGAGAGGGAUGGUGAACAAAGGAGCAUCUUGCCGUCCAUCGAUCGAAGUAUAUUUGAUAUUCACCUGCGAAGUCUUUUCUAGAACGCAUGAAAUACGUUCACACGACGAGGGUUGAGAUAUGUGGCCAUCAGGUCCAUUGCCAAAAUUGCCUUUUUCGAGCUUGAUGUAGUUAAGUUUCCUAAUUAGAUAAUAAGUUUGUUCUCCGUGAGCUCUAGGAGUACCUGACAGGGGAGGGAUUGUGGGCAAAUGUGCAUCGAGUCAGCCAUAUACCGAAGGAUACACGAGAUUUGUUUGUCAUCAGUACGUUGUCUAUGUAUAGGGUGACAUACUAUGUUCCGAGCUCAUAGACAUAUACAUACGUUGCUCACUGCAGGGACCCAAAUUCUUACCUCAUGAAAAAAUCCAAUCCCAGCAAUUCCCUUUCAUAAUAUAUUAGACCACUUAUUAGACCUAGAUACAUCCAAUGAGGACUGCCAUACCCGUCUAUCGGGAGUUUGUACUAAAAUCACCUUUGUCGAACUCCCUUGUAGUUAUGUUUCUCAAUGUUAGCAUUAAGUUCCUUUUUCAUAACCUCUUGCUCUAUUGAGUAGGUGAUGGGAGAGGGGUGGUUUCCAAAUGUGCGUUGGACAUCCCUCGAUAGAAGAACAUAUCUGAUCCGCCUAUGACAGGGCACCAGGUGCAAUUUUCUCAUGACAAGGCAAAAUCUCUCAAUCAGUGCUAGCGGAGAUGGAUGGUGAUCAAAUGACCAUCGAUAUUUGCAGCAUAUAGAUGCGUAGCUCAUUAAAAUCACCUCUUUCGAGCUUGAUGUAGUUAAGUUUCCUAAUUAGGCACUAAGUUUGUUCUUCGUGAGCUCUAGGCUUAUGAGACGGUGGAGGGAUUGUGUGCAAAUGUGCAUCGAGUCAGCCAUAUACCAAAGGAUACACGAGAUUUUUUUGUCAUCGGUACGUCGUCUAUGUAUAUGGUGACAUUCUAUCUUCCGAUGGUCACUGCAGGUACCAGAUUCUUACCUCACAAAAAAAUCCAAUCCCAACACUUCCCUUUCAUAAUAUAUUAGACCACUUAUUAGACCUAGAUACAUCCAAUGAGGGCUGAGAUACCCGUCUAUCGGGAGUUGCUACUAAAAUCACCUCUGUCGACCUCCCUUGUAGUUAAGUUUCUCAAUUUCAGCACUAAAUUCCUUUUACAUAACCUUUAUUGAGCAGGUGAUGGGAGAGGGGUGGUUUCCAUGCGCAUUGGCCAUCCCUCGAUAGAAGAACAUAUCUGAUUCGCCUAUGACAAGGCACUAGGUGCAAUUUUCUCAUGAGAAGGCAAAAUCUCUCAACCAGCGCCAGUGGAGACGGAUGGUGAUCAAAUGACCAUUGAUAUUUGCAGCAUAUGGAUGUGUAGUUCAUUAAAAUCACCUCUUUCGAGCUCGUAGACAUAUACAGACGUUGCUCACUGUAGGGACCCAGAUUCUUAGCUGACAAAAAAAUCCAAUCCCAGCACUUCCCUUUCAUAAUAUACUAGACCACUUAUUAGACCUAGAUACAUCCAAUCAGGACUGAGAUACCCGUCUAUCGGGAGUUGCUACUAAAAUCACCUCUGUCAAGCUCCCUUGUAGUUCAGUUUCUUAAUUUUAGCACCCAGUUCCUUUUUCAUAAACUCUACUGAGCAAGUGCUGGGAUAGGGGUGGUUUCCAAAUGUGCAUUGACCAUCCCUCGGUAGAAUAAUAUAUCUGAUGCGCCUAUGACAAGGCACGAGGCGCAAUUUUAUCAUGACAAGGCAAAAUCUCUCAACCAGUGCCAGCGGAGACGGAUGGUGAUCAAAUGACCAUUGAUAUUUGCAGCAUAUGGAUGCUUAGCUCAUUAAAACAAGGCACUAGGUGGAAUAUAUAUAGGUGUUUGUGUGCGCAACCGAUGAGCGUCGGAAUACUCCUCUUUAUGAGCCAUAUGGAGUUAAGUUUCUCAAAUUUACCCCUAAGUUUCUUUCCAGUGAGCUCUACGGAAGGGUGACCAAAUAUGCGCUCGCCGACUCUAUCGUGUUAAGUUUCUCAAUCUUCUUCACUAAGUUUCUUUCUGAUUUUGGCGCCUAGACGGGCUACUCAUUAAAAUGAGACACUGGGGGGAAUAUAUAUAGGUGUUCGGUGUGCGUCACCUUCGAGCAUUGUAAACCUCCUUUUUUGAGCCAUAUGGAGUUAAGUUUCUCAUAUUUAGCCUUAAGUUUCUUUCCCAUGAGCUCUACGGAAGGGUCACCAAAUAUACGUUCGACGACUCCUCGUUCGACCUAAUGGUACACGUGAUUCUCCCGCGGCAGACGAGCAUUGCCUAAUUCCAAUUUCGAGCCCUAUCAUGUUAAGUUUGUCAAUCUUCUUUACUAAGUAUCUUUCUGAUUUUUGCGCCUUGCUUCAGAAUUUCCACAUGGUUAUUAAACCAACACCUCAUGAUAAGAGACCAUUGUGUAUAUUUCAGGUCGGUACUCGCCGUUGCAAAAUCUCUCAACAAACAUGAGAGGAGAGAGAUGGUGAACAAAGGAGCAUCGCGCCAUCCAUCGAUCGAAGUAUAUUUGAUAUUCACCUGCGAAGUCUUUUCUAGAAUGCAUGAAAUACGUUCACACGACGAGGGUUGAGAUAUGAGGGCAUCAGGUCCAUCGCCAAAAUCGCCUCUUUCGAGCUUGAUGUUGUUAAGUUUCCUAAUUAGGCACUAAGUUUGUUCUCCGUGAGCUCUAGGCGUACGUGACAGAGGAGGGAUUGUGGGAAAAUGUGCAUCGAGUCAGCCAUAUACCGAAGGAUACACGAGAUUUGUUUGUCAUCAGUACGUCGUUUAUAUAUAGGGUGACAUUCUAUCUUCCGAGCUCGUAGACAUAUACAUAAGUUGCUCACUGCAGGGACCUAGAUUCUUCCCUCACGAAAAAAAUCCAAUCCCAGCACUUCCCUUUCAUAAUAUAUUAGACCACUUAUUAGACCAAGAUACAUCCAAUGAGGACUGACAUACCCGUCUAUCGGGAGUUGCUACUAAAAUCACCUUUGUCGAAAUCCCUUGUAGUUAUGUUUCUCAAUGUUAGCACUAAGUUCCUUUUUCAUAACCUCUUCCUCUAUUGAGCAGGCGAUGGGAGAGGGGUGGUUUCCAAAUGUGCGUUGGCCAUCCCUCGAUAGAAGAACAUAUCUGAUCCGCCUAUGACAAGGCACUAGUUACAGUUUUCUCAUGACAAGCCAAAAUCUCUCAAUCAGUGCCAGCGGAGACGGAUGGUGAUGAAAUGACCAUUGAUAUUUGCAGCAUAUGGAUGCAUAGCUCAUUAAUAUCACCUCUUUCGAGCUUGAUGUAGUUAAGUUUCCUAAUCAGGCACUAAGUUUGUUCUCCGUGAGCUCUAGGAGUACGUGGCGGGGGAGGGAUUGUGGGCAAAUGUGCAUCGAGUCAGCCAUAUACCGAAGGAUACACGAGAUUUGUUUGUCAUCAGUACGUCAUCUAUGUAUAUGGUUACAUUCCAUCUUCCGAGCUCGUAGACAUAUACAUACGUUGCUCACUGCAGGGACCCAGAUAUUUACCUCACGAAAAAAAUCCAAUCCCAGCACUUCCCUUUCAUAAUAUAUUAGACCACUUAUUAGACCUAGAUACAUCCAAUGAGGACUGACAUACCCCUCUAUCGGGAGUUGCUACUAAAAUCACCUUUGUCGAACUCCCUUGUAGUUAUGUUUCUCAAUGUUAGCACUAAGUUCCUUUUUCAUAACCUCUUCCUCUAUUGAGCAGGUGAUGGGAGAGGGGUGGUUUCCAAAUGUGCGUUGGCCAUCCCUCGAUAGAAGAACAUAUUUGAUCCUCCUAUGACAAGGCACUAGGUGCAAUUUUAUCAUGACAAGGCAAAAUCUCUCAACCAGUGCCAGCAGAGACGGAUGGUGAUUAAAUGACCAUUGAUAUUUGCAGCAUAUGGAUGCGUAGCUCAUUAAAAUCACCUCUUUCGAGCUUGAUGUAGUCAAGUUUCCUAAUUAGGCACUAAGUUUGUUCUGCGUGAGCUCUAGGAGUACGUGCCGGGGGAGGGAUAGUGGGCAAAUGUGCAUCGAGUCAGCCAUAUACCGAAGGAUACACGAGAUUUGUUUGUCAUCAGUACGUCGUCUAUGUAUAGGGUGACAUUCUAUCUUCUGAGCUCAUAGACAUAUACAUACGUUGCUCACUGCAGGGACCCAGAUUCUUACAUCACAAAAAAUCCGAUCCCAGCUCUUCCCUUUCAUAAUAUAUUAGACCACUUAUUAGACCUACAUACAUCCAAUGAGGACUGAGAUGCCUGUCUAUCGGGAGUUGCUACUAAAAUCACCACGGUCGAGCUCCCGUGUAGUUAAGUUUCUCAAUUUUAACACUAAGUUCCUUUUUCAUAACCUCUAUUGAGCAGGUGAUGGGAGAGGGGUGGUUUCCAAAUGUGCAUCGGCCAUCCCUCAAUUGAAGAACAUAUCUAAUUCGCCUAUGACCAGGCACUAGGUGCAAUUUUCUCAUGACAAGGCGAAAUCUCUCAACCAGUGCAAGCGGAGACGGAUGGUGAUCAAAUGACCAUUGGUAUUUGCAGCAUAUGGAUGCGUAGCUCAUUAAAACGAGGCACUAGGUGCAAUAUAUAUAGGUGUUCGUGUGCGCCAACAGUGAGCAUCGGAAACCUCCUCUUUUUGAGCCAUAUGGAGUGAAGUUUCUCAUAUUUACACCUAAGUUUCUUUCCCAUGAGCUCUACGGAAGGGUGACCAAAUAUGCACUCGCCGACUCUAUUGUGUUAAGUUUAUCAAUCUUCUUCACUAAGUUUCUUUCUGAUUUUGGCGCCUAGACGGGCUGCUCAUUAAAAUGAGGCACUAAGGGGAAUAUAUAGGUGUUUGGUGUGCGUCACCGGCGAGCAUUGUAAACCUCCUUUUUUGAGCCAUAUGGAGUUAAGUUUCUCAUAUUUAGCAUUAAGUUUCUUUCCCAUGAGCUCUACGGAAGGGUCACCAAAUAUGCGUUCGACGACUCCUCGUUCGACUGAAUGGUACACGUGAUUCUCCCGCGGUAGACGAGCAUUGCCUAAUUCCAAUUUCGAGCCCUAUCUUGUUAAGUUUCUCAAUCUUCUUCACUAAGUUUCUUUCUGAAUUUUGCGCCUUGCUUCAGCAUUUCCACAUGGUUAUUAAACCAACACCUCAUGAUAAGAGACCAUUGUGUAUAUUUUAGGUCGGUACUCGCCGUUGCAAAAUCUCUCAACAAACAUGAGAGGAGAGGGAUGGUGAACAAAGGAGCAUCGCGCCAUCCAUCGACCGAAGUAUAUUUGAUAUUCACCUGCGAAGUCUUUUCUGGAACGUAUGAAAUACGUUCAUAUGAUGAGGGUUGAGAUAUGAGGGCAUCAGGUCCAUCGCCAAAAUCGCCUCUUUCGAGCUUGAUGUAGUUAAGUUUCCUAAUUAGGCACUAAGUUUGUUCUCCGUGAGCUCUAGGAGUUCGUGACGGGGGAGGGAUUGUUUGAAAAUGUGCGUCGAGUCAGCCAUAUACCGAAGGAUACACGAGAUUUUUUUGUCAUCAGUACGUUGUCUAUGUAUAGGGUGACAUUCUAUCUUCCAAGCUCGUAGACAUAUACAUACGUUGCUCACUACACGGACCCAGAUUCUUACCUCACAAAAAAUCCAAUCCCAGCACUUCCCUUUCAUAAUAUAUUAGACCACUUAUUAGACCUAGAUACAUCCAAUGAGGACUGAGAUACCCGUCCAUCGGGAGUUGCUACUAAAAUCACCUCAGUCGAGCUCCCUUGUAGCUAAGUUUCUCAAUUUUAACACUAAGUUCCUUUUUCAUAACCUCUAUUGAGCAGCUGAUGGGAGAGGUGUGGUUUCCAAAUGUGCAUUGGCCAUCCCUCGAUAGAAGAACAUAUCUAAUUCGCCUAUGACAAGGCACUAGGUCCAAUUUUCUCAUGAUAAGGCAAAAUCUCUCAACCAGUGCAAGCGGAGACGGAUGGUGAUCAAAUGACCAUUGCUAUUUGUAGCAUAUGGAUGCGUAGCUCAUUAAAACGAGGCACUAGGUGGAAUAUAUAUAGGUUUUCGUGUGCGCAACGGGUGAGCGUUGGAAACCUCCUCUUUUUGAGGCAUAUGGAGUUAAGUUUCUCAUAUUUACCCGUAAGUUUCUUUCCCGUGAGCUCUACGGAAGGGUGUCCAAAUAUGCGCUCGCCGACUCUAUCGUGUUAAGUUUCUCAAUCUUCUUCACAAAAUUUCUUUUUGAUUUUGGCGCCUAGACGGGCUGCUCUUUAAAAUGAGGCACUAACUGGAAUAUGUAUAGGUGUUUGGUGUGCGUCACCGGCUAGCGUUGUAAACCUCCUUUUUCUGAGCCAUAUGGAGUUAAGUUUAAGUGCAAAUGGGUCAAUCUAUCAGGAGGCGGGGUACAAGUAGACCCGCAGUACGGAAUGACAACAGUGGAUCUGAAAAAUCUUGGGUACAGUGACGAACCGUUUGUCCUAGCCAAUGAUGUGGCACAGGUUAUCUAUGUGAAGGACAUGUCUACCAAACCGAGAAAAAGAAAAGAUAAGGAAGCGAAUACAUCAUACGAUGAGCCAAAGCGCCACAUAGUUCUUUAAGGAAAAAGGGACAUCGUGUGAGUGGAGGGCAAGACAGACAUGUCUGAAGAUUAUGAAAAGUUUCAUGAAAUUCCUCCCUUCAAAGUCAAGGCUGACCCAAGCAUCCUGAUAAACGAUGAAGAUUAUCCAUGGUUACGGUGCAAUAAGCAAAUGACACAAGCGAAGAAAAAGUGAAGACUUUCUCCCGCAACUAUUAUGAUGAUACCAUGCCAACUUUGUAACAGACGAGUAUGAUACCAUUCUCCGUUUUGUACAUGCACAUGCUAUGUGGGUGAAAUUAUGAUACCAUGCCAACUUUCAACCUUUUCAGAGUUCAUUUGAAAUGCUUUAAUGUCUUAUGGUUCGGCCCUCGUAAUACCAUUAAUCCCGGUUCGCUCCUUGUCAACUAUGCUCUCACCAAGAACACUCAAGAGGGCAGCCACGUGGGCCAUUGGUCCCGGUUCGUCUCGACCUUUUGGUCCCGGUUCCACGCACGAACCGGGACCAAUGCGCCUCGCCCCUGGCCCAUGACCAUUAGUCCCGGUUUGUGCCACAAACCGGGACUAAAGGGUUGGUUCUCGUUGCGGUCAGAGUUUAGUCCCACCUCGCCAACCGAAGGGCGCUCACACCAGUUUAUAAGCCCCUCCCUCUCUCCCUUGUUGAGCUCCUCUCAAAGUGAAAAUAGAUGCCCUUAUACAGAGAAUUUGACCUAAAUUCAUACUGAAUUUCUUUGAAAUUCAUAGAAAUUUAUUAUGAAUUUAGGUUGAAUUUUCUCUAUAGGCGCAUCUAUACUCAUUUUUUUAGUAAAGUUAAUCACAAACUUGUGAUUCACACAAAUUUCAAAGAAUUCAAAUUUUAACUAUUCAAAAUUGAAAACUAAUGGCACUAACAGAAAGUUUAUAAUUUUUGUAAAACUAAUGGCACUAACAGAAAGUUUAUAAUUUUGCUGACCUAAAAGCAAAAAUAAUUAAAAAAUAAAGCAAAAAACAAAAGAAAAUAAAUAAUGCAAAAAACAAAACAAAAAAACUGGAAAAAAAACUUUUAAUUUUAAACACAGUAAUAUUAAACACAGUAAUUUUAACUAUUCAAAUUUGAAAACUAAUGGCACUAACAGAAAGUUUAUAAUUUUUGUGACCUAAAAGAAAAAUAAUUAAAAAAUAAACUUUAAUAAAAUAAAUAAAAAUAGCAACAAUAAGUAUUUUGUUGUAAGUAGAAACAAAAUAAAAUAAAUAAAGCAAUAAAGAAAACAAAAAAAAAAUUUAGUUGUUAUAUAUAUAUAUAUAUGCUAUUUGUUUAGAUGUUUUUAGAUGUUCUUAUAUGUUGUUUUCACAUGUUUUUAGUUGUUCAUAAAAGAAAUUUAGAUGUAGGUAUGUAUGUGUGAGGGAUCAUAUAUGUAUUUUUUAGAUGUUCUUAUAUGCUGUUUUCAGAUGUUUUUUGUAUGUGUGUAUGUAUGAGGGAUCAUAUAUGUAUUUUUUAGAUGUAUUUUUUGUAUGUAUGUAUGUAUGAGGGAUCAUACAUGUAUUUUUUCAGAAUUUUCUAUCGUGCAUAGACCGAGAAGGAGAAAGGAAAAUAAGAAGAGGAAGAAAGGAGAAGAAGAGGAGAGGAAGAAGAGGAGAAAUAAAUAAGAAGAGGAAAAAAGAAGAAAAAGAAGAGGAGAAGAAGAAAGGAAUAGAGGAAAAGAAGAAAAAAUAGAAAAUAUUCUAUUUUUUCUUCUUCUCCUCUAUUCCUUUCUUCUUCUCCUCUUUUUUUCUUCUUUUUUUCUUCGAUCUUCUCCUCUAUUCCUUUCUUCUUCUCCUCUUUUUAUUUCUUCUUCAUUUUCUUAUGUUUUAUCGGGUCUGUCGUCAUCGAUAUACCCCUCCCGAUAACUUCAACACGAGGGGGGGGGUCGAUAUACCCCCUCCCCGAUAAUAUUACUUUCCAAUGUACGUAUGUCAUCAUUGUCGAUAUAACCCCCUCCCGAUAAGGGUCGAUAUACCCCCUCCCCGAUAACAUUAUUUUCCCGUGUAUGUAUGUCGUCGUUGUCGAUAUUACCCCCUCUCGACUGUGAUAACUUAUACCAAAACUCUCGAGGACACCCAAACCCUAGAAAAAACGAUGUCGGUCUCCUACCCCCUCCCGCCGCGCCCCUACCCGACAAACUCUCUCGAGGCCACCCCCUCUCGCUCGACCAAAACGCUCGAGGACACCCAAGUCCUAGAAAAAAAAUGAUGUCGGUCUCCUACCCCUCCCGCCGCGCCACCUACCCUUGAAGUGUUGCCGAGGCCACCCCAAACCCGGAAUAAGCUCGGUCUACGUUUGCCACUAAUAUAUCCACCUGCUGUCAUGUUUGUGUAAUAAUUGCCAUGUUGUAAUAUUUGCAGAAACAAUGGAGCACAUACGAGACGAGGAAGCAGAAGAGGUCUUGGGGGACAUAAUCUUAGCCGGAGGUGAUAUCUUGUCGUAUCUUAACGACAAUGAUGGUCUGGAAGAACAGGGUGAAGAAGCAGGCUACGAUGAUCGAAGAAUGGAGGAGGAAAGACAUGAUUAUGAUGGCUCCGGUGUCCCAAUGACGGUGCAAGAAGGAGACCGUGAUGACGGCUCCGGUGACCGAACCGAGUCCGGCCAGGUAUAUAUAUUAGUUAAGCCUGUGCUGACUAGCUAAUUGAUGCAUUCAUUGUUUUGGUAUAUGUACACAUAUUAAUUAACUCUCGUCUUUCUUCUUUCAGUACUAGGAAAAGGCCUACUAGUGGCGCACCAGUUUUGCCUACUAAUGGCGCACUACUGGUGCGCCACUAGUACCACGCCACUAGUAUUUUUUACUAAUGGCGCACCACUAGUGCGCCAUUAGUAUCUGGUAUACUAAUGGCACACCGGGCAGUGCGCCAUUAGUAUAGGCCAUGGUGCGCUAUUAGUAUGCCUCCCAGGGGGCCAUAUUUACCCAUGUGCCUAGCAAUACUAAUGGCGCACCGCGGGGUGAUGCGCCAUUAGUAUCCUUUGGCAUACUAAAGGCGCACUGCGGUGUGAUGCGCCAAUAGUAUCCUUUGGCAUACUAAUGGCGCACUGCGGUGUGACGCGCCAUUAGUAUCCUUUGGCAUACUAAUGGCGCACGUUGGGGUGAUGCGCCAUUAGUAUGUAUAUUAGGGAUUAUUUUUUUUCUUUUCUAAUUUUUGCACAGAUUACAAAAUAUAUUAUUGGACAGAAUAUAAGCAGCACCACACAGCAAUAGCAGAUUCAUCGAAUAUAAUAUAAGAUUAGUCUCCGAAUACAAUUCAUCAUAUUAGUCUCCGAAUUCAAAAGACCGAACAAAGAUAGAACAUUACAAGUCUCGAGACCGCGAGUAGCCAGUUUGUCUUCACAUUACAAGUCGAUAUCGAUCAUCUAAACUACCAUCACAUAGAAGAGAUCUGCGGUCAUCACGAUGAGCAUCAUCGCGAUGAAACUGGUCUUCAUCCGGUUCCUCCAACGCUCCCUCCUCUGUCCCGCUAGAUAGCACGCGUAUCUAGAUUCCGCCUUCACCGUAGUGGUGUACCCUUUGUAACUAUUACCGCUGAAACGGUGAACCGGUCUCCGACACUCCUCCCAGUCGUCGUAGACUCCGGGAACCUUACCCUUGUACAUGACAUACAACGGCAUCUCUAUGCACUAGCCAAACAACAGACAAUACAUAAGCAAUAUAUAAUUAUGCAACAAAAGGAUCGGAAGAGAAAAUCAAGACAUUAAUAGCACGAUUCAUGGUCCUACUAAUAAAUAGCAUCGAUUACAUCUAAGUUGAACGACUGUCCAAACUAAAGAGACAUACAAGUUCAUUAAAGUUUAAUUACAACAUGAGCUAAUCAAUGUUUCAGAACUACACAUAGCAUCACUACUUUCGACUCGACUCAUGGGACCGGAGCGUGGAUGAAGCUGCCAUCUGUCGUGAUGGUCAUGAAGUCGCGGGCAUUGUCAGCCUGCAUUUGUAGCGUUGUGUCUAUCUCACUGUUGGACGGUUGAAAUUUGAGGUAGAACUGCCCCGAGGUACGAAGGACAUCUUGAUGGAUGAUUUCUGCAAACUCCGACUGGAUGCGAAAGAAUUCUCGUCGGAUGUCCGCGUCCUGGAUUGCCGCCAAGCUUGCGGCCCAAUCUUUGAGAUUAUUUGGUAGCAGAAGGUGAUUAUGGUCCCGUACGAUCGCCCGCAUGUAAUGGAGGGCGUAGUAGGCAUCCUUCUGACCGCCAAGCGGCUGCUUGACGCAGGGGAACGUCGUAUUGUGGGUGAACACGUGCCUGCCGUACCUACGAGAUGGCCUUUUAAAGGUGCCUCCAAAUGCGGCGUAUCCGGGGAGAGCAUCAUCAAGAACUUUCUUGAUAUUUGUGUAGUCUAUCUUGGAGUCACGGUCCGGGUCGAAAUACGUGGCCAUGGAAUAUUUCGGGCUUAAGAGGAUGAGUGUGCAAUGUGUGUCACUGCACAUAACACAGAAUGUUAGAAAAAAAAGAACGAUCGAAAUCUAAGAAAUCAUAUGUUACGGGGCGGUUAGGAGAUGACUUACUUGGGAAAGUAAGGCACGAGGAAGUUAUCCUUAUCUGGGUUUGCCAGAAUGACGCCUUCGAGGUGUGAACUCGCGACUUGCCGGUCCCCAGCGCUGCCCAAGAUCUUGGCACGCAUGUAGAAGGGGUCGACUAUCACAAUGUCCGGGGUCUUGUCUCUUAUGAUCCACAUCUCCAUACUCAGCGAAAACGGCCGAACGAAGGUGUAGUGCAGCGGAUGAAGGUUAAGCAUAGCAAAGAUGUCAUCAAACCGCAUGACGAUCGUACCCCCGACGACGCUAUCCACAAAGCCCUUGCCCUCUGGCACCUUGGCCACGAAAACCGGGUAUGCCACAUCAUUCUCUCUGAGACGCCGCUUCUCCAAAGAAAGAACACUGUCAUGGAGACUCCGCAUAGCACCGGUUGCAGCAUUGAGCAUAUUUGUCGGUAGCAUCGGCCUACCCGCCACAUGCACCCUCCUCGAGAUAUCCUUAGGUGAAGGUGGCCCGUCCUGAGCACGGAUCGUACUCGGUGCCGGCUGGCUCGCACUGGCGCCCAUGUUAGUCUUUCGUUUUCGUCCCUUCUUCCUUAUCUGCUGUAAUGGGAUCGAGUUCUGCUCACAGACCGCCUUCUUGAGCGUGUUGGGGCUGAUAAUAUUUGGCACCUCAGCUAUCUGAGGCUCGGUGAAGGCGGCAGCUGGAGGCGUCUCCUGAGAACUGAACGCCAGACGACGCCUGUUGCAGUUGGGUUUCUCCGCCGUACCAGCUAGAUCGCGGUCGCCUUUUUCAGGGUUGGGUUCUUGAGAAGGAGGCCCGUAGAACUCGUCACCGUACCCAUGUUCGGCAAAGUACUUAUCGACGUUGGAAAAUGUACCGCCGUCGUUGUCGUCGUCGUCCGGAUCCUGUGCCAUAUGCAUGUCCGGAUCCUGUGCCAUAGGGAUGUCCGGCCUGUCCGGUAGCGUUGCGGCGUUCUUGCCAUGGCUUGUCGCUGGCACGACUCGCGGUCUUGUCUGUGGGGUGGUGUCCCCCGCCCCCAAACGAAUCUGGCUCUUCGGCCAAAGCAGGGGCCAGCUUACAUAGGCGUUGAGGGUCAUCACAUCAUCUUCGUCGGCCCAGCGGGUCGGAUCGGAGGUAACAACUCGUCGCAGCCUGGCAGCACCCGAACCAGUUCAACCCUAUACAAGGUGGGUGGCAUCGGAUUACCGUGGAACACGCGGUUGCCCGGUUGAACGAUUCUGCCCUUGGCGACAUCGACCAACUCGCCGCCCACGAAGUGCAGGAGAGUGCAAGGAACAUCGGUGGCACCCUGCGAAAACAUGUAGGGCGUCAGGGAUGCCCAGUCAAAGGCAAGGAGAUGAAGUCAUCGGCCGAGAGGCUUAGUUACCGUGAUGCCGUCGAGCUCGGCUAAUGUGGAGGCACCGCCAAUGGCGGGCGUGCCCGUGCAACUGACGGAGGGCCCGCUUGCUGGUGAGGUGCCAGCCGGCGUACACCAGGGUGCAUUAAGCUCCAAUGCCCGUGCCGGCACCGGAGACACGAAUACCGCCUCCGCCGGAGACACCAAUGGCGCCGCCUGCGCGUUGUGCGAGUUGCUGGCCGUGAAGCUGGGAACCGGGGGAGGCCCCUAUUGGCCGCCCGCAAUCCACGUCGUCAGCCCCUGAAUCAAGGUAGGCACAAUGGCGGUGAGCGUCGUUCCCAGUUGUUGUUGCACUUGCUCUUGGACAAUCUCCGGAAUCCGCUCCACUCGUGCCUUGAGUUCUUGGACCUCGCGCGACUGGCUUUCCGAGCUGGUCAUUUUCUCCUUUCGCGCACCAGCGGUAUAGUAUGACGACCAUUUUGUGGACAAGCCAUUGCCGGCCACACGACCAGCUGACGACGGCUUACUGAGCUUAUCCUUGUUUUUCAUUACGUUCAACGCCCUAUUUAAAGGGGUGUCAAAAGGGGCGCUCUGAGACGACCCCGCGCUACUGCUUUCAGCCUCCUGCGGAAGGAAUGUGAACCAUUUAGAAAUUUGGCUUCAUUAAUUAGAAUGCAACCAUAUGGAGCUAAUUACGCGGGGGUGUAUUCCUUACCAGAACAAGCUCAAGCGCCCUGGUCUUCGGAUCCGUGGUAAGCUCCUUUUAUACCGGGCCCUGACAAAGUUCCUGGUCUGCUUGUCAUGUAAUUUCUCGAAGCGGGGCGGUAGGCCUUGCUCGGCACGCUCCGCGUCCUCCUUGUCCCAUAUAGGCUCCGCCACUCUGUAACCGCCGGGACCGAGUUGGUGGACCCCUAAGUUCAACUCCCACAUUUCUUUCCCCCACUGACUUGAUUCGGAGGUUGCGCUGCUCUCGUACUUGAUCUUGAACACCUUGUAGUCAUCUUCGCUCAUCAAAGGAUAUUUCGCCUUGAUCUUCUCAUAACUAUCACCUUUUUCAAUCAUUGCCUUCACCGUGCUUCUCCAUGUAGACAGGGUCGUGCUCAUCCUCGUGAGGGCGGCGCUGUUCACUUUAUUCCCUGAGAGGCAUGUGUUUGCAAACUCAGCGGGGAACUUGUAUCGUUCGUGCAGCUUCGUGAAGAGGAGGCUGCGCAAAUUCCCUCGGUCCUUAUGCCUUAGGUUCUCGGUUUUGAUCGAGACGGUGCUCCGGAGAAUGCACCCGAGCUGAACCGAGUACCCCUUGACUACAUGUUUGGGCGCCGUUGGAUGCCCGUCGGAGUUCACUUCAGUAAAUUCCUCCUUGACGGUGCCGAGCAUGUUCGGGCGCCAGUCCUUUCGUUGCCUCUUCGGUUGGCUGCCAUCUGUGCAUGCGCCACCAUCAUCAGUGGUGGCAUCCUCGGCGGCACCAUCAGUGGUGUCAUCCCCGACACCACUAGGGGUUGUGUAGUUAGGAUCGGUGUCUUCCGCGGCGGCGUCCUCAUAGCGGUGAGGCUCUUCCUCCAUCUCCUGGGACAGCUCCCAGAAUUGCUUGCCGCCCGAACCGCUGGCCUCAUCGUUGUGGGCCAUGUUUCAUUCCAAAUAGGAAAAAAGUUUGGUCAAAAAGUUGGUCAUUGUCAAGGAACAAGAUCAUGGUCUCAUCAUUUAGGGUUUGUCGACACCGAGGCAUCAUAAAAGCUAAGCUUUUAUCAUUUAGGGUUUGUCGACGCUGAGGCACCCUAAAAGCCUAAGCGUACAUCAUUUAGGUUCUCAUCGACACCGAGGCACCCUAAAAGCCAAGGUUUUAUCAUAUAGGGUUUGUCGACGCCGAGGCACCCUAAAUGCUAAGUUAAGUUUUCAUCAUUUAGGGUUUAUCGAUGCCGAGGCACCCUAGGUUGACUGAUAUAUAUGGGUAUCUUCUAAUAAUAUACCCUACUUAAUUAAGGACAAACACCAAGAGACAGUAAACAUAUCACACUUCUAUAUGUAUAACACAAGAGGCAGUUGAUCCUACUUAAUUAAGUACUAAGAUACCCCGGCCCAUGCAUUAGUCGCAACUACCACAUAUGUCCUAUUUUUAGCAAAGUCAUGCUAAAAUUCACGGAAAAUUUCAGCAUGACCUUUGCUGAAAAUAGGACAUAUGGAGUACCCGAAUUUGCCGGAACGGAAGUUAAUCGACAUUCCGGCAAACUCAAGGGCCUCUCGGGGUACCUGCAAAAUCAUUAUCCCUGCAUAAUGAAGUCGCCAAUGGGUCAUUUCAGAAGAUCACAAGUAGCAUCAUCACAAGUACAACAUCAUCUAUAGCUUUAUAUUAACAAAGCCUCAGCACAUAUACAAAAGACCACUUAUGCCAACAGUAUGGUUUAUAUCAGAUUCAGAGUUAGAAACAGGAAAAACUGGUGCUUCAAAGCCUACUGGACACAAUUUACAUCUAUCAGUACAGGAUGUCCUGACUAAUUUCAAGUGUUCACAGGUGAACUUGUACCAUGGAUGAGCCUAGUGCUUCAUUAGUCACCAUGUGCAUGAAAUGUAUCGUGUAUCAAACCAUCAAUUAACUGCUGAAAAACAAAAACCUUCAGGACAGAGUGAAAAUAGUUACCGAACUCAAUGACUAAAGAUAUGUAAAAUGUAUGACACAGAAAAUAAAGAAAUCAUGUUGAUGAAUAGUAUUGUGUCAAGUUCAGUUUGAAAAUUCAGUUACUGCUUGAGUGAUUUGACACCAAAAAUUACUCCCAAAAAUUACAAUGACUGUAUAUUGGCUGCAUAUGCUUGUUUUGAUUGUAACUUGGUGAAGUAGUCACUACUGUACUACUAGUGUGCAGCGAUUGGGGAGAAGAGCUCAUCGAUUAGAUUGUAACUUCGUGCACUUGCAUUCAGUCACCACCACCAAAUCCUAGUGCAGCUGUGGUUCUAAAAUCCUAGUGCACUUGCACUUGGUGCACUUGGAGAACAUGAACGGGCAUUCUGAAACAUAAUUGCUCUAGUGCAGCUGUGGUUCCAAUUGAGGUGUGCCGUAUGGUCUUAUACAUAAGCCAAACAAACUAAUUAGGGUUCAACAGCAAGCAGUUGCACAACUGCAUCACUCCCUGUCUCCCUCCCUUCAGAUACAGCGGCUCAAAAGUCAAGUGAACUGAAGAUUAAUCUAACAAGCCUGACAGUAGCUAACUGUACCUAACUGUACCUAACUGAUGCUAGCUGUACCUAACUGAAUUUUUUGACAGUAGCUAACUGUAUUUAGUAAUUUUUCUGUAACAGUCUUGCCCCUAUUUGAAGGACAAGCAAAUAGAUACAUAAAAUCCACUAGUAUUGCCUCUAAAAAAGCCUAACUGGAUUUGUCUGUAACUGUACCUAGCUGAAUUUUUCUGUACCUAACUGAACUGUAAGGAGUUAGCUAAACUUCACUAGUAUUGCCUCUAAAAAAGCCUAAAGUCCACUAUUAUCUACUUUAGGCACAAUCAUACACAAUUCUGACUGUACUGUAACAAUUGUACUCUAUCAAAAUGUUGAAAUUUUGACAUUCGGAGGGUCACCUGCGUGGUGGUGCCCUGCACAGCGGUCGUUGAGCUCGCGCGGUGUGGUGAGCUCACCGGAGAUGGACGGGCCCUGCACAGCGGUCGAGACUCAGAGCAGAGGUUGAGGGCAAGAGGAAGAAGAAGAAGGAAGUGGAGGGGAGGGGCUCACCUGUAGUCGAGGGCGUACAUGGCGCCGGCCGGCUGCAGUGGNNNNNNNNNNNNNNNNNNNNNNNNNNNNNNNNNNNNNNNNNNNNNNNNNNNNNNNNNNNNNNNNNNNNNNNNNNNNNNNNNNNNNNNNNNNNNNNNNNNNNNNNNNNNNNNNNNNNNNNNNNNNNNNNNNNNNNNNNNNNNNACCAAUCUUGGCACCAGACCAAGAACCCUAGAAAUUAUCCAGAGAACCAGACCAAGAACAGUACUACAAAUUAAUGAACCAAAGAGAAUAGAAAUUAAGAGGACAAGCGGGGGGUGAAGAAGAGGGGGAGGAGCGGGGCCUGACCAGUCCAGCGUCGGGGGAGAAUCACGCCGGCGACGGGGUCGUUGCGGUCGCCACUCCUUGUCGCCGCCGAGCUCACGCCGCUGGGUGAAGAAGAGGAAGAUGGCGGAGGUCCUCCUGGGCAGGCCGCGCGGUGUUGGACGGCGAGCACGAGGUUGACGCAGGUGGGGCCNNNNNNNNNNNNNNNNNNNNNNNNNNNNNNNNNNNNNNNNNNNNNNNNNNNNNNNNNNNNNNNNNNNNNNNNNNNNNNNNNNNNNNNNNNNNNNNNNNNNNNNNNNNNNNNNNNNNNNNNNNNNNNNNNNNNNNNNNNNNNNNNNNNNNNNNNNNNNNNNNNNNNNNNNNNNNNNNNNNNNNNNNNNNNNNNNNNNNNNNNNNNNNNNNNNNNNNNNNNNNNNNNNNNNNNNNNNNNNNNNNNNNNNNNNNNNNNNNNNNNNNNNNNNNNNNNNNNNNNNNNNNNNNNNNNNNNNNNNNNNNNNNNNNNNNNNNNNNNNNNNNNNNNNNNNNNNNNNNNNNNNNNNNNNNNNNNNNNNNNNNNNNNNNNNNNNNNNNNNNNNNNNNNNNNNNNNNNNNNNNNNNNNNNNNNNNNNNNNNNNNNNNNNNNNNNNNNNNNNNNNNNNNNNNNNNNNNNNNNNNNNNNNNNNNNNNNNNNNNNNNNNNNNNNNNNNNAAUUUUAGUUGCAUUCAUUUGUGACGGUGGAGCGGGCCGGGAGGGUGCGGGGGGUCGGCGGCGGCGGUGGAGCGGGGGAGGGUGCGGGGGGUCGGCGACGGCGACUACGGCCGGUGGAGUGGGGUAGAGGGUGCGGGGGGUGCUCGGCGGCGAGGGGGACCGGAUCUGGCGAGGUGGGAUAGCGAUCGAGAUGGAGGGGGAUCGAGAUCGAGUGUCCAUGAAAUUUAAAAAUGUUCAUGAGUUCAAAAAGUGCCCAUGAAAUACAAUCGAGAAAUGAAGGCUACAAUUUAAAUACAAUCGAUCUUAGCUAGCUAUCUGUUCAAAAUCUUCUUGCCCUUGUUUUUCGUAAAUGGAGUUCUUCUCUUGAACGGACGUCCUUUAGGUAGGGUGGUCCUGCUUCUUCUUGUGGUGUAUGCUGAUACAUCAUCGUCGUCGUCAUGUUCCAUCUUCGGGUCGCCGUACUUGUCGAAGUCUUGCUCAUUGGCAACUCCAUCCAUUCCGAUGAUCUUCCUUUUGCCUCUCCUCACGACAACACGACUCGGCUUUGACGGGUCGGUAAUGAAGAAGCAUUGGUCCACUUGGGAAGCCAGUACCCAUGGCUAAUUUUUCGCGGUGACGUUCGCGCCUGCGGUCUUGGAUUUGGCUUCGGGUAUAACCAUGGUGGUGAAAUACCGGUCUUCUUUUAUGACGCUCUUGGACCAUCUUACACGGAACAUCGGGACCUUCUCUCUAGCGUAGCUCAGCUCCCAGAUCUCCUCGAUCCUUCCGUAGUAUCUGUCCUUGUCGUUACCGGUGUAGGAUUCCAUCGUUACCCCGGAGUUCUGAUAACCAUCGCUCUUCAUGUCCUUGUCCUCGGUGUAGAAUGUGUAGCCGUUGAUAUCGUACGCCUCAUACGUCAUCAGGUUGUGCUCGGCGCCCUGUGACAAGGCGAAUAUGAGUUGUUCUUCCGCGGAAGAAUCCUCAUGUAAAGGGUACGACAGAAGCUUCUGCUUGAACCACCGCGUGAAACAUGAGUUGUGCUCUUUGAUUAUAUCUCCGUCCGUCCUCUGUUGGCCUCGGUCAUUGUACGUCUUCUCGAUAAACGUUUUGUGCUCUACCACCCAAGGAUCGACCACGUCUAUGUGUUGUAGCGCGACUAGGUUUGCUCUUUCAAAGUCGGCGAGUCGACCAUCGAAGUCGACAUGCAUUUCGCGGCGACCCUCACGGUGACCCCAUCCAGCGAGCCUGCCGAGGUGCCUGUUGAUGGGCAGACCAACGGGGUUCUCGAUGCCUAGAUAAUUCGUGCAGUAGGAGAUGCACUCUUCGGUCAGAAAGCCCCUGGCUAUGCUUCCCUCUGGACGUGACAUGUCGCGAACGUAUCCUUUGAUGACACCAUUCAUCCUUUCGAACGGCAUCAUGCUAUGCAGGAACGUCGGCCCGAGUUGGAUGAUAUCCUCCACGAUAUGGACCAGCAGAUGCACCAUAACGUUGAAGAAUGCGGGCGGGAAGUACAUCUCAAGCUCGCAUAGUAUCACCACGAUCUCUUCCUGUAGCCUUCUGAGUUGCCUCACGCCAACUGACUUCCGAGAGAUGACGUCGAAAAAGUUGCAUAGGCCAAAUAGCGUUUCACGGACGUGCGCGUCCAUGAUCCCACGGAUUGCAACUGGAAGUAUCUGCGUCAUCAGCACGUGACAGUCGUGAGACUUCAUCCCGCUGAACAUCUUCUUCGCUGAGUCUAGCUAUCUGCUUAUCUUCCCCGCGUAACCGUAAGGAAGUUUUACUCCUAUGAGGCAGGAGAAAAACUGAUCAAUCUCCUCCUGACUUAGAGUGAAGCACGCGGGAGGGAAGUCAUUUCCGGUCUUCUUGGCCUUUUUGCCUUUGCGACGACUUUCCGUGUCCUGCUUCGCCUCAUCAUCAUUAGCGUGAAGCUCCUCCCUGAUGCCCAUUGAUUUCAAGUUUGCCCUUGCUUUCGGCCCAUCUUUGGUCCUCUCUGGCAUGUUGAGCAGGGUACCAAGCAGACUCUCGCACACGUUCUUCGUGAUAUGCAUGACAUCAAGGCUGUGAGGCACACAGUGGAUCUUCCACUACGGCAAGUCCCAGAAAACAGACCUCGUUUUCCAUACCUUCUGCAGUGGCUCUGGCACCUUUCGCUUCUUUCCCGGCAGUGGGCAAUCUUUCCAAUUUUUCAACAGCUCGUCUAGUUCCUCGCCGCUCCUCGUACGCGGGCGUCUUCGGGGUUCGGUUUCACCAUCGAACAGAUCCUUGCGUUCACGGGUCAUCGUCGCGAAGCCACCUUCGAUGUCCCAUGAACACGGUUUUUAAAGACCCGGGAUCUCUAUCUAGCUGGCGAUACGUUGUGUCAUCCAUGCACCUGGCGCAUCCAGAAAAUCCGUGGACCACCUGCCCCGCGAGAUAUCCGAAACCGAGAUAGUCGUGCACCGUCGUGAGCAGUGCGGCUCUCAUAGGGAAAUAUUCUUUCUCUGCGGCGUCCCACGUAUUGGCUGGCGUUUUCCACAGCGUGUCAAGCUCCUCUUUCAGCAGCCCCAGAUACAGAUUGAUGUCAUUCCCUGGUUGUUUCGGCCCUUCAAUUAGCAUACUCAUGUGAAUGUACUUCCUCUUCAUGCACAACCAGGGGGGAAGGUUGUACAUCCACACAAACACAGUACAGGUGCUAUGUGUGCUUCUCUGGCUGCCAAACGGAUUGACUCCAUCGGUGCUCGUGCCCAGCACGAUGUUCCUUGGAUCGUUCCCAAAUUCUGUGUGUUCGAAGUUCAACGCUUGCCACUGGCUCCCUGAAGGAAAUAUGCCCUAGAGGCAAUAAUAAAGUAUUAUUUAUUUCCUUAUAUCAUGAUAAAUGAUUAUUAUUCAUGCUAGAAUUGUAUUAACCGGAAACAUAAUACAUGUGUGAAUACAUAGACAAACAGAGUGUCACUAGUAUGCCUCUACUUGAGUAGCUCGUUAAUCAAAGAUGGUUAUGUUUCCUAGCCAUAGACAUGAGUUGUCAUUUGAUUAACGGGAUCACCUCAUUAGGAGAAUGACGUGAUUGACUUGACCCAUUCCGUUAGCUUAGCUCCCGAUCGUUUAGUAUGUUGCUAUUGCUUUCUUCAUGACUUAUACAUGUUCCUAUGACUAUGAGAUUAUGCAACUCCCGUUUACCGGAGGAACACUUGUGUGCUACCAAACGUCACAACGUAAAUGGGUGAUUAUAAAGGUGCUCUACAGGUGUCUCCAAAGGUACUUGUUGGGUUGGCGUAUUUCGAGAUUAGGAUUUGUCACUCCGAUUGUCGGAGAGGUAUCUCUGGGCCCACUCAGUAAUGCACAUCACUAUAAGCCUUGCAAGCAAUGUGACUAAUGAGUUAGUUCCGGGAUGAUGUAUUACGGAACAAGUAAAGAGACUUGCCGGUAACUAGAUUGAACUAGGUAUCGAGAUACCGACGAUCGAAUCUCGGGGAAGUAACAUACCGAUGACAAAGGGAACAACGUAUGUUGUUAUGCGGUCUGACCGAUAAAGAUCUUCGUAGAAUAUGUAGGAACCAAUAUGAGCAUCCAGGUUCUGCUAUUGGUUAUUGACCGGAGAGGUGUCUCGGUCAUGUCUACAUAGUUCUCGAACCCGUAGGGUCCGCACGCUUAAAGUUACGAUGAUAGUUAUAUUAUGAGUUUAUAAGUUUUGAUGUACCGAAGGUUGUUCGGAGUCCCGGAUGUGAUCACGGACAUGAUGAGGAGUCUCGAAAUGGUCGAGACAUAAAGAUUGAUAUAAUGGACGACUAUAUUCGGACACCGGAAGUGUUCCGGAGAAGUUUCGGAUUAAACCGGAGUGCCGGAGGGUUACCGGAACCCCCCGGGGAAGUAUUGGGCCUUAGCGGGCCUUGAGGGGAGAGAGAGGGCAGCAGCCAGGAAGAGGCGCGCCCCCUCCUAGGAGGAAUCCUAGUUGGACUAGGAGAGGGGGGCGCAGCCCCCUUUCCCUCUCCCUCUCCCUCUCUUUCCUUCCCCCCCUCUCUUCCUAGUUGGACUAGGAAAGGGGAGUCCUCCUCCUAGUAGGACUAGGACUCCCCUUUCCUACUCCUCCUCCUAGUAGGAGUAGGACUCCCCCCUCUCCUUGGCGCGCCUAGGGCAGCCGGCCUCCCCCUUGCUCCUUUAUAUACGGGGGCAGGGGACACUUCUAAACACACUUGAUAUACGAUAUUUUAGCCGUGUGCGGUGCCCCCUCCACCAUAUUACACCUCGAUAAUACCGUUGCGGAGCUUAGGCGAAGCCCUGCGUCGGUGGAACAUCAUCAUCGUCACCACGUCGUCGUGCUGACGAAACUCUCCCUCAACACUCGGCUUGAUCGGAGUUCGAGGGACGUCAUCGAGCUGAACGUGUGUAGAACUCAGAGGUGCCGUGCGUUCGGUACUUGAUCGGUCGGAUCGUGAAGACGUACGACUACAUCAACCGCGUUGUGAUAACGCUUCCGUUGUCGGUCUAUGAGGGUACGUGGACAACACUCUCCCCUCUCAUUGCUAUGCAUCACCAUGAUCUUGCGUGUGCGUAGGAAAUUUUUGGAAAUUACUACGUUCCCCAACAGUAGCAUCCGAGCCUGGUUUUAUGCGUUGAUGCUAUGCACGAGUAGAACACAAGUGAGUUGUGGGCGAUAUAAGUCAUAAUGCUUACCAGCAUGUCAUACUUUGGUUCAGCGGUAUUGUGAGAUGAAGCGGCCCGGACCGACAUUACGCGUACGCUUACGCGAGACUGGUUUCACCGUUCGGAGCACUCGUUGCUUAAAGGUGACUGGCGGGUGUCUCUCUCUCUCACUCUAGUUGAACCGAGUGUGGCUACGCCCGGUCCUUGCGAAGGUUAAAACAGCACCAACUUGACAAACUAUCGUUGUGGUUUUGAUGCGUAGGUAAGAACGGUUCUUGCUAAGCCCGUAGCAGCGACGUAAAACUUGCAACAACAAAGUAGAGGACGUCUAACUUGUUUUUGCAGGGCAUGUUGUGAUGUGAUAUGGUCAAGACAUGAUGUGAUAUAAUUUGUUGUAUGAGAUGAUCAUUUUUGUAACCGAGUUAUCGGCAACUGGCAGGAGCCAUAUGGUUGUCGCUUUAUUGUAUGAGAUGCAAUCACCAUGUAAUAGUUUUACUUUAUCACUAAGCGGUAGCGAUAGUCGUAAAAGCAAUUAGUUGGCGAGACGACAACGAUACUACGAUGGAGAUCAAGGUGUCGCGCCGGUGACGAUGGUGAUCAUGACGGUGCUUCGGAGAUGGAGAUCACAAGCACGGUGCUUCGGAGAUGGAGAUCACAAGCACAAGAUGAUGAUGGCCAUAUCAUAUCACUUAUAUUGAUUGCAUGUGAUGUUAAUCCUUUAUGCAUCUUAUCUUGCUUUGAUUGACGGUAGCAUUAUAAGAUGAUCUCUCACUAAAAUUUCAAGAUAAUGUGUUCUCCCUGAGUAUGCACCGUUGCGAAAGUUCUUCGUGCUGAGACACCACGUGUUAAUCGGGUGUGAUAGGCUCUACGUUCAAAUACAACGGGUGCAAAACAGUUGCACAUGCAGAAUACUCAGGUUAAACUUGACGAGGCUAGCAUAUACAGAUAUGGCCUCGGAACACAGAGACCGAAAGGUCGAGCGUGAAUCAUAUAGUAGAUAUGAUCAACAUAGUGAUGUUCACCAUUGAAACUACUCCAUCUCACGUGUUAAUCGGACAUGGUUUAGUUGAUUUGGAUCACGUAAUCACUAACAUGAUUAGAGGGAUGUCUAUCUAAGUGGGAGUUCUUAAGUAAUAUGAUUAAUUGAACUUAGUACCUGAUAGUAUCUUGCUUGUCUAUGCUAAUUGUAGGUAAAUGGCCCGUGAUGUUGUUCCGUUGAAUUUUAAUGCGUUCCUUGAGAAAGCUAAGUUGAAAGAAUGAUGGUAGCAAUUACAUGGACUGGGUCCGUAACUUGAGGAUUAUCCUCAUUGCUGCACAGAAGAAUUACGUCCUAGAAGCACCGCUAGGUGCCAGGCCUCCUGCAAGAGCGACGCCAGAAGUUAUGAACGUCUGGCAGAGCAAAGCUGAUGACUACUCAAUAGUUCAGUGUGCCAUGCUUUACGGCUUAGAACCGGGUCUUCAACGACGUUUUGAACGUCAUGGAGCAUAUGAGAUGUUCCAGGAGUUGAAGUUAAUAUUUCAAGCAAAUGCCCGAAUUGAGAGAUAUGAAGUCUCCAAUAAGUUCUAUAGCUGCAAGAUGGAAGAUAAUAGUUCUGUCAGUGAGCAUAUACUCAGAAUGUCUGGGUAUAAUAAUCACUUGAUUCAACUGGGAGUUCAACUUCCGGAUGAUUGCGUCAUUAACAGAAGUCUUCAAUCACUGCCACCAAGCUACAAGAGCUUCGUGACGAACUAUAACAUGCAAGGGAUGGAUAAGACAAUUCCCGAGCUCUUCAUAAUGCUAAAGGCAGCGGAGGUAGAAAUCAAAAAGGAGCAUCAAGUGUUGAUGGUCAGUAAAACCACUAGUUUCAAGAAAAAGGGCAAAGGGAAGAAGAAAGGGAACUUCAAGAAGAACAGCAAGAAAGUUGCUGUUCAGGAGAAGAAAUCCAAGUCUGGACCUAAGCCUGAAACUGAGUGCUUCUACUAUAAGCAGACUGGUCACUGGAAGCGGAAAUGCCCCAAGUAUUGGGCGGAUAAGAAGGAUCGCAAGGUUAACAAAGGUAUAUGUGAUAUACAUGUUAUUGAUGUGUACCUUACUAAUACUCGCAGUAGCACCUGGGUAUUUGAUACUGGUUCUGUUGCUAAUAUUUGCAACUCGAAACAGGGGCUACGGAUUAAGCGAAGAUUGGCUAAGGACGAGGUGACGAUGCGCGUGGGAAAUGGUUCCAAAGUCGAUGUGAUCGCCGUCGGCACGCUACCUCUACAUCUACCUUCGGGAUUAGUUUUAGACCUAAAUAAUUGUUAUUUGGUGCCAGCGUUGAGCAUGAACAUUAUAUCUGGAUCUUGUUUAAUGAGAGACGGUUAUUCAUUUAAAUCAGAGAAUAAUGGUUGUUCUAUUUAUAUGAAUAAUAUCUUUUAUGGUCAUGCACCCUUGAAGAAUGGUCUAUUUUUAAUGAAUCUCGAUAGUAGUGAUACACAUAUUCAUAAUGUCGAAGCCAAAAGAUGCAGAGUUAAUAAUGACAGUGCAACUUAUUUGUGGCACUGCCGUUUGGGUCAUAUCGGUGUAAAGCGCAUGAAGAAACUCCAUACUGAUGGAAUUUUGGAAUCACUUGAUUUUGAAUCACUUGGUACUUGCGAACCGUGCCUCAUGGGCAAGAUGACCAAAACACCGUUCUCCGGAACUAUGGAGAGAGCAACAGAUUUGUUGGAAAUCAUACAUACAGAUGUAUGUGGUCCGAUGAAUAUUGAGGCUCGUGGCGGAUAACGUUAUUUUCUCACCUUCACAAAUGAUUUGAGCUGAUAUGGGUAUAUCAACUUAAUGAAACAUAUGUCUGAAACAUUUGAAAAGUUCAAAGAAUUUCAGAGUGAAGUUGAAAAUCAUCGUAACAAGAAAAUAAAAUUCCUACGAUCUGAUCGUGGAGGAGAAUAUUUGAGUUACGAGUUUGGCCUACAUUUAAAACAAUGCGGAAUAGUUUCGCAACUCACGCCACCCGGAACACCACAGCGUAAUGGUGUGUCCGAACGUCGUAAUCGUACUUUAUUAGAUAUGGUACGAUCUAUGAUGUCUCUUACUGAUUUACCGCUAUCAUUUUGGGGUUAUGCUCUAGAGACGGUUGCAUUCACUCUAAAUAGGACACCAUCAAAAUCCGUUGAGACGACGCCUUAUGAACUAUGGUUUGGCAAGAAACCAAAGUUGUCGUAUCUUAAAGUUUGGGGUUGCGAUGCUUAUGUGAAGAAACUUCAACCUAAUAAGCUCGAACCAAAAUCGGAGAAAUGUGUCUUCAUAGGAUACCCAAAAGAGACUGCUGGGUACACCUUCUAUCACAGAUCCGAAGGCAAGAUAUUCGUUGCUAGGAAUGGAUCCUUUCUAGAGAAGGAGUUUCUCUCGAAAGAUGUGAGUGGGAGGAAAGUAGAACUUGAUGAGGUAACUGUACCUGCUCCCUUAUUGGAGAUCAUCGCAGAAAUCAGUUUCUGCGACACCUACACCAAUUAGUGAGGAAGUUAAUGAUAAUGAUCAUGAAACUUCAGAUCAAGUUAUUACUGAACCUCGUAGGUCAACUAGAUCAAGAUCCGCACCAGAGUGGUACGGUAAUCCUGUUCUAGGGGUUAUGUUACUAGACCAUGACGAACCUACGAACUAUGAAGAAGCGAUGGUGAGCCCAGAUUCCACAAAAUGGCUUGAAGCCAUGAAAUCCGAGAUGGGAUCCAUGUAUGAGAACAAAGUAUGGACUUUGGUUGACUUGCCCGAUGGUCGGCAAGCCAUUGAAAAUAAAUGGAUCUUCAAGAAGAAGACUGACGCUGAUGGUAAUGUUACUAUCUAUAAAGCUCGACUUGUUGCGAAAGGUUUUCGACAAGUUCAAGGGAUUGACUACGAUGAGACCUUCUCACCCGUAGGGAUGCUUAAGUCUGUCCGAAUCAUGUUAGCUAUUGCUGCAUUUUAUGAUUAUGAAAUUUGGCAAAUGGAUGUCAAAACUGCAUUCCUGAAUGGAUUUCUGGAAGAAGAGUUGUAUAUGAUGCAACCGGAAGGUUUUGUCGAUCCAAAGGGAGCUAACAAAGUGUGCAAGCUCCAGCGAUCCAUUUAUGGACUGGUGCAAGCCUCUCGGAGUUGGAAUAAACGCUUUGAUAGUGUGAUCAAAGCAUUUGGUUUUAUACAGACUUUUGGAGAUGCCUGUAUUUACAAGAAAGUGAGUGGGAGCUCGAUAGCAUUUCUGAUAUUAUAUGUGGAUGACAUAUUGCUGAUUGGAAAUGAUAUAGAAAUUCUGGAUAGCAUAAAGGGAUACUUGAAUAAGACGUCGGUGAAGCUGCAUAUAUAUUAGGCAUUAAGAUCUAUAGAGAUAGAUCAAGACGCUUAAUUGGACUUUCACAAAGCACAUACCUUGACAAAGUUUUGAAGAAGUUCAAAAUGGAUCAAGCAAAAAAGGGUUCUUGCCUGUACUACAAGGUGUGAGAUUGAGUAAGACUCAAUGCCCGACCACUUCAGAAGAUAGAGAGAAUAUGAAAGAUGGUCCCUAUGCUUCAGCCAUAGGCUCUAUCAUGUAUGCAAUGCUGUGUACCAGACCUGAUGUGUGCCUUGCUAUAAGUUUAGCAGGGAAGUACCAAAGUAAUCCAGGAGUGGAUCACUGGACAGCGGUCAAGAACAUCCUGAAAUACCUGAAAAGGACUAAGGAUAUGUUUCUCGUUUAUGGAGGUGACAAAGAGCUCAUCGUAAGUGGUUACGUUGAUGCAAGCUUUGACACUGAUCCGGACGAUUCUAAAUCGCAAACCGGAUACGUAUUUACAUUGAACGGUGGAGCUGUCAGUUGGUGCAGUUCUAAGCAAAGUGUCGUGGCGGGAUCUACGUGUGAAGCAGAGUACAUAGCUGCUUCGGAAGCAGCAAAUGAAGGAGUCUGGAUGAAGGAGUUCAUAUCCGAUCUAGGUGUCAUACCUAGUGCAUCGGGACCAAUGAAAAUCUUUUGUGACAAUACUGGUGCAAUUGCCUUAGCAAAGGAAUCCAGAUUUCACAAGAGAACCAAGCACAUCAAAAGACGCUUCAAUUCCAUCCGGGAUUUAGUCCAGGUGGGAGACAUAGAAAUUUGCAAGAUACAUACCGAUCUGAAUGUUGCAGACCCGUUGACUAAGCCUCUUCCACGAGCAAAACAUGAUCAGCACCAAGACUCCAUGGGUGUGAGAAUCAUUACUGUGUAAUCUAGAUUAUUGACUCUAGUGCAAGUGGGAGACUGAAGGAAAUAUGCCCUAGAGGCAAUAAUAAAGUAUUAUUUAUUUCCCUAUAUCAUGAUAAAUGUUUAUUAUUCAUGCUAGAAUUGUAUUAACCGGAAACAUAAUACAUGUGUGAAUACAUAGACAAACAGAGUGUCACUAGUAUGCCUCUACUUGACUAGCUCGUUAAUCAAAGAUGGUUAUGUUUCCUAGCCAUAGAUAUGAGUUGUCAUUUGAUUAACGGCAUCACCUCAUUAGGAGAAUGACGUGAUUGACUUGACCCAUUUCGUUAGCUUAGCACCCGAUCGUUUAUUAUGUUGCUAUUGCUUUCUUCAUGACUUAUACAUGUUCCUAUGACUAUGAGAUUAUGCAACUCCCGUUUACCGGAGGAACACUUUGUGUGCUACCAAACGUCACAACGUAAAUGGGUGAUUAUAAAGGUGCUCUACAGGUGUCUCCAAAGGUACUUGUUGGGUUGGCGUAUUUCGAGAUUAGGAUUUGUCACUCCAAUUGUCGGAGAGGUAUCUCUGGGCCCACUCAGUAAUGCACAUCACUAUAAGCCUUGCAAGCAUUGUGACUAAUGAGUUAGUUGCGGGAUGAUGUAUUACGGAACGAGUAAAGAGACUUGCCGGUAACGAGAUUGAACUAGGUAUCGAGAUACCGACGAUCGAAUCUCGGGCAAGUAACAUACCGAUGACAAAGGGAACAACGUAUGUUGUUAUGCGGUCUGACCGAUAAACAUCUUCGUAGAAUAUGUAGGAACCAAUAUGAGCAUCCAGGUUCCGCAAUUUGUUAUUGACCAGAGAGGUGUCUCGGUCAUGUCUACAUAGUUCUCGAACCCGUAGGGUCCGAACGCUUAAAGUUACGAUGACAGUUAUAUUAUGAGUUUAUAUGUUUUGAUGUAUCGAAGGUUGUUCGGAUUCCCAGAUGUGAUCACGGACAUGACGAGGAGUCUCUAAAUGGUCGAUACAUAAAGAUUGAUAUAUUGGACGACUAUAUUCGGACACCGGAAGUGUUCCGGAGAAGUUUCGGAUUAAACCGGAGUGUCGGAGGGUUACCGGAACCCCCCGGGGAAGUAUUGGGCCUUAGUGGGCCUUGAGGGGAGAGAGAGGGCAGCAGCCAGGAGGUGGCGCGCCCCCUCCCAGGAGGAAUCCUAGUUGGACUAGGAGAGGGGGGCGCGGCCCCCUUUCCCUCCCAGGAGGAAUCCUAGUUGGACUAGGAAAGGGGAGUCCUACUCCUACUAGGAGGAGGACUCCCCCCUCUCCUUGGCGCGCCUAGGGCAGCCGGCCUCCCCCUUGCUCCUUUAUAUACGGGGGCAGGGGGCACCUCUAAACACACUUGAUAUACGAUAUUUUAGCCGUGUGCGGUGCCCCCUUCCACCAUAUUACACCUCGAUAAUACCGUUGCGGAGCUUAGGCGAAGCCCUGCGUCGGUGGAACAUCAUCAUCGUCACCACACCGUCGUGCUGACGAAACUCUCCCUCAACACUCGGCUGGAUCGGAGUUCGAGGGACGUCAUCGAGCUAAACGUGUGUAGAACUCAGAGGUGCCGUGUGUUCGGUACUUGAUCAGUCGGAUCGUGAAGACGUACGACUACAUCAACCGCGUUGUGAUAACGCUCCCGCUGUCGGUCUACGAGGGUACGUGGACAACACUCUCCCCUCUCGUUGCUAUGCAUCACCAUGAUCUUGCGUGUGCGUAGGAAUUUUUUUGAAAUUACUACGUUCCCCAACACUCCCAUCCUUAGGGUGACUCAGCAUCUUGUCUUUUUUAUUUAUCUCCGGAUCAUUUGCGUCAUCUUCUCGCUUCUUCUCCUCCCUAUCCGCGUGCCAACGCAGGAGCUUUGCUACCUUAGGGUCCGCGAAAUACCGCUGCAGACGAGGAGUGAUCGGAAAGUACCACACCACUUUUCGAGGAGCUUUCUUCCUCUUCUUGUAUCGAGUGACGCCGCACACUGGACAUAUGGUAGACUCCGCGUGCUCGUCCCAAUAAAUGAUGCAAUUGUUCAUGCACACAUGGUAUUUCACGUGCGGUAAAUCCAGAGGACACACGAUUUUCUUCGCCUCCUCGAAACUGGUCGGGCACUUGUUCCCCUUGGGAAGACGUUCGUGCCAGAAUGACAUGUUCUCGUCGAAGCAUGCGUCCGUCAUUUUGUGUUUUACCUUCAUCUCCAGAGCCAUGAGCGUUACUUUCAGGCGGGUAUCCUCGGGCCUGCAUCCUUCAUACAAUGGAGUAACCGCAUCUAUCUCCAGUUGAUCCAGCUUGGCUUUCUCUCGGGCGGCAACUCUUGCGUUAUCCGUCUCCUUGAGAAGCAGCUCUUGAAUAUGAGGGUCCUGCACCCAGCCCAUCGAUGGUCCAUUGUCGUCUGCUCCGCCAGCAUCUUCAUCUUCAUGAUCAUGCCCUUUUUCUGCUCCCGCAUCUUCCUCAUCAUCAUGUCCGGCAUCUUCUACAUGAUGACUAUGUACAGCAUCACCGUCGUGAUCAUGUCCUGGAGAUUCUUCGUCUUCUCGCCCGCCCGAGCCGCGGUGGUUGUCUUGCUGCCCAUCCUCAUUUCUUGCCCGACCCCCAUGGACGAUUUCAUAGUCAUCUUCAUCACCUUGCCACCGAUAGCCAUCCAUGAAACCACGCAAGAGCAGGUGGUCCCGCACCUGCCCGGAAUCCGGGUCCGCAAUAAGGCUCUUCAGCUUGCAUCUUCGACACGGACAUCUUAUCUCCGUCUCGUUCUUUUCAAGCAUCUUGGCCUUCGCGGAGCUCAAAAACCUAUUCACGAUGCCUUCGGUCAUCGUGGGGACCAUGGUCGCCUGCGGGGUAGAGCAAAACGAUAUUUUAGAACCAAGAAAAAAUUUGGCAUGACUUUCCCUAAAAAUAGGACCAAAAAGAAUGCAUAGUGCCAAAAUUCUCGCCGAAACGGAAAUGAAUCAACAUUUCGGCAAAAUAUUGGCAACUAUCGCAUUUCAAAUACCGGUACCUGCAAACACAAACAUAUAUGCAACACCACAAACAUAUGCAACACCACUAACAUACAUAGAUCUAGCUAGGCCAUAAAAAGUGCAUGUGCACGUUGUUCGAGAGGGAGAACAACAUAAAGAUAGCUUCCCCCUUACUUACCUAUCAAAAAAAGGUAAUUCAACCACUUAAUUUGGAUGAAUUUAUGGUGCAAAUGAGGUGAGGAGGAGGAGGCAGCCGAGACAAGCUUGGAGGAGGAGGUGGAGAGAAUGAAGUGGGGAAAGUGAGUGGGUAGGUGUGGCUGUCCAAAAUAUCUAGCUCGUCCCAGGUUACUAAUGGCGCACCACCACCUAAUGCGCCAUUAGUAACCCUGGUUACUAAUGGCGCACCUGCUGGUGGUGCGCCAUUAGUAGUUUUGCAAAAAAAAGGCACUAAUGGCGCGCCAGGGAACAGUGCGCCAUUACUAGUUUAAACUAGUAAUGGCGCACUGUUCUCUGGUGCGCCAUUAGUAGUUUUGCAAAAAAAUAAAAAAUAAAAAAAGUAUAGUAGUGGUGCACUAUGUGGCUGGUGCGCCAUUACUAGUUAGAACUAGUAAUGGCGCACUGUGCCCUGGGGCGCCAUUAGUAUGUUUGGAAAAAAAAUUGUUACUAAUGGCGCACCGUGUGUGUGGUGCGCCAUUAGUGUCUUUCACACUAAUGGCGCACCAGCACAUGGUGCGCCACUGCUAUAUAGCAAUGGCGCACCACAUAUAGCAAUGGCGCACCACAUGUCUGAUGCGCCAUUAGUGGCCAUUCCAUCUAUAGCCCUUUUCCUAGUAGUGUUUUUUCUAGCCCUCCGGAUCGAGCACAACUUCGGUAAACAGACGAGGCCCGAAGAAAAAGUUGCGCUCGGAUGAAAGGUUUGAGAUCACAGAAAUCGCGCGCGACGGCCAACCGAUUGAACCCAUCCGGACAAAGGAAGCAUUUGCUGCUCCGUGCGGGGUUCUUGUUAGGGACAAGAUCCCGAUCAGCAUCCACCAAGGUAUAAGCCUAAGAACGAAGACCCUGAGGUGUCUUAUGUCAAUGAUAUGCAGAAAGAUGAUCUUUGGACUAAGCUGAAGGCAAAUUUCACCCUACCGCCAGAGGAGGAUCCGGAGAAGCCAGUUAAAGAGCAAUUAAUCAAGUCUCAUGCUCUUAAGAAGAUGGCAGACCUAUUCAGGAGGUGGAAAAAUGAGCUGAAAAGGUUUGUCGACAAAGAAGAGACACCAGAAUUCAUCGGCAAAUAUGAGAAGAUCAGAGAUCACUUGCUCGCAUUUGUGGCCCACAAGACAUCGGAAAAGAGUAAGAAGAUGUCGGCGACAAACAAGCAAAAUGCUGCGAAGAAGAAGCUUAACCAUCGCACAGGGUCAGGUGGCUACCUCAAAGCCCGGCCUCAGUGGGCCAAGGCUGAGAAUGAUCUGCUUAAGAAAGGGAUCGAACCAAAGACAAUGAACUGGCCAGACCGUUGCCGGACUUGGUUCUUUGGGGUUGGUGGAACCUUGGACCCUGUAUCAGGGAAGUGCCUUUGGAUGGACGAGCAAAUGAAAAUACCAGUCAAGAGGCUUCAGGACUAUAUCGAUGUAGCGCAGGAAGGGACGUUCGUUCCAAACAGAGAGAACGACGAGCUCACAAUGGCCCUCGGGAAUCCUGAGCACCAUGGACGGACACAAGGCACGCCAGGCUCCGUUCCGUGGAAGGCUGGGUUUCCGGAUGCAGGUGGUUACAAAUGCCAGGAGAGGAGGAAGAAAGUGCAGCAGACCAAACUGCAGGCGCUGCACGCAAGGGUACAAGCGAUAGAUGAACGAGAAGCAAAUCGCAGCAAACGAACUGCCGAAGCUUCCCCCGAAGCUACCCCACCAUCUCAGCGGAGAAGCAGCGUGGCUUCCACCGAGCUGCUUCAGCCGGAGCAUGUCUUGACGGCUCCUGCUAGCUACCCCGUGGAUGCUAUCACGGAGUCUCAAAAUUGCCACCUUAUGACGCAAUGGCAGAACUUAAAAGUCAAGGCGGUUGUCGUCACUGUUCGACGUUCUGAACCCGGCACAACUUUUCACUGUCGUCCGAUUCCAAAAGGAUAUGCUAGGGUGACCGUGGACGAAAUAACGGAGGGAUUUGAGGACCUCCAGCUUGACCACCCUACCGGUGAAGGGGAGACUCGGCUGGGUUCUGCUUUGAAGACUGCACCUCCGAACUGGACGCCUCCGCCUCCUCCUCCUCCUCCGGCGAGUCAGGGCACUCCGCCUCCUCCACCGCCUCCUCCUUCGGCGAGUGACGAUCAGGGCACUCAGCCUCCUUCUCCAGCGUGUGGUAGCACUCCGCCUCCUUCUCCGCCCGCGCCGGCACGCCCGAGCAACCAGCAGCCACCUCCUUCUCCACCUCGCCAGCAAGGGCGGAAGAGACCCGCCGCCGCCCCGGCUGCUCCGGCGCAUCGUAGUCCUUCUCCUCCGCCUUAUAAGCAAGCACGAAAGAAGACAGCCGCAGCCGCUACGUCUGCUCCGGCGUCUAGCAGUACAGCCAGAGGCGGGAGGCAAUACAGAUACGGUCCACCUCUCAAGCCUCUAGAGAAGUUACCGUAUGAGAGGAACAAGGAGGAAAACGCGAAGAUCGUGCGGACCGAAGUGAAGGACUUCUUUGAAGGGUUGAAUGCAAAGAGACAUCCACCUCCGGAGGAGAAGGUAGAUCCGGUGAAAGCAAAGCGCACUAUCGAUGCCCUGAGGAAACCACAAAAGUCUCCGCCAAAAACCAACUAUGAGCGCAUUACUGAAAAGGCAUAUCUCGAAGCGGAGCGGUCGGGAAGUACUAUCAGUGAUCAAAGGUUAAAAGAACGAGCAGCUGGGAAAAAAUUGCCCAGCUCGGCGAACAAGCAAAGCAAUCAUACCCCCUGCUCAAUGUGUCUAGCGACAUUGUCGCUAAUGCUCCGGGGAUGGUGCCCGGUUAUAGCAAUCUUGGAGAUUACCUACCCGACGAUGUACAUUUCGAUUUCUUGGAGGUGGAUGAACACAGAUACGAGUACGGGAAGCCUCUCGUCAAAGAUGAAAAAUCUCUAACAACGAUGAUGCGAAGAUUCCAUAAUUGGUACAUGAAAACCUGCAGAGAGUCUGGGGGGACGAAUACUUUGUAUCUGAGAAUUAAAGAGGAGCACGACGGCGUUGGAACUGAUCUGUUACUUGUUCCAUUUGAGGAGUUCUUCGAGUUCUUCAAUCAAAAGGCCCUCGAUAAAUUAACGGUCUUUUGCUACUGUCUGUAAGUACUAUUUCUGUCAUUAAGUCUCUAUAUAUAGCUUAGCUCUUUCAUUGCAUGUAUUUAUAAUUAAUUAUCCUCACUAUAUUAUGCAGAUUGAAGAUCGUCGAGUGCAGAAAAGCAGAAAUGUAUGAUAUUGGGUUCAUUAACACAAAUAUCAUAGAUGAAUUUCUGGUUACAAAGGACGCCGAAGAGGCCGAGGCCUACUUGCUACAAUCGUUGAUCAAAAAUCAAAACAAAGAUUUAAUACUCUUUCCUUACAACUUCGAGUGAGUGUUACUGUCGUGUGCAUAUUCGGUUUCCCUUAUUACUCGAGCGAGGUUAUAGUUAUGUAAUUGAUGAGUUAUGCAUGCGUGCGCAGCUUCCACAAUGUUCUUCUGGAGAUUAAGCUUGAGCGUGGACUAGUAACCUUCUUAGACUCGAGACGAAAAGAUCCCAAAACCUAUGCGGACAUGACUAAAAUGCUCAACAAGUAAUUUCACUCGAUCAUUAUCGCACCAUAUCGGCAACUUUUUGUUCGUUUCCUGAUAUCUCAAGUAAUAAUAAUUAUUUCCUUUGUCUUGCAGGGUCUGGAAAAAGUUCACCACAGAAGCUCCGGGACUGCCGAAAGAGCUGCGAUAUACAUACCCGAAAGUAAGUACUACUAGCUAGCUAGUUGCGCGCAUCUCCCGUUGAUUCUAUAGCUAUACUUUCAUCAAUGCCAUUUAUAAUGCUUCAUUAUCAGUUUGAUUGACCUCUAUUUCUCGUAAAGUGCUUCUGGUAGGAACAAGGGAAUGAUUACUGUGGAUACUACGUGUGCGAGUUCAUCUACAACGCGACUUUGAAAAAUAAGCGGGGCUACUCUAAAAGACAAUAUGAAGUGCGUAAGCAAUAAUAUUCACAAUUUCAUUUUAUUACACCAUCAUUUCUGUUGAGUUUCAUUCAUAUAUAUGUAUUAACCCCCUUCUUCAAAUUAGACGUGGCAGAUGCGGAAUGAACUCCUACCACAAGAUCACAUGAAAACAAUUCAAGAGGAAUUGGCGGGAUUCUUUCUUGACCACGUCAUCAAUAAAGCCGGAAAAUACCAUGUGGAAGUUGAUUUCAAAUGCUAGGGGAUUGUAAGAGAUCUUACAUAUUGUAUAUGUAUGUAGCCAGUAGCGUCGGAUAGAUAAUACGAAAACUUGUUGUUCGACCAUUCUCUCGGAGAAGGAGAGGUUGAUUGAUCACUUCUCUCGGUAUGCAUGACGAACUUCUGUACUUAAUGGUUUCCUUCAUUUUCUUACUAGCUAGCGUGUCGAGGGCCUCUCUAUGUAUAGUACGUAGCGUCGACCAAGCACGGACAUAAGAGAGGACACUUCUCUCUAUUAAUUAGCAAGCUAACACAAUAUAUGAAACGCCUAAAUUAACCCCCCAAAACCCCCAACCCCCCAACCUUUCAAAAAAACAAAAACCCCAGCCCCUAAAAUGCUGACGCGUGGAUGUCUUUUGGUCCCGGUUGGUGCCACCAACCGGGACCAAAGGCCCUCUUGCCUGGGCUCGGCGCACCGGCCACGUGAAGGCCCAUCAGUCCCGGUUCGUGUAAGAACCGGGACUAAUGGGCUAGGGCAUUAGUAACGACCCUUUAGUCCCGGUUCAAAAACCGGGACAAAAGGCCCUUACCAACCGGGACGAAUGGGGGUUUUUCUACUAGUGAAGGGUCACCAAAUAUGCGUUCGACGACUCCUUGUUCGAUCGAAUGGUACACGUGAUUCUCCCGCGGCAGACGAGCGUUGCCUAAUUCCAAUUUCGAACCCUAUCAUGUUAAGUUUCUCAAUCUUCUUCACUAAGUUUCUUUCCGAUUUUAGCGCCUUGCUUCAGCAUUUCCACAUGGUUAUUAAACCAACACCUCAUGAUAAGAAACCAUUGUGUAUAUUUCAGGUCGGUACUCGCCGAUGCAAAAUCUCUCAAAAAACAUGAGAGGAGAGGGAUGGUGACCAAAGGAACAUCGCGCCAUCCAUUGACCGAAGUAUAUUUGAUAUUCACCUGCGAAGUCUUUUCUAGAACGCAUGAAAUACAUUCACACAAUGAGGGUUGAGAUAUGAGGGCAUCAGGUCCAUUGCCAAAAUCGCCUCUUUCGAGCUUGAUGUAGUUAAGUUUCCUAAUUAGGCACUAAGUUUGUUCUCCGUGAGCUCUAGGAGUACAUGAUGGGGGAGGGAUUGUGUGCAAAUGUGCAUCGAGUCAGCCAUAUACCGAACAAUACACGAGUUUUUUUUGUCAUCAGUACGACAUCUACGUAUAGGGUGACAUUCUAUCUUCUGAGCUCGUAGACAUAUACAUACAUUGCUCACUACAGGGACCCAGAUUCGUACCUCACAAAAAGAUCCAAUCCCAGCACUUCCCUUUCACAAUAUAUUAGACCACUUAUUAGACCUAGAUACAUCCAAUGAGGAAUGAGAUACCCGUCUAUCGGGAGUUGCUACUAAUAUCACCUCUGUCGAGCUCCCAUGUAGUUAAGUUUCUCGAUUUUAACACUAAGUUCCUUUUUCAUAACCUCUAUUGAGGAGGUGAUGGGAGAGGGGUGGUUUCCAAAUGUGCAUUGGCCAUCCCUCGAUAGAAGAACAUAUCUGAUUCGCCUAUGAAAAGGCACUAGGUGCAAUUUUACCAUGAUAAGGCAAAAUCUCUCAACCAGUGCCAGCAGAGAUGGAUGGUGAUCAAAUGACCAUUGAUAUUUGCAGCAUAUGGAUGUGUAGCUCAUUAAAAUGAGGCACUAGGUUGAAUAUAUAUAGAUGUGCGUACCCAGUGAGCGUCGGAAACCUCCUCUUUUUCAGCCAUAUGGAGUUAAGUUUCUCAUAUUUUCCCCCAAGUUUCGUUCCCGUGAGCUCUAUGGAAGGGUGACGAAAUAUGCGUUCGCCGACUCUAUCGUGUUAAGUUUCUCAAUCUUACUCACUAAGUUUCUCUCUGAUUUUUGCGCCUAGGCAGGAUGCUCAUUUAAAUGAGGCACUAGGUGGAAUAUAUAUAGGUGUUCGGUGUGCGUCACCGGCGAGCAUUGUAAACCUCCUUUUUCUAGGGAGUUAAGUUUCUCAUAUUUAGCCUUAAUUUCUUUCUCGUGAGUUCUACGGAAGGGUCACCAAAUUUGCGUUGGAUGACUCCUCGUUCGACCGAACGGUACACGUGAUUCUCCCGCGGCAGACGAGCGCUGCCUAAUUCCAAUUUCGAGCCCUAUCAUGUUAAGUUUCUUAAUCUUCUUCACUAAGUUUCUUUCUGAUUUUUGCGCCCUUCAGCAUUUCCACAUGGUUAUUAAACCAACACCUCAUGAUAAGAGACCAUUGUUUAUAUUUCAGGUCCUUGUAAAAUCUCUCAACAAACAUGAGAGGAAUUCUUACCUCACGAAAAAACCCAAUCCCAACACUUCCCUUUCAUAAUAUAUUAGACCAUUUAUUAGACAUAGAUACACGAUAGAAGAACAUAUCUGAUUCGCCUAUGACAAGGCACUAGGUCCAAUUUUCUCAAGACAAGGCAAAAUCUCUCAACUAGUGCCAGCGGAGAUGGAUGGUGAUCAAAUGACCAUUGAUAUUUGCAGCAUAUGGAACCGUAGCUCAUUAAAACGAGGCACUAGGUGGAAUAUAUAUAGGUGUGCGUAACUGGUGAGCGUCGGAAACCUCCUCUUUUUGAGCCAUUGGAGUUAAGUUUCUCAUAUUUACCCCGAAGUUUCUUUCCCGUGAGCUCUACGGAAGGGUGACCAAAUAUGUGUUCGCCGACUCUAUCAUGCUAAGUUUCUAAAUCUUCUUCACUAAGAUUCUUUCUUAUUUUUGCGCCUAGACAGGCUGCUCAUUUAAAUGAGGCACUAGGUGGAAUAUAUAUAGGUGUUCGGUGUGCGUCACCCGCGAGCGUUGUAAACCUCCUUUUUUUGAGCCACAUGGAGUUAAGUUUCUCAUAUUUAGCCUUAAGUUUCCUUCCCGUGAGCUGUACGGAAGGGUCACAAAUUAUGCAUUCGAUGUCUCCUCGUUCGAUCGAAUGGUACACGUGAUUCUCCUGCGGCAGACGAGCGUUGCCUAAUUCCAAUUUCGAGCCCUAUCAUGUUAAGUUUAUCAAUCUUCUUCACUAAGUUUGUUUCUGAUUUUUGCGAAUUCCUUCAGCAUUGCCACAUGGUUAUUAAACCAACACCUCAUGAUAAGAGACCAUUAUGUAUAUUUCAGGUCGGUACUCAUCGUUGCAAAAUCUCUCAACAAAAAUGACCAUUGAUAUUUGCAACAUAUGGAUACGUAGCUCAUUAAAACGAGGCACUAGGUGCAAUAUAUAUAGGUGUGCAUACCCAGUAAGCGUCGGAAACCUCCUCUUUUUGAGCCAUAUGGAGUUAAGUUUCUCAUAUUUUCCCCUAAGUUUCUUUCCCGUGAGCUCUAUGGAAGGGUGACGAAAUAUGCGUUCGCCGACUCUAUCGUGUUAAGUUUCUCAAUCUUACUCACUAAGUUUCUCUCUGAUUUUUGCGCCUAGGCAGGAUGCUCAUUUAAAUGAGGCACUAGGUGGAAAUAUAUAGGUGUUCGGUGUGCGUCACCGGCGAGCAUUGUAAACCUCCUUUUUCUGAGACAUAUGGAGUUAAGUUUCUCAUAUUUAGCCUUAAUUUCUUUCUCGUGAGCUCUACGGAAGGGUCACCAAAUUUGCGUUGGAUGACUCCUCGUUCGACCGAACGGUACACGUGAUUCUCCCGCGGCAGACGAGCGCUGCCUAAUUCCAAUUUCGAGCCCUAUCAUGUUAAGUUUCUUAAUCUUCUUCACUAAGUUUCUUUCUGAUUUUUGCGCCCUUCAGCAUUUCCACAUGGUUAUUAAACCAACACCUCAUGAUAGAGACCAUUGUUUAUAUUUUAGAUCCUUGCAAAAUCUCUCAACAAACAUGAGAGGAAUUCUUACCUCACGAAAAAACCCAAUCCCAACACUUCCCUUUCAUAAUAUAUUAGACCAUUUAUUAGACAUAGAUACACGAUAGAAGAACAUAUCUGAUUCGCCUAUGACAAGGCACUAGGUCCAAUUUUCUCAAGACAAGGCAAAAUCUCUCAACUAGUGCCAGCGGAGAUGGAUGGUGAUCAAAUGACCAUUGAUAUUUGCAGCAUAUGGAACCGUAGCUCAUUAAAACGAGGCACUAGGUGGAAUAUAUAUAUGGGUGUGCGUAACUGGUGAGCGUCGGAAACCUCCUCUUUUUGAGCCAUUGGAGUUAAGUUUCUCAUAUUUACCCCGAAGUUUCUUUCCCGUGAGCUCUACGGAAGGGUGACCAAAUAUGUGUUCGCCGACUCUAUCAUGCUAAGUUUCUAAAUCUUCUUCACUAAGAUUCUUUCUGAUUUUUGCGCCUAGACAGGCUGCUCAUUUAAAUGAGGCACUAGGUGGAAUAUAUAUAGGUGUUCGGUGUGCGUCACCCGCGAGCGUUGUAAACCUCCUUUUUUUGAGCCAUAUGGAGUUAAGUUUCUCAUAUUUAGCCUUAAGUUUCCUUCCCGUGAGCUGUACGGAAGGGUCACAAAUUAUGCAUUCGAUGUCUCCUCGUUCGAUCGAAUGGUACACGUGAUUCUCCUGCGGCAGACGAGCGUUGCCUAAUUCCAAUUUCGAGCCCUAUCAUGUUAAGUUUAUCAAUCUUCUUCACUAAGUUUGUUUCUGAUUUUUGCGAAUUCCUUCAGCAUUUCCACAUGGUUAUUAAACCAACACCUCAUGAUAAGAGACCAUUAUGUAUAUUUCAGGUCGGUACUCAUCGUUGCAAAAUCUCUCAACAAAAAUGACCAUUGAUAUUUGCAACAUAUGGAUACGUAGCUCAUUAAAACGAGGCACUAGGUGCAAUAUAUAUAGGUGUGCGUACCCAGUGAGCGUCGGAAACCUCCUCUUUUUGAGCCAUAUGGAGUUAAGUUUCUCAUAUUUUCCCCUAAGUUUCUUUCCCGUGAGCCCUAUGGAAGGGUGACGAAAUAUGCGUUCGCCGACUCUAUCGUGUUAAGUUUCUCAAUCUUACUCACUAAGUUUCUGUCUGAUUUUUGCGCCUAGGCAGGAUGCUCAUUUAAAUGAGGCACUAGGUGGAAUAUAUAUAGGUGUUCGGUGUGCGUCACCGGCGAGCAUUGUAAACCUCCUUUUUCUGAGACAUAUGGAGUUAAGUUUCUCAUAUUUAUCCUUAAUUUCUUUCUCGUGAGCUCUACGGAAGGGUCACCAAAUUUGCGUUGGAUGACUCCUCGUUCGACCGAACGGUACACGUGAUUCUCCCGCAGCAGACGAGCGCUGCCUAAUUCCAAUUUCGAGCCCUAUCAUGUUAAGUUUCUUAAUCUUCUUCACUAAGUUUCUUUCUGAUUUUUGCGCCCUUCAGCAUUUCCACAUGGUUAUUAAACCAACACCUCAUGAUAAGAGACCAUUGUUUAUAUUUCAGGUCCUUGCAAAAUCUCUCAACAAACAUGAGAGGAAUUCUUACCUCACGAAAAAAUCCAAUCCCAACACUUCCCCUUCAUAAUAUAUUAGACCAUUUAUUAGACAUAGAUACACGAUGGAAGAACAUAUCUGAUUCGCCUAUGACAAGGCACUAGGUCCAAUUUUCUCAUGACAAGGCAAAAUCUCUCAACCAGUGCCAGCAGAGACGGAUGGUGAUCAAAUGACCAUUGAUAUUUGCAGCAUAUGGAUGCGUAGCUCAUUAAAAGGAGGCACUAGGUGGAAUAUAUAUGGGUGUGCGUUACAGGUGAGCAUCGGAAACCUCCUCUUUUUGAGCCAUAUGGAGUUAAGUUUCUCAUAUUUACCCCUAAGUUUCAUUCCCGUGAGCUCUACGGAAGGGUGACCAAAUAUGUGUUCGCCGACUCUAUCAUGUUAAGUUUCUCAAUCUUCUUCACUAAGUUUCUUUCUGAUAUUUGCGCCUAGACAGGCUGGUCAUUUAAAUGAGGCACUAGGUGGAAUAUAUAUAGGUGUUCGGUGUGCGUCACCAGCGGGCAUUGUAAACCUCCUUUUUCUGAGCCAUAUGGAGUUAAGUUUCUCAUAUUUAGCCUUAAGUUUCUUUCCCGUGAGCUCUAUGGAAGGGUCACCAAUUAUGAGUUCGACGUCUCCUUGUUCGAUCGAAUGGUACACGUGAUUCUCCCACGGCAGACGAGCGUUGCCUAAUUCCAAUUUUGAGCCCUAUCAUGUUAAGUUUAUCAAUCUUCUUCACUAAGUUUCUUUGUAAUUUUUAUGAAUUCCUUCAGCAUUUCUACAUGGUUAUUAAACCAACACCUCAUGAUAAUAGACCAUUAUGUAUAUUUCAGGUCGGUACUCGUCGUUGCAAAAUCUGUCAACAAAAAUGAACAUUGAUAUUUGCAACAUAUGGAUGCGUAGCUUAUUAAAACGAGGCACUAGGUGGAAUAUAUAUAGGUGUGCGUUACCGGUGAGCGUCAGAAACCUCCUCUUUUUGAGCCAUAUGGAGUUAAGUUUCUCAUAUUUACCCCCAAGUUUCUUUCCCGUGAGCUCGACGGAAGGGUGACGAAAUAUGCGUUCGCCGACUCUAUCAUGUUAAGUUUCUCAAUCUUACUGACUAAGUUUCUGUCUGAUUUUUGCGCCUAGGCAGGCUGUUCAUUUAAAUGAGGCACUAGGUGGAAUAUAUAUAGGUGUUCAGUGUACGUCGGCGACUAGCGUUGUAAACCUCCUUCUUCUGAGCCGUAUGGAGUUAAGUUUCUCAUAUUUAGCCUUAAUUUAUUUCCGGUGAGCUCUACGGAAGGGUCACCAAAUUUGCGUUGGACGACUCCUUGUUCGACCAAACGGUACACGUGAUUCUCCCGCGGCAGACGAGCAUUGCCUAAUUCCUAUUUUGAGCCCUAUCAUGUUAAGUUUCUUAAUCUUCUUCACUAAGUUUGUUUCUGAUUUUUGCGCCCUUCAGCAUUUCCACAUGGUUAUUAAACCAACACCUCAUGAUAAGAGACCAUUGUUUAUAUUUCAGGUCCUUGCAAAAUCUCUCAACAAACAUGAGAGGAAUUCUUACCUCACGAAAAUAUCUAAUCACAGCACUUCCCUUUCAUAAUAUAUUAGACCAUUUACUAGACAUAGAUACAUGAUAGAAGAACAUAUCUGAUACGCCUAUGACAAGGCACUAGGUGCAAUUUUCUCAAGACAAGGAAAAAUCUCUCAACCAGUGCCAGCGGAGACGGAUGGUGAUCAAAUGGCGAUUGAUAUUUGCAGCAUAUGGAUGUGUAGCUCAUUAAAACCAGGCACUAGGUGGAAUAUAUAUAUGUGUCCAUAACAGGUGAACGUCGGAAACCUCCUCUUUUUGAGCCAUAUGGACUUAAGUUUCUCAUAUUUACCCCUAUGUUUCUCACCCGUGAGCUCUACGGAAGGGUGACCAAAUAUGUGUUCGCCGACUCUAUCAUGUUAAGUUUCUCAAUCUUCUUCACUAAGUUUCUUUCUUAUUUUUGCGCCUAGAUAGGCUGCUCAUUUAAAUGAGGCACUAGGUGAAUAUAUAUAGGUUUUCGGUGUGCCUCCCCGGCGAGCUUUGUAAACCUCCUUUUUAUGAGCCAUAUGGAGUGAAGUUUCUCAUAUUUAGCCUUAAGUUUCUUUCCGGUGAGCUCUACGGAAGGGUCACCAAUUAUGCGUUCGACGUCUCCUCGUUUGAUCGAACGGUACAUGUGAUUCUCCCGCGGCAAACGAGCGUUGUCUAUUUCCAAUUUCGAGCCCUAUCAUGUUAAGUUUAUCAAUCUUCAUCACUAAGUUUCUUUCUUAUUUUUGCGCCUUCCUUCAGCAUUUCCACAAGGUUAUUAAACAAACACCUCAUGAUAAGAGACCAUUAUGUAUACUUCAGGUCGGUACUCGUCGUUGCAAAAUCUCACAACAAAAAUGACCAUUGAUAUUUGCAACAUAUGGAUGCGUAGCUCAUUAAAACGAAGCACUAGGUGGAAUAUAUAUAGGUGUGCGUAACUGGUGAGCGUCGGAAACCUCCUCUUUUUGAGCCAUAUGCAGUUAAGUUUCUUAUAUUUACCCUUAAGUUUGUUUCCCGUGAGCACUACGGAAGGGUAACCAAAUAUGUGUUCGCCGACUGUAUCAUGUUAAGUUUCUCAAUCUUCUUCACUAAGUUUUAUUCUGAUUUUUGCGCCUAGACAGGCUGCUCAUUUUAAAGAGGCACUAGGUGGAACAUAUAUAGGUGUUCGGUGUGCGUCACCGGCGAGCGUUGUAAACCACCUUUUUCUGAGCCAUAUGGAGUUAAGUUUCUCAUAUUUAGCCUUAAGUUUCUUUCCUGUGAGGUCUAUGGAAGGGUCACCAAUUAUGCGUUCGACGUCUCCUCGUUCGAUCGAACGGUACACGUGAUUCUCCCGCGGCAGACAAGCGUUGCCUAAUUCCAAUUUUGAGCCCUAUCAUGUUAAGUUUAUCAAUCAUCUUCACUAAGUUUCUUUCUGAUUUUUGCGCCUUCCUUCAGCAUUUCCACAUGGUUAUUAAACCAACACCUCAUGAUAAGAGACCAUUAUGUAUAUUUCAGGUCGGUACUCGUCGUUGCGUAAUCUCUGAACAAAAAUUAACAUUGAUAUUUGCAACAUAUGGAUGCGUAGCUCAUUAAAACGAGGCACUAGGUGGAAUAUAUAUAGGUUUACAUAACCGGUGAGCGUCGGAAACCUCCUCUUUUUGAGCCAUAUGGAGUUAAGUUUCUCAUAUUUACCCUCAAGUUUCUUUCCCGUGAGCUCUAUGGAAGGGUGAAGAAAUAUGUGUUCGCCGACUCUAUCGUGUUAAGUUUCUCAAUCUUACUGACUAAGUUUCUGUCUGAUUUUUGCGCCUAGGCAGGCUGCUCAUAUAAAUGAGGCACUAGGUGGAAUAUAUAUAGGUGUUCGGUGUACGUCGGCGGCUAGCGUUGUAAACCUCCUUUUUCUGAGCCGUAUGGAGUUAAGUUUCUCAUAUUUAGCCUUAAUUUCUUUCCCGUGAGCUCUACGGAAGGGUCACCGAAUUUGCGUUGGACGACUCCUUGUUCGACCAAACGGUAGACGUGAUUCUCCCGCGGCAGACGAGCGUUGCCCAAUUCUAAUUUUGAGCCCUAUCAUGUUAAGUUUCUUAAUCUUCUUCACUAAGUUUGUUUCUGAUUUUUGCGCCCUUCAGCAUUUCCACUUGGUUAUUAAACCAACACCUCAUGAUAAGAGAUCAUUGUUUAUAUUUCAGGUCCUUGCAAAAUCUCUCAACAAACAUGAGAGGAAUUCUUACCUCACGAAAAAAUCCAAUCCCAGCACUUCCCUUUCAUAAUAUAUUAGACCAUUUACUAGACAUAGAUACACGAUAGAAGAACAUAUCUGAUACGCCUAUGACAAGGCACUAGGUGCAAUUUUCUCAAGACAAGGCAAAAUCUCUCAACCAGUGCUAGCGGAGACGGAUGGUGAUCAAAUGGCGAUUGAUAUUUGCAGCAUAUGGAUGUGUAGCUCAUUAAAACUAGGCACUAGGUGGAAUAUAUAUAGGUGUGCAUAACAGGUGAGCGUCGGAAACCUCCUCUUUUUGAGCCAUAUGGACUUAAGUUUCUCAUAUUUACCCCUAAGUUUCUCACCCGUGAGCUCUACGGAAGGGUGACCAAAUAUGUGUUCGUCGACUCUAAUAUGUUAAGUUUCUCAAUCUUCUUCACUAAGUUUCUUUCUUAUUUUUGCGCCUAGACAGGCUGCUCAUUUAAAUGAGGCACUAGGUGGAAUAUAUAUAGGUGUUCGGUGUGCGUCCCCGGCGAGCGUUGUAAACCUCCUUUUUAUGAGCCAUAUGGAGUUAAGUUUCUCAUAUUUAGCCUUAAGUUUCUUUCCGGUGAGCUCUACGGAAAGGUCACCAAUUAUGCGUUCGACGUCUCCUCAUUUAAUCGAACGGUACAUGUGAUUCUCCCGCGGCAAACGAGCGUUGUCUAUUUCCAAUUUCGAGCCCUAUCAUUUUAAGUUUAUCAAUCUUCAUCACUAAGUUUCAUUCUUAAUUUUGCGCCUUCCUUCAGCAUUUCCACAAGGUUAUUAAACAAACACCUCAUGAUAAGAGACCAUUAUGUAUACUUCAGGUCGGUACUCAUCAUUGCAAAAUCUCUCAACAAAAAUGACCAUUGAUAUUUGCAACAUAUGGAUCCGUAGCUCAUUAAAACGAAGCACUAGGUGGAAUAUAUAUAGGUGUGCGUAACUGGUGAGCGUCGGAAACCUCCUCUUUUUGAGCCAUAUGGAGCUAAGUUUCUUAUAUUUACCCCUAUGUUUGUUUCCCGUGAGCUCUACGGAGGGUAACCAAAUAUGUGUUCGCCGACUGUAUCAUGUUAAGUUUCUCAAUCUUCUUCACUAUGUUUCAUUUUGAUUUUUGCGCCUAGACAGGCUGCUCAUUUUAAAGAGGCACUAGGUGGAACAUAUAUAGGUGUUUGGUGUGCGUCACCGGCGAGCUUUGUAAACCUCCUUUUUCUGAGCCAUAUGGAGUUAAGUUUCUCAUAUUUAGCCUUAAGUUUCUUUCCCGUGAGCUCUAUGGAAGGGUCACCAAUUAUGCGUUCGACGUCUCCUCGUUCGAUCGAACGGUACACGUGAUUCUCCCGCGGCAGAGGAGCGUUGCCUAAUUCCAAUUUUGAGCCCUAUCAUGUUAAGUUUAUCAAUCUUCUUCACUAAGUUUUUUCUGAUUUUUGCGCCUUCCUUCAGCAUUUCCACAUGGUUAUUAAACCAACACCUCAUGAUAAGAGACCAUUAUGUAUAUUUCAGGUCGGUACUCGUCGUUGCAAAAUCUCUCAACAAAAAUGAACAUUGAUAUUUGCAACAUAUGGAUGCGUAGCUCAUUAAAACGAGGCACUAGGUGGAAUAUAUAUAGGUUUGCAUAACCGGUGAGCGUCGGAAACCUCCUCUUUUUGAGCCAUAUGGAGUUAAGUUUCUCAUAUUUACCCCCAAGUUUCUUUCCCGUGAGCUCUACGGAAGGGUGACGAAAUAUGCGUUCGCCGACUCUAUCGUGUUAAGUUUCUAAAUCUUACUGACUAAGUUUCUGUCUGAUUUUUGCGCCUAGGCAGGCUGCUCAUAUAAUUGAGGCACUAGGUCGAAUAUAUAUAUAUAGGUGUUCGGUGUACGUCGGCGGCUAGCGUUGUAAACCUCCUUUUUCUGAUCCAUAUGGAGUUAAGUUUCUCAUAUUUAGCCUUAAUUUCUUUCCCGUGAGCUCUACGGAAGGGUCACCAAAUUUGCGUUGGACGACUCCUUGUUCGACCAAACGGUACACGUGAUUCUCCCGCGGCAGACGAGCGUUGCCUAAUUCCAAUUUUGAGCCCCAUCAUGUUAAGUUUCUUAAUCUUCUUCACUAAGUUUGUUUCUGAUUUUUGCGCCCUUCAGCAUUUCCACGUGGUUAUUAAACCAACACCUCAUGAUAAGAGACCAUUGUUUAUAUUACAGGUCCUUGCAAAAUCUCUGAACAAACAUGAGAGGAAUUCUUACCUCACGAAAAAAUCCAAUCCCAGCACUUCCCUUUCAUAAUAUAUUAGACCAUUUACUAGACAUAGAUACACGAUAGAAGAACAUAUCUGAUACGCCUAUGACAAGGCACUAGGUGCAAUUUUCUCAAGACAAGGCAAAAUCUCUCAACCAGUGCUAGCGUAGACGGAUGGUGAUCAAAUGGCGAUUGAUAUUUGCAGCAUAUGGAUGUGUAGCUCAUUAAAACUAGGCACUAGGUGGAAUAUAUAUAGGUGUGCAUAACAGGUGAGCGUCGGAAACCUCCUCUUUUUGAGCCAUAUGGACUUAAGUUUCUCAUAUUUACCCCUAAGUUUCUCACCCGUGAGCUCUACGGAAGGGUGACCAAAUAUGUGUGCGUCGACUCUAUCAUGUUAAGUUUCUCAAUCUUCUUCACUAAGUUUCUUUCUUAUUUUUGCGCCUAGACAGGCUGCACAUUUAAAUGAGGCACUAGGUGGAAAAUAUGUAGGUGUUCAGUGUGCGUCCCUGGCGAGCGUUGUAAACCUCCUUUUUCUGAGCCAUAUAGAGUUAAGUUUCUCAUAUUUAGCCUUAAGUUUCUUUCCGGUGAGCUCUAUGGAAGGGUCACCAAUUAUGCGUUCGACGUCUCGUUGUUUGAUCGAACGGUACGCGUGAUUUUCCCGCGGCAAACGAGCGUUGUCUAAUUCCAAUUUCGAGCCAUAUCAUGUUAAGUUUAUCAAUCUUCUUCAGUAAGUUUCUUUCUUAUUUUUGUGCCUUCCUUCAGCAUUUCCACGAGGUUAUUAAACAAACACCUCAUGAUAAGAGACCAUUAUGUAUACUUGAGGUCGGUACUCGUCAUUGUAAAAUCUCUCAACAAAAAUGACCAUUGAUAUUUGCAACAUAUGGAUGCGUAGCUCAUUAAAACGAAGCACUAGGUGGAAUAUAUAUAGGUGUGCGUAACUGGUGAGCGUCGGAAACCUCCUCUUUUUGAGCCAUAUGGAGUUAAGUUUCUUAUAUUUACCCCUAAGUUUGUUUCCCAUGAGCUCUACGGAAGGGUAACCAAAUAUGUGUUCGCCGACUGUAUCAUGUUAUGUUUCUCAAUCUUCUUCACUAAGUUUCAUUCUGAUUUUUGCGCCAAGACAGGCUGCUCAUUUUAAAGAGGCACUAGGUGGAACAUAUAUAGGUUUACGGUGUGCGUCACCGGCGAGCGUUGUAAACCUCCUUUUUCUGAGCCAUAUGGAGUUAAGUUUCUCAUAUUUAGCCUUAAGUUUCUUUCCCGUGAGCUCUAUCGAAGAGUCACAAAUUAUGUGUUCGAUGUCUCCUCGUUCGAUCGAACGGUACACGUGAUUCUCCCGCGGCAGACGAGCGUUGCCUAAUUCCAAUUUUGAGCCCUAUCAUGUUAAGUUUAUCAAUCUUCUUCACUAAGUUUCUUUCUGAUUUUUGCGCCUUCCUUCAGCAUUUCCACGUGGUUAUUAAACCAACACGUCAUGAUAAGAGACCAUUAUGUAUAUUUCAGGUCAGUACUCGUCGUUGCAAAAUCACUCAACAAAAAUGAACAUUGAUAUUUGCAACAUAUGGAUGCGUAGCUCAUUAAAACAAGGCACUAGGUGGAAUAUAUAUAGGUUUGCAUAACCGGUGAGCGUCAGCAACCUCCUCUUUUUGAGCCAUAUGGAGUUAAGUUUCUCAUAUUUAGCCCUAAGUUUAUUUCCCGUGAGCUCUAUGGAAGGGUGACGAAAUAUGCGUUCGCCGACUCUAUCGUGUUAAGUUUCUCAAUGUUACUGACUAAGUUUCUGUCUAAUUUUUGCGCCUAGGCAGGCUGCUCAUUUAAAUGAAUCACUACUUGGAAUAUAUAUAGGUGUUCGGUGUAUGUCGGCGGCGAGCGUUGUAAACCUCCUUUUUCUGAGCCAUAUGGAGUUAAGUUUCUCAUAUUUAGCCUUGUUCGACGAUAUGUAAGAGACCACUGUUUAUAUUUCAGGUCCUUGCAAAAUCUCUCCACAAACAUGAGAGGAAUUCUUACUUGAUUAAAAAAUCCAAUCCCAGCACUUCCCUUUCAUAAUAUAUUAGACCAUUUACUAGACAUAGAUACACGAUAGAAGAACAUAUCUGAUACGCCAAUGACAAGGCACUAGGUGCAAUUUUCUCAAAACAAGGCAAAAUCUCGCAACCAGUGCGAGCGGAGACGGAUUGUGAUCAAAUGGCGAUUGAUAUUUGCAGCAUAUGGAUGCGUAGCUCAUUAAAACCAGGCACUAGGUGGAAUAUAUAUAGGUGUGCAUAACAGGUGAGCGUCGGAAACCUCCUCUUUUUGAGCCGUAUGGACUUAAGUUGCUCAUAUUUACCCCUAAGUUUCUCACCCGUGAGCUCUACGGAAGAUUGACCAAAUAUGUGUUCGCCGACUCUAUCAUGUUAAGUUUCUUAAUCUUCUUCACUAAGUUUCUUUCUUAUUUUUGCGCCUAGACAGGCUGCUCAUUUAAAUGAGGCACUAGGUGGAAUAUAUAUAGGUGUUCGGUGUGCAUCCCCGGGGAGCGUUAUAAACCUCCUUUUUCUGAGCCAUAUGGAGUUAAGUUUCUCAUAUUUAGCCUUAAGUUUCUUUCCGGUGAGCUCUACGGAAGGGUCACCACGUAUGCGUUCGACGUCUCCUCGUUUAUUCGAACGGUACACGUGAUUCUCCCGCGGCAAACGAGCGUUGUCUAAUUCCAAUUCCGAGCCCUAUCAUGUUAAGUUUAUCAAUUUUCUUCACUAAGUUUCUUUCUUAUUUUUGCGCCUUCCUUCAGCAUUUCCACAAGGUUAUUAAACAAACACCUCAUGAUAAGAGACCAUUAUGUAUACUUCAGGUCGGUACUCGUCGUUGCAAAAUCUCUCAACAAAAAUGACCAUUGAUAUUUGCAACAUAUGGAUGCGUAGCUCAUUAAAACAAAGCACUAGGUGGAAUAUAUAUAGGUGUGCGUAACUGGUGAGCAUCGGAAAGCUCCUCUUAUUGAGCCAUAUGGAGUUAAAUUUCUUAUAUUUACCCCUAAGUUUGUUUCCCGUGAGCUCUACUGAAGGGUACCCAAAUAUGUGUUCGCCGACUGUAUCAUUUUAAGUUUCUCAAUCUUCUGCACUAAGUUUCAUUCUGAUUUUGGCGCCUAGACAGGCUGCUCAUUUUAAAGAGGCACUAGGUGGAACAUAUAUAGUUGUUCGGUGUGCGUCACCGGCGAGCGUUGUAAACCUCCUUUUUCUGAGCCAUAUGGAUUUAAGUUUCUCAUAUUUAGCCUUAAGUUUCUUUCCCGUGAGCUCUAUGGAAGGGUCACAAAUUAUGCGUUCGACGUCUCCUCGUUCGAUCGAACGGUACACGUGAUUCUCCCGCGGCAGACAAGCGUUGCCUAAUUCCAAUUUUGAGCCCUAUCAUGUUAAGUUUAUCAAUCUUUUUACACUAAGUUUCUUUCUGAUUUUUGCGCCUUCCUUCAGCAUUUCCACGUGGUUAUUAAACCAACACCUCAUGAGAAGAGACCAUUAUGUAUAUUUCACGUCAGUACUCGUCGUUGAAAAAUCACUCAAUAAAAAUGAACAUUGAUAUUUGCAACAUAUGGAUGCAUAGCUCAUUAAAACAAGGCACUAGGUGGAAUAUAUAUAGGUUUGCAGAACCGGUGAGCGUCAGAAACCUCCUCUUUUUGAGCCAUAUGGAGUUAAGUUUCUCAUAUUUAGCCCUAUGUUUCUUUCCCGUGAGCUCUAUGGAAGGGUGACGAAAUAUGUGUUCGCCGACUCUAUCGUGUUAAGUUUCUCAAUAUUACUGACUAAGUUUCUGUCUGAUUUUUGCGCCUAGGCAGGCUGCUCAUUUAAAUGAGGCACUAGGUGGAAUAUAUAUAGGUGUUCGGUGUACGUCGGCGGCGAGCGUUGUAAACCUCCUUUUUCUAAGCCAUAUGGAGUUAAGUUUCUCAUAUUUAGCCUUAAUUUCUUUCCCGUGAGCUCUACGGAAGGGUCACCAAAUUUGCGUUGGACGACUCCUUGUUCGACCAAACGGUACACGUGAUUCUCCCGCGGCAGACGAGCGUUGCCUAAUUCCAAUUUUGAGCCCUAUCAUGUUAAGUUUCUUAAUCUUCUUCACUAAGUUUGUUUCUGAUUUUUGCUCCCUUCAGCAUUUCCACAUGGUUAUUAAACCAACACCUCAUGAUAAGAGACCAUUGUUUAUAUUUGAGGUCCUUGCAAAAUCUCUCCACAAACAUGAGAGGAAUUCUUACUUGACGAAAAAAUCCAAUCCCAGCACUUCCCUUUCAUAAUAUAUUAGACCAUUUACUAGACAUAGAUACACGAUAGAAGAACAUAUCUGAUACGCCUAUGACAAGGCACUAGGUGCAAUUUUCUCAAAACAAGGCAAAAUCUCGCAACCAGUGCGAGCGGAGACGGAUUGUGAUCAAAUGGCGAUUGAUAUUUGCAGCAUAUGGAUGCGUAGCUCAUUAAAACCAGGCACUAGGUGGAAUAUAUAUAGGUGUGCAUAACAGGUGAGCGUCGGAAACCUCCUCUUUUUGAGCCGUAUGGACUUAAGUUGCUCAUAUUUACCCCUAAGUUUCUCACCCGUGAGCUCUACGGAAGAUUGACCAAAUAUGUGUUCGCCGACUCUAUCAUGUUAAGUUUCUUAAUCUUCUUCACUAAGUUUCUUUCUUAUUUUUGCGCCUAGACAGGCUGCUCAUUUAAAUGAGGCACUAGGUGGAAUAUAUAUAGGUGUUCGGUGUGCAUCCCCGGGGAGCGUUAUAAACCUCCUUUUUCUGAGCCAUAUGGAGUUAAGUUUCUCAUAUUUAGCCUUAAGUUUCUUUCCGGUGAGCUCUACGGAAGGGUCACCACGUAUGCGUUCGACGUCUCCUCGUUUAUUCGAACGGUACACGUGAUUCUCCCGCGGCAAACGAGCGUUGUCUAAUUCCAAUUCCGAGCCCUAUCAUGUUAAGUUUAUCAAUUUUCUUCACUAAGUUUCUUUCUUAUUUUUGCGCCUUCCUUCAGCAUUUCCACAAGGUUAUUAAACAAACACCUCAUGAUAAGAGACCAUUAUGUAUACUUCAGGUCGGUACUCGUCGUUGCAAAAUCUCUCAACAAAAAUGACCAUUGAUAUUUGCAACAUAUGGAUGCGUAGCUCAUUAAAACAAAGCACUAGGUGGAAUAUAUAUAGGUGUGCGUAACUGGUGAGCAUCGGAAAGCUCCUCUUAUUGAGCCAUAUGGAGUUAAAUUUCUUAUAUUUACCCCUAAGUUUGUUUCCCGUGAGCUCUACUGAAGGGUACCCAAAUAUGUGUUCGCCGACUGUAUCAUUUUAAGUUUCUCAAUCUUCUGCACUAAGUUUCAUUCUGAUUUUGGCGCCUAGACAGGCUGCUCAUUUUAAAGAGGCACUAGGUGGAACAUAUAUAGUUGUUCGGUGUGCGUCACCGGCGAGCGUUGUAAACCUCCUUUUUCUGAGCCAUAUGGAUUUAAGUUUCUCAUAUUUAGCCUUAAGUUUCUUUCCCGUGAGCUCUAUGGAAGGGUCACAAAUUAUGCGUUCGACGUCUCCUCGUUCGAUCGAACGGUACACNNNNNNNNNNNNNNNNNNNNNNNNNNNNNNNNNNNNNNNNNNNNNNNNNNNNNNNNNNNNNNNNNNNNNNNNNNNNNNNNNNNNNNNNNNNNNNNNNNNNNNNNNNNNNNNNNNNNNNNNNNNNNNNNNNNNNNNNNNNNNNNNNNNNNNNNNNNNNNNNNNNNNNNNNNNNNNNNNNNNNNNNNNNNNNNNNNNNNNNNNNNNNNNNNNNNNNNNNNNNNNNNNNNNNNNNNNNNNNNNNNNNNNNNNNNNNNNNNNNNNNNNNNNNNNNNNNNNNNNNNNNNNNNNNNNNNNNNNNNNNNNNNNNNNNNNNNNNNNNNNNNNNNNNNNNNNNNNNNNNNNNNNNNNNNNNNNNNNNNNNNNNNNNNNNNNNNNNNNNNNNNNNNNNNNNNNNNNNNNNNNNNNNNNNNNNNNNNNNNNNNNNNNNNNNNNNNNNNNNNNNNNNNNNNNNNNNNNNNNNNNNNNNNNNNNNNNNNNNNNNNNNNNNNNNNNNNNNNNNNNNNNNNNNNNNNNNNNNNNNNNNNNNNNNNNNNNNNNNNNNNNNNNNNNNNNNNNNNNNNNNNNNNNNNNNNNNNNNNNNNNNNNNNNNNNNNNNNNNNNNNNNNNNNNNNNNNNNNNNNNNNNNNNNNNNNNNNNNNNNNNNNNNNNNNNNNNNNNNNNNNNNNNNNNNNNNNNNNNNNNNNNNNNNNNNNNNNNNNNNNNNNNNNNNNNNNNNNNNNNNNNNNNNNNNNNNNNNNNNNNNNNNNNNNNNNNNNNNNNNNNNNNNNNNNNNNNNNNNNNNNNNNNNNNNNNNNNNNNNNNNNNNNNNNNNNNNNNNNNNNNNNNNNNNNNNNNNNNNNNNNNNNNNNNNNNNNNNNNNNNNNNNNNNNNNNNNNNNNNNNNNNNNNNNNNNNNNNNNNNNNNNNNNNNNNNNNNNNNNNNNNNNNNNNNNNNNNNNNNNNNNNNNNNNNNNNNNNNNNNNNNNNNNNNNNNNNNNNNNNNNNNNNNNNNNNNNNNNNNNNNNNNNNNNNNNNNNNNNNNNNNNNNNNNNNNNNNNNNNNNNNNNNNNNNNNNNNNNNNNNNNNNNNNNNNNNNNNNNNNNNNNNNNNNNNNNNNNNNNNNNNNNNNNNNNNNNNNNNNNNNNNNNNNNNNNNNNNNNNNNNNNNNNNNNNNNNNNNNNNNNNNNNNNNNNNNNNNNNNNNNNNNNNNNNNNNNNNNNNNNNNNNNNNNNNNNNNNNNNNNNNNNNNNNNNNNNNNNNNNNNNNNNNNNNNNNNNNNNNNNNNNNNNNNNNNNNNNNNNNNNNNNNNNNNNNNNNNNNNNNNNNNNNNNNNNNNNNNNNNNNNNNNNNNNNNNNNNNNNNNNNNNNNNNNNNNNNNNNNNNNNNNNNNNNNNNNNNNNNNNNNNNNNNNNNNNNNNNNNNNNNNNNNNNNNNNNNNNNNNNNNNNNNNNNNNNNNNNNNNNNNNNNNNNNNNNNNNNNNNNNNNNNNNNNNNNNNNNNNNNNNNNNNNNNNNNNNNNNNNNNNNNNNNNNNNNNNNNNNNNNNNNNNNNNNNNNNNNNNNNNNNNNNNNNNNNNNNNNNNNNNNNNNNNNNNNNNNNNNNNNNNNNNNNNNNNNNNNNNNNNNNNNNNNNNNNNNNNNNNNNNNNNNNNNNNNNNNNNNNNNNNNNNNNNNNNNNNNNNNNNNNNNNNNNNNNNNNNNNNNNNNNNNNNNNNNNNNNNNNNNNNNNNNNNNNNNNNNNNNNNNNNNNNNNNNNNNNNNNNNNNNNNNNNNNNNNNNNNNNNNNNNNNNNNNNNNNNNNNNNNNNNNNNNNNNNNNNNNNNNNNNNNNNNNNNNNNNNNNNNNNNNNNNNNNNNNNNNNNNNNNNNNNNNNNNNNNNNNNNNNNNNNNNNNNNNNNNNNNNNNNNNNNNNNNNNNNNNNNNNNNNNNNNNNNNNNNNNNNNNNNNNNNNNNNNNNNNNNNNNNNNNNNNNNNNNNNNNNNNNNNNNNNNNNNNNNNNNNNNNNNNNNNNNNNNNNNNNNNNNNNNNNNNNNNNNNNNNNNNNNNNNNNNNNNNNNNNNNNNNNNNNNNNNNNNNNNNNNNNNNNNNNNNNNNNNNNNNNNNNNNNNNNNNNNNNNNNNNNNNNNNNNNNNNNNNNNNNNNNNNNNNNNNNNNNNNNNNNNNNNNNNNNNNNNNNNNNNNNNNNNNNNNNNNNNNNNNNNNNNNNNNNNNNNNNNNNNNNNNNNNNNNNNNNNNNNNNNNNNNNNNNNNNNNNNNNNNNNNNNNNNNNNNNNNNNNNNNNNNNNNNNNNNNNNNNNNNNNNNNNNNNNNNNNNNNNNNNNNNNNNNNNNNNNNNNNNNNNNNNNNNNNNNNNNNNNNNNNNNNNNNNNNNNNNNNNNNNNNNNNNNNNNNNNNNNNNNNNNNNNNNNNNNNNNNNNNNNNNNNNNNNNNNNNNNNNNNNNNNNNNNNNNNNNNNNNNNNNNNNNNNNNNNNNNNNNNNNNNNNNNNNNNNNNNNNNNNNNNNNNNNNNNNNNNNNNNNNNNNNNNNNNNNNNNNNNNNNNNNNNNNNNNNNNNNNNNNNNNNNNNNNNNNNNNNNNNNNNNNNNNNNNNNNNNNNNNNNNNNNNNNNNNNNNNNNNNNNNNNNNNNNNNNNNNNNNNNNNNNNNNNNNNNNNNNNNNNNNNNNNNNNNNNNNNNNNNNNNNNNNNNNNNNNNNNNNNNNNNNNNNNNNNNNNNNNNNNNNNNNNNNNNNNNNNNNNNNNNNNNNNNNNNNNNNNNNNNNNNNNNNNNNNNNNNNNNNNNNNNNNNNNNNNNNNNNNNNNNNNNNNNNNNNNNNNNNNNNNNNNNNNNNNNNNNNNNNNNNNNNNNNNNNNNNNNNNNNNNNNNNNNNNNNNNNNNNNNNNNNNNNNNNNNNNNNNNNNNNNNNNNNNNNNNNNNNNNNNNNNNNNNNNNNNNNNNNNNNNNNNNNNNNNNNNNNNNNNNNNNNNNNNNNNNNNNNNNNNNNNNNNNNNNNNNNNNNNNNNNNNNNNNNNNNNNNNNNNNNNNNNNNNNNNNNNNNNNNNNNNNNNNNNNNNNNNNNNNNNNNNNNNNNNNNNNNNNNNNNNNNNNNNNNNNNNNNNNNNNNNNNNNNNNNNNNNNNNNNNNNNNNNNNNNNNNNNNNNNNNNNNNNNNNNNNNNNNNNNNNNNNNNNNNNNNNNNNNNNNNNNNNNNNNNNNNNNNNNNNNNNNNNNNNNNNNNNNNNNNNNNNNNNNNNNNNNNNNNNNNNNNNNNNNNNNNNNNNNNNNNNNNNNNNNNNNNNNNNNNNNNNNNNNNNNNNNNNNNNNNNNNNNNNNNNNNNNNNNNNNNNNNNNNNNNNNNNNNNNNNNNNNNNNNNNNNNNNNNNNNNNNNNNNNNNNNNNNNNNNNNNNNNNNNNNNNNNNNNNNNNNNNNNNNNNNNNNNNNNNNNNCUCAUAUUUACCCCUAAGUUUCUCACCCGUGAGCUCUACGGAAGAUUGACCAAAUAUGUGUUCGCCGACUCUAUCAUGUUAAGUUUCUUAAUCUUCUUCACUAAGUUUCUUUCUUAUUUUUGCGCCUAGACAGGCUGCUCAUUUAAAUGAGGCACUAGGUGGAAUAUAUAUAGGUGUUCGGUGUGCAUCCCCGGGGAGCGUUAUAAACCUCCUUUUUCUGAGCCAUAUGGAGUUAAGUUUCUCAUAUUUAGCCUUAAGUUUCUUUCCGGUGAGCUCUACGGAAGGGUCACCACGUAUGCGUUCGACGUCUCCUCGUUUAUUCGAACGGUACACGUGAUUCUCCCGCGGCAAACGAGCGUUGUCUAAUUCCAAUUCCGAGCCCUAUCAUGUUAAGUUUAUCAAUUUUCUUCACUAAGUUUCUUUCUUAUUUUUGCGCCUUCCUUCAGCAUUUCCACAAGGUUAUUAAACAAACACCUCAUGAUAAGAGACCAUUAUGUAUACUUCAGGUCGGUACUCGUCGUUGCAAAAUCUCUCAACAAAAAUGACCAUUGAUAUUUGCAACAUAUGGAUGCGUAGCUCAUUAAAACAAAGCACUAGGUGGAAUAUAUAUAGGUGUGCGUAACUGGUGAGCAUCGGAAAGCUCCUCUUUUUGAGCCAUAUGGAGUUAAAUUUCUUAUAUUUACCCCUAAGUUUGUUUCCCGUGAGCUCUACUGAAGGGUACCCAAAUAUGUGUUCGCCGACUGUAUCAUUUUAAGUUUCUCAAUCUUCUGCACUAAGUUUCAUUCUGAUUUUGGCGCCUAGACAGGCUGCUCAUUUUAAAGAGGCACUAGGUGGAACAUAUAUAGGUGUUCGGUGUGCGUCACCGGCGAGCGUUGUAAACCUCCUUUUUCUGAGCCAUAUGGAAUUAAGUUUCUCAUAUUUAGCCUUAAGUUUCUUUCCCGUGAGCUCUAUGGAAGGGUCACAAAUUAUGCGUUCGACGUCUCCUCGUUCGAUCGAACGGUACACGUGAUUCUCCCGCGGCAGACAAGCGUUGCCUAAUUCCAAUUUUGAGCCCUAUCAUGUUAAGUUUAUCAAUCUUUUUACACUAAGUUUCUUUCUGAUUUUUGCGCCUUCCUUCAGCAUUUCCACGUGGCUAUUAAACCAACACCUCAUGAUAAGAGACCAUUAUGUAUAUUUCACGUCAGUACUCGUCGUUGCAAAAUCACUCAACAAAAAUGAACAUUGAUAUUUGCAACAUAUGGAUGCGUAGCUCAUUAAAACAAGGCACUAGGUGGAAUAUAUAUAGGUUUGCAGAACCGGUGAGCGUCAGAAACCUCCUCUUUUUGAGCCAUAUGGAGUUAAGUUUCUCAUAUUUAGCCCUAUGUUUCUUUCCCGUGAGCUCUAUGGAAGGGUGACGAAAUAUGUGUUCGCCGACUCUAUCGUGUUAAGUUUCUCAAUAUUACUGACUAAGUUUCUGUCUGAUUUUUGCGCCUAGGCAGGCUGCUCAUUUAAAUGAGGCACUAGGUGGAAUAUAUAUAGGUGUUCGGUGUACGUCGGCGGCGAGCGUUGUAAACCUCCUUUUUCUGAGCCAUAUGGAGUUAAGUUUCUCAUAUUUAGCCUUAAUUUCUUUCCCGUGAGCUCUACGGAAGGGUCACCAAAUUUGCGUUGGACGACUCCUUGUUCGACCAAACGGUACACGUGAUUCUCCCGCGGCAGACGAGCGUUGCCUAAUUCCAAUUUUGAGCCCUAUCAUGUUAAGUUUCUUAAUCUUCUUCACUAAGUUUGUUUCUGAUUUUUGCUCCCUUCAGCAUUUCCACAUGGUUAUUAAACCAACACCUCAUGAUAAGAGACCAUUGUUUAUAUUUGAGGUCCUUGCAAAAUCUCUCCACAAACAUGAGAGGAAUUCUUACUUGACGAAAAAAUCCAAUCCCAGCACUUCCCUUUCAUAAUAUAUUAGACCAUUUACUAGACAUAGAUACACGAUAGAAGAACAUAUCUGAUACGCCUAUGACAAGGCACUAGGUGCAAUUUUCUCAAAACAAGGCAAAAUCUCCCAACCAGUGCGAGCGGAGACGGAUUGUGAUCAAAUGGCGAUUGAUAUUUGCAGCAUAUGGAUGUGUAGCUCAUUAAAACCAGGCUCUAGGUGGAAUAUAUAUAGGUGUGCAUAAGAGGUGAGCGUCGGAAACCUCCUCUUUUUGAGCGUAUGGACUUAAGUUUCUCAUAUUUACCCCUAAGUUUCUCACCCGUGAGCUCUACGGAAGAUUGACCAAAUAUGUGUUCGCCGACUCUAUCAUGUUAAGUUUCUCAAUCUUCUUCACUAAGUUUCUUUCUUAUUUUUGCGCCUAGACAGGCUGCUCAUUUAAAUGAGGCACUAGGUGGAAUAUAUAUAGGUGUUCGGUGUGCAUCCCCGGGGAGCGUUAUAAACCUCCUUUUUCUGAGCCAUAUGGAGUUAAGUUUCUCAUAUUUAGCCUUAAGUUUCUUUCCGGUGAGCUCUACGGAAGGGUCACCACGUAUGCGUUCGACGUCUCCUCGUUUAUUCGAACGGUACACGUGAUUCUCCCGCGGCAAACGAGCGUUGUCUAAUUCCAAUUCCGAGCCCUAUCAUGUUAAGUUUAUCAAUUUUCUUCACUAAGUUUCUUUCUUAUUUUUGCGCCUUCCUUCAGCAUUUCCACAAGGUUAUUAAACAAACACCUCAUGAUAAGAGACCAUUAUGUAUACUUCAGGUCGGUACUCGUCGUUGCAAAAUCUCUCAACAAAAAUGACCAUUGAUAUUUGCAACAUAUGGAUGCGUAGCUCAUUAAAACAAAGCACUAGGUGGAAUAUAUAUAGGUGUGCGUAACUGGUGAGCAUCGGAAAGCUCCUCUUAUUGAGCCAUAUGGAGUUAAAUUUCUUAUAUUUACCCCUAAGUUUGUUUCCCGUGAGCUCUACUGAAGGGUACCCAAAUAUGUGUUCGCCGACUGUAUCAUUUUAAGUUUCUCAAUCUUCUGCACUAAGUUUCAUUCUGAUUUUGGCGCCUAGACAGGCUGCUCAUUUUAAAGAGGCACUAGGUGGAACAUAUAUAGUUGUUCGGUGUGCGUCACCGGCGAGCGUUGUAAACCUCCUUUUUCUGAGCCAUAUGGAUUUAAGUUUCUCAUAUUUAGCCUUAAGUUUCUUUCCCGUGAGCUCUAUGGAAGGGUCACAAAUUAUGCGUUCGACGUCUCCUCGUUCGAUCGAACGGUACACGUGAUUCUCCCGCGGCAGACAAGCGUUGCCUAAUUCCAAUUUUGAGCCCUAUUAUGUUAAGUUUAUCAAUCUUUUUACACUAAGUUUCUUUCUGAUUUUUGCGCCUUCCUUCAGCAUUUCCACGUGGUUAUUAAACCAACACCUCAUGAUAAGAGACCAUUAUGUAUAUUUCACGUCAGUACUCGUCGUUGAAAAAUCACUCAAUAAAAAUGAACAUUGAUAUUUGCAACAUAUGGAUGCGUAGCUCAUUAAAACAAGGCACUAGGUGGAAUAUAUAUAGGUUUGCAGAACCGGUGAGCGUCAGAAACCUCCUCUUUUUGAGCCAUAUGGAGUUAAGUUUCUCAUAUUUAGCCCUAUGUUUCUUUCCCGUGAGCUCUAUGGAAGGGUGACGAAAUAUGUGUUCGCCGACUCUAUCGUGUUAAGUUUCUCAAUAUUACUGACUAAGUUUCUGUCUGAUUUUUGCGCCUAGGCAGGCUGCUCAUUUAAAUGAGGCACUAGGUGGAAUAUAUAUAGGUGUUCGGUGUACGUCGGCGGCGAGCGUUGUAAACCUCCUUUUUCUAAGCCAUAUGGAGUUAAGUUUCUCAUAUUUAGCCUUAAUUUCUUUCCCGUGAGCUCUACGGAAGGGUCACCAAAUUUGCGUUGGACGACUCCUUGUUCGACCAAACGGUACACGUGAUUCUCCCGCGGCAGACGAGCGUUGCCUAAUUCCAAUUUUGAGCCCUAUCAUGUUAAGUUUCUUAAUCUUCUUCACUAAGUUUGUUUCUGAUUUUUGCUCCCUUCAGCAUUUCCACAUGGUUAUUAAACCAACACCUCAUGAUAAGAGACCAUUGUUUAUAUUUGAGGUCCUUGCAAAAUCUCUCCACAAACAUGAGAGGAAUUCUUACUUGACGAAAAAAUCCAAUCCCAGCACUUCCCUUUCAUAAUAUAUUAGACCAUUUACUAGACAUAGAUACACGAUAGAAGAACAUAUCUGAUACGCCUAUGACAAGGCACUAGGUGCAAUUUUCUCAAAACAAGGCAAAAUCUCGCAACCAGUGCGAGCGGAGACGGAUUGUGAUCAAAUGGCGAUUGAUAUUUGCAGCAUAUGGAUGUGUAGCUCAUUAAAACCAGGCACUAGGUGGAAUAUAUAUAGGUGUGCAUAACAGGUGAGCGUCGGAAACCUCCUCUUUUUGAGCCGUAUGGACUUAAGUUGCUCAUAUUUACCCCUAAGUUGCUCAUUAAAACAAAGCACUAGGUGGAAUAUAUAUAGGUGUGCGUAACUGGUGAGCAUCGGAAAGCUCCUCUUAUUGAGCCAUAUGGAGUUAAAUUUCUUAUAUUUACCCCUAAGUUUGUUUCCCGUGAGCUCUACUGAAGGGUACCCAAAUAUGUGUUCGCCGACUGUAUCAUUUUAAGUUUCUCAAUCUUCUGCACUAAGUUUCAUUCUGAUUUUGGCGCCUAGACAGGCUGCUCAUUUUAAAGAGGCACUAGGUGGAACAUAUAUAGUUGUUCGGUGUGCGUCACCGGCGAGCGUUGUAAACCUCCUUUUUCUGAGCCAUAUGGAUUUAAGUUUCUCAUAUUUAGCCUUAAGUUUCUUUCCCGUGAGCUCUAUGGAAGGGUCACAAAUUAUGCGUUCGACGUCUCCUCGUUCGAUCGAACGGUACACGUGAUUCUCCCGUGGCAGACAAGCGUUGCCUAAUUCCAAUUUUGAGCCCAAUCAUGUUAAGUUUAUCAAUCUUUUUACACUAAGUUUCUUUCUGAUUUUUGCGCCUUCCUUCAGCAUUUCCACGUGGUUAUUAAACCAACACCUCAUGAUAAGAGACCAUUAUGUAUAUUUCACAUCAGUACUCGUCGUUGCAAAAUCACUCAACAAAAAUGAACAUUGAUAUUUGCAACAUAUGGAUGCGUAGCUCAUUAAAACAAGGCACUAGGUGGAAUAUAUAUAGGUUUGCAGAACCGGUGAGCGUCAGAAACCUCCUCUUUUUGAGCCAUAUGGAGUUAAGUUUCUCAUAUUUAGCCCUAUGUUUCUUUCCCGUGAGCUCUAUGGAAGGGUGACGAAAUAUGUGUUCGCCGACUCUAUCGUGUUAAGUUUCUCAAUAUUACUGACUAAGUUUCUGUCUGAUUUUUGCGCCUAGGCAGGCUGCUCAUUUAAAUGAGGCACUAGGUGGAAUAUAUAUAGGUGUUCGGUGUACGUCGGCGGCGAGCGUUGUAAACCUCCUUUUUCUGAGCCAUAUGGAGUUAAGUUUCUCAUAUUUAGCCUUAAUUUCUUUCCCGUGAGCUCUACGGAAGGGUCACCAAAUUUGCGUUGGACGACUCCUUGUUCAACCAAACGGUACACGUGAUUCUCCCGCGGCAGACGAGCGUUGCCUAAUUCCAAUUUUGAGCCCUAUCAUGUUAAGUUUCUUAAUCUUCUUCACUAAGUUUGUUUCUGAUUUUUGCUCCCUUCAGCAUUUCCACAUGGUUAUUAAACCAACACCUCAUGAUAAGAGACCAUUCUUUAUAUUUGAGGUCCUUGCAAAAUCUCUCCACAAACAUGAGAGGAAUUCUUACUUGACGAAAAAAUCCAAUCCCAGCACUUCCCUUUCAUAAUAUAUUAGACCAUUUACUAGACAUAGAUACACGAUAGAAGAACAUAUCUGAUACGCCUAUGACAAGGCACUAGGUGCAAUUUUCUCAAAACAAGGCAAAAUCUCGCAACCAGUGCGAGCGGAGACGGAUUGUGAUCAAAUGGCGAUUGAUAUUUGCAGCAUAUGGAUGUGUAGCUCAUUAAAACCAGGCUCUAGGUGGAAUAUAUAUAGGUGUGCAUAACAGGUGAGCGUCGGAAACCUCCUCUUUUUGAGCGUAUGGACUUAAGUUUCUCAUAUUUACCCCUAAGUUUCUCACCCGUGAGCUCUACGGAAGAUUGACCAAAUAUGUGUUCGCCGACUCUAUCAUGUUAAGUUUCUCAAUCUUCUUCACUAAGUUUCUUUCUUAUUUUUGCGCCUAGGCAGGCUGCUCAUUUAAAUGAGGCACUAGGUGGAAUAUAUAUAGGUGUUCGGUGUGCAUCCCCGGCGAGCGUUAUAAACCUCCUUUUUCUGAGCCAUAUGGAGUUAAGUUUCUCAUAUUUAGCCUUAAGGUUCUUUCCGGUGAGCUCUACGGAAGGGUCACCACGUAUGCGUUCGACGUCUCCUCGUUUAUUCGAACGGUACACGUGAUUCUCCCGCGGCAAACGAGCGUUGUCUAAUUCCAAUUCCGAGCCCUAUCAUGUUAAGUUUAUCAAUUUUCUUCACUAAGUUUCUUUCUUAUUUUUGCGUCUUCCUUCAGCAUUUCCACAAGGUUGUUAAACAAACACCUCAUGAUAAGAGACCAUUAUGUAUACUUCAGGUCGGUACUCGUCGUUGCAAAAUCUCUCAACAAAAAUGACCAUUGAUAUUUGCAACAUAUGGAUGCGUAGCUCAUUAAAACAAAGCACUAGGUGGAAUAUAUAUAGGUGUGCGUAACUGGUGAGCAUCGGAAAGCUCCUCUUAUUGAGCCAUAUGGAGUUAAAUUUCUUAUAUUUACCCCUAAGUUUGUUUCCCGUGAGCUCUACUGAAGGGUACCCAAAUAUGUGUUCGCCGACUGUAUCAUUUUAAGUUUCUCAAUCUUCUGCACUAAGUUUCAUUCUGAUUUUGGCGCCUAGACAGGCUGCUCAUUUUAAAGAGGCACUAGGUGGAACAUAUAUAGUUGUUCGGUGUGCGUCACCGGCGAGCGUUGUAAACCUCCUUUUUCUGAGCCAUAUGGAUUUAAGUUUCUCAUAUUUAGCCUUAAGUUUCUUUCCCGUGAGCUCUAUGGAAGGGUCACAAAUUAUGCGUUCGACGUCUCCUCGUUCGAUCGAACGGUACACAUGAUUCUCCCGCGGCAGACAAGCGUUGCCUAAUUCCAAUUUUGAGCCCUAUCAUGUUAAGUUUAUCAAUCUUUUUACACUAAGUUUCUUUCUGAUUUUUGCGCCUUCCUUCAGCAUUUCCACGUGGUUAUUAAACCAACACCUCAUGAUAAGAGACCAUUAUGUAUAUUUCACGUCAGUACUCGUCGUUGCAAAAUCACUCAACAAAAAUGAACAUUGAUAUUUGCAACAUAUGGAUGCGUAGCUCAUUAAAACAAGGCACUAGGUGGAAUAUAUAUAGGUUUGCAGAACCGGUGAGCGUCAGAAACCUCCUCUUUUUGAGCCAUAUGGAGUUAAGUUUCUCAUAUUUAGCCCUAUGUUUCUUUCCCGUGAGCUCUAUGGAAGGGUGACGAAAUAUGUGUUCGCCGACUCUAUCGUGUUAAGUUUCUCAAUAUUACUGACUAAGUUUCUGUCUGAUUUUUGCGCCUAGGCAGGCUGCUCAUUUAAAUGAGGCACUAGGUGGAAUAUAUAUAGGUGUUCGGUGUACGUCGGCGGCGAGCGUUGUAAACCUCCUUUUUCUGAGCCAUAUGGAGUUAAGUUUCUCAUAUUUAGCCUUAAUUUCUUUCCCGUGAGCUCUACGGAAGGGUCACCAAAUUUGCGUUGGACGACUCCUUGUUCGACCAAACGGUACACGUGAUUCUCCCGCGGCAGACGAGCGUUGCCUAAUUCCAAUUUUGAGCCCUAUCAUGUUAAGUUUCUUAAUCUUCUUCACUAAGUUUGUUUCUGAUUUUUGCUCCCUUCAGCAUUUCCACAUGGUUAUUAAACCAACACCUCAUGAUAAGAGACCAUUGUUUAUAUUUCAGGUCCUUGCAAAAUCUCUCCACAAACAUGAGAGGAAUUCUUACCUGACGAAAAAAUCCAAUCCCAGCACUUCCCUUUCAUAAUAUAUUAGACCAUUUACUAGACAUAGAUACACGAUAGAAGAACAUAUCUGAUACGCCUAUGACAAGGCACUAGGUGCAAUUUUCUCAAAACGAGGCAAAAUCUCGCAACCAGUGCGAGCGGAGACGGAUUGUGAUCAAAUGGCAAUUGAUAUUUGCAGCAUAUGGAUGUGUAGCUCAUUAAAACCAGGCACUAGGUGGAAUAUAUAUAGGUGUGCAUAACAGGUGAGCGUCGGAAACGUCCUCUUUUUGAGCCAUAUGGACUUAAGUUUCUCAUAUUUACCCCUAAGUUUCUCACCCGUGAGCUCUACGGAAGGGUGACCAAAUAUGUGUUCGCCGACUCUAUCAUGUUAAGUUUCUCAAUCUUCUUCACUAAGUUUCUUUCUUAUUUUUGCACCUAGACAGGCUGCUCAUUUAAAUGAGGCACUAGGUGGAAUAUAUAUAGGUGUUCAGUGUGCAUCCCCUGCGAGCGUUAUAAACCUACUUUUUUUGAGCCAUAUGGAGUUAAGUUUCUCAUAUUUAGCCUUAAGUUUCUUUCGGUGAGCUCUACGGUAGGGUUACCACUUAUGCGUUCGACGUCUCCUCGUUUAUUCGAACGGUACACGUGAUUCCCCCGCGGCAAACGAGCAUUGCCUAAUUCCAAUUUUGAGCCCUAUCAUGUUAAGUUUAUCAAUUUUCUUCACUAAGUUUCUUUCUUAUUUUUGUGCCUUCCUUCAGCAUUUCCACAAGGUUAUUAAACAAACACCUCAUGAUAAGAGACCAUUAUGUAUACUUCAGGUCGGUACUCGUCGUUGCAAAAUCUCUCAACAAAAAUGACCAUUGAUAUUUGCAACAUAUGGAUGUGUAGCUCAUUAAAACGAAGCACUAGGUGGAAUAUAUAUAGGUAUGCGUAACUGGUGAGCAUCGGAAAGCUCCUCUUUUUGAGCCAUAUGGAGUUAAAUUUCUUAUAUUUACCCCUAAGUUUGUUUCCCGUGAGCUCUACUAAAGGGUAACCAAAUAUGUGUUCGCCGACUUUAUCAUUUUAAGUUUCUCAAUCUUCUUCACUAAGUUUCAUUCUGAUUUUCGCGCCUAGACAGGCUGCUCAUUUUAAAGAGGCACUAGGUGGAACAUAUAUAGGUGUUCGGUGUGCGUCACCGGCGAGCGUUGUAAACCUCCUUUUUCUGAGCCAUAUGGAGUUAAGUUUCUCAUAUUUAGCCUUAAGUUUCUUUCCCGUGAGCUCUAUGGAAUGGUCACAAAUUAUGCGUUCGACAUCUCCUCGUUCGAUCGAACGGUACACGUGAUUCUUCCGCGGCAGACGAGCGUUGCCUAAUUCCAAUUUUGAGCCCUAUCAUGUUAAGUUUAUCAAUCUUCUUCACUAAGUUUCUUUCUGAUUUUUGCGCCUUCCUUCAGCAUUUCCACGUGGUUAUUAAACCAACACCUCAUGAUAAGAGACCAUCAUGUAUACUUCAGGUCGGUACUCGUCGUUGCAAAAUCUCUCAACAAAAAUGACCAUUGAUAUUUGCAACAUAUGGAUGCGUAGCUCAUUAAAACGAAGCACUAGGUGGAAUAUAUAUAGGUAUGCGUAACUGGUGAGCAUCGGAAAGCUCCUCUUUUUGAGCCAUAUGGAGUUAAAUUUCUUAUAUUUACCCCUAAGUUUGUUUCCCGUGAGCUCUCCUGAAGGGUAACCAAAUAUGUGUUCGCCGACUGUAUCAUUUUAAGUUUCUCAAUCCUCUUCACUAAGUUUCAUUCUGAUUUUUGCGCCUAGACAUGCUGCUCAUUUUAAAGAGGCACUAGGUGGAACAUAUAUAGGUGUUUGGUGUGCGUCACCGGCGAGCGUUGUAAACCUCCUUUUUCUGAGCCAUAUGGAGUUAAGUUUCUCAUAUUUAGCCUUAAGUUUCUUUCCCGUGAGCUCUAUGGAAGGGUCACAAAUUAUGCGUUCGACGUCUCCUCGUUCGAUCGAACGGUACACGUGAUUCUCCCGCGGCAGACGAGCGUUGCCUAAUUCCAAUUUUGAGCCCUAUCAUGUUAAGUUUAUCAAUCUUCUUCACUAAGUUUCUUUCUGAUUUUUGCGCCUUCCUUCAGCAUUUCCACGUGGUUAUUAAACCAACACCUCAUGAUAAGAGACCAUUAUGUAUAUUUCAGGUCAGUACUCGUCGUUGCAAAAUCACUCAACAAAAAUGAACAUUGAUAUUUGCAACAUAUGGAUGGGUAGCUCAUUAAAACAAGGCACUAGGUGGAAUAUACAUAGGUUUGCAUAACCGGUGAGCGUCAGAAACCUCCUCUUUUUGAGCCAUAUGGAGUUACGUUUCUCAUAUUUAGCCCUAAGUUUCUUUCCCGUGAGCUCUAUGGAAGGGUGACGAAAUAUGCGUUCGCCGACUCUAUCAUGUUAAGUUUCUCAAUCUUCUUCACUAAGUUUCUUUCUUAUUUUUGCGCCUAGACAGGCUGCUCAUUUAAAUGAGGCACUAGGUGGAAUAUAUAUAGGUGUUCGGUGUGCAUCCCCGGCGAGCGUUAUAAACCUCCUUUUUCUGAGCCAUAUGGAGUUAAGUUUCUCAUAUUUAGCCUUAAGUUUCUUUCCGGUGAGCUCUACGGAAGGGUCACCACUUAUGCGUUCGACGUCUCCUCGUUUAUUCGAACGGUACACGUGAUUCUCCCGCAGCAAACGAGCGUCGUCUAAUUCCAAUUCCGAGCCCUAUCAUGUUAAGUUUAUCAAUUUUCUUCACUAAGUUUCUUUCUUAUUUUUGCGCCUUCCUUCAGCAUUUCCACAAGGUUAUUAAACAAACACCUCAUGAUAAGAGACCAUUAUGUAUACGUCAGGUCGGUACUCGUCGUUGCAAAAUCUCUCAACAAAAAUGACCAUUGAUAUUUGCAACAUAUGGAUGCGUAGCUCAUUAAAACGAAGCACUAGGCGGAAUAUAUAUAGGUGUGCGUAACUGGUGAGCAUCGGAAAGCUCCUCUUUUUGAGCCAUAUGGAGUUAAAUUUCUUAUAUUUACCCCUAAGUUUGUUUCCCGUGAGCUCUACUGAAGGGUAACCAAAUAUGUGUUCGCCGACUGUAUCAUUUUAAGUUUCUCAAUCUUCUUCACUAAGUAUCAUUCUGAUUUAUGCGCCUAGACAGGCUGCUCAUUUUAAAGAGGCACUAGGUGGAACAUAUAUAGGUGUUCGGUGUGCGUCACCGGCGAGCGUUGUAAACCUCCUUUUUCGGAGCCAUAUGGAGUUAAGUUUCUCAUAUUUAGCCUUAAGUUUCUUUCCCGUGAGCUCUAUGGAAGGGUCACAAAUUAUGCGUUCGACGUCUCCUCGUUCGAUCGAACGGGACACGUGAUUCUCCAGCGGCAGACGAGCGUUGCCUAAUUCCAAUUUUGAGCCCUAUCAUGUUAAGUUUAUCAAUCUUCUUCACUAAGUUUCUUUCUGAUUUUUGCGCCUUCCUUCAGCAUUUCCACGUGGUUAUUAAACCAACACCUCAUGAUAAGAGACCAUUAUGUAUAUUUCAGGUCGGCGCAACAUAUUUAUGCGUAGCUCAUUAAAACGAGGCACUAGGUGGAAUAUAUAUAGGUUUGCAUAACCGGUGAGCGUCGGAAACCUCCUUUUUGAGCCAUAUGGAGUUAAGUUUCUCAUAUUUACCCCUAAGUUUCUUUCCCGUGAGCUCUAUGGAAGGGUCACCAAAUUUGCGUUGGACGACUCCUCGUUCGACCGAACGGUUCACGUGAUUCUCCCGCCGCAGACGAGCGUCACCUAAUUCCAAUUUCCGGCCGUAUCAUGUUAAGUUUCUUAAUCUUCUUCACUAAGUUUCUUUCUCAUUUUUGUGCCCUUCAGUAUUUCCAACUGGUUAUUAAACCAACACCUCAUGAUAAGAGACCAUUGUUUAUAUUUCAGGUCCUUGCAAAAUCUCUCAACUAACAUAAGAGGAAUUCUUACCUCACAAAAAAUCCAAUCCUAGCACUUCCCUUUCAUAAUAUAUUAGACCAUUUAUUAGAAAUAGAUACAUGAUAGAAGAACAUAUCUGAUUCGCCUAUGACAAGGCACUAAGUGCAGUUUUCUCAAGACAAGGCAAAAUCUCUCAACCAGUGCCAGCGGAGAUGGAUGGUGAUCAAACGACCAUUGAUAUUUGCAACAUGUGGAUGCGUAGCUCAUUAAAACAAGGCACUAGGUGGAAUAUAUAUAGGUGUGCGUCACCGGCGAGCGUUGUAAAACUCCUUUUUCUAAGCCAUAUGGAGUUAAGUUUCUCAUAUUUAACCUUCAGUUUCUUUCUCGUGAGCUCUAUGGAAGGGUCACCAAUUAUGCGUUCGACGUCUCCUCGUUCGAUCGAACGGGACACGUGAUUCUCCAGCGGCAGACGAGCGUUGCCUAAUUCCAAUUUUGAGCCCUAUCAUGUUAAGUUUAUCAAUCUUCUUCACUAAGUUUCUUUCUGAUUUUUGCGCCUUCCUUCAGCAUUUCCACGUGGUUAUUAAACCAACACCUCAUGAUCAGAGACCAUUAUGUAUAUUUCAGGUCGGUACUCGUCGUUGCAAAAUCUCUCAACAAAAAUGAACAUUGAUAUUUGCAACAUAUUUAUGCGUAGCUCAUUAAAACGAGGCACUAGGUGGAAUAUAUAUAGGUUUGCAUAACCGGUGAGCGUCGGAAACCUCCUUUUUGAGCCAUAUGGAGUUAAGUUUCUCAUAUUUACCCCUAAGUUUCUUUCCCGUGAGCUCUAUGGAAGGGUCACCAAAUUUGCGUUGGACGACUCCUCGUUCGACCGAACGGUUCACGUGAUUCUCCCGCCGCAGACGAGCGUCACCUAAUUCCAAUUUCGAGCCGUAUCAUGUUAAGUUUCUUAAUCUUCUUCACUAAGUUUCUUUCUCAUUUUUGUGCCCUUCAGUAUUUCGAACUGGUUAUUAAACCAACACCUCAUGAUAAGAGACCAUUGUUUAUAUUUCAGGUCCUUGCAAAAUCUCUCAACUAACAUAAGAGGAAUUCUUACCUCACAAAAAAUCCAAUCCUAGCACUUCCCUUUCAUAAUAUAUUAGACCAUUUAUUAGACAUAGAUACAUGAUAGAAGAACAUAUCUGAUUCGCCUAUGACAAGGCACUAAGUGCAGUUUUCUCAAGACAAGGCAAAAUCUCUCAACCAGUGCCAGCGGAGAUGGAUGGUGAUCAAACGACCAUUGAUAUUUGCAACAUGUGGAUGCGUAAAUAAUUAAAACAAGGCACUAGGUGGAAUAUAUAUAGGUGUGCGUCACUGGCGAGCGUUGUAAAACUCCUUUUUCUAAGCCAUAUGGAGUUAAGUUUCUCAUAUUUAACCUUCAGUUUCUUUCCCGUGAGCUCUAUGGAAGGGUCACCAAUUAUGCGUUCGACGUCUCCUCGUUCGAUCGAACGGUACAUGUGAUUCUCCCGCGGCAGACGAGCGUUGCCUAAUUCCAAUUUUGAGCCCUAUCACGUUAAGUUUAUCAAUCUUCUUCAGUAAGUUUCUUUCUGAUUUUUGCGCCUUCCUUCAGCAUUUCCACAUGGUUAUUAAACUAACACCUCAUGAUAAGAGACCAUUAUGUAUAUUUCAGGUCGGUACUCGUCGUUGCAAAAUCUCUCAACAAAAAUGAACAUUCAUAUAUGCAACAUAUGGAUGCGUAGCUCAUUAAAACGAGGCACUAGGUGGAAUAUAUAUAGGUUUGCAUAACCGGUGAGCGUCGGAAACCUCCUCUUUUUGAGCCAUAUGGAGUUAAGUUUCUCAUAUUUACCCCUAAGUUUCUUUCUCGUGAGCCCUACGGAAGGGUCACCAAAUUUGCGUUGGACGACUCCCGCGGCAGACGAGCGUCACCUAAGUCCAAUUUCGAGCCGUAUCAUGUUAAGUUUCUUAAUCUUCUUCACUAAGUUUCUUUCUCAUUUUUGUGCCCUUCAGUAUUUCCAAAUGGUUAUUAAACCAACACCUCAUGAUAAGAGACCAUUGUUUAUAUUUCAGGUCCUUGCAAAAUCUCUCAACAAACAUAAGAGAAAUUCUUACCUCACAAAAAAAUCCAAUCCCAGCACUUCGCUUUCAUAAUAUAUUAGACCAUUUAUUAGACAUAGAUACAUGAUAGAAGAACAUAUCUGAUUCGCCUAUGACAAGGCACUAAGUGCAGUUUUCUCAAGACAAGGCAAAAUCUCUCAACCAGUGCCAGCGAAGAUGGAUGGUGAUCAAACGACCAUUGAUAUUUGCAACAUGUGGAUGCGUAGCUCAUUAAAACAAGGCACUAGGUGGAAUAUAUAUAGGUGUGCGUCACCGGCGAGCGUUGUAAACCUCCUUUUUCUAAGCCAUAUGGAGUUAAGUUUCUCAUAUUUAACCUUAAGUUUCUUUCUCGUGAGCUCUAUGGAAGGGUCACCAAUUAUGCGUUCGACGUCUCCUCGUUCGAUCGAACGGUACACGUGAUUCUCCCGUGGCAUACGAGCGUUGCCUAAUUCCAAUUUUGAGCCCUAUCAUGUUAAGUUUAUCAAUCUUCUUCACUAAGUUUCUUUCUUAUUUUUGCGCCGUCCUUCAGCAUUUCCACGUGGUUAUUAAACCAACACCUCAUGAUAAGAGACCAUUAUGUAUAUUUUAGGUCGGUACUCGUCGUUGCAAAAUCUCUCAACGAAAAUGAACGUUGAUAUUUGCAACAUAUGGAUGCGUAGCUCAUGAAAACGAGGCACUAGGUUGAAUAUAUAUAGGUUUGCAUAACCGGUGAGCGUCGGAAACCUCCUCUUUUUGAGCCAUAUGGAGUUAAGUUUCUCAUAUUUACCCCUAAGUUUCUUUCCCGUGAGCUCUACGGAAGGGUGACGAAAUAUGCGUUCGUUGACUCUAUCGUGUUAUGUUUGUCAAUCUUACUCACUAAGUUUAUGUCUGAUUUUUGCGCCUAGGCAGGCUGCUCAUUUAAAAGAGGCACUAGGUGGAAUAUAUAUCGGUGUUCGGUGUGCAUCGCCGGCGAGCGUUGUAAACCUCCUUUUUCUGAGCCACAUGGAGUUAAGUUUCUCAUAGUUAGCCUUAAUUUUCUUUCCCGUGAGCUCUACGGAAGGUUCACCAAAUUUACGUUGGACGACUCCUUGUUCGACCAAACGGUACACGUGAUUCUUCCGCGGCAGACGAGCGUUGCCUAAUUCCAAUUUUGAGCCCUAUCAUGUUAAGUUUCUUAAUUUUCUUCACUAAGUUUGUUUCUGAUUUUUGCGCCCUUCAGCAUUUCCACAUGGUUAUUAAACCAACACCUCAUGAUAAGAGACCAUUGUUUAUAUUUCAGGUCCUUGCAAAAUCUCUAAACAAACAUGAGAGGAAUUCUUACCUCACGAAAAAAUCCCAUCCCAGCACUUCCCGUUCAUAAUACAUUAGACCAUUUACUAGACAUAGAUACACGAUAGAAGAACAUAUCUGAUACGCCUAUGACAAGGCACUAGGUGCAAUUUUCUCAAGACAAGGCAAAAUCUCUCAACCAGUGCCAGCGGAGACGGACGGUGAUCAAAUGGCGAUUGAUAUUUGCAGCAUAUGAAUGUGUAUCUCAUUAAAACCAGGCACUAGGUGGAAUAUAUAUAGGUGUGCGUAACAGGUGAGCGUCGGAAACCUCCUCUUUUUGAGCCAUAUGGACUUAAGUAUCUCAUAUUUACCCCUAAGUUUCUCACCCGUGAGCUUUACAGAAGGGUGACCAAAUAUGUGUUCGCCGACUCUAUCAUGUUAAGUUUCUCAAUCUUCUUCACUAAGUUUCUUUCUUAUUUUUGUGCCUAGACAGGCUGCUCAUUUAAAUGAAGCACUAGGUGGAAUAUAUAUAGGUGUUCGGUGUGCGUCCCCGGCGAGCGUUGUAAACCUCCUUUUUCUGAGCCAUAUGAAGUUAAGUUUCUCAUAUUUAGCCUCAAGUUUCUUUCCGGUGAGCUCUACGGAAGGGUCACCAAUUAUGCGUUCGACAUCUCCUCGUUUGAUCGAACAGUACACGUGAUUCUCUCGCGGCAAACGAGCGUUGUCUAAUUACAAUUUCGAGCCCUAUCGUGUUAAGUUUAUCAAUCUUCUUCACUAUGUUUCUUUCUUAUUUUUGUGCCUUCCUUCAGCAUUUCCACAAGGUUAUUAAACAAACACCUCAUGAUAAGAGACCAUUAUGUAUACUUCAGGUCGGUACUCGUCGUUGCAAAAUCACUCAACAAAAAUGACCAUUGAUAUUUGCAACAUAUGGAUGCGUAGCUCAUUAAAACGAAGCACUAGGUGGAAUAUAUAUAGGUGUGCUUAACUGGUGAGCGUCGGAAACCUCCUUUUUUUGAGCCAUAUGGAGUUAAGUUUCCUAUAUUUACCCCUAAGUUUGUUUCCCGUGAGCUCUACGGAAGGGUAACCAAAUAUGUGUUCGCCGACUGUAUCAUGUUAAGUUUCUCAAUCUUCUUCACUAAGUUUCAUUCUGAUUUUUGCGCCUAGACAGGCUGCUUAUUUUAAAGAGGCACUAGGUGGAACAUAUAUAGGUGUUCGGUGUGCGCCACCGGCGAGCGUUGUAAACCUCCUUUUUCUGAGCCAUAUGGAGUUAAGUUUCUCAUAUUUAGCUUUAAGUUUCUUUCCCGUGAGCUCUAUGGAAGGGUCAGCAAUUAUGCGUUCGACGUCUCCUCGUUCGAUCGAACGGUACACGUGAUUCUCCCGCGGCAGACGAGCGUUGCCUAAUUCCAAUUUUGAGCCCUAUCAUGUUAAGUUUAUCAAUCUUCUUCACUAAGUUUCUUUCUGAUUUUUGCGCCUUCCUUCAGCAUUUCCACAUGGUUAUUAAACCAACACCUCAUGAUAAGAGACAAUUAUGUAUAUUUCAGGUCGGUACUCGUCGUUGCAAAAUCUCUCAACAAAAAUGAAGAUUGAUAUUUGCAACAUAUGGAUGCGUAGCUAAUUAAAACGAGGCACUAGGUGGAAUAUAUAUAGGUUUGCAUAACCGGUGAGCGUCGGAAACCUCCUCUUUUUGAGCCAUAUGGAGUUAAGUUUCCCAUAUUUACCCCUAAGUUUCUUUCCCGUGAGCUCUACGGAAGGGUCACCAAAUUUGCGUUGGACGACUCCUCGUUCGACCGAACGGUUCACGUGAUUCUCCCGCGGCAGACGAGCGUCACCUAAUUCCAAUUUCGAGCCGUAUCAUGUUAAGUUUCUUAAUCUUCUUCACUAAGUUUCUUUCUCAUUUUUGUGCCCUUCAGUAUUUCCAAAUGGUUAUUAAACCAACACCUCAUGAUAAGAGACCAUUGUUUAUAUUUCAGGUCCUUGCAAAAUCUCUCAAAAACAUAAGAGGAAUUCGUACCUCAGGAAAAAAAUCCAAUCCCAGCACUUCCCUUUCAUAAUAUAUUAGACCAUUUAUUAGACAUAGAUACAUGAUAGAAGAACAUAUCUGAUUCGCCUAUGACAAGGCACUAAGUGCAGUUUUCUCAAGACAAGGCAAAAUCUCUCAACCAGUGCCAGCGGAGAUGGAUGGUGAUCAAACGACCAUUGAUAUUUGCAGCAUGUGGAUGCGUAGCUUACUAAAACGAGGCACUAGGUGGAAUAUAUAUAGGUGUGCGUCACCGGCGAGCGUUGUAAACCUCCUUUUUCUAAGCCAUAUGGAGUUAUGUUUCUCAUAUUUAACCUUAAGUUUCUUUCCCGUUAGCCCUAUGGAAGGGUCACCAAUUAUGCGUUCGAUGUCUCCUCGUUCGAUCGAACGGUACACGUGAUUCUCCCGCGUCAGACGAGCGUUGCCUAAUUUCAUUUGAGCCCUAUCAUGUUAAGUUUAUCAAUCUUCUUCACUAAGUUUCUUUCUGAUUUUUGCGCCUUCCUUCAGCAUUUCCACGUGGUUAUUAAACCAACACCUAAUGAUAAGAGACCAUUAUGUAUAUUUCAGGUCGGUACUCGUCGUUGCAAAAUCUCUCAACAAAAAUGAACAUUGAUAUUUGCAACAUAUGGAUGCGUAGCUCAUUAAAACGAGGCACUAGGUGGAAUAUAUAUAGGUUUUCAUAACCGGUGAGCGUCGGAAACCUCCUCUUUUUGAGCCAUAUGGAGUUAAGUUUCUCAUAUUUACCCCUAAGUUUCUUUCUCGUGAGCUCUACGGAAGGGUGACGAAAUAUGCGUUCGUUGACUCUAUCGUGUUAUGUUUCUCAAUCUUACUCACUAAGUUUAUGUCUGAUUUUUGCGCCUAGGCAGGCUGCUCAUUUAAAAGAGGCACUAGGUGGAAUAUAUAUAGGUGUUCGGUGUGCAUCGCUGGCGACCGUUGUAAACAUCCUUUUUCUGAGCCACAUGGAGUUCAGUUUCUCAUAGUUAGCCUUAAUUUUCUUUCCCGUGAGCUCUACGGAAGGGUCACCAAAUUUGCGUUGGACGACUCCUUGUUCGACCAAACGGUACACGUGAUUCUGCCGCGGCAGACGAGCGUUGCCUAAUUCCAAUUUUGAGUCCUAUCAUGUUAAGUUUCUUAAUCUUCUUCACUAAGUUUGUUUCUGAUUUUUGCGCCCUUCAGCAUUUCCACAUGGUUAUUAAACCAACACCUCAUGAUACGACACCAUUGUUUAUAAUUCAGGUCCUUGCAAAAUCUCUCAACAAACAUGAGAGGAAUUCUUACCUCAUGAAAAAAUCCAAUCCCAGCACUUCCCUUUCAUAAUAUAUUAGACCAUUUACUAGACAUAGAUACACGAUAGAAGAACAUAUCUGAUACGCCUAUGACAAGGCACUAGGUGCAAUUAUCUCAAGACAAGGCAAAAUCUCUCAACCAGUGCCAGCGGAGACGGACGGUGAUCAAAUGGCGAUUGAUAUUUGCAGCAUAUGGAUGUGUAGCUCAUUAAAACCAGGCACUAGGUGGAAUAUAUAUAGGUGUGCGUAACAGGUGAGCGUCGGAAACCUCCUCUUUUUGAGCCAUAUGGUAUUAAGUUUCUCAUAUUUACCCCUAAGUUUCUCACCCGUGAGCUUUACAGAAGGGUGACCAAAUAUGUGUUCGCCGACUCUAUCAUGUUAAGUUUCUCAAUCUUCUUCACUAAGUUUCUUUCUUGUUUCGCCUAGACAGGCUGCUCAUUUAAAUGAAGCACUAGGUGGAAUAUAUAUAGGUGUUCGGUGUGCGUCCCCGGCGAGCGUUGUAAACCUCCUUUUUCUGAGCCAUAUGGAGUUAAGUUUCUCAUAUUUAGCCUUAAGUUUCUUUCCGGUGAGCUCUACGGAAGGGUCACCAAUUAUGCGUUCGACAUCUCCUCGUUCGAUCGAACGGUACACGUGAUUCUCCCGCGGCAAACGAGCGUUGUCUAAUUCCAAUUUCGAGCCUUAUCAUGUUAAGUUUAUCAAUCUUCUUCACUAAGUUUGUUUCUUAUUUUUGUGCCUUCCUUCAGCAUUUCCACAAGGUUAUUAAACAAACACCUCAUGAGAAGAGACCAUUAUGUAUACUUCAGGUCGGUACUCGUUGUUGCAAAAUCUCUCAACAAAAAUGACCAUUGAUAUUUGCAACAUAUGGAUGCGUAGCUCAUUAAAACGAAGGACUAGGUGGAAUAUAUAUUGGUGUGCGUAACUGGUGAGCGUCGGAAACCUCCCUUUUUUGAGCCAUAUGGAGUUAAGUUUCUUAUAUUUACCCCUAUGUUAGUUUCCCGUGAGCUCUACGGAAGGGUAACCAAAUAUGUGUUCGCCGACUGUAUCAUGUUAAGUUUCUCAAUCUUCUUCACUAAGUUUCAUUCUGAUUUUUGCGCCUAGACAGGCUGCUCAUUUUAAAGAGGCACUAGGUGGAACAUAUAUAGGUGUUCAGUGUGCGCCAUCGGCAAGCGUUGUAAACCUCCUUUUUCUGAGCCAUAUGGAGUUAAGUUUCUCAUAUUUAGCUUUAAGUUUCUUUCCCGUGAGCUCUAUGGAAGGGUCACCAAUUAUGCGUUCGACUUCUCCUCGUUCGAUCGAACGGUACAUGUGAUUCUCCCGCGGCAGACGAGCGUUGCCUAAUUCCAAUUUUGAGCCCUAUCAUGUUAAGUUUAUCAAUCUUCUUCACUAAGUUUCUUUUUGAUUUUUGCGCCUUCCUUCAGCAUUUCCACAUGGUUAUUAAACCAACACCUCAUGAUAAGAGACAAUUAUGUAUAUUUCAGGUCGGUACUCGUUGUUGCAAAAUCUCUGAACAAAAAUGAACAUUGAUAUUUGCAACAUAUGGAUGUGUAGCUAAUUAAAACGAGGCACUAGGUGGAAUAUAUAUAGGUUUGCAUAACCGGUGAGCGUCGGAAACCUCCUCUUUUUGAGCCAUAUGGAGUUAAGUUUCUCAUAUUUACCCCUAAGUUUCUUUCCCGUGAGCUCUACGGAAGGGUCACCUAAUUUGCGUUGGACGACCCCUCAUUCGACCGAACGGUUCACGUGAUUCUCCCGCGGCAGACGAGCGUUACCUAAUUCCAAUUUCGAGCCGUAUCAUGUUAAGUUUCUUAAUCUUCUUCACUAAGUUUCUUUCUGAUUUUUGUGCCCUCCAGUAUUUCCAAAUGGUUAUUAAACCAAAACCUCAUGAUAAGAGACCAUUGUUUAUAUUUCAGGUCCUUGCAAAAUGUCUCAACAAACAUGAGAGGAAUUCUUACCUCACGAAAAAAAUCCAAUCCCAGCACUUCCGUUUCAUAAUAUAUUCGACCAUUUAUUAGACAUAGAUACACGAUAGAAGAACAUAUCUGAUUCGCCUAUGACAAGACACUAAGUGCAGUUUUCUCAAGACAAGGCAAAUCUCUCAACCAGUGCCAGCGGAGACGGAUGGUGAUCAAACGACCAUUGAUAUUUGCAGCAUGUGGAUGUGUAGCUCAUUAAAACGAGGCACUAGGUGGAAUAUAUAUAGGUUUGCAUAACCGGUGAGCGUCGGAAACCUCCUCUUUUUGAGCCAUAUGGAGUCAAGUUUCUUAUAUUUACCCCAAAGUUUCUUUCCCGUGAGCUCUACGGAAGGGUGACGAAACAUGCGUUCGUUGACUCUAUGGUGUUAUGUUUCUCAAUCUUACUCAGUAAGUUUAUGUCUGAUUUUUGCGCCUAGGCAGGCUGCUCAUUUAAAAGAGGCACUUGGUGGAAUAUAUAUAGGUGUUCGGUGUGCAUCGCCGGCAAGCGUUGUAAACAUCCUUUUUCUGAGCCACAUGGAGUUAAGUUUCCAAUAGUUAGCCUUAAUUUUUUUUUCCCGUGAGCUCUACGGAAGGGUCACCAAAUUUGCGUUGGACGACUCCUUGUUCGACCAAACGGUACACGUGAUUCUCCCGCGGCAGACGAGCGUUGCCUAAUUCCAAUUUUGAGCCCUAUCAUGUUAAGUUUCUUAAUCUUCUUCACUAAGUUUGUUUCUGAUUUUUGCGCCCUUCAGCAUUUCCACAUGGUUAUUAAACCAACACCUCAUGAUAAGAGACCAUUGUUUAUAUUUCAGGUCCUUGCAAAAUCUCUCAACAAACAUCAGAGGAAUUCUUACCUCACGAAAAAAUCCAAUCCCAGCACUUCCCUUUCAUAAUAUAUUAGACCAUUUACUAGACAUAGAUACACGAUAGAAGAACAUAUCUGAUACGCCUAUGACAAGGCACUAGGUGCAAUUUUCUCAAGACAAGGCAAAAUCUCUCAACCAGUGCCAGCGGAGACGGACGGUGAUCAAAUGGCGAUUGAUAUUUGCAGCAUAUGGAUGUGUAGCUCAUUAAAACCAGGCAUUAGGUGGAAUAUAUAUAGGUGUGCGUAACAGGUGAGCGUCGGAAACCUCGUCUUUUUGAGCCAUAUGGACUUAAGUUUCUCAUAUUUACCCCUAAGUUUCUCACCCGUGAGCUUUACAGAAGGGUGACCAAAUAUGUGUUCGCCGACUCUAUCAUGUUAAGUUUCUCAAUCUUCUUCACUAAGUUUCUUUCUUAUUUUUGCGCCUAGACAGGCUGCUCAUUUAAAUGAAGCACUAGGUGGAAUAUAUAUAGGUGUUCGGUGUGCGUCCCCGGCGAGCGUUGUAAACCUCCUUUUUCUGAGCCAUAUGGAGUUAAGUUUCUCAUAUUUAGCCUUAAGUUUCUUUCCGGUGAGCUCUAGGGAAGGGUCACCAAUUAUGCGUUCGACAUCUCCUCGUUCGAUCGAACGGUACACGUGAUUCUCCGUGGCAAACGAGCGUUGUCUAAUUCCAAUUUCGAGCCCUAUCAUGUUAAGUUUAUCAAUCUUCUUCACUAAGUUUGUUUCUUAUUUUUGUAUCUUCCUUCAGCAUUUCCACAAGGUUAUUAAACAAACACCUCAUAAUAAGAGACCAUUAUGUAUACUUCAGGUCGGUACUCGUCGUUGCAAAAUCUCUCAACAAAAAUGACCAUUGAUAUUUGCAACAUAUGGAUGCGUAGCUCAUUAAAACGAAGCACUAGGUGGAAUAUAUAUAGUUGUGCGUAACUGGUGAGCGUCGGAAACCUCCUUUUUUUGAGCCAUAUGGAGUUAAGUUUCUUAUAUUUACCCCUAAGUUUGUUUCCCGUGAGCUCUAUGGAAGGGUAACCAAAUAUGUGUUCGCCGACUGUAUCAUGUUAAGUUUCUCAAUCUUCUUCACUAAGUUUCAUUCUGAUUUUUGCGCCUAGACAGGCUGCUCAUUUUAAAGAGGCACUAGGUGGAACAUAUAUAGGUGUUCGGUGUGCGCCAUCGGCGAGCGUUGUAAACCUCCUUUUUCUGAGCCAUAUGGAGUUAAGUUUCUCAUAUUUAGCUUUAAGUUUCUUUCCCGUGAGCUCUAUGGAAGGGUCACCAAUUAUGCGUUCGACGUCUCCUUGUUCGAUCGAACGGUACACGUGAUUCUCCCGCGGCAGACGAGCUUUGCCUAAUUCCAAUUUUGAGCCCUAUCAUGUUAUGUUUAUCAAUCUUCUUCACUAAGUUUCUUUUUGAUUUUUGCGCCUUCCUUCGGCAUUUCCACAUGGUUAUUAAACCAACACCUCAUGAUAAGAGACAAUUAUGUAUAUUUCAGGUCGGUACUCGUCGUUGCAAAAUCUCUCAACAAAAAUGAACAUUGAUAUUUGCAACAUAUGGAUGCGUAGCUAAUUAAUACGAGGCACUAGGUGGAAUAUAUAUAGGUUUGCAUAACCGGUGAGCGUCGGAAACCUCCUCUUUUUGAGCCAUAUGGAGUUAAGUUUCUCAUAUUUACCCCUAAGUUUCUUUCCCGUGAGCUCUACGGAAGGGUCACCAAAUUUGCGUUGGACGACUCCUCAUUCGACCGAACGGUUCACGUGAUUCUCCCGCGGUAGACGAGCGUUACCAAAUUCCAAUUUGGAGCCAUAUCAUGUUAAGUUUCUUAAUCUUCUUCACUAAGUUUCUUUCUGAUUUUUGUGCCCUCCAGUAUUUCCAAAUGGUUAUUAAACCAAAACCUCGUGAUAAGAGACCAUUGUUUAUAUUUCAGGUCCUUGCAAAAUGUCUCAACAAACAUGAGAGGAAUUCUUACCUCACGAAAAAAUCCAAUCCCAGCACUUCCCUUUCAUAAUAUAUUAGACCAUUUAUUAGACAUAGAUACACGAUAGAAGAACAUAUCUGAUUCGCGUAUGACAAGGCACUAAGUGCAGUUUUCUCAAGACAAGGCAAAAUCUCUCAACCAGUGCCAGCGGAGACGGAUGGUGAUCAAACGACCAUUGAUAUUUGCAGCAUUUGGAUGCGUAGCUCAUUAAAACGAGGCACUAGGUGGAAUAUAUAUAGAUGUGCGUAAUCGGUGAGCGUCGGAAACCUCCUCUUUUUGAGCCAUAUGGGGUUAAGUUUCUCAUAUUUACCCCUAAGUUUCUUUCCCGUGAACUCUACAGAAGGGUCACCAAUUAUGCGUUCGACGUCUCCUCGUUCGAUCGAAUGGUAUACAUGAUUGUCCCGCGGCAGAUGAGCGCUGCCUACUUCCAAUUUCGAGCCUUAUCAUGUUAAGUUUAUCAAUCUUAAUCACCAAGUUUCUUUCUGAUUUUUGCAAAUUCCUUCACCAUUUCCACAUGGUUAUUAAACCAACACCUCAUGAUAAGAGACCAUUAUGUAUAUUUCAGGUCGGUACUCGUCGUUGCAAAAUCUCUCAACAAAAAUGACCAUUGAUAUUUGCAACAUAUGGACGCGUAGCUCAUUAAAACGAGGCACUAGGUGGAAUAUAUAUAGGUGUGCGUAACCGGUGAGCAUCGGAAACCUCUUCUUUUUGAGCCAUAUGGAGUUAAGUUUCUCAUAUUUACCCCUAAGUUUCUUUCUAGUGAGCUCUACCGAAGGGUGACGAAAUAUGCGUUCGUCGACUCUAUCGUGUUAUGUUUCUCAAUCUUACUCACUAAGUUUAUGUCUGAUUUUUGCGCCUAGGCAGGCUGCUCAUUUAAAUGAGGCACUAGGUGGAAUAUAUAUAGGUGUUCGGUGUGCAUCACCGGCGAGCGUUGUAAACCUCCUUUUUCUGAGCCACAUAGAGUUAAGUUUCUAAUAGUUAGCCUUAAUUUUCUUUCCCGUGAGCUCUACGGAAGGGUCAGCAAAUUUGCGUUGGACGACUCCUCAUUCGACCGAAUUGUACACGUGAAUCUCCCACGGCAAACGAGCAUUGCCUAAUUCCAAUUUCGAGCUCUAUCAUGUUAAGUUUCUUAAUCUUCUUCACUAAGUUUCUUUCUGAUUUUUGCGCCCUUCAGCAUUUCCACAUCGUUAUUAAACCAACACCUCAUGAUAAGAGACCAUCGUUUAUAUUGCAGAUCCUUGCAAAAUCUCUCAACAAACAUGAGAGGAAUUCUUACCUCACGAAAAAAUCCAAUCCCAGCACUUCCCUUUCAUAAUAUAUUAGACCAUUUAUUAGACAUAGAUACACGAUAGAAGAACAUAUCUGAUUGGCCUAUGACAAGGCACUAGGUCCAAUUUUCUCAAGACAAGGCAAAAUCUCUCAACCAAUGCCAGCGGAGACGGAUGGUGAUCAAAUGACCUUUGAUAUUUGCAGCAUAUGAAUGUGUAGCUCAUUAAAAGGAGGCACUAGGUGGAAUAUAUAUAGGUGUGCGUAAUCGGUGAGCGUCGGAGACCUCCUCCUUUUGAGCCAUAUGGAGUUAAGUUUCUCAUAUUUACCCCUAAGUUUCUUUCCCGUGAGCUCUACGGAAGGGUGACGAAAUAUUCGUUCGCUGACUCUAUCAUGAUAAGUUUCUCAAUCUUACUCACCAAGUUUUUGUCUAAUUUUUGCGCCUAGGCAGGCUGCUCAUUUAAAUGAGGCACUAGGUGGAAUAUAUAUAGGUGUUCGGUGUGCAUCACCGGCGAGCGUUGUAAACCUCCUUUUUCUGAGCCAUAUGGAGUUAAGUUUCUCAUAUUUAGCCUUAAGUUUCUUUCCCGUGAGCUCUACGGAAGGGUCACUGAGAGUGUCCUGGAUUAAGGUGUCCUCGGACAACCGGACUAUAUACUUUCGCCGGACUGUUGGACUAUGAAGAUACAAGAUAGAAGACUUCGUCCCGUGUCCGGAUGGGACUCUCCUUUGCGUGGAAGGCAAGCUUGGCGAUUCGGAUAUGUAGAUUUCAUUCUCUGUAACUGACUCUGUGUAACCCUAGCCCCCUCCGGUGUCUACAUAAACCGGAGGGUUUAGUCCGUAGGACGAGAAGAACAAUCAUAAUCAUAGGCUAGCCUCUAGGGUUAGCCUCCUCGAUCUUGUGGUAGAUCAACCCUUGUAAUACUCAUAUCAUCAAGAUCAAUCAAGUAGGAAGUAGAGUAUUACCUCCAUAGAGAGGGCCCGAACCUGGCUAAACAUCGUGUCCCCCGCCUCCUGUUACCAUUAGCCUUAGACGCAUAGUUCGGGACCCCCUACCCGAGAUCUGCUAGUUUUGACACCGACAUUGGUGCUUUCAUUGAGAGUUCCACUGUGUCGUCACCAUAAGGCUCCAUGGCUCCUUCAAUCGUCUACAGCGAUGUGAUCCAGGGUGAGGUUUUCCUCACCAGAAAAAUCUUCGUAUUCGGCGGCUUCGCACUGCGGGCUAACUCGCUUGGCCAUCUGGAGCAGAUCGAUAGCUACGCCCCUGGCCAUCAGGUCAGGUUUGGAAGUUUGAAUUACAUCGCCGACAUCCGCGGAGACUUGAUCUUCGACGGAUUCAAACCCACGACAGCCGCUCCCUGCAGCCACGAUGAACAUGACUCAAAUAUCUCAUCGGACUACGCUCAGGAGACCGCGCCUGUGACUGCCCUGGCCCUUGAUCUAGAACAGAUCGCGCCGUCCGUGGAUGGGGGCUGGACCCCACCAUGGAGGCCGCAUACUCUAUGGCGUUGGAGCCGAACACAGAUUCAGCCUCUAUCGAGGCCUGUGCCAUUGGACCCUCGGACUCGUCUCCGGAUAUAGUUUCAGAACUGCGUGUGUCCACGCCCGUCGAAUCUUAUCGGGCACCGAUCUUGGAGUUUACCUCCGCGGACAUCUUUCAACACUCGCCCUUGGGCGAUGUGUUAAAUUCAUUAAGAUCUCUCUCCUUGUCAGGAGAUUCUUGGCUGAACUAUGUCCGGCUUGAGUGGGAAACGGACGACAAAGAAUUUCGCUGCCCACCCACCACCCACUUGAUAGGCACUGUCAAUGACUUGACCGACAUGCUUGACUUCGACUCCGACGACAUCGACGGUAUGGACGACGAUGCGGGAGAAGAAGAGGACCGCCCAUAGGGCGCUGGACAGCCACCUUGUCAUUUGACAUUUACAUGGUGGAUACCCCCAAAGAAGACAAUGGCGAGGACAAAAAGGACCCAGUUGAGGAUAAGCCUCCUGAGAAGCAGCCGAAGCGCCGACGUCGGCGGCGCCGUUCUAAACCAUGCCAUGGUAAAAAUAGCAAUACCGGCACAGGAGAUAAUACCCCGGAUAAUCCUGAAAACAAUGAACACCCCGCAGACCCAGCCAUGAAGCAGGACGAGCAGGGAGACGGCAAACACAGUCCGGGGCCGCUGUCCGAUCACAGCGAUGCCAAAGACACCACUUAUCAACCUAUCUCCGAAGAAGAGGACAGUCCGGAUGAUGACACAUUCAUCAUCCCUGAUACACAAGUGGAGCGAGAACGCCUCCACAAGAGACUUAUCGCCACUGCUAGGAGCUUGAAUAAGCAGAAGCAACGGCUUAAAGCCGCACAGGAUAUGCUCGAUGACAAAUAGAACGAAGUUCUCGACACUAAGGAAAAAUACGACGGCAAUCGCCAAACGAAGAGCUAUCCCAAACGUAAACUGCUGCCCGAAUUCGACGAUGAGGCUAUAGCGCCCAUACCGCCGAAUAACCGUACGGACGACCAACAGGACCGACCACCUUGUGGUUGAGACAGAGCAGCUAAUAAUGCCGCACACAAAUCCGCACCCCCGCUCCAUAACGAAAGGGAGGUAGCGACCCAGAACUAGCAACACGAUUUACGUGAGGACUUGGAUAAAAGGGCUGGCAUAACAAGGUCCAUUUAUGGGUCUCGAGAUCGUGACCACCAAAACAAAUAUGCCGGCCGCUCUCCAGUUCGGAACCAACACCGAACACUACAACCGUCGGACUCACUCCACGACAUAACCAAAUACAGGGGCGCUGCGCACCCACUGUACUUCACCGAUGAGGUGCUGGAUCAUGAAUUUCCAGCAGGGUUUAAACCCGUAAACAUUGAGGCAUACGACGAAACGACAGACCCUGCAGUCUGGAUAGAGGACUUUAUUCUUCAUAUCCAUAUGGCACGCGGAGAUGAUCUCCACGCCAUCAAAUACUUACCCCUCAAGCUUAAGGGACCAGCUCGGUACUGGUUGAAAAGCCUCCCUGAAAAUUCUAUCGGAAGCUGGGAGGAGCUCGAGGACGAUUUCAGGGCAAAUUUUCAAGGGACUUAUGUCCGACCUCCCGACGCAGACGAUCUCAGUCAUAUAGCCAACAACCCGGAGAGUCCGCCCGUAAGCUUUGGAAUAGAUUUCUGACCAAGAAAAACCAAAUCGUCAACUGUCCGGAUGCCGAAGCUUUAGCAGCUUUCGAACACAGUAUUCGGGACGAAUGGCUUCCCAGACACCUCGGCCAAGAAAAGCCCAGGACAAUGGCAGCCUUAACCACCCUCAUGACCCGCUUUUGUGCAGGCGAGGAUAGCUGGUUGGCCCGUAGCAGCACGAGCGACCCAGGCACACCCGAAAUCAGGGAUGGCAACGGAAAACCACGACGCAAUAAAAACAAACGUCGCAACAAUGAAGUCAGCCCAGCAAAUACAGCGGUAAACGCCGGAUUCAGGGGCUCCAAACAGGUCAACGGAAAAAGACAUUUAAAGGCAGCCGAGAAGGUCCAUCCAGCUUGACAAAAUUCUCGACAGGCCCAGCCAGAUUCAUGGCACCCCCGAUAAGCCAUCUAACCACACCAAUAGAGAAUGUUGGGUCUUUAAACAGGCCGGCAAGCUCAACGCCAAACACAAGGGGAAGGGGUCGCUAAGUGAAGACGAGGAUGAAUCCCGCCAACCGAACACAGGUGGAUAGAAAAAAUCCAACCGGAGGUUAAAACAGUGAACAUGAUUUACAUCACUCAUAUCCCAAAAAGGGAGCGCAAACACGCACUCCGAGACGUAUACGCUAUAGAGCCCGUCAUCCCCAAAUUCAACCCAUGGUCGGCCUGUCCGAUCACUUUCGAUCGCAGGGAUCAUCCGACUAGUAUUCGUCACGGGGGUUCGGCCACCUUAGUGCUCGACCUGAUAAUCGACGGAUACCACCUCACCCGAGUCCUCAUGGACGGCGGCAGCAGUCUCAAUCUGAUAUAUCAGGACACUGUUCGCAAGAUGGAGAUAGACCCAUCAAGAAUUAUGCAAAGCAACACUACCUUUAAAGGAGUGAUACCAGGUGCCGAGGCCCGCAGCAGUGGCUCCCUUACGUUGGAAGUUGUAUUCGGUUCUCCGGAUAACUUUUGAAGCGUAGAACUAAUCUCCGAUAUUGCUCUGUUCCGUAGCAGUUACCAUGCACUACUUGGAAGAACGGCAUUCGCCCGCUUCAAUGCAGUCCCGCAUUACGCUUAUCUUAAACUUAAGAUGCCCGGUCCACGUGGCGUCAUCACAAUCAGCGGAAACACGGAGCGUUCCCUUCGAAUAGAAGAAUACAUCGCGGCUCUAGUAGCCGAAUCAUGGAGUGACCUCUGCAAAAUAAGCAACUCAUCGGUUUUCGAAACAGCGGACACAGUUAGACGUGUUCGGCGCACACCUAGGUGUAGCAGCUCAGAUAAACCUGAGCUUGAUUAGCGGCUAUACUCCCACAAAAACAAGAAGACUAUACAUGCCUCCCCGUAUAUGUAAAAUAGGGCUUCAAAACCCCCUGUGUGGUGUGUGGGGUGCUACGUCUUGAGCUUGCGUUGGUUUUCCUUGAAGAGGAAAGGGUGAUGCAGCAAUAGUAGCGUAAGUAUUUCCCUCAGUUUUUGAGAACCAAGGUAUCAAUCCAGUAGGAGGCUCCUCAAAAGUCCCACACACCUACACAAACAAACAAAGAACUCGCAACCAACGCAAUAAAGGGGUUGUCAAUCCCUUCAUGGCCACUUGUGAAAGUGAGAUAUGAUAGAGAUAGUAUGAUAAGAUAAAUAUAUUUUUGGUAUUUUAUAAUAUAGAUGCAAAAAGUAAAGAUGCAAAUAAAAGUAGAUUGAAAGCUUAUAUGAUAAAAGAUAGACCCGGGGGCCAUAGGUUUCACUAGUGGCUUCUCUCAAGAUAGCAUAAGUAUUACGGUGGGUGAACAAAUUACUGCCGAGCAAUUGAUAGAAAAGCGAAUAAUUAUGAGAUUAUCUAGGCAUGAUCAUGUAUAUAGGCAUCACGUCCGUGACAAGUAGACCGACUCCUGCCUGCAUCUACUACUAUUACUCCACACAACGGCCGCUAUCCUGCAUGCAUCUAGAGUAUUAAGUUCAUAAGAAUAGAGUAACGCAUUAAGAAAGAUGACAUGAUGUAGAGGGAUAAACUCAAGCAAUAUGAUAUAAACCCCAUCUUUUUAUCCUCGAUGGGAACAAUACAAUAUGUGCCUUGCAACCCUUUCUGUCAACUGGGUAAGGACACCACAAGAUUGAACUCAAAGGUAAGCACUUCUCCCAUUGCAAGAAAGAUCAAUCUAGUAGGCCAAACCAAACUGAUAAUUCGAAGAUACUUGCAAAGGUAACUCAAUCAUACAUAAAAGAAUUCAGAGAAGAUUCAAAUAUUUCUCAUAGAUAAACUUGAUCAUAAACCCACAAUUCAUCGGAUCUCGACAAACACACCGCAAAAAGAGUUUACAUCGAAUAGAUCACCACAAGAGAGGGGGAGAACAUUGUAUUGAGAUCCAAAAAGAGAGAAGAAGCCAUCUAGCUAAUAACUAUGGACCCAAAGGUCUGUGGUAAACUACUCACAACUCAUCGGAGGGGCUAUGGUGUUGAUGUAGAAGCCCUCCGUGGUCGAUUCCCCCUCCGGCGGAGCGCCUACGAAGGCUCCAAGAUGGGAUCUCGCGGAUACAGAAGGUUACGGCGGUGGAAAUUGUGUUUCGGUGGCUCCCUGGAUGUUUUCGGGGUACGUAGGUAUAUAUAGGAGGAAGAAGUACGUCGGUGGCCGCUCGUGGGGCCCAGGAGACAGGGGGCGCGCCCAGGAGGGUUGGGCGCCCCUCCUAUCUCCUGGCCGCCUUGAUUGCUUCUUGACUUGCACUCCAAGUCCUCUGGAUCACGUUCGUUCCAAAAAUCAUUCUCCCGAAGGUUUCAUACCGUUUGGAAUCCGUUUGAUAUUCCUUUUCUUUGAAAUACUGAAAUAAGCAAAAACACAACAAUAUGGGCUGGGCCUCCGGUUAGUAGGUUAGUCCCAAAAAUGAUAUAAAUGUGUAAAAUAAAGCCCAUAAACAUCCAAAAUAGGUAAUAUAAUAGCAUGGAACAAUAAAAAAUUAUAGAUACGUUGGAGACGUAUCAUGGGGCCGCACACAUAUAAAAGGUCCAUAGUUCGGCUUGAUCCUAUUCGGACUCAAAAAAUUAUAUCUUCAUGGUUCUUUAAAAAAAACCAAUUCUACUCACGAUCACACCAGAUCCGGUCACCUGGUUCUUUUUUUAUUUUAGGUGGCCACCACUCUUUACCCCUCAAGGACAGAGGCGCAACGGAGAUAAAGGCGCAGACAUGCAGCAGGGCCCCGUUCUAAGGUUUCUUUUUAGAUUAAGCCCCUACGUAAACCAUUUUUACUAUCUUUUGUUGUUUUCAUAUCCUCUUGGCUCUUAAAAUGACCCACAAGGAUGUCGGCGUUAUCGUCACGCCGAAUAGACCAGUACCUUGAAAUCCAGGGUUUUAUUACCAGGGGCUGUCAUUUAGCCCAGUAUAUUUUGUAAAGACCGAAUACCUUCGGGAGUCUUCGGCGUCGCGAGUUUGACCCUAUAUGCAUCAGCUCCGAAUCAUGACUUUGGUCAAAUGUUGGGUUUGCCCGGCUCCCGCGUUUUGCUACCUUACGUUCCGCACCAUCAGCUAAGGAAGCACGGGGAGAACUACUGCGAUUGUGCCCUGGUUCAUCCGGACGAGCGCCUCAGUAGAGAAAGCCGAAAACUGAAUGUCAUGAUACAGCGAGAGACUGGUCAACCACUCGAUGACUCAACAGAAUCCUCGAGAUUUCUCCGCAUUAACGAAAACCUGUUUUCCGGUCACGUAUGUAAACGCACCAUUUUCGGAUAAAACGAGGACAUAUCAGGGGCUAUGUAGUAGCCCGACCAUCAAACUCCUAUGGCUAAGUGAAAGUGUUAAAGCUUUAUAGUCUGAUUGCCUUGUUCGCCGCACUAUCACCUCCUCAAAUGGACCAAGACGUUGGAUCAAGUGUGACUACGUGCUUUUGUCGAACACCCACGCGUUAUUCGCAAAGGGGUUGAAGCUGACGACUGCAAUCUUUCAGGUUAUAUGCAUAUAUACAUAGACGGCCGCACAGGAGGCACUAAAAUACUUUACGGGCAAAAGUACAAAUAUAGACUUUAUUAUCAAAAAGCAUUGUCUUUACAAUUCAGAUAUAUAUCAUUCGAACAUGAUAGUCUUCGAGCACUGAGCCUCGAUCAGGCUGGCACCCUCUAAGACCUCCUCAAAAUAGUGCUCCGGCAGGUCUUGGCCCCCGGUCGGACCCUGUUUUGCAAUACCGGUGGCCUCCAUCCCCGCCCAGUACUUUUUAAUGCGGGCGAGGGCCAUCCGCGCACCCUCCAUGCAUGCCGACCGCUUGAUAGUGGCGAUAUGCGGCACAGCACGAAUAAAUCGUUUCACCAAACCAAAAUAACUACUCAGGCCUUGUUCCCCCAACCACAAGCAGUCCACGACAGCCUUCAUGGCAAGUCCGGAUAACCUAUGGAGCUCAGCCCAUUCGGCCAUCUACUCGUUUAUCAGCAGCGGAUGCUUUGGCGUGCUGAACUGCGACCAGAACAGUCUUUCCACUUCAUGAUCUUCUUGGUCCUGGCAGAACUGCGUCGCAUCGGUGGCACUCUUUGACAAGUCCAAAUACGCGUCUUGAGAACUCCACAGUGAUCAAGGGGGGCAUACUUCGGAUCGCCGAACUUAGUUCACAAUAAAAACGGCUUCCCAGCCGCGAUCUCGCCGGCUAGCCGGAGCUCCUCCCGAGCUGCUCUGACCUCAGAUCGAGUCUCUUUUGCCGUUUGCAAGGCCUUUAGUAGGUCCUCCGUUUUGUCUUGGCUCUCCGUCUUGAGCAGCUCAUAACGGUUAGCGGCAUCCUUCAGAUCAAGAGCCAUAUUGGCUAUUUUUUCCUCACUUCGGUGAUGAGCAGCCUGUUCGGCUUUCAAUUCACUCACUGCCUUUCCGGCAGCCGCAUCGCUUACUCUGGCUUGUUCCUUAGUACGCGCAAGCUCAGCCCGAAGAGUCUCCACGGCGGCUGCACCAUCUGCAGACAGAGCAUAUUGUAAGUUCCAGUGUCAUACUGUCAUACAUACUUGCUGACCACCCAGAAGACACACCUUGCGCCUCGUCAAGACACUUAUUCACGAGCGUGAUGUCCUCAUCCGCCGCAUCAAGUUGCCGCUUCAAUUCGGCAAAUUCGUCAACCCGCGCAGUUGUUGGGACUGCAGCCGCCUGUGUACAAAAUUGGCAAAAUCCUGUCCUGAGAUCAUUGAUAUUUUUUGGUCCUCUGAUCGGUCCAUUCGGAUAGCAACCAGAGUCUCAGGGGCUACUAUGUACACACAGUGCAACUUGCGUUCUACAAUACACACUAACAAUAAGUUGCCACCUUACGUACCUCGAAGCCUCUUAACAGGCUCAUGAAGGCUUCAUCCUGUCCGCUUUUCGCGGACGAAAUUCUUUUAAUCACCAUACCCAUUAAGGUACGAUGUUCCUCUGAAACAGGCGCUUCCCGCAGAAGACCCAUCAACGUAUCCGGCUGUGCGUCGGACAGUCCGGGGCUUUUGUCUACGGUCUUUUUAGGAGCUGAACACCCCAGACCUCGGGCGGCUGAAGAUUCACCUUCUGGCCUCGUUCUAUUUUGGGGAUCGGGAGAGAUCCUCCGAGACGACACUUCGGGGUCGUCCUCCUUAUGGGGCGGGGAAGUAUGAGGAGACGGCUCGCUCUCCAUCAUCUCCGGAAGAAGAUCCCCCGAGGACGAAGAUUGUUGCGGAAGGCUAUAGGCUGGACUGCCAAACAUACGUUCCAGAUAUUACUAUCAUAAACAGGAGAAGAACGGGGUAGGCUUACAGAGCACCCUUGUUCACUUACAUCUGGGCUAGCGGCUGGUCCCCUUGAGGGCGCUGUUCGGCAACGUUGCUCCCCGAGACAGGGCCCCCUGAUAGGGAUUUCUUCCCUUGCUUGGAGGCCUCCACGUUCAAGUCUUCGGGGGCGGCCCUUUUCUUCCCGCGGAGGUAGGGAGUAUUUGAUUACCCUCUCCGUUUACUCUCCGACACGGGAGUUCCAAUUUCUCCGGAUACAGUACGUAAUGUACCACCUCUAUGGAGGCCACUUUUGACCUCCCCGCUCCCCUCCUUGUCUUCCCCCUAUGGCACUUGAUGUGGUGCACGAGCCAGCAUCCUGGUUAACACCGGAUCCGCUGAGUCUUCGGGAAGAGGCGCCGAACACCUCAUCCUCUCUGCCUUCUGUAUCCAACCCUGGCCGAGGAUGAUUUUCAGGAUAACAUUAUGAUAAAUAUAAUGACAACGUGUUCGGUUACGGGGUGCUCACCGGGGUAUCUGGAUGGUUGCAGUCAAGGCAUGCGUCUUCCGUGGUGUCCGGACACUUCAUUCAUGAUCCAAAGAAUGAUUUAUACAUCCCUUCGAGCGUGAUGCUGAAGAAGUGCUGAACGGUUCGCGGUCCUUCCGUAUUGAACACCCACAUGCGAAGAGGUUGUCGUUGGCAUGGCAGGACCCGUCAAACUAGGAUUACCUAAAUCACCUUUACAAGACCAAUAUCCUUCUCGAUAAGAUCUCGGAUGCGGCUUUGCACCGUCCGCACAUCGUCAGCCGGCCCCCAGUCCAGCCCCUUGUUGACCCAUGAUGCAAGUUAUGGUGGAGGGCCCGAGCGAAAGCAGGAGCAGCCGCACACUUUUUUCCUUGGGGAGCUAUGAUGUAAAACCACUCCCGUUGCCACAGGUCGGAAACCUCUAGGAAGGAACCCUUUGGCAAUAAAGCGUUGGCACAUUUGCUUAUUUUUGCCCCUCCGCACUCCGCGUGUUUCCCAUUGAGCAUCUUCGAUGUUACGUUAAAGGUUUUAAGCCAUAAGUCAAAGUGUGGAACAAUGCAGAGGAAGGCCUCGCACACGAUGAUGAAGGACGAGAUGUGAAGGAAGGAAUCCAGAGCUGGAUCAUGAAAAUCUAGCCCAUAAUAGAACAUGAGCCCUCUAACGAAGGGAUGAAGACUAAGGCCUAGCCCUCGGAGGAAGUGAGAGAUACACACAACACUCUCGUCGGACAUGGGAGUAGGGAUAACCUGCUCUGAGCAGGAAGCCUGUGGGGAAUUUCCGCUGUGACGGAGGAGGCCAUCCACUAGCCUUGAAGGCUGGAUCCGGACAUGGUCGGAAGUUUGGAGCGUUUUGGCUGAAGCCUUGGGUGUUGGCACUCGAGGUGGGAGAAGGAGAGGAUUAAGCGUAGAGGGAAAAGACAGGCCUUGAUCUCUUUAUAAAGAGGAUGAAUACCAAACGUCCUCGCGUGGCCUUUUGGAAACUUACCUAUUCUCAAGGAAUCCUAUCCAUGGAACGGUUGGGUUACCCACGCCCGUAUUGAUGAGAAUCCCACGAUAAUAGGACACGAUCUCUGCUUCUACAAGACGUGCCAAUAAAGCCGCCUCGUGCAACGUGUCGUGGCAGGCUGAUAAAACGGUUCGGAUAAAAAUUGGGCCAUGGUGUGAUGUCACGCUGUGAAUAAACUGUCAGCAGAUUAGAUUCCUGAAAUAUUAUACUCUCUACGAUGGUAUGUGGAAUUUGGUUUUGCAGAUCUGGACAUGAUUCUUGUGUUCAAGAUCUACUUUGGAGUAUUCGGAGAAGGAACCCACCUUGCAAUGCCGAAGACAAUCUGCGCGGGGGACUCAAUCGUCAUUGAAGCCUGGUUCAGGGGCUAUUGAGGGAGUCCUGGAUUAAGGGGUCCUCGGACAGCCGGACUAUAUACUUUGGACGGAUGUGACAGCCUGGAUUUUGCCUUCUCUCUUUUUACCGGACUUGCCUUCUCUCUCUUUCCGGACUUGGUUUUCAUCAUGGUUUUUGCCCUGAUUAGAUUUGGACUUUUGGAUCAAUUCAAAUGAACUUGUCACUUGGGCAUAUCCUUGGCUUUCACCCAAGUGACUUAUCCACCUUAUCCCUCCCACAAAUUCCCAAAAUAAUAAAAUGAAUAUUUUUCCUUUAAGGAAAAUAUUACUUUUUCUCUCUUAAGUUCAUUUCAGAACUUUGUGCUCCAAAGCAACCUCAAUUUUUCUUGCUCAGAAAAAUCUGAGAUAAUUCCUAAAUAUUCUUAGGACCAUGAAACAUCUUCCCAUGCAAAAAUAUUGCAUCACUUUUUGUAAUAUUUUUGCUGUAGAAAAUCUUUUCACUUCUAGGCCUCAAAUGCAUUUUGUACAGCAAGUGCAUUUUUCUGUAAGCUUUUUGCCUUGAUCUUUCUUGAGAUUAAACACCCUCCUAAGAAACCCUAAACCCCAGGAGAUCAGCCCUAAUGUAUAGAAACUUGUCAGCUAAGUGGCGUCACUUCUGGUCGACCUGGGCAUGAGCCAUCAACUCCCCUAGACUAAACGUUGCACGGUCGAGAGCGUAGACAAGGUUUGGCCGCUCCUGGGCAUCGUUUUGACCAUGCCAUCUUGGUGACCACGCAUGGACACGGUGCCUGGCAUGCGUCUCGACAUGCUCUGGCUGGCGCUUUGCUUUCUGUUUCGUGCGUGUGCAUGCUAGCGCUCGCCUCCGACUACCGCAACGUGCCACAACCCUCGACCCAUCACCCAUGACCCCUCCCUGGCGCUCGCCGAUGCCGGAGCCGCCGCAGCAAGACCAGUCUGGUCGCGGCCAAAAUGGCACAGUGCGUGCGUGUGCUUGUCCCCAUCUAAAAACCGCCUCCUGUGCUCGUCCGCGAGUGUGGGCAAGCGCUGGCGUUGACGCUGCACCCCGUCCCCUCGCGUUGGAGCCUCUCGUCGACGUUCGCCGCGUGUCCAGAGUGCUCCAGCGGCGACACGUCCCCCCCUCUUGCUCCGGCUAUAUAAAUCCACCCCGACUCGAAUCCUGGCGACGCACCACUCCACACAACCACCACGAACACAUAGAACGAUCGCAGUUUGGUCGGGCAGGCCUCUGGCCGUCGCCCCGACCCGAGGACUCCGGCGAUCCCUGCAGGCCAGCUGCCGCUCUCCAGGGCCUCUCGAGCUCAAGCAGAGCUGCUUGGGCAGGGCCUUGGUGGCCUGCUGGAGCUGCCUGGACCCUGCCAAGCCCUCGGAGCUGCCUCUAGCCUCCGUCUUCCACCUCUCCGGCGAACCCCGUCCACCACCGAAGCUUGCGAGCUCGACUGUGACUAGCUCCGUCCACCUCUCGCCAAGCCACGGGUACAGGCAGGUGCGCCGCGAGCCCCGCUUCCAAUCUAUCCCUCUAGCCUAGCCCCAAACCCCCUCGUCGCCAGGAUAAGCUCCGGCGAGGCGCCGCGCCUCCUCUGAUCUCGAUCCCCCUCUCUCUNNNNNNNNNNNNNNNNNNNNNNNNNNNNNNNNNNNNNNNNNNNNNNNNNNNNNNNNNNNNNNNNNNNNNNNNNNNNNNNNNNNNNNNNNNNNNNNNNNNNNNNNNNNNNNNNNNNNNNNNNNNNNNNNNNNNNNNNNNNNNNNNNNNNNNNNNNNNNNNNNNNNNNNNNNNNNNNNNNNNNNNNNNNNNNNNNNNNNNNNNNNNNNNNNNNNNNNNNNNNNNNNNNNNNNNNNNNNNNNNNNNNNNUUCAAAUUUAUUCAGAAAUUUGACCAAACUUUGACCAGCCAUAAUUUUUAAACCACAAGUCCAAAUGCAUUGAUUCUUUUUGCAUUGUGUUUGUUACAGAAAGCUCUAGCGGCACACCAAAGGGUGAAUUUUUUUCCUUGCUGUCUAGAAUUUCUGGUGAUUUAUAGAAUGAGUUUUGACAUUUAUUUUUGUGGUUUUAAAAUAUUUUCAGAAGGAGGAUCUUGCCUUGAAGCUAACCAGGAGGAGUGCGACCCUCCUCUGCACUAAGGCAAGCCACAACAUCAUUUGGAUGGUGUUAUUUCAAUAUCUAUGAUUUAAAAUUUGAUAAAUUAAUAUGGUUAAUUGCUAGUUGUUUUCUAAUGCUUGAUAUGCUUGUUUUAGCCUCUGGUUGAAUUCAUAGAAUUGUUUGGCUAAGUAGAGUACGAUUUUGCACUAGAUAUUUUGUUAUGGAAAGUUAUGGUAGCUAUAUUUGCUAGUAAUAGUUUUCAACUAAAUAAUGCACUAAUAAAAAUGUUGUUUGUAGAAAAAAUGACUUAUAACCAGAGAAGUUUCCGAUCUUAGAAGUGUAUCUUAGUUAUAUUGCUUGUUUUGAUCCAUGCUUAAGAAUUGCUUGCUCUGUGUGAUGAGUAGUUGUAUGAUUUCCGGUAUGAUGCCAUGUUAGUAAUAAAAAGUUUUUUUGAAAAUUAAUACUUGAUUAAGUUCAACCUGAAUAUGAUGUUGGUCACAUCAUGGUGCCACUAAAUCGGGUUCUAAUUCAGUGCGAUCACAUUUACCUAAUGGGAAGGUCUUGAUUCGGUCCUUUGUCGUGGCUCUCACCGGUGCCUCCCGCGAGGGAAGGUUAUGGGCGUGCUUACCCUGGCCCGGUAGGCAGACAUAACCUUGUGUGCUCGUUUGUUUUUAUGGUACCUUGUCCCCAUUUGGGACCGUUUUGCCACGACGGUGGCCGUUGGCAUCUUUGGUAGACACGGGGCCACCCAAGACCUAGCCCUGAGAUGGAGAUGGUCGGAGUGGCCGGGGAGAGUUCAUGUCAAAGGGAGGGUUUCGUCGGAUUACUUUGGUCCACCCGAAUGGGAGUACGAAGCCAGGUAUUCUGUAGUGUGGGUAAAGUGCUCUACCUCUGCAGAGUGUAUUUAAUCUAUCGAUACUCGCGCCCUCGGUUAUGGGCAAGACUCGGGAGUAAGUCACAACAUGGAUCAACUUUUAUAACUAAUCUUGCAAACUAGUAAUUAUUCUGAUGCAUUGUUUCGUGGUGAACCUUGAACACUCGAGGUGUUCAUGAGUGAUUGGUUUCAGGUGUGACCCCGGUGUGGUCGCCGUUGGUUACGAGGUAACCGUCUGGUAAGCGAGUCCGCGUGACUCGGUGCUCUGUUUGGUUGUUCUGCAUAGCUUUGCAUUUGUAGUAAUUUCUUGCAUUAAUUUAACUUGAUUAAUUAUCAUGAUAUUGUCUGUCAUCGUGCUUAUGUUUGUUGUGAGCUUGCAAGUACAUUCCAUGUACUGACCUGGCGUGUCAUGUCAGUUUUCAGGCAAGCUGAUUCGCAUCGGAGUGCAUCCCGUGUCUAGGCCGUGUCCACGUCGGUGUCCCUGUGCCAUGGAGUUCCGCUAUGUCGUUCUUCCGCUACCGCAUAGUUUCAUGUGAUCAAGGCCCCAGCCAUGUUCAUUAAAUAAUGUGCAUACUGUCCACCAGCACCGUCUGUGCCGCUUGGCCUCGGAUCUCGAUGUAAUAUCAGACCUUUGUACCACACUAGUAUCAAUAAAGCGGUUAUUUCUGUACCAAGUUGUUGUGUAUUGCCAGAAGACUCGAUCUCUGGGCUGGCAAUGCAGGGUAAACCGGUUGCUCGGAGCCGGGGUGCCACAACGCUUGGUAUCGGAGCCGCGCUGAUUGUGGGACACGCUAGACCGGUAGUGCGUUAGUAAAACGGUAGAUAGUUUUGUUUGAGUGCCGGUAGACAUAGGAAUUGGUUGUUGCAUUGCAUGCAUGACUUAUUGUUGUUAUUACUAACCGUAUGGUUUGUGAGUGUAGAUGGCACCAGUACCAAUCUUGUACCAUCCUGAGCGAGCUCCGUGCACAUUGCUGCACCUGCUUCAGAACGUGUGGCGACGACUCAAUCCAGAGGGUGCUGAUCCAGAGUAUCGAGUGUAUCGCGAGCAUCUGGCCGGUGCAGUGUAUGAGUAUUAUGCUGAGGUCACUCUACACCAGAGUUCCCCAUCCGGCGCUUACACUCGUUCAUCUAAGGGUGGUCUUGCUUCUAUGCCAUCUCAGGCGGUUCAGUUUGCAACUAUCGAGGCUCUUAUAGACUUGCGCUACAAUGAGGUUCGCAUGCACACCCACCCUAGACUUUUCUUCUACCCAUCUAUGCACGAGAAUGGGCGUAUCCACUUUCCUUUGAUUAAUCCGGCCGCGUGCGAUCGUCCCACUAGCCACCUUGCACGCUACAAGACCGCUAGCUAUCUCCUUAACUACAAGUUAGCUCGGGAGCUCUCACGCGCUCGCGCCGCUCUCGCUGCUACUCGUAUAAGGAACCCUCUUCCCGCUGUCAUCCACACUUCUGCUCCUCCCACUUCCGUUCCUACGAUGACCUCGCAGGGUACCGUUAACCCUUUGACGGUGAACCCUCACAGCGCUCCUGCUGCAUGGUCUUCUCUUGUCGCUACUCCUGCCGCUCCUAUGCUUAGAUCCCAUCCCCCGCCUGCCCCUGAGAGAGAGCCCUCAAGGCAGCGCCAACGCACCUCUCUUCCCACUGGAGUCAUGAAGAUCAAGCAACAUGAAUUUCUCGCCCUCACUCAAGGCAGCAUGACCGUCGCCGAGUAUCUGAAUAAAUUCAACCAUCUGGCCCGCAACUCUCUCCACGAUGUGGCCAACGAAGAGCGAAGAUCGACCGAUUUCUUGGAGGCCUACAUCAACAUCUCCGGUGCACUCUCAGCAUGUUUGAUUUCUCAGACUUCCUGACUCUGGUGAACAAGGCCCUAAUCGUCGAGAGGGAACACAAGCUCCUGCACGACAACAAGCGAGUUGCUAAUGACUACAAGCGCAAAUUCGAGCCCAAGAAGGAUAUGCAUCCAGUGCAAAAGGCUCGUACAUGGCAACAGACUCAGGUGGAGUACAAACCCAAUUGGCAGCAAAACGUCAACAAGACUACUACAGAAGUCAAGAAUGUCGUGACCAGCCCGGUGCGCGAUGAUUGCCAGCGCAACAAUUCGUGCUUCAGCUGUGGUCAAACCGGACACUACGCCCGAUAGUGUCCCAAGAACACCAAGCCCGUCGCUCCAUUUCAGCCACAAGUUAACUACAUGGAGCAGUAUACCGCCCCCGAUAUAAUCCAAGGGCAAGUUCAUCACAUUUCCGCAGACGAAGCCCAAGAGGACCCGGAGGUCAUCAUUGGUAUGUUUCUCGUAACCGACAUACCCGCCGUAAAUUUAUUUGACUCUGGGGCUUCCCACUCUUUUAUUUCGCGGAGUUUUGCUUCCCAAAACAAUCUAUCUUGCUCGAUUUUGGGAAAGCACAUGCUGGUACAAUCCCCGGGAUCCAUGCUCAGAAGCAAUCUCGUCUGCCGAAAUUUGGAGAUUGACAUCAAGGGCGUCAAGUUUCCAACAUCAUUCAUAAUCAUUGAUUCCAACAAAUUGGAUGUCAUUCUGGGCAUGAAUUGGUUAAUCCAAUACCAAGUCUGCAUCAGCUGUGCGACCAGAGAAGUUACCCUGAAAAAUAUGGAAGGUCGCACCACAAGUUUUUAUGCCCGCAAGCGCAUCCCCACGAAGGAUAUGGUUUUCGCAGCCAUAGCAGAAGAGGUGGAAUUAAUCCCAGUGGUUAGUGAAUAUCCAGAUGUAUUUACUGAAGAAUUACCCGGCAUGCCACCAGAUCGAGAAUUGGAGUUCGCUAUUGACCUAGUGCCUGGAACCACCCGAUACAUAAGAAAUAUUAUCGGAUGCCCUCCUCAGAAUUGGUGGAAUUGAAGAAGCAACUGGAUGAGAUGCUGCAAAAAGGAUACAUUCGUCCCAGCUCUUCACCAUGGGGAUCACAAGCUAUCUUCGUGGACAAAAAGGAUGGCAGUCUAUGAAUGUGUGUAGACUACCGACAGCUGAAUGACGUCACCACUAAAAACAAGUAUCCACUGCCAAGGAUUGACGAUCUGUUUGAUCAACUCAGUGGGGCCAAACUAUUCUCAAAGAUUGGUUUGAGGACGGGAUAUCAUCAACUCAAGAUUAAGAAGGAAGAUAUUCCUAAGAUCGCGUUCACCACUCGGUACGGUCUUUACGAAUACACAGUUAUAUCCUUCGGCCUCACCAAUGCGCCUGCAUUCUUUAUGCAUAUGAUGAACAAGGUGUUUAUGGACUUCUUGGACAAGUUUGUGGUGGUGUUCAUUGAUGGCAUCCUCAUUUAUUCCAAAAGCAAGGACGAACAUAAGGAACAUCUUCCCACAGUUCUGCAAUGGCUUCGCGAUCAUCAAUUGUAUGCCAAAUUAAGCAAAUGUGAGUUUUGGCUCUCGCAAGUGGGAUUCCUCGGACAUAUCCUCUCGGCAGAAGGAAUCUCGAUGGACCCAAGCAAGGUAAAAGAUGUACUUGACUGGUCCGCACCCACCACCGUCUCAGAAAUCCGGAGUUUCCUUGGACUGGCCUGAUAUUAUCGCCGGUUAAUCGAAGGAUUUUCGAAGUUUGCCAAGACAAUGACUGAGCCUCAAGAAGGACAAGAAGUUCGUAUGGACUAAAGACUGCGAACAUAGCUUCAAUGAGUUAAAAACCAGACUGACAUCAGCACCCGUAUUAACUCUUCCAGAUAUCUACCGCAGUUUUGAUGUUUACUGCGACGCCUCCAGAAAAGGACUGGGGUGUGUACUCAUGCAAGAUGGGAAAGUGGUGGCCUAUGCAUCUCGCCAACUGCGACAACAUGAAGGAAAUUAUCCUACUCAUGAUUUGGAAUUGGCCGCAGUGGUGCACGCUUUCAAAAUCUGGAGACAUUAUCUGAUUGGAAAGAAGUGCCAGAUAUUCACCGACCAUAAAAGUCUCAAGUAUAUAUUCACUCAGCCCGACUUGAACCUUCGACAGCGAAGAUGGCUUGAGUUGGUUAAGGACUAUGACCUCAGAAUAAAUUAUCACCCGGGCAAAGCUAAUGUGGUGGCUGACGCCCUCAGCCGCAAACCCGCCAACCUCAAUGCCCUAAUGGAUUCCUUGCCUCCAGGGCUCUAUGAAGAAAUCAUGCAGCUGAAUCUGGUAAUCACCAACGCCCGUCUUACCAAUAUAUUGGAAGUGCUCCUAUGCUCGAAGAAGAAAUCUGCAGAGCUCAAGCGGAUGAUAAGGUGUUACAGAUAUAUGUUCAGAAGCUGCACCAAGGGCAAGCACCUGAUUUCGCGAUGGAUCAGCAAGGUUCGCUAAGGUUCCAAGGAAGACUUUGCGUACCCAACCAAGACAGUCUGAAGAAGAAAAUAUUGGCGGAAGCACAUGAAGCACCAUACUCAAUUCAUCCCGGUGGUUCCAAGAUGUAUGAGGAUCUUCGUAAGAUAUUUUGGUGGGAUGGAAUGAAGAAAGACAUCCCGUAUUUUGUGGCCUACGGCGAUAUCUGCAAUAUGGUGAAGACGGAACACCAAAAACCUGCUAGACUCCUCCAGCCUCUACCGGUAUCCCAAUGGAAAUGGGGCGAUAUUUGCAUGGAUUUGAUCACCGGAUUACCAAGGUCUCAUCGAGGAAACGACGCGAUAUGGGUCAUAGUGGACACUCUAACCAAGGUGGCACACUUCCUACCUAUCCGGACCACAUACCGUGCAAAUCAACUUGCACAGCUGUAUGUAUCAAGAAUCGUCAGUCUGCAUGGAGUACCCAAGACUAUCACCUCCGAUAGGGGAUCGCUAUUCACAUCCGCAUUUUGGUCCCGACUUCAUCAAGCCUUGGGGACUGCUCUGAAGUAUAGCACGGCUUACCAUCCUCAGACAGAUGGACAGACUGAGCGAGUAAAUCAAAUACUCGAAGAUAUGCUCCGGGUAUGUACAUUGGCCCAAGGAACCAAGUGGGAAGACUGUCUGCCCUACGCCGAGUUUUCCUACAACAACAGUUUCCAAGCCAGCUUAAAGAUGUCACCCUAUGAAGCACUGCAUGGCCGGAAAUGCCGCACCCCAUUAAAUUGGUCUCAAACCGGAGAUAGCCGUAUUUUAGGGAAUGAUUUAAUGCUCGAAGCCGAGAAGCAAGUCAAGGAAAUCCGAGACAGACUUCAACUGGCCAAAUCCCGACAGAAGAGCUACUAUGAUGCCAAACAUCGUCAGAUCAGCUUCGAACCCGGAGAACACGUAUAUCUCCGAGUCACCCUAUAAAAGGAGUCAAGAGGUUUCAGACCCGUGGAAAAUUGGCACCCAGAUAUAUCGGUCCAUUCCCCGUCAUGGCCAGAGUUAGAACAGUCGCCUACGAGUUGGAAUUUCCACCAGAAUUCUCUGAAGUACACAACGUGUUUCACAUCUCGCAGCUAAGAAGAUGCAUCUCACCACCGGAGAAAAGGACUGAUAUGUCAGAGAUAGAAUUGGCUAAGGAUUUGACUUAUGAGGAAAAGCAAAUCAGAAUAUUGGAUCAGACAUAAAGGGUCACUCGCAGCAAAGAGAUAAGAUUUUACAAGGUUCAGUGGGAGCAUCACACCGAAGAAGAAGCAACCUGGGAAAGAGAGGAAUUUUUAAGGACUGUAUAGCCAGAAUGGUUUUCCCAAGCAACCGAAUCUCGAGGACGAGAUUCAUCCUAAGUGGGGGAGGUUUGUGACAGCCUGGAUUUUGCCUUCUCUCUUUUUACCGGACUUGCCUUCUCUCUCUUUCCGGACUUGGUUUUCAUCGUGGUUUUUGCCCUGAUUUGAUUUGGACUUUUGGAUCAAUUCAAAUGGACUUGUCACUUGGGCAUAUCCUUGUCUUUCACCCAAGUGACCUAUCCACCUUAUCCCUCCCACAAGUUCCCAAAAUAAUAAAAUGAAUAUUUUUACUUUAAGGAAAAUAUUCAUUUUUCUCUCUUAAGUUCAUUUCAGAACUUUGUGCUCCAAAGCAACCUCAGUUUUUCUUGCUCAGAAAAAUCUGAGAUAAUUCCUAAAUAUUCUUAGGACCAUGGCACAUCUUCCCAUGCAAAAAUAUUGCAUCACUUUUUGUAAUAUUUUUGCUGUAGAAAAUCUUUUCACUUCUGGGCCAGAAAUGCAUUUUGUCCAGCAAGUGCAUUUUUCCCUAAGCUUUUAGCCCUGAUCUUUCUUGAGCUUAAACAUCCUCCUAAGAAACCCUAAACCCCAGGAGAUCAGCCCUAAUGGCCUUCUAGAAGGUGGCCAAACUUGGCGACCAAGUUUCUAUACAGAAACUUGUCAGCUAAGUGGCGUCACUUCUGGUCGACCUCGGCAUGAGCCAUCAACUCCCCUAGACUAAACACUGCACGGUCAAGAGCGUAGACAAGGUUUGGCCGCUCCUGGGCGUCGUUUUGACCAUGCCAGCUUGGUGACCACGCGUGGACACGGUGCCUGGCAUGCGUCUCGACGCGCUCUGGCUGCCGCUUUGCGUUCUGUUUCGCCCGUGUGCAUGCUAGCGCUCGCCUCCGACUGCCGCAACGUGCCACAACCCUCGACCCAUCACCCAUGACCCCUCCCUGGCGCUCGCCGACGCUGGAGCCGCCACAGCAAGACCGGUCAGGUAGCGGCCAAAACGGCACACUGCAUGCGUGUGCUUGUCCCCAUCUCGAACUGCCUCCUGUGCUCGUCCGCGAGCGUGGGCAAGCGCCGGCGUUGACGCUGCACCCUGUCCCCUCGCGUUGGAGCCUCUCGUCGACGUUCAUCGCGUGUCCAGAGGGCUCCGGCGGCGACACGUCCCCCCCUCUUGCUCCGGCUAUAUAAAGCCACCCCGACUCGAAUCCUGGCCACGCACCACUCCACACAACCACCACGAACACGUAGACCGACCGCAAUUUGGUCGGGGAGGCCUCUGGCCGUCGCCCCAACCCGAGGACUCCGGCGAUCCCCGCAGGCCAGCUGUCGCUCUCCAAGGCCUCUCGAACUCCAGCAGCUGCUUGGGCAGGGCCUUGGUGCUCUGCUGGAGCUGCCUGGACCCCGCCAAGCCCUCGGAGCUGCCUCUAGCCUCCGUCUUUCACCUCUCUGGCGAACCCCGUCCGCCACUGAAGCUUGCGAGCUCAACUGCCACUAGCUCUGUCCACCUCUCGCCAAGCCACGGGUAUAGGCAGGUGUGCCGCGAGCCCCGCUUCCAAUCCAUCCCUCUAGCCUAGCCCCAAACCCCCUCGUCGCCGGCGUAAGCUCCGGCGAGGCGUCGCCCCUCCUCUGAUCUCGAUCCCCCUCUCUCUCUCCUGAUUGGUUUGGCCCAGUGUCAGCCUCACCACUCGCGCCCGAUGCAGUACGAGUGGAGGCGCNNNNNNNNNNNNNNNNNNNNNNNNNNNNNNNNNNNNNNNNNNNNNNNNNNNNNNNNNNNNNNNNNNNNNNNNNNNNNNNNNNNNNNNNNNNNNNNNNNNNNNNNNNNNNNNNNNNNNNNNNNNNNNNNNNNNNNNNNNNNNNNNNNNNNNNNNNNNNNNNNNNNNNNNNNNNNNNNNNNNNNNNNNNNNNNNNNNNNNNNNNNNNNNNNNNNNNNNNNNNNNNNNNNNNNNNNNNNNNNNNNNNNNNNAAAUUUAUUCAGAAAUUUGACCAAACUUUGACCAUCCAUAAUUUCUAAACCACAAUUCCAAAUGCAUUGAUUCUUUUUGCAUUGUCUUUGUUACAGAAAGCUCUAGCAGCACACCAAAGGGUGGAUUUUUCCUUGCCGCGCCCUCGGUUAUGGGCAAGACUCGGGAGUAAGUCACACCAUGGAUCAACUUUUAUAACUAAUCUUGCAAACUAGUAAUUGUUGUGAUGCAUUGUUUCGUGGUGAACCUUGAACACUCGAGGUGUUGAUGAGUGAUUGGUUUCAGGUGUGACCCCGGUGUGGUCACCGUUGGUUACGAGGUAACCGUCUGGUAAGCGAGUCCAUGUGACUCGGUGCUCUGUUUGGUUGUUCUGCAUCACUUUGCAUGUGUAGUAAUUUCUUGCAUUAAUUUAAAUUGAUUAAUUAUCAUGAUAUUGUCUGUCAUCGUGCUUAUGUUUGUUGUGAGCUUGCAAGUACAUUCCAUGUACUGACCUGGCGUGUCAUGCCAGUUUUCAGGCAAGCUGAUUCGCAUCGGAGUGCAUCCCGUGUCUAGGCCAUGUCCAUGUCGGUGUCCCUGUGCCAUGGAGUUCCGCUACGUCGUUCUUCUGCUACCGCGUAGUUUCGUGUGAUCGGGGCCCCAGCCAUGUUCAUUAAAUAAUGUGCAUACUGUCCAGCAACACCCACUACAAAAAAAUACACUUCCGUGAUGAUACGUGUUUGUCACAGUAGGUCGCGUUUUUUGUCAUGCAUGUACAUCCAUGACAAAUUUAUGACAGAAUCAAGAUAGUCAUACCUGUGCUGUCGUAGAAGUGUUCCAUGACAUUACCAAAAUUAUCAUCACGGAAGUGUCCACCUCCAUGACGAUAAAUCGCGUGUCACAGAAGUGCUUUCGUCAAGGGUGACCGACAUGUGGCAUCCACCGUAACGGAAUGCCGUUAAGCUAUCGGGUCGGGUUUUGGAUCCGAUAACCCGUUAACAGCCCCGACCAAUGGGGAUUUUCCACGUGUAAAAUCAUCAUUGGCUGGAGGAUACACGUGUCAAGUCCGCGUUGGCACAGGUGUCACUAAUCCAAUGGGCGAGACGCGCCUAUGAUAUGUUGACACGUGGACCGGCCCAUCAAGUUUAAAUGGGCCGGCCCAACUAAAGGCCCACAAGAUUUUGCAGACCAUAAUGGGCCAGCCCAGCUAAAGGCCCACGAGAUUUUGCGGACCAUAAUGGGCUGGCCCAACUAAAGGCCCACAAGAUUUUGUAGGCCAUAAUGGGCCGGCCCAGGUAAAGGCCCACAAGAUUUUUGUGUGCCAUAAUGGGCCGGCCCAGGUAAAGGCCCACAAGAUUCUUGCGGACCAUAAUGGGCCGGCCCAGCUAAAGUCCCACGAGAUUUCACCGACAUUAAUGGGCCGGCCCAGCUGUAGGACCACAAGAUUUUGAGGACCCUAGUAUGCCGGCCCAUUAACUGGCUGCCAUGUUUUGGGCCAAAUGCCGGCCCAUAUUUGAUCCGGUCCAUUAGUGGCCUGCCACAUUCCGGGCCUAAUAAUGGCCCAUAUGAGAUCCGGCCCGUUAAAAGCCUACCACGUUCUGGGCCAAAUUACGGCCCAAACCAGGUCCGGCCCUUUAAGAGGCUUUGGGCUCAAUUAUGGCCGAUAUAAGAUUCGGCCCCUCAACUGGACGCUAUGCUUUUUGGCCCACUUGCUAAUGGCCCACUUAGUAAUUCGGCCUAAUAUUAGUUUCGGCCUGUUAAGGGCCCGUUUAACAUUUCGGCCCUAUAUUAAUUUCGGCCUGUUAAAAGCCCGUCAUAUAGUUGGGCCUAACUAUGGCCCGGUUUGCAUCCGGCCUGCUCGCAGCCGAUAUCUGAUUGGGCCAAACAAGGACCGAGACAAUUUUGGCAUGUUAAAAGCCCGUGUUUUGAUUCGCACAAUCAUGGGCCGGGGUCCAUUUCGGGCUGCUGCCAGCCCGUGAGCUGUUCGGCACGUUUCAGGCCCAACCUACAUCGUGAUUGCAUGACGGCCCGACUAUGUACCAUAAUUUUACGGUUUGGCCGGUUUACUGCGAAGACAGGAUAUAUAUAUACAGUAAAAUAACUGCAGCAUCGUGAAUAAGAAAAAACCUAGACUAUACAAUAAAGAAAUUACGGCAUAUUACAUCCACUGGGCAUCAAAGUUCGCCACUACGAUAGUAAAGCACAAGCAGACAGUAGAUUACAUACACUGGGCAUCAAAGAUCGCCACCAGUGCAAAUAAACAUGCCGACAAAAUAAUAUACAAAACCGACAGCACUUCAAUAGAGUUCAAGAAAGGUUAGCCCUACUGGGGAGCUGCAGCGCAAGCAGCUGAGCAAGAUGAUGAGACUGCGCUUGUCAACACUUAUAUCUUCCUCACUCUGAAAGAUUAACAAGCAGACAUAUGACAGGUUUUUCACAUAAAAGUAUCAGUGCUGACAAUUCAUCACAUUUCUUACUGAUGAAUAAAGUGACACAGUUUAAAAUUGCAUUAACACAAUAUGGUAUUGUUCAGGUCAAGACAUGGUAGGAAAUGACAUUGUGAAUGAGUUGGCAGCUUCACGACACCAUUGGAUUACAGAUCAAGAACUCAUAAGUAUCAAUGGUUAGUGUGUCGUCAAUUUAUCCCAUUUCAGAUUGGCAAAUAAAGAGACGGUUUAAAUAACAGUAGAAUGAUAUGACAUUGUUCAUAGUUAAGACAUUGCAGAAUAUGACAUUGUGCUGUAGUGGGUAGGUUCACCACACCACUGGAUUAUGGAUGAAGAACAGAAGCAUACAUGCAGUGCAAAAGAAGAUCACUUGCUCUGUAUAGUUUAAUUUACAUGGUAUGAAGAAGGAACUUGGUUGUACAACUGAAAACUUAAAUUGAGAAGGACAAACUUGUGUUUAUGAACUACAUAAUAAACUUUAAACAUGCAAUUUGAUGCAAACACCAAAAAUAAAUAGCUGUUGCAGUAAUGCCUAACCAAAUAUAUACAACAAAGUUUGAAGGCUUGAGAAGCACAAACUUACAUUAUUGGUGAAGACAGGCUCUAUAAAGGCCUUGUCCAUGCUGAUGAGGGGGGGCAAUUCAAGAAGUUUACCACAGAAUCUUCUUCAUAAGCAUUGCCUUUAUUCUACAUUUUGUGAAGAGUAAAUAUAGAUGUGAUAAUAUACAAAAAGAUGGAGAAUAUUUAAGAUAAGAUGAAGAGUGAUGCUACAUAACCAAGUAGCUAUAAAUGUAAGUGCAACGAUACAGGCAAAAGGUACAGCCAAGAGCAAUGCACAGCUAAACUUCUUCAGUACCAACCUUAUGGUAAGAGUAAAUAUAGAUCAGAUGUGUAGAAAAUGGAGGGCAAAGGAAAAUAAGCUGCAGAGUGAUGGUACAUGAACAACCACCUGUCAUUAUAAGUACACUGAUAAAGGACAUCAUCUACUUACAAGAACAAUGCAGAGCUAAAAAAGAACAUUGGCAUUGGAUAUAUUCUACACUAAUAUAACCAUUCAUACAGAUCAGAUAAUUUGGAGCGAACAAUUGAUAAGCAAGCUAUCAUGCAUACUGCUGUCACAGAAUGAACCAGGUAUGAAUGCAAGUACAGUGAUACAGGACAACAGGUACUAACAAGAGCAAAGCAGCGGGCAGCAUAUUUGCGAUAUCCUGUCAUUCUUUUCAAACCAGAAUUCUUCUUCGAGCAGAUUUCCUGCAAAAAAUAUCUGUAAGGCACAUGCGGAAAAGUAGAAGUUCAAAUUGUCAUGUGAUUUCAUAGAUAGUACCUCAUCCUAGGAAUGAGACCAGUGCAUAACAAGGUCUUUUCCAUUCAAUGUCUUCUCAAUUUAGCACAGGAGACUUCACCAGAAAUUCGUUUAUAGACUUGCCAUCAAAGUGUGAUUUCCUCAGGUAACACCGAUACUGGUGCAAUGCUUCCUUGAAAAGCACAAGAUGGCUUUGCUCAUCAUGACUAUCCAGAUUGACCCUCGCCUAGUUACAACAAUGUAAUGUAAAUCAUUGAUGUGUUCAAUCAGUAGAAAACAGGAAAAUAAUAACCAUGAAUAAUAGCACUUACACGUAAGUUGGACAGGAAGAUGUGAAAAUGUUGUUUGUCUUCACUAUAAUCUUCCCAUGAUGGGAAUAUAUGCACGUAGUCCCUAACAACAUUGAAAGCAUUGUCUUUUAAACUGGGAAUAAAUGGAAUGGGGUUCCAAUCUGCAUGAAUUGGUUGUCUCUGCAGUUGGGAUAGGUCUUCUGCCGGUGGACUUGCUGUACUUUUUGCUGGAGUGGGAUUUUUCUGUGGUACGGCUGGUGCUAUGGCAAAUGAAAUCGGUAUACCUUUUGCUGGAGUGCAGGUCCUGUGUGGUGGGGCUAGUGGUGUGGCCAGUGAAGUAUGGGUACAGUCUGCUGGAGUCGGUCCUACGUUUUGUGUCACUGGUUGUACAGCCAAUAUAAGUGGCGUGCUGCCUGAUUUCUCCGGCACCACCACGUUUUUCAAGGACUUUGCUGGUGCUCCUUCAGGUUCGGCAAUCACCCUCUUCCUUUUUGAUGUCUGAUGCACAAGAACAACAUUUGAGUGGAAAAACCUGGUAUGAUGACAGAUGGAAUAUCUAUUGAUAAUGGAUGGGCAUGGCAUCUCGACAUAUAUGAUGAGUAAACUAAGCAGAUGGCGGUGCAACAAAGUAGAAGAAAUGCAAGACAACAUAUGCAAGAUACCCGCAAUCAGUAAAACCUUGCCAAAUUAGAACAUGCACCUUGAUGGGUGAACAGAACAGGCCAUCUGCCUUUGACUCCUCGUGGUUAGAAUAGUCAUUAGGAUCAUAUUCUGAACAAGAAUCAACAGGUGGGGAGCGUAUGAGUUUCAUUGCAUCCAGAAUGGAACUCAAUGCCUUGGUGCCAAUUUUGAAAGUCAUUGCAGUGUUUAGCUUCGAGAGUGCACUGCUGCUAGUGCAACACAAAGCAGCUACACAGAUCAUAGUGUAGAUAUAACGGGGAAAACCGUAAGCAUCAGAGUAAAAUCAGCAAAGUGGAACUUGCUGGAAUAUAUGUGCUAGUACUGCCGGUACGGCUAGAAAGCCUUCGGAUACCAGUUCUCUUCAACUGAAGGUGCGGUACUGUUAAUAUUAGUGUAACUCUCAAAGGCGACACAGCUCCCCGCAUUCCUUGCUAUUCUUAUAGGAUUCAAGUGGGCAGGUGACUACAAAUCCUAUUCCUAUGUUUACAAAAUCCUACGAAUCAAAGAGGCUCAAAGUGUCCAUCACAACCGACCGUAUAGACAUCUACACUGCAAAUGUCCCUGCUCAUCUUCAGUACAAGGAACAUACUACACUACUAUCAUACUCCCUCCGUUCCAAAAUAUAAGUCUUGGUAGAGAUUUCCGCUAUGGAUCACAUACAGAUGUAUCCAGAUACAUUUUAGAGUGUAGAUUCACUCAUUUUGCUCCAUAUGUAGUACAUGGUGGAAUCUAUACAAAGACUUGUAUUUAGGAAUGGAGAGAGUACAUAUUAAAGAAGAACGGAAGAGGAACAUGGUAAAGAAGAGCAAGCAGAUUUUGGAUAAUAAAAUGUUGGUUGCGCAGUGCCCACACAUGAUGAACCAGAGCACAUUCAGAAUGCAACGCCCAGCUGUCUCUCGACCAUUUCAGGCGGUUGGAUGAAGAUCCUACGUCUCCUAACCCAUCUUCUUCCUUGUCUCUGAUUCUUCCCAUACAGAACACCGCACGGGCCGCCGGCCGGACCACCGGCCCCCACCGCCUGUGUUCCUCCGCCACCCCCACCUACCACCCCCGCCCCAACCCCCACCCGCGUCGAGUUUUCUUCGUUCGGCGAGGCCCCACAACCACCCGAGCCCCUUCGUUCGCACCGGCGAACGCCGGCGAGCUAUGAAAAAUUUAGUCUAUUGUGAUUUAACUAGUGUGGAAUAUAAAAGGGGAAAACCAUAAGCAUUGGGAGUAUAGUGUUGAGCGUGCCAUGGCGGAUCUGAAGGUGCAAACCGGACAAAGGCAACUUCGCAACCAAGACAAGAAAUCAGAGUAAAGCAGUGGCGAUCUAUUUUCUUGCUGCGAUAAAUAAGUUGAGCAGAUACGAAAGCCUACUGCCUCUGGUGCGGCGCCGUGUACGCAUCUGCUGAGAAUUUGACGGUGUUGCGGUAGCGAUGGCUGUCGGUGGUGUGGAACCAGAUCUAGGAGGGUAGACGGUGGCGGCGGGGCGCGGUGGACGAGACGGUCGUAGGAGCGGCGCCGGCAAGGUGGACGACGGCGGGGAUGAAGCGAGAGGACGGGAUGCAAGGAUCCCGGUUCUAAGCCGUGGAUGAGAGAGGUCGAUCUCUUGUAAUGGACGGCGGCGUCGGGGUAUCAGCUCCGGCAUGGUGGAGGAGGACGGCGGUGGAUGGGGUGGCGGACGGCGGCGGACGGGGGAGGCUGGGGUGGAGAGGGUGUUUUGGCGCCCACAGAGUACGAAUGGGGAAAAGGGAUGUAGAGAAGAAGGGGGGAACCAUGUAUUCAGGGCGCGCUUGUCUCAAAUGCGAGGAAAUUUACAAACUUUGCCCCCGUUUCAAAUUUCUACUACAUCACAGCAACAUUAGUCGGUUGGGGAUAGGAUGGUAAUCUCGCAUACACCGUAUAUUUGCCGACGAGAGUUUGUUUUUGGCGCCCACCGUGUAUGAAUAUGAAUAGGGGAGGGAGUCAAUUUCGGCCGAGGACACACUGUGUUUUGGUGCCCACCGUGUAUGAAUCCGGGUGAGAGGCGGUUACGUCACAUUUGGGUGAAAUUACAAACCUACCCCUAUCGAAACCUAUAGAAAUCUAGCAGAUAGGCUUUGCGUGGCAGGGAUAGGCAGUAGUAUUUUCCAUCUCGCAGAUUUUGGUUUUCGGCGGUUACUGCGACUUUCCCCUCUUCAUUCAAAUUUUGCAUAGUGCACGUUUACCGUGCCAACUCAAUUCGAAUCCCGUUUGUAUUCUAUUUUUUCACGCGGGAUCCAUUUUCAAUUGGAAUUACAUUCUAUAUACAUCAUUUUUUGAUAUAUACUUUCAAAAGCACAACAAAGAAUUAUGCUCCUUUAUAUGUAUAAUAUGAUUUACAAAUACAACGAUCUCAAAGUCUUAAGGUUGAAUUCGAAAAAAUUUAACCAUAUUAUGUUCUACUAAAAUGUUUUGAUCAGUAAUAUCUACAUAUUAAAUAACAUAGAUGUCACUACAAGAAAUAUGUCAACUUGUGACCACCACUAUUGGUCACUGAAUGGUCACUGUUUUCAAUUUGUGACCUUUUUGUGACCAAAAACAUAAGGUCAAAAGCUGGCCCAUGUGUGUGUGAGAGAGAGGGAGAGUGGAGGAGGACGGAGUGCAUGUGUGACAAAAACACAAGGAGUGUGUGCGCGAUAGGUAUCAGCUUAAAAUGAGGCGAUAGUGUGUGUGUGCAGAUCGAGAGGGCGAGUCUCAAGAAGGGAAGAAAAAUCUACAUAGAUACAAGGAGCGAGAGAGAGACAUGUAUGCGAUAGUGGAAGCACGAGUGUGCGGGUGUAUAAACCUAUCUAGAGGCUAGCUAGUCAAUAAAUGUUUAUGAGAGAAAUACAAGUCAAGGUGCGAAAGCGAGAGUUUUGUGUGUGCGAGAGAGAGAUGGUAGUCGGGUAGGGGAGUGGAAGCAGGAGUUGUGUUUGUGUGUGUCUGUGAGAGAGAGAGAGGGGGGGUUGUCUGAUCGGUAAACAAGUGAAUAAUGUCAGUCUGGGAUGGAGAUGAAAAGGAGACCGCAACAAAUGUUGUGUCUACAGGAGAGAGAGAGAGAGUAAUUUUAGUGGUAUGGGUCAUAUGUAGAGACAUAUAGGGUGUGUGAGAGAAUCCCAUAGAGAGAAAGACAAAGUGAAAGACGAGUGGAGACUGCGUGUGUGGCGGUGAAAAAGAAAGCUUAGGUACCGAGUGAUACCAGAGAACAGUAGAGACGUGAGAGAUAAUGAAAACCAUGUAAUGUAUAAUGAUAGGGAGAGUGUGACACUUCUCAAGGGAGACGUCGAGAGACCAUGUUUGCGAGGAUAAAAGAAACAUGAAGUGAGAGUGCGGGUGAGCUGGAGAAAGGAGAGUGAUAGCUACCUGAAGGAGCAUGCAUGCGAGAGAGAUGGGCGUGAAAGGAAUGAACAAAAAAGGGAUUCAAAUAUUUGAAUUCGAGAUGAUGAUACAUGUAAUCCAUACUCGAACCAAAAUUGAUCUAUCAAACAUGCAUAAUCAUAUGAAUUCACGCACACACUACAAGAAAUAUGUCAACUAGUGACCUUCUGUCAGUGACCCUGGAAGAAUUGGUCAUAGAUCUAUGACCAUUUGAGACCAAUUGGUCAAAAGCUGUUUGGGGGGCUCCAAACCGUAAACAAUUGCGACCAUUUUGGUCAGAAAAGUCGUAAUUUCUUUACACGAAAUGGUCAUAAAGCAAACAGUGCUGGUCCGCUGCCUUAUUUCUAGUUGUUAACGACCAAUAUAGAUGGUCAUAGCCUUGUAGAUUGUGGUUGGUUGUGAUGACUAGGCGCCAUCUCAUCAGUUUUGCCUAUGUGUCAUGUCCAUGUGUCAAUUUUUGCCCUAGGUUGUGAAGCAACCUAUAUUUCUGUUAUUCCAAAAAUUCCCAAAAAAUUCUCAUAAAUGGUUUGGAUCAUAUCUUCAUCAAAUAUGUCAAAAACCUUCCUUGCAUAGUUCAAAAAUAACUCAACAAUAUUCAUUUUCCUAUUGUGUUUAGAGCAGCACUUUGUGAAGGAAGUACCACUUUGGCAUGUCCAAAUAGUAUCCAUUUUCUACAGUGCUUUCCUAUGCCCAAAUAACCAUCCUCCACCAAAUGCCAGCUCAAUCCAUUCAUUAUUUUGAGCCGAGCUUCAACAUUCGUAUUUAUGUCCAGUGUGGUAGUUUGCAAAGCAAGUACCACCUAGGCUCCUCCUUUUGAGCUGAAAAUUUGUGAAGACGGUCUUCUUAGUAACUGAUCAUCCUCAGCCAAAACUCACGCCCAUUAGCCAUGUACAUUUCCCGUACCGCUAAUCAAACACUUGGCUGCUAAUUCAUGUUUGAGCAUCGAUCGGUCUCCUCGUGAGAUUCUUAUGUUGUAAUUUUCUUCCUAGCACCUACCUGGGGAGUGCCCAACCCACUAGACAUGCCUAGGCCGCCCAGAACACAUGGCAACGCCACGGUCACGCGGUGACCACGCAGCGGCAUGCGAGUUUACGCACUCUAGAGUUGGGGCCCUCGGCCACCGCCUAAACCUCGACGUAUCGCCACCAAACCAUGUAUUUAUGAUUAAAUAGGUACUUAUGUAACUAGAAAUGAUUUUUGGAAAAAAUAAAUAGCAAACUAUGAGGCAGCUGCAGUUCAAAUUUGACCCGCUUCCAGCUGAAUCGGCGGAAAUUUGUCUUUUUCACGAGUGGUGGAUCAAAACAUUUUCCACCCAACCAUUUUGUCAAUUGUGCAUUAAAUAUGUCCUAGUAUUUUAGAAAAAUGAUUUGGUCCAAUUUUGCAACAAUUAUUUGGGAGGUCCUUCAUAAAAAAACCUCCUUUUGGGCACUCGAAAAAUGGAAAAUGGUUUUUUCGUCCAAAGAAAAUGAAAACUUCCUUAGGCAACAUUGUUUGCCAUUCCAAUAUGCACCCUUGUGCACAAUAUGAGAUCAUUUAAACAAACUAUGCCAUGAAUGUGGCCAUAAGAUUGAUCAUUUGGCGUGAAAGCCAUUGAUCUCCACACGUGAUAGCUCGUUUCUCAGAACACUCUUUUAAAAUAAUUGCCGUAUUACAAGUUUGUUAUUUUUCCUGAGAACUUGGCCACAUAUACUGACACAGCACGAAGGUUUCCCAAUUUUUUGAUUUUUUUGAAUUUUUUAUGCCCAUUUCAAAAUGCGAUCAAAAUGACGGGAAUGACCGUUCCUAGCUAGUUGUUGAAUCUUGGAAUUUUUUUGGUGUUUCUCUGAUAAAAUAGAUACUUUUGUACCUAAAAAUGAUUUUUGGAAAAAAUAAAAAGCAAACUAUGUGGCUGCUGCAGUUCAAAUUUGACCCGCUUCCAACUGAAUCGGCGGAAAUUUGUCUUUUUCACGAGAGGUGGAUCGAAUCUUUUGACACCCAACCAUUUGGUCAAUUGUGCAAUAAAUAUGGCCUAGUAUUUUAGAAAAAUGAUUUGGUCCAAUUUUGCAACAAUUAUUUGGGAGGUCCUUCACAAAAAAACCUCCUUUUGUGCACUCGAAAAAUGGAAAAUGGUUUUUUCAUCCAAAGAAAAUGAAAACUUCCUUAGGCAACAUUGUUUGCCAUUCCAAUAUGCACCCUUGUGCACAAUAUGAUAUCAUUUAAACAAACUAUUCCAUGAAUGUGGCCAUAAGAUUGAUCAUUUGGCUUGAAAGCCCUUGAUCUCCACACGUGAUAGCUCGUUUCUGAAAACACUUUUUUAAAAUAAUUGCCGUAUUACAAGUUUGUUAUUUCUCCUGGGAACUUGGCCACAUAUAAUGACACAAUGCGAAGGUUUCCCAAUUUUUUGAUUUUUUUGAAUUAUUUAUGCCCGUUUCAAAAUGCGGUUAAAAUGACGGGAAUGACCGUUCCUAGCUAGUUGUUGAAUCUUGGAAUUUUUUUGGUGUUUCUCUGAUAAAAUAGAUGCUUUUGUACCUGAAAAUGAUUUUGGAAAAAAUAAAAAGCAAACUAUGUGGCAGCUGCAGUUCAAAUUUGACCCGCUUCCAACUAAAUCGGCGGAAAUUUGUCUUUUUCACGAGAGGUGGAUCGAAUCUUUUGACACCCAACCAUUUUUUCAAUUGUGCAUUAAAUAUGGCUUAGUAUUUUAUAAAAAUGAUUUGGUCCAAUUUUGCAACAAUUAUUUGGGAGGUCCUUCACAAAAAAACCUCCUUUUGGGCACUCAAAAAAUGGAAAAUGGUUUUUUCGUCCAAAGAAAAUGAAAACUUCCUUAGGCAACAUUGUUUGCUAUUCCAAUAUGCACCGUUGUGCACAAUAUGAGAUCAUUUAAACAAACUAUGCCAUGAAUGUGGCCAUAAGAUUGAUCAUUUGGCUUGAAAGCCAUUGAUCUCCACACGUGAUAACUCGUUCUGAGAACACUUUUUUAAAAUAAUUGCCGUAUUACAAGUUUGUUGUUUUUCCUGGGAACUUGGCCACAUAUAAUGACACAAUGCGAAGGUUUCCCAAUUUUUUAUGCCCGUUUCAAAAUGCGGUCAAAACGGCGGGAAUGACCGUUCCUAGCUAGUUGUUGAAUCUUGGAAUUUUUUUGGUGUUUCUCUGAUAAAAUAGAUACUUUUGUACCUAAAAAUGAUUUUUAGAAAAAAUAAAAAGCAAACUAUGUGGCAGCUGCAGUUCAAAUUUGACCUGCUUCCUCCUGAAUCGGCGGAAAUUUGUCUUUUUCACCAGAGGUGGAUCGAAUCUUCUAACACCCAACCAUUUGGUUAAUUGUGCAUUAAAUAUGUCCUAGUAUUUUAGAAAAUUGAUUUGGUCCAAUUUUGCAACAAAUAUAUUAUAGGUCCUUCACAAAAGAAUUCAUUUUGGAUACUCGAAAGAUAAAAAAUGAUUUAAAAUAACUCAUUUCUCAUAACUUUUUAAAAAAAUAUUUGUCUUAUUUCAAUUUGUGAUUAUUCCUUAAAACUCUAGUCAAAUUUGGUGAAAUAAUGAGAAGUUUUUUUUCAAUUUUUCAGGUCAUAAUAAAAUAGCUAACAUGAUUUAGCACCUUACUUUUAGUCGAUUACGACCAAUUUAAAUGGUCAAAAUAUCAUAUCUGUAUACUGCGUUCUGAUUGGUCCAGGGGCCUCUCACGCGGAUCGCGGAUAAAUCACCGUCGGAUGCUCCGGGAUCCAACGGCCCGCAGCUCACCCUCUCACCCACCCACCGUGAUCUACCCCUAAAAAAAACCCACCGCACACCACUCCUCUCUCUCCACGCGCAGCGAACCCUAACGCUCUCACCCUCUCCCUCCCUCUGGAUCCACCGCCACCGCCCCCAACCCUACUUCCUCCCUCUGGAUCUCGACGCGCCGCCGCCCCCACCCCACUCCCUCCCUCUGGAUCUCGACGCGCCGCCGCCCCGACCUGCUCCUNNNNNNNNNNNNNNNNNNNNNNNNNNNNNNNNNNNNNNNNNNNNNNNNNNNNNNNNNNNNNNNNNNNNNNNNNNNNNNNNNNNNNNNNNNNNNNNNNNNNNNNNNNNNNNNNNNNNNNNNNNNNNNNNNNNNNNNNNNNNNNNNNNNNNNNNNNNNNNNNNNNNNNNNNNNNNNNNNNNNNNNNNNNNNNNNNNNNNNNNNNNNNNNNNNNNNNNNNNNNNNNNNNNNNNNNNNNNNNNNNNNNNNNNNNNNNNNNNNNNNNNNAGAUCCACCGCAGCCCCCUCCCUGCCACCUCCUCCUUCCUCCAGUACCACCUCUCCAACCUCGCCUCUCGCUUCGCCGCCCCGCGCCCCGCGCUCGCCGAGGCGCACCCGCCGGGGCCCCAAUGCGCACCCACACUCGGACCAGCAACGAGUUCAUGCUCGUCUCAGCAGCCCAACCCCACCCAACGCGUCACCGCCGCUAGGGUUUCUCACCCAGCCUUCCCCCGCAGCCGCCCGCGCAGGAGGAAGCAGCCCGAGUCUCCAGCGGCCAUGAGCGACGGCAAGGACACCCUCGACCUCUCUGCCCUCGGCGCCGCCAUCCCGCUCCCACUCCCGCGCGUCGGAUUCGGUAACUGGUCUCUCCGGCGCCGCGUCCGGUUCUUCGCCGCUCGUUUUUGGGUUGUGGGGGUGAGAUUUGUGACGGUUUGCUUGGGUUUUGCAGUUGUUCCACGAGUCCUUCGACGAGGGCUUCCAGGGGAGCUGGAUUGUCUCCGGCAAGGAAGAGUACACAGGUAAAUUCCGUCUCUCUCUCUCCCUCUCUCUCCCCUUUUGUGCUUGUCUUGUCCGAUCUGUGAGAGAUCUGUGGAUGUAGUGGAGUUCUGAAUCUGAUGCGGUGAACUGGUGAUACGCUUCUAUGUGGAAUUCAAUUCCAGUGUGUAGGCGAGGUAGUGAUGAUAAGUUAACCUUCCUGGCGUGAUUUAGACCAUUAGAGAGAGUCCAGCAUUUACCAUGGUAGGUAGUAGCCAUGAUCCAUGUUAGGAUGUGUUUGUAGGGAUGCAUUGUUGUGUACUUAUUGAGAAUGAUUGCAAUGCCUUGGUUUUUUUCUAGAUAUAGAAUACAAUUUUCAGUCACUUGAGAAAUUUCAUAAGAUCAUGUGUGUUGUUCACCUACAAUUUUGUUUAACUGUUCAUGAUUAAAAUUCAGUGGCUCCUCUUCUUUAUACACGUGAAUGUGUAGUUCACCUACAGUUUGUGACACCCCAAAAUUUUGACCUUGUUUUAUUUAUUAUUUUUUUUUGCCAGGAAAUAAAACUUUUCCAUUUGUCAAGAUUUACCCUUUUGUUAUUGUGGAUUUUUACUUCAAGUGGAAAACAUUCAAAAGGUAUUGUUGGACUUGAAUACUCUCUAUGAUAAAACAAUUCUUUAUCAGUGGAUUUAAAUUGCAAGAUUUGUUUUCUCAGACCUUUAUUCUUUUAAAAUGAUUUCUUUGAAUUUGGAGCCUGUUUUGCACUCCAACCAUUUGAUAAAUACCUUUAAAAUUCCCACCAAAAUUUGGGGAUGUCAUGUGAUGUUUCCACAUCACUUUUAUGCAAAAAUACCUUUUGGCCAUUGGAGAUUUUGAGCUCUACACCAACUUUUCCAAUCUGGUCCAGUGGGCACUUUUGCACUACAACCCAUUUAAAUAUUUCUUUAAAAAUUCUUCCAAGUGUUUGGAGAUGUCAGUGGAUACAUACAAUUCAUCUUCAUGCAAAAAACCAGUAAUGUUCUUUGAAAAAUUUGAGUGAAUCACCCUCUUUUGCAUUCUGGUCCAAUUUGGUGAUUUGUAUUGCAACCUUAUUUUAUUAUGCUCUAGUGACCCUGAGCUUUUUCCUACUUGUAGCCCUCCCUUCAAAACCCUUAAGUCCAGGAGAGUGGGCUCAUUGGAGGUUUUUAAGUGCAUGCAAUAAACCCUUUUUCUUUCUGUCCAAAACUGGAGUUUUGCAAACUUGCACUAACAAGUUUCUGGUUUUGCCCAUAUGAUCUUGCCUUCACCAUCCACACCUAAAGAGACCCUGAUCUGGAGAUUUUGGCCACUCCCAGAGUUGCCUAAGUGCACUUGGCAUUCUGUCGAGCACUUGGUGUGCGCAGUCAGUUUUGGGCAUGUUUCCUAGUUUGCACUGUGAACUUGCUCCAAUGACCCAGCAACCUUGUCCACUGAACUCCUAGCUGUCUCUAUCCUAGUCCUGUUAAUUACCAGCCCCACCCUCGCGCGCUAGACCGCCCUGGCAUUUCGUCGAGCAGGAUCCGUGCGUGCUCUGGGCGCGCCCAGAGCGCACGUUUUGCAUGCGCGCGCACUGAGCCGCCGCGCCGCACUGCCGCACUCGACGCGACCCGUCCCUGGCCCCUGCUCCAGCGCUGAACCGCGCACUAGCUCGCCCCCUCUCCACGCCAUCUCUGGCGCCUUGCAGCGCCGCUAGCAGCGCUUUUGGCGGCACGCCGGCGUCGGCAGCAAGCCUCUGCCAUGGUGGGCGCCGCCCAAACCACACCAGCGCGCCAGCUGCCCCCAUGAACAGCUCAGUCUUAUCCCGAAGCUCGUCGGCACGCGCUCGUCGCCGCCACGUCGCCCUGCAGCUACAGCACGGCUGUCGCCGGCGAUCUUAUACUCAGCCGCCGCGGUCCAACCUCGAGCACCAAUUUAAGGGAUCCCCGAGCUCGUUCAAGACCUCAGGCAACCUCAGACUUUCCUCCUAGCGCUCCCCAAGCAGUGGAUCGACCCGUAGUGGCCAUCUUCCUCGUCUCCGGCCAGUGCGGCCGCCGCUAAGCUCCGGUGCGAUACGUCGCGGCCAGCCACUCCCCCGCCCAACCGACGCCACCAGUAGCUUCCCCUUGUCCUUGCGGAGCUGCCCAGCAACCCAACCUCGAUCGGAGACCACCGGAGCCCAAAAACCACUUCACCACCGUAACCCCCUCCGCCGUGGAGCUCGCCGCCGGCGACUCCUUCCACCUCCGACGACCCAGCGACCACCAAGAGGACCGCCUCGGUCUGGCCAGUCCAUCCCUACCCUCAGAUGCCCUCGAGGAGCCGCCGUUCGUCGCCGGCGAUCUCCGGAGUCCCGCUCCCGUCGGGCAGAGAAGAGGAGGGAGAGGGAGGAACGGUCAAACCUGACCAGUGGGCCCUCUGGACCCACUGUCAGUGACCCACGCGUCGUCCCCUCUGUUUAAGUGAAAGCGUAUACCCACGGAGUACGUCUCCCCUACCCCGAAAGCGUAUUCCCCUCAAAGCAUUUUCCUUUUUCUGGUUUUAUUAAAAACAGAGUUUGACUGGCUAUAACUUUUAAAAUAAAACUCCAAAUGAGUUGAUUCCUUUUCCUACCUCUCUCAAAUUUCAUCUAGUUUAUUUUCAGAUUUAUUUCAAAAAUAUUUGAGACAACCUUUUGUACUGUGUUUGAAAUAUUUGUUGUUUGAAUAUUUUUCAAAAUAGGAUUUUGGAGAAAAGGGAAAGCUUCCAAAAAGUGCAUCCCUUGCAUACUCUUGAAGGCAAGCAUUUCUGAACUCUGGCAUAAUAUUUUUGUGUGGUGUUUUCAUAUGGUUACAAUACCACGUGGACGUGGAGUAUGUGUUACCUUUAUGUAACGAUAAAGUCCCACGCGUGAGUGCGCAUUGGAGAUGUUUUGUCGUUAGUAAUGGAUAUGCUGGUGAUAGUGUUCAUCCUCGUGAGCUUCUCAUGCAUACCGGAAGGGAGUUGAGAAAGUCGUGGUCUUGGGUAGACACGAACUUGUCCCUAGUUCCUCGUUGAGACGAGUAUGUCCGGUAUGGCAUGGUAAGGCUUGAUGAGUGGUGAGUUUAUCUGUUAAUAGUAAUAUUGUUGGAGAAUCCCUGGACCUCCUGAGUCGGUCGUAGGUCGAGUCUUGUUUAGUAACUCCCCUAGUUGUUUUGUACUACCGCUUGUCCCUGUCGCGAAUGGGGUAUGGUUCAGUAAGUUGUCAACCCCUUACCAAAGCACACACCGUACAGAGAGGCCAUAGUGGAAGAUACCGGAGGCCUCCGGUAGGCAUGCCACUUGGUCCGGGGGCAUGGGUGUUUCCGGUUGGGACCGAGAGGGGGGCACCCCUUAGAGCGCGCGAAUAUAAAUUUGAUCCCAUGCUACAUCGAGGUUGUAGCCUCCCCACUUAGAGUUUUGCUUGGCAGGUGUCGUGGGUGGUUCCAGACACCGGUGAGUUAAGCUGGUGUGUGCAGGUCAGGCGUGUUUUCAAUUAAAAGGCCGUAGGCGGAAUUAGUCCCGAUGGACUAAAUAAAUCCGUUACUCGUGGGAAAAUAGUACUCCCUCUGCAGAGGAUAUAUCCUAUUGGAUAGCCAUGUUCACAGGUAAGGACCACAGUCUGAGUGGAAUCUAGUAACGGUAUUCGGAUGGAGAACGAAUUAGCUAGAAACUCAAUGACGGUUUUCGGAUGGAGACACGGCUAACUGGAUCAUAGUAAUGGUAUUCGGAUGGAGAACGAAUUAGCUAGAACUCAGUAACGGUCUUCGGAUGGAGAAACGGCUAGACUAGACUUUUGUUUAUGACCUGUGACAUCUGAGGAUCAUCUUUAUUAUGGACUAACCAUUUACAUUAUGUAUUUUAUUGAGUAUCCCUGGGAUGGUUCUACCUCCUGGAUAUUCACUGUGGUUAUUCUUUUAUAAGCCCUUUAUGUGGUGUCGCUCAGACGCCCGACUGCGGUAUGCUUGUUGUGUAUUUAUCUUUUAUAAGCCUUUCUGUGGUGUCGCUCAGACGACCGACUGCGGCAUGCUUGUUGUUUAUUUAUCUUUUAUAAGCCCUUUACGUGGUGUCGCUCAGACGCCCGACUGCGGCAUGCUUGUUGUUCAUUUAUCUUUUAUAAGCCCUUUCUGUGGUGUCGCUCAGACGCCCGACUGCGGCAUCAUUAAUUUAUUUUGCAACCCCUCAAGGAGUCAUUUUAGACACUCGCUUAGUGCAUUUCUUUUACUUCCGUAUUGCACGUCCAUAUUUUUCUCUGCACGCGUGCAUCACAGAUUUUUGUUUACUUCAUGGCAGACUUAUCAUCAUAAAUGCUUCGGAGUAUGAUUAUCUCCUGUUAUAUUAUACCCGUGUUCUUAAUGUUUGCGAGUACAUUCAAACGUACUCACUGGCUUGUCCCUGGCUAUUGUCUUGGCCUGAUUUUCGCGCAUGGAGAUAAGCAUCGCGGUGACGACCUCGGAACCUAUGUAUUGACGAUAGCAGCCUCGCGAAGAUAGGAGUUAUCCUGGUCAGCUGUUCUUGUGGAAAAUGGAGUCCCAUAGAUGCAGAUGUACCCAACCGCUUCCGCCCUCAACCAUUAGAAACCAAAUGUUGUACUCCUAGACCACAAUGGUCUUGUACUACAUAUUUUUGUGCCUUGCUUGGAAUUCUUAUAUCAAGUUGGUGCCUCAUCAGCUAACAGUAAUCCUGGGGCUGGUGAGCACAAAGGCCGUUUUUCUGGGAAAUUACAUCCCAAAAAUCCGGUCGUGACACAGUUUUGUGUGCUGCUCACACUGAGACUUCGCAAACAAGUUUUUAGCUCCCCAAAUAGGUCGCAAAAGUGUCUGCCGAUUGCCAUUACAGGCUGAAUUUGUCGACGGCCUAUCUUUUGUCUAGUGCAUUAGAGGCAUGUCCUCACUGAGAACUGAAAUAGUGAACUGAAAUAGUGCAUGCCAGGUCUCUCCUUGAUUAGUAUGCUAUGCCCAAUCUGUUGUUCAUGUUCGGGCUAGUUUUUUUACUGCCAGAAUAUGUGAUAAAGCAACAAAAAGGCAAGAACAUACAAAGGAUCCUGCGCAUGGAAUGGAUCCUGCUGGGUGCUUAUUCUAUUUAUUUUAUAUGAAUAAACACUUACCGUGCAGCCAUCUAAUAUGAAAUUCUAAUAAUAUGUGAUGCCUGAUUGUUUUUUAGUUGUAUAAGCCAUUCGUGCAUGAAUUCCUUUUCUUAUGUACCAACUCCCUAAUCAUGUUUUGAGUUUUCAGUUCGCUAUCUUAGGAGAACCUGGUGUGCUAUAUGGGGAAGCAAAGCAGCAGCCCACAACUCCGACUUGCGACUCCAGAUGAAGGCACCACGAUGCACCAUGCUGCUCCCUUGGAAGGCUGGCUGAGCGACGCAGCGAUGAAGGCAGUGAACGAGCUGCUGUCGUCAGGCGCCGCCGGCAACCUGAGCAGCCUCUGCUCCUGGGCCGACAAGGUCAGGUUCAGGUACUACUAGUCGGCGCCGCUCCACUUCAUCGAUGUCCCCGACAAUGUCUGCAGCUACUACUACAACAAUACAUAGCAAUUAACCAACACUCUGUUUUGUUGGACUGAAACUGACUGUAGCAUAACGGUUUGUGCGUUGUCUCAGGGGACUGCAAGGACGAGGAGGGCGUCAAGGUCCGCUGCGUCGCUGGUGCCAUCAACAACUACACCUCCCAGCUCCUCACCUAGGGAUCAUCAUCGCCAUCACCAUCUUCUAAAUUUCGGCCAACGUAAUGUUCAGGUACAUCGUACGAACUUCAGCACAUCUCUUUUGGUUGACUGAAUUAGUACUGAAGAUGCCAUGUUUUUUCUGCAUGGAAUACUGCAGAUAACCUGACCGAAGUGCUCUUGUUCCUCUCAAACUUCAUGGGCGACAUCCACAAGGUAGUACUCCUGCCAAACCCCAAGUGCCUGAAUUUUUGCAAGUGUUUCUGUUCCUGGUUGCAACUCAAGCUGACACUUCUUGUUUAUGUAGCCACUGCAUGUGGGGUCCUCCUUUGUAAAAGAAGGGAACACCAUCAAUGUCCACUAGUACAGAAGGAAAUCUGUACUCCACCAUUUAAGGCUAGUUCAGACUUAAGGCUGAACCCUUCUAUGUGUAGUAUGAUUCCAAGGAAACAUAUGGCAAUAAUGCUGGAACUUUUCACAUUGGCGUUGCUAUGUUUGAUCUGGUGGUGCCAAAACAAACUUAUAUGCUUAUGCUGAGCUUACUUUUAAUAUCAUUCUAUUCUGUGUGAUGAGCUUAGUUUUGUACUGUAUCCACCUUCUUGUUUACUUUGUUGAAUCCUGUCUUGUGUACUAAUCAUGAGCUACUAGCAUUUGGCUUCUGUAUGCUAAUUAAACCUGAUAAGUAUGUAUACUUCUUUGAGAUACAAAUUCCACAUUGCAUGUUUAUCUGCUAAUUAAACCUGAUAAGUAUGUAUACUUCUUUGAGAUACAAAUUCCACAUUGCAUGUUUAUGAGGUUCAAUUUCUACAGAUGUUGCCAAAUGAAUGUGUCAACAUGUCUCUCCUUAGGGGUUGUUUUGAACCGCAAAUGAUCUACUGUAUCAAUUUUUUGCUGUUCAAAGAUUGAAAUCCUGGUUCAUUUUCCAAGAUCGAAAUGUUGUUGACCCUGUUCUUCUAUGCUUAAAUGGUAAAAAUGUCGCAUUUUGCUUGUUCUAACCAUUUUUCUUGAUAACUUGCAGAUGCUGGCCUUCAUUCAUGUUUUGUCGUGAGGUCCAGGAUGAACAAGUUGGGAGAAGCAUUGGAGCUAGUUAUACUGUGAUAGUUGUGUUACCUGAUGUGAACAUUUUUUAUUGUAAAAUUGAUGUGAACCAUAUUUUUCUGUAAUAAUGUGUUACCAGGAUGAACCAUCCUUGCUGUGUUACCAGGAUGAACAAGUUUGAUUGUAAUAAUGUGCCAAGUUUGGCUCUUUCUGAUUGUAUUCGUGAUGUGUACCAUAUUUUUCCUGAUUAGUCGUGCUCUGUUUGAAGCAUUUUGUUUUCUCUCUGUUCGGAUUUAAAUAUUGUUAUUUAUUUACUGGAAAUCUGAUAUCUGAAGAAUAUAAUAGUGACAACUGCGACCCACUUGUUAGAACCUGACAACUGGGUCCCAUCUCACUAGUGGGCUCAUCUUUUGGAAAAAAUAAAAUAAAAAAGGCCAUGGCCUAGAAAAUAAAAAGGCCGAAUUCUUGGGCCAGGCCCAUGUAGCUAAUAAAAGCACAGGAAAAAAAUAUAGAAAGGCCGAAUUGUUGGGCUAGGCCCAUGUAAAACACUGAAUUGGACCGGGCUGAUUCUUGUGCCACAUCAGAUUGCCACGUCGGAUGCCUACGUGGCCUGGGGAGGCUGCUAGUGACCAAAAUGCCACAGUAGACAUAUUUUGGUCAUAAACGUCUACGACCAUUCCAGAAGAAAGGUCGCUAUAGUCAGUUAACGACGGCUUUUUGCAACAACUAGCAAGAUGCCCAUGCAUUGCACGGAACAUCAAGAUGCAUUUGUAUGAGUAGUUUAUCUUGUGAGGGAAAAGGAUGAACGAGGGAAGGCCUUAUUUGCAAAUGUGGAGAGGGGUGUGGGUAUCUUUUUGCAAAAUUGCCAUAGUUUCCUUCCCAUCCGUUAGAUAUAGAUCGGACGGCCUAUAUUGCAGGAUGGCAGGCACACGAUCAUCACCGACAAUGCUUUUUAUAAGAGUAGGGAUAAAAAAUAGAGUUGGUGAUGAUGGUGGGCCUGCCAUCCUACAAUGUAGGUCGUCCGAUUUAUAUCUGACGGAUAGGAAGGAAAUUAUGGCAAUUUACCCGCACUCUUCACCACAUUUGCAGAUAAGGCCUUCCCUUGUUCAUCCUUUUCUCCCACAAGAUCUUGAUGUUUCGUGCAACGCACGAGCAUCUUGCUAGUAAGAGUAGAUAUUAGACAUACACCACUUCUCGAAUCUUGAAACCAACAACAUUCCUCCCUUAUCUCAUCAAAACCGCCAAAGGAAUAUAUUUUGAGUGAAACAUAACAUAGUUUUAGUGAUAUACAUAUUUCAAAACUAGACUUUUUUUCUAUCAAAUCGGUGAACAUGUAUUAAUCCACUUUGAUCGUGUGGCAACGCAUUGGCACAUUGCUAGUAGUUAUUAUAAUUUUCUGGACACCAGACAAACGGCGAAGUACAUAUACGAAGAGAAGAGGCGCACACACAUAGUCGGCCUCUCGCUGUCUCGCACACAUGAGUGUUACGUAAAGGCGACGUUAACAAAUAAACCCUAAAACCCUAUGGGCACGAUCGCGGGUACCGGGUACGUGGUGGGGCACCUUUGUAGGAAUAGUCAGCUCGCGUGAUAAUUUGAUCCAUAGGAGUUGAUGAUCGGGACCAUAGGUGAACGACUUGGAGCGCGGUGGCUCGCCAUUUUCCACAGAUCGAGUAGCCACGUUUAAAAUAUCGUUUUUUUAGCGGGGUUAAGAGUUCCGAUUUUCAAUGGCGCGUUAUAAGUAGUAACUAGUUUUUAGAAUGAUUGGUAUGGAGCGAAAAUGGAAUUCAUAGUACUACAUACCUCCUUGGCAUAUGGUUGUAUGGGUUUAUGUUGCGAGAUGUUGAACCUGGUAGUUCUAAGGCAAAUACUAUGGUUUAUAUUUAGAUGCUGGUUUUCAGUAAUGAAAAUCGGAAGGGGAAACUCUUCUUUGAUUAAAGAAAAACUACUACCUCCAUUCUGGUUUACUAGUCCCCAUCAUACUUUGGGUCAAAGUUUGUCCACGAAUUUUACUUGUAAAAUGUGAAUGGAAAACGAGAUUUUGUCAUACCCAAAAUAAAAGGACUGGAGGGAGUGAUUGCUCUGACACGGACGCGACCUCUCAUAGCGCAGGCAUUGAACCAGCGCGCUGACCAAGAGGGCCGCACUCACUGCAGGCCCGGCUGAGCACGCCUCCUCGCCGCGUGCAACCAGCUUAAGACUGCCCCGCCUGCAUUCAUUGAAUCCGCGCGUGUGCCGGAAACACGUCCUUCCGCGAGCCGGCAGGCAUUUUAGAACACAAAAAAUGAUUAAAAUAUAAUUAAUUUACGCAUGGUCUUGACUUGUUGUGCUCGCACUGGUAGCAGGAACUAUUAGAGGUUUUUCUUUAUUUAUAACUCUCCUCGCAUUUUUUGGCAUUGAAGUGAAUCAUGGUUGUGGACAUUAUGUAUGAAUGUGCAGAUAUCUGUGAACAUGAGUUUGAUGUGGAAGUUGAACUUGGAAUGUCGGGCUUGCGCGUGAACUAUACCAUAUCCAAUGCUUAGUAUGUUAUUGUUUGGAAAGUAAUUGAUGUUAUUACAUGACCCGAAAAAAAAACAUUUUGUGCCACAUCAGUAGAUGCACGGACAUCACAACAGGCAUGAUGACUGGAUAAACAUUUGAACCUAGCUAUUAUGAAGGAAGUUUUGUAUUGACAACAGUUUUAGAUAGCAGGAGACGCCUAGCCUGCUCUGCCUCUGCUAGCUUAUUUAUGGCUUCUUCCAUCUCUUCUUUGGCUUGGGUGAAGAGAGCAUCUGAUUGCUCUUUUUGCUUCUUCAGGAACUCAGCUACAUUCUCAAGGGCUGCUGCACGCUUUCUUUCAGCCUUUACUAAUGCCAUGAGGACACGAACAGCUGACGACUCCACCUGGCUUGCGUGUAAUCUAGCAUCAUCUGGGAAUUUGCACCUUGUGUGUAAUCCAACAUCAUUAGGGAACUGGCACCUUGUGUGUAAUCCAGCCUGAUUUUGGAAACAUGAUCUCGAGCUUGACCAUACUUCCCUCCUCGCAGGAACUGCAUCCUGACAUGAAGUUACUUCUUUUUUAGAUCAAUACUCAGAGCAACCUAGAUCCAUUUAGUAGAAGCCAGAUAAACAGAACUUGGAGAAGUGAAUUCAAAGGAAAAAAAUAAAAACAGACUACAAGGUGAGAACUCCCACUUCCCACAUCAAGCUAAAAACGAAAGCAUUAGGACGAUUAAGACACUUCUUAUUACACAUCGGAGAACACCACGCUUAAGAGAAACAGAAACUACAACAUAUACACAUCAAAGAACACGAGGCUCAACGAAAGUAAUUGAAAGCGUGUUACUUACCAAAGCUUGUUUUAUAGGUUUGGUGCAGCUCCUCUUUAACUUGCCACGCUCCUUGAAGAUGUCCCGAAUAUCCCGUGUUUGGUCUUCAUUGCUCCUCUGCAUGUUCGCACUCGUGGUUUUAAAAUAUCCACAUGGCAAGAAAAAUUUACUACUAGUAAUACUCGCGCAUCUUGUGGGAAACAUUAAAUCACUCGUCUGCCAUGUUAGAGCAUCUCCAACAGAAUCGCAACGCGCGGCGCUUUAAAAAGCGUUUACAAUGCUGAGAUCGAGAAGUAGAGACUAGAGAGUAGAGGAUAGUUCUCAGCAUAGAUAGAUAAAAAAAGAUAAUUCAACUACUCCUCGUCGUCCGACUCCUCCUCGGUGAUGUCCUCCUCCGACGUCUGACUGUAGGCAUGAAGAUACCGAUCGUCGUUGGAUUCCCAGGGCGACACUGCUCCUAGCCUCAUGUUGAAUUGAGCGUCCACUUUUCACCUACGCUUGUCCUCGCGAGGCGGCUCGCUCCGCACUCCUCUUAUCCCUGUCCGCCCUCCUUUGCGCAUAGAACUCGUGCUCGUUGAUGAUGUCCUGCGGGAAGUGUUGGCGCCACAUCGCCAUGGAUUCCUCGUCCAUCUCGGCGAUGCUAAGCCGCGGCAGAGGCGCGAGCUCCUGCGCCCGCUCCCGCGUUGGCACGUUGGGGAAGUUCAAUGUUCUAUGAGGCCAUCGGAGGCGCCAUGCCGCCGUGUCGUACGCGCGGGCGGCCUCGUUGGCGGUGUCGAAAUUGCCGAGGCCGAGGCGCAUCCCAUGGAACCAGAUCUCGACGGAGAAGCCGCCGGAGGGGCGCGCGCGGACGCCGCGGUAUCCCCAAGUUUCCCGACGACGCGGCGGCAUGGUGGCGCGGCGGCGGCGAGGCGAAAAAGAGCGGGGAGAGAGCGGUGGCGAGGCAUAGAGCGGGGAGAGAGCGGUGGCAAGGCACAGAGCAGUGGGAGGGCGUUGGAUUUUAUAAAGCGCGCCGGAUGCCGCCCGCCAAAACUAGCGCACGCCCGGCCGCUUUUUCCCGCGCGUGCGCGAUCCUUUCCCGACGUCUCUGCUAUCUCUACUCUCUUCUCUAAUGUUAUAUUUAUUUAAUAUGUAAUAUUUAAUAUUUAUCUCUACUUCUCUACUGUCUACUUUUUUUCUUGCAAUAUAGGCCGUCCGAUUUAUAUCUGAGAGAUAGGAAGGAAACAAAUGGGAAUUUUGCAAAAAGAUACCCAUACCCCUCUCUAGAUUUGCAAAUAAGGCCUUCCCUCGUUCAUCCUUUUCUCCCACAAGAUAAACUACUCAUACAAAUGCAUCUUGAUGCGUGCAACGCAUGGGCAUCUUGCUAGUUCUAAAAACCUUUCCAUCAUUUGCCACACUACUGGUUGCAGAUGAAAAACCUACCCAAGCACAGCGCGAUACAGGAGCGACGCACAAUUACAAGUUGAUAUUCUGUUGGACAAUGGAGGCUAUAACCAAUUACUUUUACGGGAACAAUAGGACCCAGGAAAUUUGAAGGGUAGGUAUGAACAAAAUUGGAACUGCACAUGUACUGCUAUGUGAUUAAAUAGACACAUUACCAAUCGAGGAGGAGAACGAUGGUCGCGGCGGCCUCUGUGAGUCAUGGUCGGCAACGGGAGUCAGUUCAUUGUCCACGACGGUGGUACUUCUGCGCUUGGCGUCGGCUUCCGGGAAGCAGAUCCGAGACCACGGAAGACGAUGCUGGGGAAGAGGCUCCGUGUACGACGACGACGACGGACCGGCUCCAGUGCAGCAUACGAGGUCGUCGAUGAGGCAGAUGCGCUGCGGUGGACGAGUGCGCCGAUGUAAAUGGGGAGGAGCACGAAGGUUGUGGUGUCGUGGAGAAGUCUAUUUUGCGGUGGGGAUAGAAAAUGGGGAGUAUUCAGGUGUACUACCUUGUGUGCCCGGGUGGGGUUGGCUGGGUAGGGUGACCCUGAAGUUACGUAAACAACCCCCUACCCAGCGUCAUCCAUAGGCCUGUUCCGAAGGCUAUGAUGGUAACUUCCCACUGCUCGAAUCAGGGUUGCAGGAGAUUUUCCCGCCGACCUCAAAAUUUUGUGACACUGGACUCCCCGUGUGGCGUGUUGAGUGAUUCGGCUAAGCAACUAGCCAGUAGUUGUAGCAAACUCUGCAUGUUAGGUUUGACCAAAGUCAAACUUCCUAAAGUUUGACCAAGUUUAUAGAAAAAUAUAAACAUUUACCAUAACAAAUAUGUAUGAUGUGAAAGUACAUUCAAUAAUGAAUCUAAUGGUAUUUAUUUGUUAUUGUAUAUGUUAAUAAUUUUUUGUUAUAAGCUUUCUGAGAGUUUACAAAACUUGACUUUGACCAAUGCUAAUACGCGGACUUAAAUAAAAACAGAGGGAGUACACAUUUGUUUUCUUAGUUUGUAGUGAACUAAUCAUUUGUUGAAAUUGUGAAAUAAAUAUAUUAGGCUAUUGACUACGAAUGUAAUGGUCUAUACAAUUCAAUAGUUACAAUCAUUGUCGAAUCCCAAGAUGUAUACAAGGUCUAUAGUACUUCACAACAUGCUCAAACUCACAUAAUCCCAGUCAAAUGAGAAUCUAAAUGCAUUUCAUAGUUAUUACUUUGUAGGAUGCAACAAAAACAACCAUAACUCUACAUCAGCCAUUAUAGAAGCAACAUUUUGACAUAUCCCAAUGUGUGAAUGAAACGUGCAGAGAGAGCUUUUGAAGAUGGAGCAGAUAGGGUGGGAAAGAUUGUAUAUAUGUGGACGAGAGAGUAGGAGACAAACCUAAUGAGACAGAGAGAGAGAGAUAGAGAGAGAAAGAGAGAGGAAGAAGAUAGGUCUAUGACAAAGAUGGAGACAUGUAAUAUACGUGAGACGCGUGUGCAUCCAGAUUCUGUAUACGUGGAAGGAGAAGAGACAACAUGUUUGAUGAGAGAGCUGGAAAAACAUGGACGAGAGGGGAAGGAUCUUGUGGGUUGAGGGAUAGACAAUUUUGUGCGGGGGAGAGAGGGAUUGGUAAUUUUGUGCAAGAGAGAGAGGGGGGGGGAGGAGUCAGUCAGCCGUCGUCACAUCACCCUGCUUCCAAAUGACCCCGCAUUCUCUAGCGUGGUGUGGUCGCCGUCUUCGAUCUGCUCGAUGCCCACUUUGAAGAUUGAGGUGUUGUGCAUGUUGGGGUGCAAAGAAGCACAAGCGAGAGUGGUCGCCGUAUGACCUUGGAUGGGGAUGAAUUGUGUGCUCGGGGGAGGGUGUGUGUGUGUUGUGUUGCGUGUGUGUGUGUCUCUGUGUGUGUGUGUGUGUGUGUGUGAGAGAUAUUGAGAGAAAACAAACCUAAGGAGAGAAAUGGGUAUUCACGAAGAGAUUGUCCGGGCCUUGAGGUGGGCAGGGGCCAGGUGAGGGUGUCAAAAUGUGCGCGUUGAUGCAUGUGUUGCAUGCGAUCGUGCGAGGGACGGACGAAUCGAGAGAGAUGGUUGUUGUGUUACGGAUGCUCCUCUCUCCCUGUCUCUCUCUCUCUCUCACACACACACACACAAGUAAACUAGAAGACCGUUCUCUCAUGUAUACACAACGUAUCGGCAUCUGUCUAUGUCUCACUCACGCAUGAUCAUUUGCACAUUCACACCUCUCUAUGUCUGUAUCACACGCACACCGUCUCCACAUUGCCCUUCCGCCACAACACACAUAUGGACACACACGCGUUCUCUCUCAGUCACACACACAAAAUUAGUAUUAAAAAAACUAGGGCGCACCUAAAACGUCCAAAUCCAAAUAAACACGAACUGGAGCUAAAUUCAAAUAUAUGGAAAUAUUGCAGCGUCAAGAACUUUCCCAGGAAAAAAAGUUGAGUAAUAUUCGAGGAUUGUUUUCACACACAAAAGGUUCGGUGGAUGUCCUUCGAGCGCGACACGGUGACGCACCGUUCGAUCGAUCGCGCGGCCGCGGUUCACGCGCUUGCACAGGAUUCCGUAUCGUGGAUGUGGUACUAACUAAUAAAAGCGCUGCCUAAGUCUAAUGUUUACGUGUACUAGUACGGUUUUCUUUUAAGUUUGACCAACCUUAUAUAAAACCAAAGUAAGCUCCCACACGCGCACUCAUCAAUAUGCCGCCACCACCGUUGCACAUGCUGGCGCCCGCCUGCUCCGGCCAACAAUUUCUCGCCCAUCACCGCCGUGUCGCCGCCAUCCCCGUGCCAUGAAGCUGAAGGCUCGCCCGCUCACGUCGUCUGCAGUCCCUCCUCGCGAUGCCGCCACGCUGCCAAGCACGCGAGCAACUGGUGGAGCCGCGUCUAUGCACGCAGCGUACAAAGAGGAGGACGAGCGCAUGCUCCAGCAUGCCGGCGAGGAGGACCUAGCGUGUCAUUGUCGUCUCCGCCCGCGCGGAGGAGGCGCGCAUGGUGGCUGUCGCAGCGGAAGCCGGUCGCGUGCGCGUCGAGCCCGCAAACUGGGUGCGGACGCGGAAUCUACCUUCGAGACCUUGAAUGCCACAUGGAUCCUGCAAUCUGAAGGAGCAAUUUGGGUCAGUCGACUCAUGUGAGCCGUUUGAUGCAACAUGGAUGGCUAGAAGGGCUUCUUCCACCUCUUCUGCCGUCUUCUUCCUUUGCUUCGUCGAACUUUUUUCACAAAUCAACUGACCCAAAUUAUACUACCAGUACGAACGUAUUAAGUACAGUAGGAACACGAAGAUACGAGAAGUAGUACCAACUGCAAGAAGAACAGUAUUAAGACAUAGUACUAGUACUACUGUACGUACUAAAGAGUUCAAAUAACGAGAAAGAACACAAACAUAGUUCUGCUGGGGCCUCAGCACAACACACCCUUGAAAAUAAACUAAGCAACUUGUCCGCUUGACACUGCAGUAGAACCAGCAUGAGCGACGGCACUGCCACCUACUCGGAGUCCGAGUCCACCUCCUUGACUUCGUCCUCGUCCCUCUUCCUCUUCCUCUUCGUCAACGCUUCUUUGCUUGAACCGGACACUGGGCUCUGCUUCUUCAUCCAACCCUUGUAGAUAUUUAAACAAAGGUAGGCAUCCAUUGCUGCGUAUAGGAUGUGAUCUUCAUCUAACGUCUUCGACUCCCAUGCAUGAUGAAACUCGUGAUGAGGUUUCUUUAGUUUAGCGUACGAAGGAUCAAUCAUGGCUGCUGCCAGGGUCAGCAUUGAAGGUUGAGAGGAGGACACCAGGCUUGCCUUCUGGAGAUCGAAGGGCUGGCCUACAACGAGACCUAUCCGACGCAGGACAUCCCUGUCCUUCUUAAAUCCUACAGUAACGAAUUUCCCUCUUUUGUCCUUGAGGAAGUUCUUAAAAUCCUGGCACUCAACGUCGGCAUGGCAUAUGUGGUAGACCAAGCAAACGUUAUGUACGCAAACCUGGAUCACGGCGGGCUUCUUCCUCUCUUCGUCCUUUAGAUCCUUCUCUCGUCCCAGGACUGUGGUGUACUCAACAUCUAGCCCAGCGACCCACUCAUCCGUUGAACUGUUGAACAUGCGUAGGAAGGGAGCAAGCCAUGCUUUCACCGUCGCGGAUCCACGUGUGUAGAUGACGAUGAACUGAUCACCGGUGAUGGCUCUAACCUGGUACUCAAUGGAGACCAUGGAGAUUUGGGAGGCCAUGGAUUUUGGAGGAGGGUUAGGACAAGUUGAACUGUUGUACCCCGCAAAAAAACUGGGAGCGAACUAAUGUGAAAGGACGGGACGACUGGGAGCGAACUGUUGUAAGGUAGAAGACGGGGACGAGUAGGGCGUGCGAACGGCGUGGGGUUGCUGGCUUGCCCGGUGGAUAAACGGCUGCAAGCCCCCAAAGAAUUCUCGAGAACUAUGCGGGACCCACUAGAUGUCAUGUCUACUAGACCCAUAUCGUAGGCCUGACGGUAUAGCUUCUGCCUGUUCGCACGCCAUGCCGGCGCGUGGAUGUAACUUCACUUAAUUCCGUCAACCGUCGUGCCUCCCACAACCUUCGCCUCCCUCGCGCGGUCGCGCCCUUUGAGACUUCGAAUGGCUAUAAAUGAGCAAUUUUUUUGCCUACUCCGCAUGCAUGAUACUCCCUCUAGUCCUUUUUACUCCCGUCAACCGUUUACAAAGUUUUUGACCAUAUUUAUACUUUUUUUGAACACCACCUUAUAUUAAUUAACCAGCCACACCAGUACACUCGUUCAAUACAAUAUUCACCACACAGGGCGGUACGUUAUUUACAAGAAUACCAUCUAAUCUAUUGUCAAAGCUAUACUUAGCGAUUAAGUGUGCCACCUUAUUGGUCGAACGGCUAAUCUUUGACAAUUGAAGAUUGUUGAUCAACUUCGAGAUGCUCAACGCUUUCAUCUUCAGGUCACGCAUAGCAGACCUGUCAUAGUCCCCCGAUGCAAAAGGCGCUACCACAAAAGCGCAAUCAGUCUCUAAAAUUACAGGACUAUGAAGAGAAAUACCUAUGUAGAGACCGGCAAUGCAAGCCCUAAGCUCCGCUUCCUCCACGCUUUGACAGGCAUCAAUGAAAUCCCACGACCAAAUUUAUACUAAAAAUAUCAAUAUCUACAACAUUGUUUAUAAUGAGUAUAAGAACUACGUUUUAUAAUGAGUGUAAAAAUAUUGAUUUGACAUUGUGAAUGUUUAUAGUACAUUUUUCUAUAAGUCUGGUGAAAGUAGAGGUACAUUGACUUCAGACAAAACUUAAAUGCACAAUGCAGCCUAGUUCCUCCGUCCAGGUGCGUGCCAUGUCCUAUCUUGUCAUCACAACAAGGUUAGCUAUUAGAGUACCACUUCCUCCCUUCUAGUUUAAUGGGCUGGAUUCAAAAAUUUCACCUACUCUUAGCAAGAUAGUAGAGGCGGUGGAAUAGUUUUUGAAGUCUGCAAAAAUACUCAACUAAUGUAGUCGUUCUUCACAAAAAAAUGUGUUUACCAAUGCAUGCAUGAACACUAGUUACUCUAACCCCCCUCUCUUCUUUAAUUCUUUGCCACAUCAGCAUGUUUGCUAUUCCAGUGUGCAUGAUACCAGCUAAGAUACCACCAUUAUGGCCAGCCUUAAUCAUCGCAUGCAAUAAUUUAGUGCACCUUGAAAUAUGAACAUGUGUGGGGCGUGUAUGUUUUUAAUGACUUGAGACUAUACCUAGCCCGCCAUGCAAGAUGACUUAUUAUUCACCGUUCCCCAUACCUGCAGGAAGCCCGUUCGUCUCCAAAUCUUUUCCUCUCCAUGUGUGGAAACAAUAUGCCUGCCAAACUCUCCUUCUCCCUCCGGCGGUCCCACCACUCCACCCCGUGUGAAAAAAUCUGCAUGCAUGACUCUCCUACCCCCACGCUCGUCCAAUCCGUUGUGACCAGCAAUAUUUCCACCCCUUCCCUCCCCUGUAAUUUACUCCAACAAAUAUGCCCACGUAGCUGUUACUUAACUGCAGGUGCAUUGGGUCACUGACAUAUGGGCCCAACAGGGGUCUGGCCCACAUGUCAGUGACGCAACUGGACCUGCAGUUAAGUCAGUGCAGCUCAGUCCAUAUCUUACGUAGGUGUGCCAUAGCUUGCUAUAAAUACUGCGCCUCCCACGAGAUCGCUAUCUCCUCCCCCUCACGUUCAUGUUCAUCGCUAUCCCCUCCCCCUCCCUCUCACGUCGACCACCAUGCAUCGCCCCUCCCAAGCCCUAGGAGCCCCUCGCUGCACCGCGCAGACGGUCACGCGUCGCUGUUCCAUUCCUCGCCGCCACUAGUCGAGGAGGACGCGUCGGUGUUCCGCUCAUCGCCGCUACGCGACACGUCGUCGUUCCGUUCCUCGCCGCCACUAGUCUAGGAGGACGCGUCGGCGUUCAGCUGCUCGCCGCGACGCGACGCGUCGCCGUUCCGUUCCUCGCCAGCACUAGUCGAGGAGGACGCCUCGGUGUUCCGCUCCUCGCCGCGACGCGUCGGCGUUCCCAAUCUCGCCAGCACACGCGUCGGAGGAUGCGUCAGCUCCCCGCUACGAGGAGAACGCCGCGCCGCCCGCCGAGCCCCCCAACCUUGAGAAGAUUUGGAAAGAAAUGGAUGUCGCCUUGUGGGAGGCUUUGCCUCCAGCAGAGCGCACCAAAAUAGAGGCGGAGAAGAAGGCUGAGAAAGAGAAGCGCACCGCGGAACAAGCUGCCUGGGAGGCCUAUGUCGCGUCCGAGAGAGUCAGGCAAUUGGCUCUUUGGCAGAAGGCUCGUGCGAGGGCCGUGAGGGUGGCGGAGGACGCCCGUGCCGACGCCCUGAAUGUAGUCGGGCCCAAGCGCCUCUUCUAUGCUUGGCGGUACGUGGACCGGGUGCACGCUUCCAGCGAGGAGGAGUACCUGUUGGCGCCGGAUCACCACACCGGUGCGAUCGCGCUUGCCCGCCGGCAAGCCGCCUAUCAGCACCUCGCGAGGUGCGAGGCUGAGGAAGAGGCGUUGUGUCGGCGCGCUGGGAAACGGCCGCGCACCAGGGCACUCGUGGCGCGCCGCAAGCGCUCCUGCAAGCGCUGUGGCUUUUAGGAGGAGUAUAAUUUUGGUUUCGUAAGGCGAUCUCAUUAGUUUUGCGACGCAAAUGAUAAAUCCCGAACAUUAGGAAUUUUUAGCGUCCUUAAUUAAGUAUGUAAAAGGGAUAGUUUGGAAACCUUGUGUAUUCAUACGCAUUUUGCAAGUAUGUGCAUAUAGCACAAACUUUACUAUAUACUAUCGCACUACACGUCUCUCUCGAUAUAUGCUUGCAGACUGUGCUACUCCCUCCGUCGAGGUCAAUAAGUCAUCUUUGGUUGUGCACCGUGACCAAGAAGGAGGGAAGACUUAUACAUCUAGAUGGAGGGAGUACUACUAUUACUUCUGUACGUGCAAAUGCACGUUUUAGCAUUACGAUGCGGUUUUUGUAAAAGUAGAAAAACAACACUAGUCAAGCUUGUGAAACGAUUCAAUGCAAAACAAAUGCAAAAAUGCUCGUUUGAUUGUUUGCUUUUAGCUUCCUUCUCUGUGGUUAUUUCUUUGUCGUACUUUGUACGGAGUAUCUCACUGGUUGGAAAGGCAUGCAAAUUCCCAAACCGCUUCCUACACCCUGUAUCGAAUUUUUUGCCUAACAAGUUGUGCCGUGCAAUUGGAAUUCCAACUUGAGUACUACUACUAGUAGGAGUACCAGGGGACAAUUCUUUUAGGCUUCUAGAUUAGUAAUCCCAUAACUACUACCUCCGUCCUGGUUUAUUGGUCCCCAUUGUAAUCUGUGUCAAAUUUUGAACAUAAAUUUAACUAAUGAAAUGUUAGUGCAUGUCACAUGCACUACUCCAUCCGUCUAGGUGAGUAACUCAUCUUAGGCUGUGCACCGUGACCAAGGAGGAGGAGAAAACGAGAAACGUUAAUGUUUAUUUGCUAAUUGAUAGUAUUGCAUGCAAUGAACUAACCACUGCAUGUCGUGUUUGAUAUCUCAAGUCAUUAAAAGCAUGCACACUCUUUAUCUCUUAUUGGUUGAUAUGUCAAGAAACAAGAAACGAGGUAGAAGUUAAUGCACCGCGCCUAAGUGUUUUGGGAUUAUUUGGUUUUCGUAAGAUGACUUACACACCUAGAUGGAGGGAGUAACAUUUUAUCAGUUAAAUCUUGGGUCAAAAUUUAGCACAAAUUACAAUGGUGAGGAAUAAACCAGGACGGAGUAGUAGUUUAGAAGCCCAAAUAAAUGAGUGAGGCGCCUUAUUGUUACUCUCCGCUGUGAGUAGUCUUAUGGGAAAAGCUGGGGAAGCCGCCAAAAGAACUGGCCCUAGGAGUAGUAACUAGGGAUCGAGUGUGCGAGAUGAACCGGAGAAAGUAAAUGCAGAGAGAUGAAAUGCAAAAAAGACGGAGGGAUGUGAUGGCAACCUUAGGCUGCAAACCAAACAGGCCCUAAGUCUCUAUCUCUACUACUCUUCUUUGUUUUUUAUAACAAAUCGAAUAGUGUUGCACCGUCCGCUGCACGCCCGGCUGAACACGCCUCCUCGCCUCCAUCAUCACCAACUGAGUCUUUUAUAGGAGUAGGAGUAGAGAAAAAACCGAGUUGGUGAUGAUGGUGUGCCAUGCAAUGCACAGGCAUCUUGCUAUUUUUUUUGCAUAUAAGUCCAAACACCACGUAGACACAGUCUUUGAGCACGGUUCAUAGUCGUUCCACGCUCGGGCAUUGAAGUUUGUAACUAUUUUAGAUUAGAAUAUACUACUCCUCCGGUGCUAGUAGUAGAGCAGAGUCCUACUCUACUACUCUACUCAAGCAAGUUAGGGCAUAGUACUGUAGGGAGUACCAGUACUGUGAUCACUCAAGCAAGUUGUCUGGCAUCGAUAUGACCCUACGCUGCUGGUAUGUGUCUCGUAAGUCAAGCGGCGUGUUGUAGUCAUCAUCACCUGUCCAUUUCCCACAGCACAUAUUCGCUUCUCCAUUUUUGUCCGCACAUAAUCUCGUCCAAUCUUCCAUCCCCGCUAAGGCGCCUCCCCCCCUCGUUCGAAACCCAAGCACUAACAAUGGCAGAACCGAGCAGCGUCCGCCGAAAGAGUGGCUAGAAUUCGCUCCCCACAGAGGUAAACAAGCUCAUUGUUUCGCGUGUGGACAAUCUCAGUACCAUGCCGCUCGCCGCGUGCUCGUCGGGGCUGUACCGUUUACUCAAAGCCCUCAGGCCGGAGCUUUUUAAGCCAGCUCCUUACUUGCUGGUGCCGCCUGAUCUUCAGAAACAGCGUGUCAUGCAGCAUAACGAUCGUAGGGUGGCGAGCAUCAACCCCCUUGACUAUGAUCCGAUCCCUGUCAGCCUCAACUACAUUAACGGUAUGUACUGGGUCAGCAUGAACACGUCUUGGAUGGUGCUCGUCGACGGUCGCGGCAGCUGGAUGCUCGUGGAGGUCUACAACCGGCGAUUGAUCCCCCUUCCUUCGAUUAACACUGCACUGCUUUGGCACCGUGGCCCAGAAUACUCGGAAUCUUACAGUAGCCAACAUGAUACCAAGUUUGAUUUGCUCAAGGUUGUAAUCUGCCAAGUGCCCACAAGAUUUGCAAAUUAUAAAGACUUCAGGGUAAUUGCAUUCUUCAACCGCGGUCUCGCCUAUCUGACAGGUCACUGCGGCAAGUGGAUAAAUCUGCACGUCCAUCGCAAGAUCAUACAUCCUCCAUGGUUCUCUGAUGCCAUUGAACACAAGGGCUUCAUUUACGCUGUCGACUCCUUCUAUGGCUGGACGUAUUGCUGUCCUACUCCAGUCAUCGCUACAAACGGCUGUUACAGCAGUAUGUUACUUUCCUAUGAUAUCAUGAUGGCUUGCUUAUAUUACUGUCAACAUUUACUGAACAAAUAUUCAAGUUCAUAACAUGCUGUUCUUAAGAUUGACUAAAUCAAGAGCCCUUUUUUAUUUGACUCCAACUUGAUAUGAUGUUGUAGGCCGCCUGGUGUCCCUACCCUUCCUAAUCCCAGAACCUUUCAAAGAAAAGCGGCAUUGCAGUUGCAGGUGGUUCCUGGCUCGAUCAGACAACGGCGAAAGAUUGAUGAUCGUUCGCACGUACCGGACGUGUUGUUUCGCGGAAUACAAUCACAGUCACUACAAGGUCUUUGAGCAGGAUCCCAACUUCUCUGGGCCUUCAGGAAUUUUUGACUGGAGGCUGGUAAGUAGCCUUGGUACACGCUCUCUGUUUGUCGGACUGAAUUAUACGAUUAACCAGGAGAUAACCGACGGCAAGGAUCAUGAUGGCAGCGCGGUUUUGUUCAUCAGGAAAAACUGUGUGUACACAGCGUACCAUGCGUCUCUGCAUGCACCAUACCCUGAUAUGUGCCGCCACACUCUGCAGCCCAAAGUAGGAGAGAGGGUCGCAAGUAUCAGACUUCGACCUGCUGGCUGGAGUUUCCCCCGUCAGGCACCCAUCUGGUUCAAGCCGUCAGCCAAUCUCCAUAGCUUAAUAAAUAGUAAUGUCUAACUGAGCUAGUUAGUUAGAUGCGUACACUUGGUGUAGUAGGAUCUUUAUUUAGUUUGAUGCAUAGACUUGUUCUUUUUGGGUAGCCCUUUUGUAAUGAUGGCUGAUGUUUGGUUUGGAAGAGAGAGCUGCGUCUUCACUCUUCUGGCCUUCUUACUGCUUCUGUUGUACCCCCAGCCCUGGUUGCUGCUGCUGUUGCUGUUUUCAAUGUACAAUCAGUAGUAUAUUUCGUCUGUUGGUUGAAUAAAUGUGUUGUUAGAAUGACAAACACAAUGUUUUGGAAGUCGGUGCAUGGUUCGAUCCUUUAGUGCCCCGUACCGUACGUAGCUCAUACUAUUUUUCGUACGGAACACAUUUUCCACUUGUUGAUAACAUGCAGCCCACUGAUGAAGUCCCAAUAGAGAAGCCCAUAAUUAAUUGGAAGGGAGGCUCUUACAUGAAUCCGGCCCAGGUACAUGCUUAUGGUUCCCUAAACAUAAAUAAGUAAAUAAAUAAAUAAAGCUAAAUGCUCAUGCACCAGUUCUUUGGGAAAAUAGGUAGCCCAGUAUUUCUUUUUGAAGAAUACCCAAGCUAGGCCUAUUUGUUUUCUCCGAAUUACUCGGCUGCAAAUCUUUCAAGACGAGGAGGGAUGCAUUCCGGCCUAGCCAAAGAGUAUGGUCAAUGUCUAUUAAAAGUAAUAUCAAAAGGGGUUGAAAAUUCCAAAAAAAUAUAUAGCAAAUGGGAUAUUAGUUUCUUUUUUUGUUUUUGUUCUUCACUGAUAUCUUAUACGUAUUUCAUUGGAUUUAACAUGACAUAGUACUAAUUUAUUUUUAAAUUUGUUUUAGUAUGGCUAUUAAUUUUUGGAUUAAGAAUAUUUCGUUCGCGAGCAAAAAUUUGCGAAUUUUCAAAAUUUCCCACAUAUUUAGUUAAUUUUUUUACCCUGGUACUGACCAGAAAAUGGCCAGCAAUUCUGAAAAUGGAAAACGGGCUGCAAUAAAUUCCAUAUGAAUUAGAAAAUGAGUAAAAAUUAUAAAAAUAAUAGCAAAUGGGCUGUACACGCCAAAGAUUUCGAGGCUGACUUGUUUACGCAAGGCUUUGUCAGUGAACACACGAUUCUAGCCGCAGUGACUGUUGGAUGUCCAUCCAACGGCCGACGUGCUUCUUCAAUCUCCGAUCUUCCUACUCCAGCCGCCUAAACUAGCGCCGGCGGGACUGCCUGCUCUCUCCUCUUGUGGCCCGCUAUGAUGCCGCGCAGGCUUCCCCGGCCCACCCUACUCCCUCCGCUGGCCGGGCCGCACGCAAUCAACUGUCUCCUUAUUAUGCGAAAAAAAUGAUUCCUCCCACUAACAUCUGGGGAGCACCUGUUGGGAGGCUGACCUGUGGGCCUACUAAGUUGACGCGUACGCAGGGCUUGUCAACUUAGUCAACAAACGAUUCUAGCAGCAGUAACCGUUGGAUUUGAAUCGAACGGUCCUGCUGCUUCUUCAAUCGUUGCUCUUCUUGCACCAGCCGCCCAAACCAGCGCCGGGGAGACCGCCUGCUCCUGCCUCCAGUGGCCGGCUAUGCUGCCAUUGAGGCCUCAUCGCCCCCUACUACUCCCACCGCUAGCCAGGCCCUGCGGCGACGGCAGCCUCACACCGCAGCCGAACCAGUGAACCCUUGUACUCCUCUCCAUGUGGGCAUCCACUGCCGCGUCUUCCCCGGCUCCGCGUCGUCCCCAUCCUAGGCCUCGUCGUCGUCCACCGCCUUGGUGCUCUCGGCGCGGCGUGGUCAAUGUGGUCAACGACAUUCCAUCGGAAGAGUACUGUACGUGGAAAGGCUGACAACUGGGUCCAUGGCCACAGCCCAGUUUUUUGUGAUUUGCCAAGUAAGUCGCUUUGUCAGGCCUGUUGGGCUGCAAAUCUUUCAAGACGAGGAGAGCUUUCAUUCGGCUGGCCGAGAAAAUGGCCCAUCAGUAAUGAGAAAUGGGCUGUACAUUUUUAAAACACAUCAAACCUGCAAUUAGUUUGAAAUAUCUUUUUUUCAUUUCGAGAUUUUAAAUUACAUUAAUUUUUAUGCGUGGAGAAUUUGUUGGAUUUAUAUUGAUAUACAUUUAUUUUGAAAAUCAAUUUGAAUGUGAGUCGAAAUUUCAGGAUUAAAAACAGUUCGGACCGCACCGAAAUAUGCAAAAUUUCGUAUAAUUUUUUAACCGUGGCCACAAUAUGGGCUGUACUGCUAACAAAAAGAAUAUAGGCUCCAAAAAACCUUAUGAAUUAGAAAAUGGGCUGUAAAUUAUUAGAAAUAAAGGCAGAUGGGUUGUAUGCUAUUUUCCACAGAUUUGAGGCUUUCCUUAAAAAAAGGUUGACGCACAAGCAGUGACUGUUGGAUGUCCAUCCCACGGCCGUCGUGCUUCUUCAAUCUCUGAUCUUCCUGCUCCAGCCGCUCAAACAAGCGCCGGUGGGACUGCCUGCUCCCUCCUCCCCGCAGCCGGCUGUGCUGCCGCGCAGGCCUCACCGCCCCACCGUACUCCCAUCACUGGCCUAGCCAUCCCUCUACUCACCCACACCUGCUAUUAUUCUCCGGCGACGACAGACGAACCAGUAAACCCUCGCACAGUCGUACUCUCGUCUGCGUGGGAAACAACUGCCGAGUCUUCCCUGCCUCCAUGUCGUUCCCUUCCUAGGCCUCACCGUCGUCCACCGCCCUGGUGCUCUCGGCACGGCGUGGUCAACGUGGUCAAUGACCGACAUGCAUCUGAAGUGGACUGUAUGUGGAGAGGCCAACAGCUGGGUCCACGGCCGCACGCAAGGAAGUGCCUCCUUAUUACGCGCAAAAUAAUGAUUCCUCCACCUGACAUCAGGGACCCACCGAAAGGGCCUCUGUAUUUCGCGAAAAAAGUUACCGCCGCUGACAGCUCGGACCCACACUACUAGGGAAAAGCCUAGCAGCAUUGCGGGUUUUAGGCCUCUCAGUAGCGCGGGGACCGGCGCUACUAAUAAGGCGCUACAGCUAACGUAUAACAGUAGUGCCUGUUGUCCCACGCUACUGCUAUACAUGAAUAGCUGUAGCGAUCUUUAGAAAAGGGCGCUGCUGAUACUAUCUGCAGCGCUGUUUACAAGGAAGCGCUACUGGUAAGGCGGCGCUACUGCUAAAUUUCUCCCCCUUGCUACUACUAGUUUUAUUAGUUUUUUUCCCUACAUAUUUGUUUGGUAUUUGAAUAGGCUUUAUACAAUAAUCUUUAGCAUAUCAUACACAUAUAAAUGUAAUCAUAGCAUAUACAUACAAUUAGUCUCAUCAAAUCAUGUCAUCAUCAUAAUCAUCAUCCAACACAAAGUGGUCUCUCGUCAUCAUCUCGAAAAUAGCGAUACAAGUCUCGAUUACUUGCAAAUACAUCGUCAUCCAUCUAAACAAUGAUAUACGCGAGAAGAGCUAUCACUUUGAGUACGUGAGUUCGUAUCCCUCUCUCGCAUUAGCGUGAACCUAAACUAACUACUUCCUACCGCUCGGAAACCGGAAACGGGUACACCUGGGCCUGACACUCCGGCCACUCGUCGUAUAUAUACUCCUGGCGUAGCACUUCUUCGCCAUCUAUGAUCUAUGCACCUGCAUCGUCACAUGAGUCGAUGAUAUGCAAUAUAUAUAGUUGAGCAACAGAAAGAGACAGACUUGGCAAAAAUAGAAACAACAUAUCAUAAGCAUAAAUAACAAAGUUCAUCGUACCCAAAAUGCCCUAACUAGAGUGAUUUUCCCUAGUCGAGGAGGAGGACGGUUUAAUUACAUCACAAAUAAAGUUUCACCGUGCAUAACUCAAUGUUUUGUCAUACAGAAAGUAUGGACUAAACGGACACAUUGUCAUCGACAAUCACUCCACCAUGUCGUGCCAUCCAUCCAUGUCAGGGAGAUAGUCCUCGAGCUUAGUGAAAGGCUUCAUGUCGAGACGCUGAGAGGCUAUCCAUGUCCGGACGUCUUCCCGCGACAUUUGUCCUUCUCCGUAGAACAUCCCUGUUUUUCCGACGACCUCCUUCAUGAUGAUUUGGGCAAGUUCGCGCUGGAUGUUAUAGAACUCAUCUCGAAGUCGAUGAUCCUCGAUAUCUCCUAUGUCCUUUGCCCAUUGCAGAAUAUGGGCAUCGCCGGAUCUAGGUGACAUGCGAGGGUUCUGGUGAUCCCUUCUGUACUCCAGCAUGUGGUGUAGGACAUAGAAUCCAUCAUUAAGAGAAUCGUUCGGUUGCUGGAUGCAGCAGAAGUCGGUCUUAUGGCUGAAGGCGACCCUGCCGCCCCUUCUCUUCUUGUCCCUGACCUCUCCACCCCUUGCUUGGUAGUAAAACAUAGCACCGUCGAGAACAUCCUUGAUGUGGGUGUAAUCCUUUUUGUGAAUGUUCUUCGACGAGUCCAAGUAAAGAGCAUGGGAGAAUCGGGGCUAGAGGAUGAUAAGGACGGCGCGCGCGCUGCUGCGCAAAAUAAGUACACCUCAAAUUCAUUUGCCUCCACCGUGCAAAUGAAUGAUUGAAAUUGAAGGAAGGAUAGCAGCGCGGAUGACUUACACGAGAAUCACCUCCUUGUCCUUAUUGGCGAGCAUGAAACUGACGAUGUAAUCCCUCGCGUAUUCACCGUGCUUUGCGCAGACUCCCAAGAAGCCCUCGUGCAUGUAGUACGGGUCGGCGACACAGAUAUGAGGUAUCUGCUCAACCCCGAUGAUGUAGUUCAUGUGCAAGGCAUAAAGGCGGACAAACGUAAAAUCCAGCUUCGUCACGUGAAACAUGUCGAAUAUGUAAUCGAAUCGGAGGAAGAACUUAUCUGCGGGGAAGUAGUCGACGUACUACAUUUGCCGCGGAACGUUAACCACGUAGAGUGGGUAUCCUGGAUCUUUUGAGGCGAUGAGGCCUUUCUCUUCCCGCAGCACAUCGUCAUGAAGUCUCCUUAGAUCGCCGAAUCUGGCCCGUAGCGCUGUUGCAGGUAGGAUUGGUUGACCGGGGAUAUGCCAUUUAUCCGCAUCGGAGAUAUCUAUACGGUCCUGAAGCCGAGGCUGCUGAGGCGGCUGGAUCAUAGAAUCAGCUUUUUUGCCUUUCCUCGCUCUCUUCCUAGAGUUCUUUACUACCGGAAGGUCGUCCAUUAUACGUUGAGACGGCAAUUCAGGCACCGACUCAUGACGCUCAAACCCUGAGGAGGCGCCAGUAUAGACAUACUGUUCAGCGCCAUCGUCAUCCUCAUCCUCAUCCAUGGCGACGUCAUCAGCGACUAAUGGAGCCUCCUCCUUACCCCGUCCGCUAUCACCCAACCCGACACCCGACGCUAAUUGGGUAGGUGGGGUGUUGAUGUUCGUACCUUGCUGAGGCUGCCUGCUCGUGGAUGUGCUCCCGGCCGCCUCCAGACGAAGCAGACUCUUUGGCCACAACAGGACCCACCCAUUGCAAUAAUCACCAAGCCGCCGCGGGGUCUCGUCGUCAUCCCCCACUAGUAUUAGAGGAGGCAAAUUCUCGUGGCCCGAUUUGACACUGGCCACGGAAACCUUGAAGACGUUCAGGGGGAUCGGCCGGCUGUGGAACAAUGGUUCCUUCGGCUCCAUUAUCAUCGCCUUCCCCACGUCCACCUUCUGGUCGCCGAUGGUGUACAAUAUGGUGCACGGGAUUUCGUCGGCCUGCAAAGAAAAGUCUGCGACAUGAGACAUCCGAAAGGCAACGGAAACGGGAGAUUAUACAUUUAUAUUGAAGGGGGCCGGUGUGACAGAUACCGUGAGGGCGUCGAGCUCAGCCAAAGACGAAGCACCGCCGAGCACGUCCGGUGCGGGAGUAGGUGCGGGAGCAGGUGCUGGUGCAACGCUAGUCGAGCUACUCCCCAAGAAGUCAGCAAGGGGAAAGUCCUCUGCAUUUUUUUCUGGAUUUUGUCUUGUCCAAGUGAAAAUGGCUGGAACCAAGGAAGUAGACAAAUCUGCAACCAGCUGUUUUGCGGCAGCUACCGCUGUUGCGACUGUCUGAGAUGAUUUCUUCUCAACCGCAAUCUCAACCUUCUUGUCGAUGUUAUCUUCAGUUAACCUCCGUCUUUCCUUUCUCUCCUCCGUGGUCUCACGGUAGUACUUCUUCCACGUGGCACCGUCUCCGACACCGUGCACGCGUCCAUACGACGGUCGGGUAUCCACCGGUUGUCAUUUCAAUAUGUUCAACGCCCGGUUGAAUGGAGUGUCCCACUUCGGCCUCGCCAAUGCCUCAGACGGCGAGUCGCUUUCGACCGCAAUCGUGUGCUGCUCUCUCUGUAAAAGGCACAAGGAUCGUUUACAAAUAUGACUAACGUGUGUAGUUGAAUUGAUCAGAAACUAAAAUUACCAGCAGUCUCAUGAACUCCGUAAUGACCGGUUUUGUCUCGUAAACCUUCUUCACUGGGUUCCAACGGUCCCGGGCCCUGAGGACGUCACGCUCCUGCGGGACGGUGAACUCCGCCAAGGGGUCUGGGAUGCCCAGACUCGCGGCUUCCGCGUCCUCCUUGGCCCAUUUUGACCUCUUUCCGCCGUAACCACGGCUUCUGAGGUGGUGGCUCCCAAUGUUCCUCUCUUGAAGCCCCUUCAUGUACUUAGACUUUUUUUGGCAGCUUUGGCCUCGCAAGCCUACUUGAAUAUUUGAAACUGCUCUUCCGUGAUUGUCGGAUUACCCUUUACAAUCUCAGAGUAGGGUUCCUUCUUAUCGAUGUUCUUUGCUUUCACUCGAUUUUUCCAGGCGGCCAACGCGUCGCUAAACUUGGUCAUGGCGUGUUUGUUUAUCUUCUUCAUUGCUGGGUCCUCAUCUGGUUAUUCAUAAUCCUUCUCAUUCCGGCCCGGGAAUAAGAAUAUCUGGUGAAACUUCUUUAGGAGGGUGCUCCUCAUAUUUUUUAUCUUCUGUAGUUUCUCAUCGUUGAUGGUGGCGGUUGUCCCUACGAUGCAGCCUAUUUGAUUGCCGUAGCACGAGCGCGCCUCCUCGGGCGCCUUUGGCUCAAAAUUGCCGUCAUCCACCUCCGGGACCACCGGUCUAGUAGUCCCGAGUUUGUUAGGAAGCCGUUGCCUCUUUGCUUUCGGUUCUACACCGGCUCCGCUCCCCGAGGCAGCACCGGUCUCGAUGCCGGUCUGAGUCUCAGCACCGGUCUCAGUCUCAGCACCGGUCUGCGUGUCGGUCUUAGUCCCCAAUGCCACCGGUGGGCCCAGCAACAACAUUGGUUGAUCGUCGGCAAGGCUAAAAAAUUCGUCUGCCGCCCGGUAGACGUCGUCGCAAUCACCAGAACCCUGUCCUUCAUCGUUGCUAGCCAUGUUUCCUAUGAUUAAAUCUAGUCAAUUAAUUCUAGACCUAAUAAAAUGAAUAAUGACAUAAAAAGGCCUAUUGUUUUGCAAGAACGUUGACUCCUUCCUGGUGCGGCAAAUCCCGGGCACUCGAUAUGUCCUAGUUUGUAGCACAAGUCAUGCUGAAAUUCACGAAAUAUUUCGGCAUGACCUUUGCUAAAAAGUGGAAAAAUCGAGAAGCGGAAAUUUCCCGGAACAGAAAUGAAUCAACAUUCCGGCAAAACAUAGGCCACUCAGCUUCAUUCCCUGGAAACAACAAAGGCACUUGGGCAAAAUUGAACCACUUCAAUGAAAAGAUAUAACAUGAGCAAACACUAUUGAGGAAUUUGCAUAUAACAUGGCCACUUCAAUAAAAAGAUAUAAUAAAAAAUAAUGGAAUAUGCAAAUGAACAUCAAUCACAUAUAUCAUAUGAAAACAAUCUUGUUGUUUGUUUACAUAGCAACAAUUAGUUUGACCAAGUUUUUGAAAAGAAAAACAAUUAUGUUUUUUGUUUAUAGCUAAAUGCCAUAGCUACUGUUUUUUAUUUAUAGCUAAAUACUUUUGUUUUUUGUCGAAAGCUAAAAGUCUAGGAACUACAUUUUCUCUAACCCUUCUGACCUCACCAAAAUUUUCACUGCAAGACCUUAGUACCUACACCCAAUUUCUUCAAAAAUAUUCAGGUCCAUAGUCCAAAUAAUUCAAAUUUCAUUUGAAUGAAAUUUGGAACAAAUUCAGGUCCGUAGUCCAAAUAUUUUUUUAUAGCUAAGUGUUUUUUGUUUAUAGCCUCUGCUAAUUUAAAUUUAAAUGCUACUAUUAUUUAUAUACCCUCUAUUAGUUUAAAGCUAAAUGGAAUUACUGUUUAGGCAUUUUCAUAAAAAUUUCCCUAGCUAAUUUUCUAAAAAAAAUUGCUAAAUUUUUCCUAAAUGCUAUAAAAUGCCUACUGCCCUAAAAAAUCUAGGGUUCAUAUGAACAUCAACACAGUAUCAACAUAUAUAUGAAUUGCCCUAGCAGAGAGAGAGAGAGGAGGGUAGGGGACAGGAGAGGCAGAGCCUUACGGUCGGCGGCGAGGGCAGGCUCUGGCUCAGUUGGCGGCGGUGAGGUCGAGGGUGGUGGCGGUGAGCUCGAGGAAGGCGACGGUGAGGUCGACGACGGCCUCGGGCGGCGGCUGUGAGGUCGAGGGGGCGGCCUCGGGCGACGGCGGUGUGGUCGAAGGCGGCGGGCGGCGGUGGUGUGGUCGAAGGCGGCCUCGGGCGGUGGCGGUGUGGUCGAAGGCGGCAGGGCGACGGCGGCGAUGGAGCUGUUGGGGGACAGGGGGGAGUAGAGAGGGGGGGAGGACUUAGCGAAAUUUUGAGCCUGCGGGCUGCCGGGAUUGAGUCAAACUAGCAGUAGCGCGUUUUGCCGAAACGCGCUAUAGCUAAGAUAGCUAUAGCGUGUUCCAGAGAAAAGCGCUAUAGCCAUCCCUUUCUGUUUUGUUUUUCUUUUUCUUUUGUUUUCUUUACAUUUUCUUUUUUCAUUUCUCCUUUUUCUAUUUCUUUCAUUUUCAUUUACUUUUCUACUUAUUUUUCUAUUUAUUUUCUUUUUCAUAGCAGUAGCGCUCUACAGCAUAAACGCGCUGCUACAAUGUUUUUAGCAGUAGCGUGCUUCUGGGAGAACCGCUACUACUAUUCCUAGCCUACCGGCAUUAGUGAGGGAAUUUUAGUAGUAGCGCUUUUCCGUGAAGACGCGCUACUGCUAAAACAAUGGUUGUAGCGUGGUUUUGUAACAAGCGCUACUACUAAGUAGCACUAGCGCGGAGUUUUGACCAACGCUACUGCUAUACCUCUGUGUAUAACGUUUUCCCUAGUAGUGCCACCAGCUAUAUCUUCGCACACAAGGAAGGGCCUCCUUAUUACGCACAAAAAAAUGAAUACUCCCCCUGUUAGCUGGGACCCAGUAUAGUGGCAGGCUGACUUGUGGGCCUACUAAGUUGACAGGGAUGGAGGGCUUUGUCAACUUAGUCAAUAUGCACGAUUCUAGCUCUUGUGACCGUACGAUGUCGAUCCAACGGCCGUAGUGCUUCUUCAACCUCUGGUCUUCUUGCUCCAGCCGCCCAAACCAGCGCCGGUCGUGCCUCGUGCUCCUGCCUUCCGUGGUCGGCUGCGAUGCGGCAGAGACCUCACCGCCCCCUACUACUCCCACCGCUGGCCAGGCCAUCCCUCUACUCACCCACACCCCCAGUUAUUCUUCGGCGACGGCAGCCUCACACCGCAGUGAACCAGUGAACCCUCGUACUCCACUACGCGUCGGCAUCCACUGCCGCGUCUUCCCCGGCUCCGCAUCGUCCCCUUCCUAGGCCUUGCCGUCGUCCACCGCCCUGGUGCUCUCGGGGCGGCGUGGUCAACGUGGUCAAGGAACGGCUUCCAUCGGACGUGGACUGUACGUGGAGAGGCUGACAACUGGGUCCACGGCCGCAGCAAGGAAGUGCCUCCUUAUUACGCGGAAAAUAAUGAUUCCUCCACCUGAUAGCUGGGACCCACCGGACGGGCCACUGUAUUUCAUGAAAAAAACAUUUCCCCCUGACUGCUGGGACCCACCAGCUACAUCUUCGCACGCAAGGAAGUGCGUCCAAAAAAACGAUUCGCCCCCUGACUGCUGGGACCCACCAGCUACAUCUUCGCACGCAAGGAAGUGCCUCACAGUCGGGACCCACCUGGUCGAAGCGUGCGUAGCAUUGUCAUUCUGGUCGCGAACGUGUACGUACAUAUAUACUCGUCGAUGUAGAGGCGCGCACGUGUCAUAGUAGAGGCGCGUACGUGUCGUAGUAGAGGCGCGCACGUAGCAUGGACACGUACGUAUAGCGGCCAGUGUGCAAGAAAGAAAAUACGGCCACAUAUGUGUACAUACGGGCGGGGUCUCGAACGCCUACUCACGCAUACGUACGGCCAGGGCUCGUGUACAUGGCUGGGUCGGAACGGAGAAACAGUGUCGUCGUCAUGUUCAUGGGGAGGCAACGGAAUGAGUCGUGUUCAUUGGGAGGCAACGGAACGCGUGGGAGCCAACCGGGUGGGUCGGAACGGAAUGCGUGGUUGUGUUCAUCGGGAGGGCUUGGACGGAACAGGCGAUGGAAACGAGGCCUGGCGUACCGCAGAACGGAGGAAACGGCCUUGUGUUCGACCGGCCACGUUCGAAACGGGAUCCUGUUCAUCGGGAGGGGUCUGGCGUACCGCAAAACGGAGGAAACGGACCUCCUACGGUCGAAACAGGGGUCCUGUUGAUCGGGAGGGGUGUGGCGUACCGCAAAACAAACGAAACGGACUUGUGUUUGAGCGCUACGGUCAAACCGGGGGUCCUGUUGAUCGGGAGGGGUGUGGCGUACCACAAAACGGACGAAACGGACUUGUGUUGGAGUGCUACGGUCGAAACGGGGGUCCUGUUCAUCGGGAGGGGUGUGGCGNNNNNNNNNNNNNNNNNNNNNNNNNNNNNNNNNNNNNNNNNNNNNNNNNNNNNNNNNNNNNNNNNNNNNNNNNNNNNNNNNNNNNNNNNNNNNNNNNNNNNNNNNNNNNNNNNNNNNNNNNNNNNNNNNNNNNNNNNNNNNNNNNNNNNNNNNNNNNNNNNNNNNNNNNNNNNNNNNNNNNNNNNNNNNNNNNNNNNNNNNNNNNNNNNNNNNNNNNNNNNNNNNNNNNNNNNNNNNNNNNNNNNNNNNNNNNNNNNNNNNNNNNNNNNNNNNNNNNNNNNNNNNNNNNNNNNNNNNNNNNNNNNNNNNNNNNNNNNNNNNNNNNNNNNNNNNNNNNNNNNNNNNNNNNNNNNNNNNNNNNNNNNNNNNNNNNNNNNNNNNNNNNNNNNNNNNNNNNNNNNNNNNNNNNNNNNNNNNNNNNNNGUUCAUCCAGUCGACUGGCUUCAAUUAGCAGCAGUAGCGAGGGAAUCGCUCGAUCGGGUUCAGUUAACAGCCAUCCAUCGAUCGCUCGGGUUCAAUAACGCGUAGCCUGCAGUGCAAUCGCUCGGGUUCAGUUAGAGCCCAACGCCUCGCUCGGGUUCAGUUAGAGCCAACGCCUCGCACACACGCGCGUAUGUGUACGAGAGCAACGCGCAUCGCUCGGCCCCCGACCUCCCACCGUAACCGGGAACUCCCCGAAUUUUCCUCGCCCUCGCUUCUACCACGGUUUUUCCGUCAUCGACGGCCCAAAGAAUGUCAUGCAGCUGCGUCUCCGACCCGCCCAGGACGAAAAGCCCAUUUUCUAUCAUGAUUUUUUAUCAUAGAAGUAGGAGCCCACCACAUCUAUGAUGAUACCGGGUUUUGUCAAAAUUAUCGUCAUAGAAGUGUCAUAUGUAUGACAGAAAAAAAUUCAUUCGGCCCAAAAUGUCACGGAUGUGUCUUUUUUUUGUAGUGACCAUGUGUGCCGCUUGGCCUCGAAUCUCCAUGUAAUAUCAGACCUUUGUACCACGCUAGUAUCAAUAAAGCAGUUAUUUCUGUACCAUGUUGUUGUGUAUUGCCAGAAGACUCGAGCUCUGGGCUGGCAAUGCAGGGUAAACCGGUUGCUCGGAGCCGGGGUGCCACAACGGACUGUUGGACUAUGAAGAUACAAGAUAGAAGACUUCGUCCCGUGUCCGGAUGGGACUCUCCUUUGCGUGGAAGGCAAGCUUGGUGAUUCAGAUAUGUAGAUUUCCUUCUCUGCAACCGACUCUGUGUAACCCUAGCCCCCUCCGGUGUCUAUAUAAACCGGAGGGUUUAGUCUGUAGGACAAGAAGAACAAUCAUAAUCAUAGGCUAGCCUCUAGGGUUAGCCUCCUCGAUCUCGUGGUAGAUCAACUCUUGUAAUACUCCUAUCAUCAAGAUCAAUCAAGCAGGAAGUAGGGCAUUACCACCAUAGAGAGGGCCCGAACCUGGGUAAACAUCGUGUCCCCCGCCUCCUAUUACCACUAGACUUAGACGCACAGUUCAGGACCCCCUACCCGAGAUCCGCCGGUUUUGACACUGACAGUCACCAAAUUUGCGUUGGACGGCUCCUCGUUUGACCGAACGGUACAUGUGAUUCUCCCGCUGCAGACGAGCGUUGCCUAAUUCCAAUUUCGAGCCCUAUCAUGUUAAGUUUCUUAAUCUUCAUCACUAAGUUUCUUUCUUAUUUUUGCGCCCUUCAGCAUUUCCACAUGGUUAUUAAACCAACACCUCAUGAUAAGAGACCAUUGUUUAUAUUUCAGGUCCUUGCAAAAUCUCUCAACAAACAUGAGAGGAAUUCUUACCUCACGAAAAAAUCCAAUCCCAGCACUUCCCUAUUAUAAUAUAUUAGACCAUUUAUUAGAGAUAGAUACACGAUAGAAGAACAUAUCUGAUUCGCCUAUGACAAGGCACUAAGUGCAAUUUUCUCAAGAUAAGGCAAAAUCUCUCAACGACUGCCUGCGGAGACGGAUGGUGAUCAAAUAACCGUUGAUAUUUGCAGCAUAAGGAUGUGUAGCUCAUUAAAACGAGGCACUAGGUGGAAUAUAUAUAGGUGUGUGUAACCAGUGAGGAUCGGAAACCUACUAUUUUUGAGCCAUAUGGAGUUAAGUUUCGCAUAUUUACCCCUAAGUUUCUUUCCCGUGAGCUCUACGGAAGGGUGACGAAAUAUUCGUUCGCUGACUCUAUCGUGUUAAGUUUCUCAAUCUUAGUCACUAAGUUUUUGUCUGAUUUUUGCGCCUAGGCAGGCUGCUCAUUUAAAUGAGGCACUAGGUGGAACAUAUAUAGGUGUUCAGUGUGCAUCACCGGCGAGCGUUGUAAACCUCCUUUUUCAGGGCCAUAUGGAGUUAAGUUUCUCAUACUUAGCGUUAAGUUUCUUUCUCGUGAGCUCUACAGAAGGGUCACCAAAUUUGCGUUGGACGACUCCUCGUUCAACCUAAGGGUACACAUGAUUCUCCCGCGGCAAACGAGCGUUGCCUAAUUCCAUUUUCGAGCCCUAUCAUGUUAAGUUUCUUAAUCUUCUUCACUAAGUUUCUUUCUGAUUUUUGCGCCCUUCAACAUUUCCACAUGGUUAUUAAACCAACACCUCAUGAUAAGAGACCAUUGUUUAUAUUUCAGGUCCUUGCAAAAUCUCUCUACAAACAUGAGAGGAAUUCUUACCUCACGAAAAAAUCCAAUCCCAGCACUUCCCUUUCAUAAUAUAUUAGACCAUUUAUUAGACAUAGAUACACGAUAGAAGAACAUAGCUGAUUCGCCUAUGACAAGGCACUAGGUGCAGUUUUCUCAAGACAAGACAAAAUCUCUCAACCAGUGCCAGCGAAGAUGGAUGGUGAUCGAAUGGUGAUUGAUAUUUGCAUCAUAUGGAUGUGUAGCUCAUUAAAACAAGGCAUUAGGUGGAAUAUAUAUAGGUGUGCAUAACCGUUGAGCGUCGGAAACCUCCUCUUUUUGAGCCAUAUGGAGUUAAGUUUCUCAUAUUUACCCCUAAGUUUCUUUCCCGUGAGCUCUAUGGAAGGGUGACCAAAUAUGUGUUCGCCGACUCUAUCAUGUUAAGUUUCUGAAUCUUCUUCACUAAGUUUCUUUCUGAUUUUUUCGCCUAUACAAGCUGCUCAUUUAAAUGAGGCACUAGGUGGAAUAUAUAUAUAGGUGUUCGGUGUGCGUCCCCGGUGAGCGUUGCAAACCUCCUUUUUCUGAGCCAUAUGGAGUUAAAUUUCUCAUAUUUAGCCUUAAGUUUCUUUCCCGUGAGCUCUACGGAAGGGUAAUGAAUUAUGCGUUCGACGUCUCCUCGUUUGAUCGAACGGAACACGUGAUUCUCCCGCGGCAGACGAGCGUUGUCUAAUUCCAACUUCGAGCCCUAUAAUGUUAAGUUUAUCAAUCUUCUUCACUAAGUUUCAUUAUGAUUUUUGCGCCUUCCUUCAGCAUUUCCACAUGGUUAUUAAACCAACACCUCAUGAUAAGAGACCAUUAUGUAUAUUUCAGGUCGGUACUCACCGUUGCAAAAUCUCACAACAAAAAUGACCAUUGAUAUUUGCAACAUAUGGAUGCAUAGCUCAUUAAAACGAGGCACUAGGUGGAAUAUAUAUAGGUGUGCGUAACCGGUGAACGUCGAAAACCUCUUCCUUUUGAGCCAUAUGGAGUUAAGUUUAUCAUAUUUACCCUAAGUUUCUUUCCAGUGAGCUCUAUGGAAGGGUGACCAAAUAUGUGUUCGCCGACUCUAUCAUGUUAAGUUUGUCAAUCUUCUUCACUAAGUUUCUUUUUGAUUUUUGCGCCUAGAUAGGCUGCUGAUUUAAAUGAGGCACUAGGUGGAAUAUAUGUAGGUGUUCGGUGUGCGUCACCGGCGAGCGUUGUAAACCUCCUUUUUCGGAGCCAUAUGGAGUUAAAUUUCUCAUAUUUAGCAUUAAGUUUGUUUCCCAUGAGCUCUACGGAAGGUUCACCAAUUAUGCGUUUGACGUCUCCUCGUUCGAUCGAACGGUACACGUGAUUCUCCCGCGGCAGACGAGCGUUGCCUAAUUCCAAUUUCGAGCCAUAUCAUGUUAAGUUUAUCAAUCUUCUUCACUAAGUUUUUUCUGAUUUUUGCGCCUUCCUUCAGCAUUUCCACAUGGUUAUUAAACCAACACAUCAUGACAAGAGACCAUUAUGUAUAUUUCAGGUAGGUACUCGUCGUUGCAAAAUCUUUCAACAAAAAUGACCACUGAUAUUUGCAACAUAUGGAUGCGUAGCUCAUUAAAACGAGGCACUAGGUGGAAUAUACAAAGGUUUGCGUAACUGGUGAGUGUCGAAAACCUCCGCUUUUUGAGCCAUAUGGAGUUAAGGUUCUCAUAUUUACCCCUAAGUUUCUUUCCCAUGAGCUCUACGAAAGGGUUACCAAAUUUUUGUUGGACGAUUCCUCGCUCGACUGAAUGGUACACGUGAUUCUCCCGCUGCAGAUGAGCGUUGCCUAAUUCCAAUUUCGAGCCCUAUCAUGUUAAGUUUCUUAAUCUUCUUCACUAAGUUUCUUUCUGAUUUUUGCGCCCUUCAGCAUUUCCACAUGGUUAUUAAACCAACACCUCAUGAUAAGAGACCAUUGUUUAUAUUUCAGGUCCUUGCAAAAUCUCUCAACAAACAUGAGAGGAAUUCUUACCUCACGAAAAAAUCCAAUCCCAGCACUUCCCUAUCAUAAUAUAUUAGACCAUUUAUUAGACAUAGAUACACGAUAGAAGAACAUAUCUGAUUCGCCUAUGACAAGGCACUAAGUGCAAUUUUCUCAAGAUAAGGCAAAAUCUCUCAACGAGUGCCUGCGGAGACGGAUGGUGAUCAAAUAACCGUUGAUAUUUGCAGCAUAUGGAUGUGUAGCUCAUUAAAACGAGGCACUAGGUGGAAUAUAUAUAGGUGUGUGUAACCAGUGAGCAUCGGAAACCUACUAUUUUUGAGCCAUAUGGAGUUAAGUUUCUCAUAUUUACCCCUAAGUUUCUUUCCCGUGAGCUCUACGGAAGGGUGACGAAAUAUUCGUUCGCUGACUCUAUCGUGUUAAGUUUCUCAAUCUUAGUCACCAAGUUUUUGUCUGAUUUUUGCGCCUAGGCAGGCUGCUCAUUUAAAUGAGGCACUAGGUGGAACAUAUAUAGGUGUUCGGUGUGCAUCACCGGCGAGCGUUGUAAACCUCCUUUUUCAGGGCCAUAUGGAGUUAAGUUUCUCAUACUUAGUGUUAAGUUUCUUUCUCGUGAGCUCUACAGAAGGGUCACCAAAUUUGCGUUGGACGACUCCUCGUUCAACCGAAGGGUACACAUGAUUCUCCCGCAGCAAACGAGCGUUGCCUAAUUCCAUUUUCGAGCCCUAUCAUGUUAAGUUUCUUAAUCUUCUUCACUAAGUUUCUUUCUGAUUUUUGCGCCCUUCAACAUUUCCACAUGGUUAUUAAACCAACACCUCAUGAUAAGAGACCAUUGUUUACAUUUCAGGUCCUUGCGAAAUCUCUCUACAACCCUGAGAGGAAUUCUUACCUCAGGAAAAAAAUCCAAUCCCAGCACUUCCCUUUCAUAAUAUAUUUGACCAUUUAUUAGACAUAUAUACACGAUGGAAGAACAUAUCUGAUUCGCCUAUGAGAAGGCACUAGGUGCAAUUUUCGCAAGAAAAGAAAAAAUCUCUCAACCAGUGCCAGCGGAGACGGAUGGUGAUCAAAUGGCGAUUGAUAUUUCCAGCAUAUGGAUGUGUAGCUCAUUAAAACGAGGCAUUAGGUGGAAUAUAUAUAGGUGUGCGUAACCGCUGAGCGUCGGAAACCUCCUCUUUUUGAGCCAUAUGGAGUUAAGAUUCUCAUAUUUUCCCCUAAGUUUCUUUCCGGUGAGCUCUACGGAAGUGUGACCAAAUAUGUGUUCGCCGACUCUAUCAUGUUAAGUUUCUCAAUCUUCUUCACUAAGUUUCUUUCUGAUUUUUGCGCCUAGACAGGCUGCUCAUGGAAAUGAGGCACUAGGGGGAAAAUAUAUAGGUGUUUGGUCUGCGUCCCCGACGAGCAUUGUAAACCUCUUUUUUCUAAGCCAUAUGGAGUUAAGUUUCUUAUAUUUAGCCUUAAGUUUCUUUCCCGUGUGCUCUACGGAAGGGUCACCAAUUAUGCGUUCGACGUGUCCUCGUUCGAUCGAACGGUACACGUGAUUCUCCCGCGGCAAACGAGCGUUGCCUAAUUCCAAUUUUGAGCCCUAUCAUGUUAUAUUUCUUAAUCUUCUUCACUAAGUUUCUUUCUGAUUUUUGCGCCUUCCUUCAGCAUUUCCACAUUGUUAUUAAACAAACACCUCAUGAUAAGUGACCAUUGUGUAUAUUUCAGGUCAGUACUCGUCGUUGCAAAAUCUCUCAACAAAAAUGACCAUUGAUAUUUGCAACAUAUGGAUGCAUAGCUCAUGAAAACAAGGCACUAGGUGGAAUAUAUAUAGGUGUGCGUAACCGGUGAGCGUCGGAAACCUCCUCUUUUUGAGCCAUAUGGAGUUAAGUUUCUCAUAUUUACCCCUAAGUUUCUUUCCCGCGAGCUCUGCGGAAGGGUGACCAAAUAUGUGUUUGCCGACUGUAUCAUGUUAAGUUUCUCAAUCUUCUUCACUAAUUUUCUUUCUGAUUUUUGCGCCUAGACAGGCUGCUCAUUUAAAUGAGGCACUAGGUGGAAUAUCUAUAGGUGUUCGGUGUGCGUCCCCGGCGAGCGUUGUAAACCUCCUUUUUCUGAUCCAUAUGGAGUUAUGUUUCUCAUAUUAGCCUUAAGUUUCUUUCCCGUGAGCUCUAGCGAAGGGUCACCUGUUAUCCCUUCGAUGUCUCCAUGUUUGAUCGAACGGUACACGUGAUUCUCCUGCGGCAGACGAGCGUUGUCUAAUUCCAAUUUCAUGCCCUACCAUGUUAAGUUUAUCAAUCUUCUUCACAAAGGUUCUUUCUAAUUUUUGCGCCUUCCUUCAGCAUUUCCACAUGGUUAUUAAACCAACACCUCAUGAUAAGAGACCAUUAUGUAUAUUUCAGGUCGGUACUCAUCGUUGCAAAAUCUCUCAACAAAAAUGACCGUUGAUAGAUGCAACAUAUGGAUGCGUAGCUCUUUAAAACGAGGCACUAGGUGGAAUAUAUAUAGGUGUGGGUAACCGGUGAGCAUCGGAAACCUCCUCUUUUUGAGCCAUAUGGAGUUAAUUUUCUCAUAUUUACCCCUAAGUUUCUUUCCUGUGAGCUCUACGGAAGGGUGACCAAAUAUGUGUUCGCCGACUCUAUCAUGUUAAGUUUCUCAAUCUUCUUCACUACGUUUCUUUCUGAUUUUUCUGCCUAGACCAGCUGCUCAUUUAAAUGAGGCACUAGGUGGAAUAUAUAGGUGUCUGGUGUGCGUCACUGGCGAGCGUUGUAAACCUCCUUUUUUGAGCCAUAUGGAGUUAAGUUUCUCAUAUUUAGCCUUAAGUUUCUUUCCCGUGAGCUCUACGAAAGGGUCACCAAUUAUGCGUUCGACGUCUCCUCGUUUGAUCAAACGGUACACAUGUUUCUUCCGCGGCAGACGAGCAUUAUCUAAUUCCAAUUUGGAGCCCUAUCAUGUUAAGUUUAUCAAUCUUCUACACCAAGUUUCUUUUUGAUUUUUGGGCCAUCCUUCAGCAAUUCCACAUGGUUAUUAAACCAACACCUCAUGAUAAGAGACCAUUAUGUAUAUUUCAGGUCGGUACUCGUUUUUGCAAAAUCUCUCUAAAAAUGACCAUUGAUAUUUGCAACAUAUGGAUGCGUAACCGGUGAGCGUCGGAAACCUCCUAUUUUUGAGCCAUAUGGAGGUAAGUUUCUCAUAUUUACCCCGAAGUUUCUUUUCCGUGAGCUCUACGGAAGGGUGACCAAAUAUGUGUUCGCCGACUCUAUCAUGUUAAGUUUGUCAAUCUUCUUCACUAAGUUUCUUUCUGAUUUUUCCGCCUAGACAGGCUGCUCAUUUAAAUGAGGCACUAGGUGGAAUAUAUAUAGGUGUUCGGUGUGCGUCACCGGCGAGCGUUGUAAACCUCCUUUUUCUGAGCCAUAUGGAGUUAAGUUUCUCAUAUUUAGCCUUAAAAUUCUUUCCCGUGAGCUCUACGGAAGGGUCACCAAUUAUGUGUUCGACGUCUCCUCGUUCGAUCGAACGGAACACGUGAUUCUCCCGCGGUAGACGACCGUUGCCUAAUUCCAAUUUCGAGCCCUAUCAUGUUAAGUAUAUCAAUCUUCUUCACUAAGUUUCUUUCUGAUUUUUGUGCCUUCCUUCAGCAUUUCCACAUGGUUAUUAAACCAACAACUCAUGAUAAGAGACCAUUGUGUAUAUUUCAGGUCAGUACUCGUCGUUCCAAAAUCUCUCAAAAAAAUGACCAUUGAUAUUUGCAACAUAUUGAUGCGUAGCUCAUUAAAACGAGGCACUAGGUGGAAUAUAUAUAGGUGUGCGUAACCGGUGAGCGUCGGAAACCUCCUCUUUUUGAGCCAUAUGGAGUUAAGUUUCUCAUAUUUACCCCUAAGUUUCUUUCCUAUGAGCUCUACGGAAAGGUGACCAAAUAUGUGUUCGCGGACUCUAUCAUGUUAAGUUUCUCAAUCUUCUUCACUAAGUUUAUUUCUGAGUUUUGCGCCUAGACCGGCUGCUGAUUUAAAUGAGGCACUAGGUGGAAUAUAUAUAGGUGUUCGGUGUGCGUCACUGGUGAGCGUUGUAAACCUCCUUUUACUGAGCCAUAUGGAGUUAAGUUUCUCAUAUUUAGCCUUAAGUUUCUUUUUAGUGAGCUCUACGGAAGGGUCACCAAUUAUGCAUUCGACGUCUCCUCGUUCGAUCGAACGGUACACGUGCUUCUCCCGCGGCAGACGAGUGUUGCCUAAUUCCAAUUUCGAUCCCUAUCAUGUUAAGUUUAUCAAUCUUCUUCACUAAGUUUCUUUCUGAUUUUUGCACCUUCCUUCAGCAUUUCCACGUGGUUGUUAAAUCAACACCUCAUGAUAAGAGACCAUUAUGUAUAUUUCAGGUCGGUACUCGUCGUUGCAAAAUCUCUCAACAAAAAAGAACAUUGAUAUUUGCAACAUAUGGCUGCGUAGCUCAUUAAAACGAGGCACUAGGUGGAAUAUAUAUAGGUUUGCGUCACCGGUGAGCGUCGGAAACCUCCUCUUUUUGAGCCAUAUGGAGUUAAGUUUCUCAUAUUCACCCCUAAGUUUCUUUCCCGUGAGCUCUACGGAAGGGUCACCAAAUUUGCGUUGGAUGACUCCUCGUUCGACCGAACGGUACACGUGAUUCUCCCGCGGCAGACGAGCGUUGCCUAAUUCCAAUUUCUAGCCCUAUCAUGUUAAGUUUCUUAAUCUUCUUCACUAAGUUUCUUUCCGAUUUUUGCGCCCUUCAGCAUUACCACAUGGUUAUUAAACCAACACCUCAUGAUACGAGACCAUUGUUUAUAUUUCAGGUCCUUGCAUAAUCUCUCAAAAAAACAUGAGAGGAAUUCUUACCUCACGAAAAAAUCCAAUCCCAGAACUUCCCUUUCAUAAUAUAUUAGACCAUUUAUUAGACAUAGAUACACGAUAGAAGAACAUAUCUGAUUCACCUAUGAUAAGGCACUAGGUGCAAUUUUCUCAAGACAAGGUAAAAUCUCUCAACCAGUGCCAGCGGAGACGGAUGGUGAUCAAAUGACCAUUGAUAUUUGCAGCAUAUGGAUGCGUAGCUCAUUAAAACGAGGCACUGGGUGGAAUAUAUAUAGGUGUGCGUAACCGGUGAGCGUCGAAAACCUCCUCUUUUUCAGCCAUAUGGAGUUAAGUUUCUCAUAUUUAGCCUUAAGUUUCUUUAUCGUGAGCUCUACGGAAGGGUCACCAAUUAUGCGUUCGACGUUUCCUCGUUCUAUCAAAUGGUACACGUGAUUCUCCCGCGGCAGGCGAGCGUUGCCUAAUUCCAAUUUUGAGCCCUAUCAUGUUAAGUUUCUCAAUCUUCUUCACUAAGUUUCUUUCUGAUUUUUGUGCUUUCCUACAGCAUUUCGACAUGGUUAUUAAACCAACACCUCAUUAUAAGAGACCAUUAUGUAUAUUUCAGGUCGGUACUCGUCGUUGCAAAAUCUCUCAACAAAAAUGACCAUUGAUAUUUGCAACAUAUGGAUGCGUAGCUCAUUAAAACGAGGCACUAGGUGGAAUAUAUAUUGGUUUGCGUAACCGGUGAGCGUCCGAAACCUCCUCUUUUUGAGCCAUAUGGAGUUAAGUUUCUCAUAUUCACCCCUAAGUUUCUUUCCCAUGAGCUCUACGGAAGGGUCUCCAAAUUUGCGUUGGACGACUCCUCGUUCGAUCGAACGGUACACAUGAUUCUCCCGUGGCAUAAGAGCGUUGCCUAAUUCCAAUUUCGAUCCCUAUCAUGUUAAGUUUCUUAAUCUUCUUCACUAAGUUUCUUUCAGAUUUUUGCGCCCUUCAGCAUUUCCACAUGGUUAGUAAACCAACACCUCAUUAUACGAGACCAUUGUUUAUAUUUCAGGUCCAUGCAAAAUCUCUCAAUAAACAUGAGAGGAAUUCUUACCUCACGAAAAAACCCGAUCCCAGCACUUCCCUUUCAUAAUAUAUUAGACCAUUUCUUAGACAUAGAUACACGAUAGAACAUAUCUGAUUCGCCUAUGACAAGGCACUAGGUGCAAUUUUCUAAAGACAAGUCAACAUCUCUCAACAAGUGACAGCGGAGACAGAUGGUGAUCAAAUGACCAUUGAUAUUUGCAGCAUAUGGAUGCGUAGCUCAUUAAAACGAGGCACUAGGUGGAAUAUAUAUAGGUGUGCUUAACCGGUGAGCGUCGAAAACCUCCUCUUUUUGAGCAAUAUGGAGUUAAGUUUAUCAAUCUUCUUCACUAAGUUUCUUUCCCGUGAGCUCUACGGAAGGGUGACCAAAUAUGUGUUCGCCGACUCUAUCAUCUUAAGUUUCACAAUCUUCCUCACUAAGUUUCUUUCUGAUUUUUGCGCCUAGACAGGCUGCUCAUUUAAAUGAGGCACUAGGUGGAAUACAUAUAUGUGUUCGGUGUGUGUACCCGGCGAGCGUUGUAAACCUCCUUUUUCUGAGCCAUAUGGAGUUACGUUUCUCAUAUUUAGCCUUAAGUUUCUUUCCCGUGAGCUCUACGGAAGGGUCACCAAUUAUGUUUUUGACGUCUCCUCAUUUGAUCGAACGGUACACGUGAUUCUCCCGCGGCAGACGAGCAUUGUCUAAUUCAAACUUCGAGCCCUAUCAUGUUAAGUUUAUCAAUCUUCUUCACUAAGGUUCUUUCUGAUUUUUGCGCCUUCCUUCAGCAUUUCCACAUGGUUAUUAAACCAACACCUCAUGAUAAGAGACCAUUAUGUAUAUUUCGGAUCGGUACUCGUCGUUAUAAAAUCUCCCAACAAAAAUGACCAUUCAUAUUGGCAACAUAUGGAUGCGUAGCUCAUUAAAACAAGGCAAUAGGUGGAAUAUAUAUAGGUGUGCGUAAACGGUGAGCGUCGGAAACCUCCUCUUUUUGAGCCAUAUGGAGUUAAGUUUCUCGUAUUUAGCCCUAAGUUUCUUUCUCGUGAGCUCUACGGAAGGGUGACGAAAUAUGCGUUCGCGGACUCUAUCGUGUUAAGUUUCUGUCUGAUUUUUGCGCCUAGGCAGGCUGCUCAUUUAAAUGAGGCACUAGGUGGAAUAUAUAUAGGUGUUCGGUGUGCAUCCCCGGCGAGCGUUGUAAACCUCCGUUUUCUGAGCCAUAUGGAGUUAAGUUUCUCAUAUUUAGCCUUAAGUUUCUUUUCCGUGAGCUCUAUGGAAGGGUCACUAAAUUUGCGUUGGAUGACUCCUCGUUCGACCGAAUGGUACACGUGAUUCUCCCGGGGCAGACGAGCAUUGCCUAAUUCCAAUUUCGAGCCCUAUCAUGUUAAGUUUCUUAAUCUUCUUCACUAAGUUUCUUUCGAUUUUUUGCACCCUUCAGCAUUUCCAGAUGGUUAUUAAACCAACACCUCAUGAUAAGAGGUCACUGUUUAUAUUUUUGGUCCUUGCGAAAUCUCUCAACAAACAUGAGCGGAAUUCUUACCUCACGAAAAAAUCCAAUCCCAGCACUUCCCUUUCAUAAUAUAUUAGACCAUUUAUGAUACAUAGAUACACGAUAGAAGAACAUAUAUGAUUCACCUAUGACAAGGCACUAGGCGCAAUUUUCUCAAGAUAAGGAAAAAUCUCUCAACUAGUGCCAGCGGAGACGGAUGGUGAUCAAAUGACCAUUAAUAUUUGCAGCAUAUGGAUGCGUAGCUCGUUAAAACGAGGCACUUGGUGGAAUAUAUAUAGGUGUGCGUAACCGGUGAGCGUCGGAAACCUCCUCUUUUUGAGCCAUAUGGAGUUAAUUUUCUCAUAUUUACCCCUAAGUUUCUUUCCUGUGAGCUCUACGGAAGGGUGACCAAAUAUGUGUUCACCGACUCUAUCAUGUUAAGUUUCUCAAUCUUCUUCACUAAGUUUCUUUCUGAUUUUUGCGCCUAGACAGGCUGCUCAUUUAAAUGAGGCACUAGUUGGAAUAUAUAUAUGUGUUCGGUGUGUGUCCCCGGCGAGCGUUGUAAACCUCCUUUUUCUGAGCCAUAUGGAGUUAAGUUUCUCAUAUUUAGACUUAUGUUUCUUUCCCGUGAGCUCUACGGAAGGGUCACGAAUUAUGCGUUCGACGUCUCCUCGUUUGAUCGGACGGUACACGUGAUUCUCCCGCGGCAGACGAGCGUUGUCUAAUUCCAAUUUCGAGCCCUAUCUUGUUAAGUCUAUCAAUCUUCUUCACUAAGUUUCUUUCUGAUUUUUGCGCCUUCCUUCAGCAUUUCCACAUGGUUAUUAAACUAACACCUCAUGAUAAGAGACCAUUAUGUACAUUUCAGGUCGGUACUCGUCGUUGCAAAAUCUCUCAACAAAAAUGACCAUUGAUAUUUGCAACAUAUGGAUGCGUGGCUCAUUAAAGCGAGGCAGUAGGUGGAAUAUAUAUAGGUGUGGGUAACCGGUGAGCGUCGGAAACCUGCUCUUUUUGAGCCAUAUGGAGUUAAGUUUCUCAUAUUUACCCCUAAGUUUCUUUCCCGUGAGCUCUACGGAAGGGUGACGAAAUAUGCGUUCGCCGACUCUAUCAUGUUAAGUUUCUCAAUCUUACUGACUAAGUUUCUGUCUAAUUUUUGCGCCUAGGCAGGCUGCUCAUUUAAAUGAGGCACUAGGUGGAAUAUAUAUAGGUGUUCGGUGUGCAUCUCCGGCGAGCGUUGUAAACCUCCUUUUUCUGAGCCAUAUGGAGUUAAGUUUCUCAUAUUUAGCCUUAAGUUUCUUUUCCGUGAGCUCUACGGAAGGGUCACCAAAUAUGCGUUGGGUGACUCUCAUUCGACCGAACGGUACACCAGAUUCUCCCGCGGCAGACGAGCGUUGCCUAAUUCCAAUUUCGAGCCCUAUCAUCUUAAGUUUCUUAAUCUUCUUCACUAAGUUUCUUUCUUUUUUUUUGCGCCCUUCAGCAUUUCCACAUGGUUAUUAAACCAACACCUCAUGUUAAGAGACCAUUGUUUAUAUUUCAGGUCCUUGCAAAAUCUCUCAACAAACAUGAGCAGAAUUCUUACCUCACGAAAAAAAUCCAAUCCCAGCACUUCUCUUUCAUAAUAUAUUAGACCAUUUGUUAGACAUAGAUACACGAUAGAAGAACAUAUCUGAUUCUCCUAUGACAAGGCACUAGGUGCAAUUUUCUCAAGACAAGUCAAAAUCUCUCAAGCAGUGCCAGCCGAGACGGAUGGUGAUCAAAUGGCCAUUGAUAUUUGCAACAUAUGGAUGCGUAGCUCAUUAAAACGAGGCACUAGGUGGAAUAUAUAUAGGUGUGCGUAACAGGUGAGCGUCGGAAACCUCCUCUUUUUGGGCGAUAUUGAGUUAAGUUUCUCAUAUUUACCCCUAAGUUUCUUUCCCGUGAGCUCUACGGAAGGGUGACCAAAUAUGUGUUCGCCGACUCUAUCAUGUUAAGUUUCUCAAUCUUCUUCACUAAGUUUCUUUCUAAUUUUUGCACCUAGACAGGUUGCUCAUUUAAAUGAGGCACUAGGUGGAAUAUAUAUGUGUGUUCGGUGUGUGUCCCCGGUGAGCGUUGUAAACCUCCUUUUUCUGAGCCAUAUGGACUCUACUAGGGAAAACCCUAGUAGUAGCACGAGUUUUGAGGCUAGCAGCAGCGCGGGUGGCCGUGCUACUAAUAAGGCACUACAGCUAACUUAUAGUAGUAGCGCGGUCCGUACCCGCGCUACUACUGUUGACGAUAUCAGCAGCGCUUUUGCCGAACGCGCUACUAUUAGUUAGCUGUAGCGAUUUCGCAGUCCCUCGCUACUACUAUAUCUUUCAUCAUUUUCCCCAGUACCCCUUUCCCUUUCAGAUACUAGAUACUAGGUACUACUACUAGAUAUCAAACUGAUAAACCAUUAUAAGUACUGGGUAGUACUCCCUUCGUUCCAAAUUACUCGUCGUGGUUUUAGUUCAAACAACGACGAGUAAUUUGGAAUGAAGGGAGUACUAGAUAACAAUUUCAUGCAUAGUCAACAUGCAUCCUCAAGCAUUACAAGGUCAUAUCGACGGCGAUCAUCAUAUGUAGUUCUAGAUGAUAUCGACGACGAUCAUCAUAUGUAGUUCUAGAUGAUAUCGACGACGAUCAUCAUAUGUAGUUCUAGAUGAUAUAGCCACACACACACAUAUGUAGUUCUCGGUGAUAUCGAAGACAAUCAUCAUCCUCAAGCCUGGGUGGUUGGUGUUCCUGAUAGUAAUUAGGAUGGCUUGUCCAACACGAAGAUUCUUUCCAUCGAGGAAUUUCUUCCACCCAACCGAGUUUAAGUGUGUGCGACCGUCUAUGUCCACGCGGUAAGUAUAGGUUGUGACGGAGCCCCUUGCAGUAUGGCAUAGUCCAGCUGAGCCUUAUUCAUCAGGCUCGAUACCAUAACUCACAGAUAUGCUCUUUGCCAAUUUCUGAAUAAGAAAAACAUAUUAGUUAAUAAAUAGCCUCGCAAAUAAGUACAUAUGGAUUAUCUACACUAUUAAUAGUUCCUUAGAUUCUACACUAAUAAGCAUGUGAUCAAACUCUACACUAAAUUAUAUCAUCGACUAGAUUCCACACAACAUACCAUAUCGUUGGACAGUACACUAAGUAUUUCAUCGGAUAAUUUGCAUUUGUAAGUAUAACAUACCAUAUCAUGUCGAUCAACCAUGGUAUUUGUCAGGCGGGUCAUGAAUGGCACCCUGACAAAGUCAGCACGUGGCGGAAUUAUGUCCCACAGGUUGGACACCUCCUCCUCGCUCAGCCUUGUUCUUUGAGCUGCGAUGGCUUCAUGAAGUGGGUCCUCAUCAUCUUCAUCGAGUGGGUCCUCAUUAUCUUCAUCAUCUUCAUCAUCUUCAUCAUCUUCAUCAUCUUCGUCAUCUUCAUCAUCUUCCACCAGAGAUAAAUGACAGCCAGCUUGGGUCUUUCUACUCUGAAGGAGAAGCUGAUCAACUCACCACCAGUAAGACGCAUGCGGGCGACGAAACGGGCCCAUCCAUCUCCUCCAAUCUGCGACAUAUUGUGUCCUUUCUCGACCUCCAUAGUGUACGGCCCCCCCAGGAGCCUCAAAUGUCACAGUGUCUCCUGUCACCUUGUUGAAUUUCAACCUCACAUUGCAUGGGAUGAUCUGUGUAAAAUAAGCAAAAUGACACAAUGAAGUAAUGCCAACACUAAAAAUAAAAUAGUUAUUACAUUUCAUCUAAUUUCUUACCACCGCAUGACAAAAACUCGGCUGGAAGUAGAUGCCGAACAGCUUGCCAGUUGCAAGGCUGCUGGCGCACCUUGACUUGCACAGUUGACAUAGUGGGGGUGGUGGUGGCGCCAUUUUUCCUAAAGCAAUAUGAGGAAAGGAUUAACGAUUCACUUCACAGGAAAGAAAAACAGUAGCAUGUGAUAUUUUUGGUUCUUCCGCGAGAAGCAAUUUGAUGGACAAUUAUAUCCUAAGAUCUAGUAACAUAUUAGAUGACAAGGUACCACCUACAUUUUUCCAAAAAGUAACUUAUUACAAAAAAACAAAAGCAACUACCUAUCCAUGUACAGAAAAAAUAACAAUAAAAUGGUGCAUACUAAAUCAACUAAAUGAACUAGCCUACUAAAUCAACUAAAUCAAAAUGUUCUAAAUCAACUAAAUCAACUAAAUCAAAAUGUUGCAUAUGAACUAGCCUACUAAAUCAAAAUGUAGCAGGGAGGAGGGAGAAGGAGGGGCGACUCGAGGAGGGAGAAGACAGUAGGACGGAGGAGGAAGGCGGGGCGAGGAGGGGCCGGCCGGUGGCCAGAGGAGGAAGGCGGAGCGAGGAGGGGCCGGCCAGCGGCGAGUGGAGGGAGGAUGGAUGAGGAGGCCGGUACCGAGUCUAACAAGGAGGAGGAGGUCACGGCGGUGCAGAGGGAGGAGGGGCGACGGGGGAGGACCGACACGGGGGGUUGAGAGGGGAUCCAGUGAGUGUGUGAGUGUGAGUGGAUCGGAUAGAGGAGAGGGGGUGGGAGAUGGAAUGGCUUAGCAUUAGCGCGCUAUAGAGAAAGACGCUACUGCUAAACUACCUAGCAGCAGCGCCUUUCUCAAAGAAGUGCUACUGCUAUGUGUCAGCAUGUAAAAAUAGACUUCAAUAUAUCAAAAAUAUAUUGAUCAUCAACGAUCUUUUUGUGUACAAUCUGAUUUGUCAAUAUGAGUCCUCACCGGUUUAGGAACCGGUGAAGACUCAUAUUGCGGCCACAAAUUCUACACAUCGAGUUCAAUGAAGACCAAGUGCUUGUCAAAGUUUGAGAAGUGACAUAUUUAAGGUCGUAGAAACUCUCUUCACGGAGCGAGGUGGGACUAAAUUUUUGUAGUAAACUUAGCAGUAGCGCUUAUUGGUGAAAUGCGCUGCUACUAUGCUACGUAGCAGCAGCGCUCUUCGUGAUAACGCGCUGCUGCUAGAACUAGCCUCGCGGCGGCCUCGUGGGAAUUAUAUCAGUAGCGCGUCUUUGAGCGGGGGCGCUACUGCUAUAUUUAUUUCAGCAGCGAGUUAAGCUUGAGCUCGCUACUGCUAAGUAGCAGCAGCGCCUUAUUUUAAAGCACGCUGCUGGUAAGAUUCUGUGUAUAGGCUUUUCCCUAGUAGUGGGAGUUAAGUUUCUCAUAUUUAGCCUUAAGUUUCUUUCCCGUGAGCUCUACGAAAGGGUCACCAAUUAUGCGUUCGACGUCUCCUCAUUUAAUCGAAAAGUACAUGUGAUUCUCCCGCGGCAGACGAGCGUUGUCUAAUUCCAAUUUCGAGCCCUAUCAUGUUAAGUUUAUCAAUCUUCUUCACUAAGUUUCUUUCUAACUUUUGCGCCUUCCUUCAGCAUUUCCACAUGAUUAUUAAACCAACACCUCAUGAUAAGAGACCAUUAUUUAUAUUUCAGGUCGGUACUCGUCGUUGCAAAAUCUCUCAAAAAAAAUGACCAUUGAUAUUUGUAACAUAUGGAUGCGUAGCUCAUUAAAACGAGGCACUAGGUGGAAUAUAUACAGGUGUGCGUAAUCGGUGAGCGUCGGAAACCUCCUCUUUUUGAGCCAUAUGGAGUUAAGUUUCUCAUAUUUACCCCUAAGUUUCUUUCCCGUGAACUCUACGGAAGGUUGACCAAAUAUGUGUUCGCCGACUCUAUCAUGUUAAGUUUCUCAAUCUUCUUCACUAAGUUUCUUUCUGAUUUUUGCGCCUAGACAGGCUGCUCAUUAAAUGGGGCACUAGGUGGAAUAUAUAUAGGUGUUCGGUGUGCGUCACCGGCGAGCGUUGUAAACCUCCUUUUUCUGAGCCAUAUGGAGUUAAGUUUCUUUCCCGUGAGCUCUACGGAAGGGUCACCAAUUAUGCGUUUGACGUCUCCUCGUUUGAUUGAACGGUACACGUGAUUCUCCCGCGGCAGACGAGCGUUGGCUAAUUCCAAUUUCGAGCCCUAUCAUGUUAAGUUUAUCAAUCUUCUUCACUAAGUUUCUUUUUGAUUUUUGCGCCUUCCUUCAGCAUUUCCACAUGGUUAUUAAACCAACACCUCAUGAUAAGAGACCAUUAGUAAUUUAAGGUCGGUACUUGUCGUUGCAAAAUCUCUCAACAAAAAUGACCAUUGAUAUUUGCAACAUAUGGAUGCGUAGCUCAUUAAAACGAGGCACUAGGUGGAAUAUAUAUAGGUGUGCAUAACCGGUGAGCGUCGGAAACCUCCUCUUUUUGAGCCAUAUGGAGUUAAGUUUCUCAUAUUUACCCCUAAGUUUCUUUCCCAAGAGCUCUACGGAAGUGUGACCAAAUAUGUGUUCGUCGACUCUAUCAUGUUAAGUUUCUCAAUCUUCUUCACUAAGUUUCUUUCUGAUUUUUGCGCCUAGACAGGCUGCUCAUUUAAAUGAGGCACUAGGUGGAAUAUAUAUAUGUGUACGGUGUGCGUCACCGGCGAGCGUUGGAAACCUCCUUUUUCUGAGCCAUAUGGAGUUAAGUUUCUCAUAUUUAGCCUUAAGUUUCUUUCCCGUGAGCUCUACGGAAGUGUCACCAAUUAUGCGUUUGAUGUCUCCUCGUUCGAUCGAACGGUACAUGUGAUUCUCCCAUGGUAGACGAUCGUUGCCUAAUUCCAAUUUCAAGCCCUAUCAUGUUAAGUUUAUCAAUCUUCUUCACUAAGAUUCCUUCUGAUUUUUGUGCCUUCCUUCAGCAUUUUCCACAUGGUUAUUAAACCAACACCUGAUCAUAAGUGACCAUUAUGUAUAUUUCAGGUCGGUACUCGUCGUUGCAAAAUCUCUCCAGAAAAAUGACCAUUGAUAUUUGCAACAUAUGGAUGCGUAGCUCAUUAAAAUGAGGCACCAGGUGGAAUAUAUAUAGGUUUGCGUAACCGGUGAGAGUCGGAAACCUCCUCUUUUUGAGCCAUAUGGAGUUAGGUUUCUCAUAUUUAGCCUUAAGUUUCUUUCCCGUGAGCUCUACGGAAGGGUCACCAAAUUUGCGUUGGACGACUCCUCGUUCGACCGAACGGUACACGUGAUUCUCCCGCGGCAGACGAGCGUUGCCUAAUUCCAAUUUCGAGCCCUAUGAUGUUAAGUUUCUUAAUCUUCUUCACUAAGUUUCUUUCUAAUUUUUGCGGCCUUCAGCAUUUCCACAUGGUUAUUAAACCAACACCUCAUGAUAAGAGACCAUUGUUUAUAUUUCAGGUCCUUGCAAAAUCGCUCAACAAACAUGAGAGGAAUUCUUACCUCAUGAAAAAAUCCAAUCCCAACACUUCCCUUUCAUAAUAUAUUAGACCAUUUAUUAGACAUAGAUACACGUUAGAAGAACAUGUCUGAUUCGCCUAUGACAAGGCACUAAGGGCAAUUUUCUCAAGACAAGGCAAAAUCUCUCAACCAGUGCCAGCGGAGACGGAUGGUGAUCAAAUGACCAUUGAUAUUUGCAGCAUAUGGGUGCGUAGCUCAUUAAAACGAGGCACUAGGUGGAAUAUAUAUAAGUGUGCGUCACCGAUGAUCGUCGGAAACCACUUCUUUUUGAGCGAUAUGGAGUUAAGUUUCUCAUAUUUAUCCCUACGUUUCUUUCCCGUGAGAUCUACGGAAGGGGGACAAAAUAUGCGUUCACCGACUCUAUCGUGUUAAGUUUCUCAAUCUUACUCACUAAGUUUCUAUCUGAUUUUUGCGCCAAGGCAGGCUGCUCAUUUAAAUGAGGCACUAGGUGGAAUAUAUAUAGGUGUUCGGUGUGCAUCACCGGCAAGCGUUGUAAACCUCCUUUUUGUGAGCCAUAUGGAGUUAAGUUUCUCAUAUUUAGUCUUAAGUUUCUUUCCCGUGAGCUCUAUGGAAGGGUCACCAAAUUUGAGUUGGAUGACUCCUCGUUCGUCCGAAUGGUACACGUGAUUCUCCCACGGGAGACGAGCGUUGCCUAAUUCCAAUUUCGAGCCCAAUGAUGUUAAGUUUCUUAAUCUUCUUCACUAAGUUUCUUUCUGAUUUUUGUGCCCUUCAACAUUUCCACAUGGUUAUUAAACCAACACCUCAUGAUAAGAGACCAUUGUUUAUAUUUCAGGUCCUUGCAAAAUUUCUCAACAAACAAGAGAGGAAUUCUUACCUCACGAAAAAAUCCAAUCCCAACGCUUCCCUUUCAUAAUAUAUUAGACCAUUGAUUAGACAUAGAUACAUGAUAGAAGAACAUAUCUGAUUCGCCUAUGACAAGGCACUAGGUGCAAUUUUCUCAAGACAAGGCAAAAUCUCUCAACCAGUGCCAGCGAAGACGGAUGGUGAUCAAAUAACCAUUGAUAUUUGCAGCAUAUGGAUGCGUAGCUCAUUAAAACGCGGAACUAGGCCCAAUAUAUAUAGGUGUGCGUAACCGGUGAGGGUCGGAAACUUCCUGUUUUUGAGCCAUAUGGAGUUAAGUUUCUCAUAAAUACCCCUAAGUUUCUUUCCCGUGAGCUCUACGGAAGUGUCACGAAAUAUGUGUUCGCCGACUCUAUCAUGUUAAGUUUCUCAAUCAUCUUCACUAAGUUUCUGUCUGAUAUUUGCGCCUAGACAGGCUGCUCAUUUAAAUGAGGCACUAGGUGGAAUAUAUAUAUGUGUUCGGUGUGCGUCACCGGCGAGCGUUGUAAACCUCCUCUUUCUGAGCCAUAUGGAGUUAAGUUUCUCAUAUUUAGCCUUCAGUUUCUUUCCCGUGAGCUCUACGGAAGUGUCACCAAUUAUGUGUUUGACGUCUCCUCGUUCGAUCGAACGGUACUCGUGAUUCUCCCAUGGUAGACGAGCGUUGCCUAAUUCCAAUUUCGAGCCCUAUCAUGUUAAGUUUAUCAAUCUUCUUCACUAAGAUUCUUCCUGAUUUUUGAGCCUUCCUUCAGCAUUUCCACAUGGUUAUUGAACCAACAACUGAUGGUAAGAGACCAUUACUUAUAUUUCAGGUCGGUACUCGUCGUUCCAAAAUCUCUCAACAAAAAUGACCACUGAUAUUUGCAACAUAUGGAUGCGUAGCUCAUUAAAACGAGGCACUAGGUGGAAUAUAUAUCGGUUUGGGUAACUGGUGAGCGUCGGAAACCUCCUCUUUUUGAGCCAUAUGGAGUUAAGUUUUUCAUAUUUACCCCUAAGUUUCUUUCCCGUAAGCUCUACGGAAGGUUCACCAAAUUUGCGUUGGACGACUACUCGUUCGACCGAACGGUACACGUGAUUCUCCCGCGGCAGACGAGCGUUGCCUAAUUCCAAUUUCGAGCCCUAUCAUGUUAAGUUUCUUAAUCUUCUUCACUAAGUUUCUUUCUAAUUUUUGCGCCCUUCAGCAUUUCCACAUGGUUAUUAAACCAACACCUCAUGAUAAGAGACCAUUGUUUAUAUUUCAGGUCCUUGCAAAAUCUCUCAACAAACAUGAGAGGAACUCUUACCUAACGAAAAAUCCAAUCCCAGCACUUCCCUUUCAUAAUAUAUUAGACCUUUAUUACACAUAGAUACACGAUAGAAGAACAGAUCUGAUUCGCCUAUGACAAGGCACUAAGUGCAAUUUCCUCAAGACAAGGCAAAAUCUCUCGACCAGUGCCAGCGGAGACGGAUGAUGAUCAUAUUACCAUUGAUAUUUGCAGCAUAUGGAUGCGUAGCUCAUUAAAACGAGGCACUAGGUGGAAUAUAUAUAGGUGUGCGUCACCGAUGAUCGUCGGAAACCUCUUCUUUUUGAGCGAUAUGGAGUUAAGUUUCUCAUAUUUAACCCUACGUUUCAUUCCCGCACUACAGGAAACAGCUAUUUUGCCGUCUGCCACGGCAGACGGCAAAGGCUCGAACAGCGGACGGCAAAAGGCUCCGGCAAAGUAGGCUACGGUAAACAGGUCCUUUGCCGUCUGCUUUUUAUGGAGGACGGCAAAGAGUCGUUUGCCUACAGCGGCGGACGGCAAAGAGGAGGGACGGCAAAAAUACUGGACGUCCGCCAGCGUUAGUCCGUUAGGCGGCUAACGGCGGCCUUUGCCGUCCCCCAGCGGACGGCAAAUUUGAGCGCCUCUUUGUCGUCCGCCAGUUGACGUCAGCAAUGCGUCAGCGCCCGCUGUUUUUUGCCGUCUGCCACGGCGGAUGGCAAAGGCAAAGUCUUUGCCAUCAGCUUGGCUUUGCCGUCCGCCACGGUAGGCAAAUUUGCCAAAUGGCCCAUCUCUCAGGAAGCACAGGUGGGCGCCACGUGCCCCCUUUGCCGUCUGCCACCGAUGGCAAAGGUGUCUUUGCCGUCCGCGGCGGACGGCAAAGAGCCUGCACUGCCUCUUUUUAUUCUGUUUUUCUUAUAUCCAACAAUUUUCACAGGAAAUAUAUCACAGCAAAUAUAUCACAGGAGCCAGCACAUAUAUAUCCAACAUAAUAAAUAUCCAGCACAUAUAUAUCCAUACAUACAUAGUAGGUUGCACAUCGUUCCAUCAAUCCAUACAUAUUACAAUAUGCAAAGUUUCAUCAUAGCAAGCGAGCAGAAUACAAGAAGUGCAUCAAAGGAAAAAACAAGCAAUCCAUCAUAGAAAGCUGGCUUCCGUGAAGUGAACGAAACCUGCAAAAUGACAAAUAAGAAAGUUAGAAAAAGAAGACUAGAAGAAGAAUUAGACUAGAAGAAAAAGAAUAGAAGAAGAAGAAGAAGACUAGAAGAAGAAGUAUAUGCCAUUUAUUAGCUAACUUAGGUGAACUGGAACAUUUAUGAGCUAAAUUAGUUGAAAUGGAUCGUUUAUGAGCUAACUUAGGUGAAAUGGAUCGUUUAUUAGCUAACCUAGGUGAAAUGGAUCGUUUAUGAGCUAACUUAGGUGAAAUGGAUCGUUUAUUAGCUAACCUAGGUGAAAUGGAUCGUUUAUGAGCUAUCUUAGGUGAAAUGGAUCGUUUAUGAGCUAAGUUAGGUGAAAUGGAUCGUUUAUGANNNNNNNNNNNNNNNNNNNNNNNNNNNNNNNNNNNNNNNNNNNNNNNNNNNNNNNNNNNNNNNNNNNNNNNNNNNNNNNNNNNNNNNNNNNNNNNNNNNNNNNNNNNNNNNNNNNNNNNNNNNNNNNNNNNNNNNNNNNNNNNNNNNNNNNNNNNNNNNNNNNNNNNNNNNNNNNNNNNNNNNNNNGGGUCGUUUAUGAGCUAACCUAGGUGAAAUGGGUCGUUUAUGAGUUAACCUAGGUGAAAUGGGUCGUUUAUGAGCUAAGUUAGGUGAAAUGGAUCGUUUAUGAGCUAACCUAGGUGAAAUGGAUCGUUUAUGAGCUAACCUAGGUGAAAUGGGUCGUUUAUGAGCUAACCUAGGUGAAAUGGGUCGUUUAUGAGUUAACCUAGGUGAAAUGGGUCGUUUAUGAGCUAAUUAUGCAAUUUUUGACAUAAGUUAGCUAAGUACAUAUUUUUUUAGAGCUAACUUAGGUAAAAUGGAUGGUUUAUGAGGUCAGUAAGCUUAUUAAGUCAUUUUGGAGGAAAAGAAGCUAACUCUAGGUCAUUAUGGUAAGCAUAUUUGAGGAAAUAAAGCUAAGUCUAGGUCUUUAUGCAUUUGUUAAGCAAAACACUAGAGAAACUUACCGUGAUCAGGGAGGUGUAGGAGCGGGGUGGCUAGUGCCGCUACCUGGAGAAGGAUCGUGCGAUGCGUUUCUGGAGUUAAGCUGCACCAAAGAUCAUUUCCAAUGUCUCGUUAGCAUUACAACACUCAAAUGUUAAGACUAGCAAGUAAUGUCCAUUCAAAUUAAACUCACCGUGCUCCCAGGAGCAAUCACUGGCAUCGGCGGAGCGGGCCGACCGGACUUCUCGCACACAGACUGCACAUUUGGUUUUCAGAACAGAGUCAUACUAGUUAGUAAUGAGACUCAAAUGUUAAGACUAGCAAGUAAUCUGCAGAACGCUGGCACGGACGGGAGCCGUGUAGCACCACGCUGGUAGACGGUGCCACCCUCCUCCUCAAGAUCAGUCGGCUCCCCGCCAUCAUCAACAUGGCCACUCGGCUCCUCGCGCUGAUCCGGCCAUGUACCCCAUCCGGACGUGUGCUCCUCCGGGGUCUCGUGGGCCGAAGGCCAGUCGACCCGAGGCUCGUGCGCCUAAGACCGGUGGACCGGAGGCUCGUGGGCCGGAGUCCGUGUAGCCUCCUCCUCGGACGAGUCCACCCUAGCAGUCACGUGCUCGGGUGAAACAGCUGGGGGUGGCGGCGAGGAAGGCGCCGUAGCAGUCACCCUACCUCCUCUCCCGCGACCACGUGCCCCACCUCCUCUCUUCCUACCUCGUCCCCUGCUGGGCACCGCGGUCGACGAAGAAGGGCCCGGCGGUUUGGACAUACUGUCCAGCAACGCUCGGCGGAGAGGUGCGUCUGGAAUCGAAGACCUCAGACCACGCGCUGACGAAGAAGGGGCCUUGGCGCGCUCCCGACCAGCGCCCACCAUCUUUCAACACCUGCCAUGACAAAUAGUAAACGAAAUUAGUACAACAUAAAAAAAAGACCGACAUGAAUCAUAAUAUGUGUAUCACUUAAGUGUAUCAUCAUCAGGAACAUCUAAAUGGGUGCUUUGGUUGGUUUCAACUAGCCCUAUAUGUUCGGUUCUUUUGCCCGUUUUGUGCCAUGUCAUCUGUCUGGCCAUCUCUUCGACCAUGAAAAGACGUUGAAGUCUUGGUACGAUUGGCAUAUACCGAAGAACACUAACGGGGAUUUUGGUCUGUGUCUUCUCACCCAUACCGUUGUCUACCACAACAUACCUGGAAGACUUGCAAAUGGGACAAUAGUUCAAGUCCGCAUAGUCAAGCCUAAACAAGACACAUCCUUUCUCACAGGCAUGUAUCUUAUCAUAGGGCAUCUUCAGUGCACGGAGGAUUUUGUUCGACUGGUACAGGUUUGCAGGCAUUACAUGGCCUUUGGGUAGAAAGCGUCCAAAUAGUGUCAUCAUUGCAUCGUAGCAUUCUCUGCCCAAGUUGAACUGAGCCUUCAGAGCCAUUACUUGUGAGAUGGCAUCCAACUGACAAAGCUCAGUGUGCUCAUGGAGCGGACGUUUUGAAGACUCCAACAUUUCAUUGAAGGCCUUUGGAGAUUCCUCCAUCUCCUCGUCCGAAUCCCGAGCAUCAUCAAAGUCUUGCACCAUGUUUUCCAUCCCGGUACCAUGCUCGUCGGUGCGACGACGAUCCACCUCAGCUCGGUCACGUUGGGCAGACUCACCAUGAAAUGUCCACACCGUAUAAUCGGGCGUAAAACCACUCUUCUGCAGGUGUUUGCCCAUUUCAGCCUCUGUCCACUUUUCCCAAUUGCCGCACCGUAAACAGGGGCACCAGGUUUUCGUCUGGCCAUUUGCAAAUGUGGCUCGCACAAACCCCUUGGUUUUUGUGAACCAUUCAGUGCUCCAUUUGUUCUGACCAGUGUGACCGGUGUACAUCCACGCACGAUCACUCAUCUUGACUUUCAGAGCUACUAGACACACAACAAAUAUAUAUAUAUAUAUAAUUCACCAUGUAUGUAUUCAUCAGUUGAUCUACUUUGUCAAUUUUAUUACGUCCAUGCAACCUACACUCUAAUAGGUAAUGAUAGGUCCUAAUCCCACCCGAGUAUGUUUAGAUUGGGUUCAUUUUCCCAUGCUAUGGCCCGGAUCCUACGCAAAAUUUCGGCAGCACCUCCCCGCUGUUCUCCUGAUACACGUCUCUGCAAUAAACAGAGAGGAUGUGUACCCGGAGAACAACAGGGGAGGCACUGACGAAAUUUAUGCGUCGGAUCCGGAGCAAAGCAUAUGGGAAAACGAACCCAAUCUAAACAUACUCGGGCUGUCCAUGGAUAGCGUUGGACAAUUCGAAAGAAUCAAGGUUAUAAAUAUGCAAAUGCAUGCAUAUUUAUAACUAUGACGCUUUCGAACGGGAGACACAUAUUGGUUACGCAUACUGAUGAUUCAAGACACAUAUAUAGCUAGCUAUCAAGUUUCAUCGGAAUAGAUCAAAUAAUUAAUGGGGGAGGAGGACAUGUCAUUUGUGCUCACCCACGAACGAAGGGGCAGAGCUCGUCAAACGCACGGCGAGGUCGUCGAACACCAAACCUCGCAGCGAUGAAACAACUGCACAUUUAAAACUACCCGAUCAACACAAUUAUAUAAGAUGUUUUUCAUAACAAAAUCGAAAAAUAUAUGACCUAACUAAUAAUUCACAAAUAUAUGACCCCGUCGGCCUCUGGAAGGCCAAAGAACACCUUUUCAGGAGGUGUCGGGGGUCGGGGUGCCGUGUCGGUGUCGGGGUCGAGGUGUCGGGUCAGGCUCGGGGUCGGGGUGUCGGGGUGUCGGGGNNNNNNNNNNNNNNNNNNNNNNNNNNNNNNNNNNNNNNNNNNNNNNNNNNNNNNNNNNNNNNNNNNNNNNNNNNNNNNNNNNNNNNNNNNNNNNNNNNNNNNNNNNNNNNNNNNNNNNNNNNNNNNNNNNNNNNNNNNNNNNNNNNNNNNNNNNNNNNNNNNNNNNNNNNNNNNNNNNNNNNNNNNNNNNNNNNNNNNNNNNNNNNNNNNNNNNNNNNNNNNNNNNNNNNNNNNNNNNNNNNNNNNNNNNNNNNNNNNNNNNNNNNNNNNNNNNNNNNNNNNNNNNNNNNNNNNNNNNNNNNNNNNNNNNNNNNNNNNNNNNNNNNNNNNNNNNNNNNNNNNNNNNNNNNNNNNNNNNNNNNNNNNNNNNNNNNNNNNNNNNNNNNNNNNNNNNNNNNNNNNNNNNNNNNNNNNNNNNNNNNNNNNNNNNNNNNNNNNNNNNNNNNNNNNNNNNNNNNNNNNNNNNNNNNNNNNNNNNNNNNNNNNNNNNNNNNNNNNNNNNNNNNNNNNNNNNNNNNNNNNNNNNNNNNNNNNNNNNNNNNNNNNNNNNNNNNNNNNNNNNNNNNNNNNNNNNNNNNNNNNNNNNNNNNNNNNNNNNNNNNNNNNNNNNNNNNNNNNNNNNNNNNNNNNNNNNNNNNNNNNNNNNNNNNNNNNNNNNNNNNNNNNNNNNNNNNNNNNNNNNNNNNNNNNNNNNNNNNNNNNNNNNNNNNNNNNNNNNNNNNNNNNNNNNNNNNNNNNNNNCGGGGUGGGAGGAGAGAACGGCGAGGAGAGAAGAAGUGAGUAACGGGCGGGGGGGUACGGGCCGUUAGGUACUGCCCUCUUUGCCGUCCGCCUAUCUUUGCUGUCCGCCCUUUUUGCCUCUUUGCCGUCUGCUGGCGGACGGCAAAGAGGUGGGCCGUUAAGUUUUUUCCAAACGGGCGGGGGGUGGGGGCCACCUCACUUUUUGCCGUCUGCCAGCGGACGGCAAAGAUUCUUUGCCGUCUGCUGGCUGACGGCAAAAAGCUCGCAGAUGGCAAAGAGCUUCUUUGCCGUCUACCGUUUCUUUGCCGUCUGCUUUUGGGUAGCUGAUGGCAAAGAGCUUCUUUGCCGUCAGCUAGCAGACGACAAAGAGCCGGCAGAUGGCAAAUUAGCUGAUUCCAGUAGUGCCAUGAGCUCUACGGAAGGGAGACAAAAUAUGCGUUCGCCGACUCUAUCGUGUUAAGUUUCUCAAUCUUACUCACUAAGUUUCUAUCUGAUUUUUCCGCCAAGGCUGGCUGCUCAUUUAAAUGAGGCACUAGGUGGAAUAUAUAUAGGUGUUCGGUGUGCAUCACCGGCGAGCGUUGUAAACCUCCUUUUUGUGAGCCAUAUGGAGUUAAGUUUCUCAUAUUUAGUCUUAAGUUUCUUUCCCGUGAGCUCUAUGGAAGGGUCACCAAAUUUGAGUUGGAUGACUCCUCGUUCUUCCGAAUGGUACACGUGAUUCUCCCACGGCAGACGAGCAUUGCCUAAUUCCAAUUUUGAGCCCAAUCAUGUUAAGUUUCUUCAUCUUCUUCACUAAGUUUCUUUCUAAUUUUUGUGCCCUUCAGCAUUUCCACAUCGUUAUUAAACCAACACCUCAUGAUAAGAGACCACUGUUUAUAUUUCAGGUCCUUGCAAAAUUUCUCAACAAACAUGAGAGGAAUUCUUACCUCACGAAAAAAUCCAAACCCAACACUUCCCUUUCAUAAUAUAUUAGACCAUUUAUUAGACAUAGCUACACGAUAGAAGAACAUAUCUGAUUCGCCUAUGACAAGGCACUGGGUGCUAUUUUCUCAAGACAAGGCAGAAUCUCUCAACCAGUGCCCGCGGAGACGGAUGGUGAUCAAAUGACCAUUGAUAUUUGCAGCAUAUGGAUAUGUAGCUCAUGAAAACGAGGAACUAGGCCGAAUAUAUAUAGGUGUGCGUAACCGGUGAGGGUCGGAAACUUCCUAUUUUUGAGCCAUAUGGAGUUAAGUCUCUCAUAAAGACCCCUAAGUUUCUUUCCCGUGAGCUCUACGGACGGGUGACGAAAUAUGUGUUCGCCGACUCUAUCGUGUAAAGAUUCUCAAUCUUGCUCACUAAGUUUCUGUCUGAUUUUUGCGCCUAGGCAGGCUGCUCAUUUAAACGAGGCACUAUGUGGAGUAUAUAUAGGUGUUCGGUGUGCGUCACCGGCGAGCGUUGUAAACCUCCUUUUUGUGAGCCAUAUGGAGUUAAGUUUCUCAUAUUUAGUCUUAAGUUUCUUUCCCAUGAGCUCUAUGGAAGGUUCAUGAAAUUUGAGUUGGAUGACUCCUCGUUCGACCGAAUGGUACACGUGGUUCUCCCGCGGCAGACAAGCGUUGCCUAAUUUCAAUUUCGAGCCCUAUCAUGUUAAGUUUCUUAAUCUUCUUCACUAAGUUUCUUUCUGAUUUUUGUGCCCUUCAGCACUUCCACAUUGUUAUUAAACCAACACCUCACGAUAAGAGAUCGUUGCUUAUAUUUCAGGUCCUUGCAAAAUCUCUCAACAAACAUGAGACGAAUUCUUGCCUCACGAAAAAAUCCAAUCCCAACACUUCCCUUUCAUAAUAUAUUAGACCAUUUCUUAGACAUAGAUACACGAUUGAAGAACAUAUCUGAUUCGCCUAUGACAAGGCACUAGGUGCUAUUUUCUCAAGACAAGGCAGAAUCUCUCAACCAGUGCCAGCGGAGACGGAUGGUGAUCAAUCGACCAUUGAUAUUUGCAGCAUAUGGAUGUGUAGCUCAUUAAAACGAGGAACUAGGCCGAAUAUAUAUAGGUGUGCGUAAUCGGUGAGCGUCGGAAACUUCCUGUUUUUGAGCCAUAUGGAGUUAAGUUUCUCAUAUUUACCCCUAAGUUUCUUUCCCGUGAGCUCUACGGAAGGGUGACGAAAUAUGCGUUUGCCGACUCUAUCGUGUUAAGAUUCUCAAUCUUACUCACUAACUUUCUGUCUGAUUUUUGCGCCUAGGCAGGCUGCUCAUUCAAAUGAGGCACUAGGUGGAAUAUAUAUAGGUGUUCGGUGUGUGUCACCGGCGAGCGUUGUAAACCUCCUUUUUGUGAGCCAUAUGGAGUUAAGUUUCUCAUAUUUAGUCUUAAGUUUCUUUCCCGUGAGCUCUAUGGAAGGUUCACGAAAUUUGAGUUGGAUGACUCCUCGUUCGACCGAAUGGUACACGUGGUUCUCCCGCGGCAGACAAGCGUUGCCUAAUUCCAAUUUCGAGCCCUAUCAUGUUAGGUUUCUUAAUCUUCUUCACUAAGUUUCUUUCUGAUUUUUGUGCCCUUCAGCAUUUCCAUAUGGUUAUUAAACCAACACCUCAUGAUAAGAGACCGCUGCUUAUAUUUCAGGUCCUUGCAAAAUCUCUCAACAAACAUGAGACGAAUUCUUUCCUCACGAAAAAAUCCAAUCCCAACACUUCCCUUUCAUAAUAUAUGAGACCAUUUAUUAGACAUAGAUACACGAUAGAAGAACAUAUCUGAUUCUCCUAUGACAAGGCACUAGGUGCUAUUUUCUCAAGACAAGGCAGAAUCUCUCAACCAGUGCCAGCGGAGACGGAUGGUGAUCAAAUGACCAUUGAUAUUUGCAGCAUAUGGAUGUGUAGCUCAUUAAAACGAGGAACUAGGCCGAAUAUAUAUAGGUGUGCGUAACCGGUGAGGGUCGGAAACUUCCUGUUUUUGAGCCAUAUGGAGUUAAGUUUCUCAUAUUUACCCCUAAGUUUCUUUCCCGUGAGCUCUACGGAAGGGUGAAAAAAUAUGCGUUCGCCGACUCUAUCGUGUUAAGAUUCUCAAUCUUACUCACUAAGUUUCUGUCUGAUUUUUGCCCUACGCAGGCUGCUCAUUUAAAUGAGGCACUAUGUGGAAUAUAUAUAGGUGUUCGGUGUGCGUCACCGGCGAGCGUUGUAAACCUCCUUUUUCUGAGCCAUAUGGAGUUAAGUUUCUCAUAUUUACCCUUAAGUUUCUUUCCCGUGAGCUCUACGGAAGGGUCACCAAUUAUGCGUUCGACGUCUCCUCGUUCGAUCGAACGGUACACAUGAUUCUCCCGCGGCAGACGAGCGUUGCCUAAUUCCAAUUUCGUGCCCUAUCAUGUUAAGUUUAUCCAUCUUCUUCACUAAGUUUCUUUCUGAUUUUUGCGCCUUGCUUCAGCAUUUCCACAUGGUUAUUAAACCAACACCUCAUGAUAAGAGACCAUUGUUUAUAUUUCAGGUCCUUGCAAAAUCUCUCAACAAACAUAAGAGGAAUUCUUACCUAACGAAAAAUCCAAUCCCAGCACUUCCCUUUCAUAAUAUAUUAGACCAUUUAUUAGACAUAGAUACACGAUAGAAGAACAUAUCUGAUUCGCCUAUGACAAGGCACUAAGUGAAAUUUCCUCAAGACAAGGAAAAAUCUCUCAACCAGUGCCAGCGAAGACGGAUGAUGAUCAAAUGACCAUUGAUAUUUGCUGCAUAUGGAUGCGUAGCUCAUUAAAACGAGGCACUAGGUGGAAUAUAUAUAGGUGUCCGUCACCGACGAUCCUCGGAAACCUCUUCUUUUUGAGCGAUAUGGAGUUACGUUUCUCAUAUUUAACCCUACGUUUCUUUCCCGUGAGCUCUACGGAAGGGUGACAAAAUAUGCGUUCGCCGACUCUAUCGUGUUAAGUUUCUCAAUCUUACUCACUAAGUUUCUAUCUGAUUUUUGCGCCAAGGCUGGCUGCUCAUUUAAAUGAGGCACUAGGUGGAAUAUAUAUAGGUGUUCAUUGCGCAUCACCGGCGAGCGUUGUAAACCUCCUUUUUGUGAGCCAUAUGGAGUUAAGUUUCUCAUAUUUACUCUUAAGUUUCUUUCCCGUGAGCUCUAUGGAAGGGUCACCAAAUUUGAGUUGGAUGACUCCUCGUUCGUCUGAAUGGUAAACGUGAUUCUCCCAUGGCAGACGAGCAUUGCCUAAUUCCAAUUUCGAGCCCAAUCAUGUUAAGUUUCUUAAUCUUCUUCACUAAGUUUAUUUCUGAUUUUUGUGCCCUUCAGCAUUUCCACAUGGUUAUUAAACCAACACCUCAUGAUAAGAGACCAUUGUUUAUAUUUCAGGUCCUUGCAAAAUUUCUCAACAAACAUGAGAGGAAUUCUUACCUCACGAAAAAAUCCAAUCCCAACACUUCCCUUUCAUAAUAUAUUAGACCAUUUAUUAGAUAUAGCAACACGAUAGAAGAACAUAUCUGAUUCGCCUAUGACAAGGCACUAGGUGCUAUUUUCCCAAGACAAGGCAGAAUCUCUCAACCAGUGCCAGCGGAGACGGAUGGUGAUCAAAUGACCAUUGAUAUUUGCAGCAUAUGGAUGUGUAGCUCAUUAAAAUGAGGAACUAGGCCGAAUAUAUAUAGGUGUGCGUAACCGGUGAGGGUCGGAAACUUCCUGUUUUUGAGCCAUAUGGAGUUAAGUUUCUCAUAAAUACCCCUAAGUUUCUUUCCCGUGAGCUCUACGGAAGGGUGACGAAAUAUGCGUUCGCCGACUCUAUCGUGUUAAGAUUCUCAAUCUUACUCACUAAGUUUCUGUCUGAUUUUUGGGCCUAGGCAGGCUGCUCAUUUAAAUGAGGCACUAUGUGGAAUAUAUAUAGGUGUUCGGUGUGCGUCACCGGCGAGCGUUGUAAACCUCCUUUUUGUGAGCCAUAUGGAGUUAAGUUUCUCAUAUUUAGUCUUAAGUUUCUUUCCCGUGAGCUCUAUGGAAGGUUCACGAAAUUUGAGUUGGAUGACUCCUUGUUCGACCGAAUGGUACACGUGGUUCUCCCGCGGCAGACAAGUGUUGCCUAAUUCCAAUUUCGAGCCCUAUCAUGUUAAGUUUCUUAAUCUUCUUCACUAAGUUUCUUUCUGAUUUUUGUGCCCUUCAGCAUUUCCACAUAGUUAUUAAACCAACACCUCAUGAUAAGAGUCCGUUGCUUAUAUUUCAGAUCCUUGCAAAAUCUCUCAACAAACAUGAGAUGAAUUCUUGCCUCACGAAAAAAUCCAAUCCCAACACUUCCCUUUCAUAAUAUAUUAGACCAUUUAUUAAACGUAGAUACACGAUUGAAGAACAUAUCUGAUUCGCCUAUGACAAGGCAGUAGGUGCUAUUUUGUCGAGACAAGGCAGAAUCUCUCAACCAGUGCCAGCGGAGACGGAUGGUGAUCAAAUGACCAUUGAUAUUUGCAGCAUAUGGAUGUGUAGCUCAUUAAAACGAGGAACUAGGCCGAAUAUAUAUAGGUGUGCGUAACCGGUGAGGGUCGGAAAGAUCCUGUUUUUGAGCCAUAUGGAGUUAAGUUUCUCAUAUUUACCCCUAAGUUUCUUUCCCGUGAGCUCUACGGAAGGGUGACGAAAUAUGCGUUUGCCGACUCUAUCGUGUUAAGAUUCUCAAUCUUACUCACUAAGUUUCUGUCUGAUUUUUGCGCCUAGGCAGGCUGCUCAUUUAAAUGAGGCACUAUGUGGAAUAUAUAUAGGUGUUCGGUGUGCGUCACCGGCGAGCGUUGUGAACCUCCUUUUUCUGAGCCAUAUGGAGUUAGGUUUCUCAUAUUUACCCUUAAGUUUCUUUACCGUGAGCUCUACGGAAGGGUCACCAAUUAUGCGUUCGACGUCUCCUCGUUCAAUCGAACGGUACACAUGAUUCUCCCGCGGCAGACGAGCGUUGCCUAAUUCGAAUUUCGUUCUGUAUCAUGUUAAGUUUAUCAAUCUUCUUCACUAAGUUUCUUUCUGAUUUUUGCGCCUUGCUUCAGCAUUUCCACAUGGUUAUUAAACCAACACCUCAUGAUAAGAGACCAUUAUGUAUAUUUCAGGUCGGUACUCGUCGUUGCAAAAUCUCUCAACAAAAAUGACCAUUGAUAUUUGCAACAUAUGGAUGUGUAGCUCAUUAAAACGAGGCACUAGGUGGAAUAUAUAUAGGUGUGCGUAACCGGUGAGUGUCGGAAACCUCCUCUUUCUGAGCCAUAUGGAGUUAAGUUUAUCACAUUUCCCCUAAGUUUCUUUCCCCCGAGCUCUAUGUAAGGGUGACGAAAUAUGCGUUCGCCGACUCUAUCGUGUUAAGUUUCUCAAUCUUACUUACUAAGUUUUUGUCUGAUUUUUGCGCCUAAGCUGCUCAUUUAAAUGAGGCACUAGGUGGAAUAUAUAUAGGUGUUCAGUGUGCAUCACCGGCAAGCGUUGUAAACCUCCUUUUUCUGAGCCAUAUGGAGUUAAGUUUCUCAUAUUUAGCCUUCAGUUUCUCUCCCGUGAGCUCUACGGAAGGGUCACCAAAUUUGCGUUGGACGACUCCUCGUUCGACCGAAUAGUACACGUGAUUCUCCCGCGGCAGACGAGAGUUGCCUAAUUCCAAUUCCGAGCCCUAUCAUGGAAAGUUUCUCAAUCUUCUUCACUAAGUUUCUUUCUUAUUUUUGCGCCUAGACAGGCUGCUCAUUUAAAUGAGGCAAUAGGUGGAAUAUAUAUAUGUGUUCGAUAUGCGUCACCGGCGUGCGUUGUAAACCUCCUUUUUCUCAACCAUAUGGAGUUAAGUUUCUCAUAUUAGCCUUAAGUUUCUUUCCCGUGAGCUCUAUGGAAGUGUCACCCAUUAUGUGUUUGACGUCUCCUCGUUCGAUCGAACGGUACACGUGAUUCUCCCACGGUAGACGAGCGUUGCCUAAUUCCAAUUUCGAGCCCUAUCAUGUUAAGUUUAUCUAUCUUCUUCACUAAGAUUCUUUCUGAUUUUUGCGCCUUCCUUCAGCAUUUCCACAUGGUUAACCAACAACUGAUGAUAAGAGACCAUUACGUAUAUUUCAGGUCGGUACUCGUCGUUGCAAAAUCUCUCAACAAAAAUGACCAUUGAUAUUUGCAACAUAUGGAUGCGUAGAUCAUUAAAACGAGGCACUAGGUGGAAUAUAUAUAGGUUUGGGUAAUUGGUGAGCGUCGGAAACCUCCUCUUUUUGAGCCAUAUGGAGUUAAGUUUCUCAUAUUUACCCCUAAGUUUCUUUCCCGUAAGAUCUACGGGGGGGUCACCAAAUUUGCGUUGGAUGACUACUCGUUCGACGGAACGGUACACGUGAUUCUCCUGCGGUAGACGAGCGUUGCAUAAUUCCAAUUUCGAGCCCUAUCAUGUUAAGUUUCUUCAUCUUCUUCACUAAGUUUCUUUCUAAUUUUUGUGCCCUUCAGCAUUUCCACAUGGUUAUUAAACCAACACCUCAUGAUAAGAGACCAUUGUUUAUAUUUCAGGUCCUUGGAAAAUCUCUCAACAAACAUGAGAAGAAUUCUUACCUCACGAAAAAAUCCAAUCCCAGCACUUCCCUUUCAUAACAUAUUAGACCAUUUGUUAGACAUAGAUACACGAUAGAAGAACAUAUCUGAUUCGCCUAUGAGAAGGCACUAAGCGCAAUUUCCUCAAGACAAGGCAAAAUCUCUCAGCCAGUGCCAGCGGAGACGGAUGGUGAUCAAAUGACCAUUGAUAUUUGCAGCAUAUGGAUGUGUAGCUCAUUAAAACGUGGCACUAGGUGGAAUAUAUAUAGGUGUGCGUAACCGAUGAGCGUCGGAAACCUCCUCUUUUUGAGCGAUAUGGAGUUAAGUUUCUCAUAUUUAACCCUAAGUUUCUUUCCUGUGAGAUCUACGGAAGGGUGACGAAAUAUGCGUUCGCCGACUCUAUCGUGUUAAGUUUCUCAAUCUUACUCACUAAUUUUCUGUCUGAUUUUUGCGCCAAGGCAAGCUGCUCAUUUAAAUGAGGCACUAGGUGGAAUAUAUAUAGGUGUUCGGUGUGCAUCACCGGCGAGCGUUUUAAACCUCCUUUUUGUGAGCCAUAUGGAAAUAAGUUUCUCAUAUUUAGUCUUAAGUUUCUUCCCCGUGAGCUCUGUGGAAGGUUCACCAAAUUUGUGUUGGAUGACUCCUCGUUCGACCGAAUGGUACACGUGGUUCUCCCGUGGCAGACAAGCGUUGCCUAAUUCCAAUUUCGAGCCCUAUCAUGUUAAGUUUCUUAAUCUUCUUCACUAAGUUUCUUCCUGAUUUUUGUGGACUUCAGCAUUUCCACUUGGUUAUUAAACCAACACCUCAUGAUAAGAGACCAUUGCUUAUAUUUCAGGUCCUUGCAAAAUCUCUCAACAAACAUGAGACGAAUUCUUACCUCACGAAAAAAUCCAAUCCCAACACUUCCAUUUCAUAAUAUAUUAGACCAUUUAUUAGACAUAGAUACACGAUAGUACAACAUAUCUGAUUCGCCUAUGACAAGGCACUAGGUGCAAUUUUCUCAAGACAAAGCAGAAUCUCUCAACCAGUGCCAGCGCAGACGGAUGGUGAUCAAAUGACCAUUGAUAUUUGCAGCAUAUGGAUGUGUAGCUCAUUCUAACGAGGAACUAGGUCGAAUAUAUAUAGGUGUGCGUAACCGGUGAGGGUCCGAAACUUCCUGUUUUUGAGCCAUAUGGAGUUAAGUUUCUCAUAUUUACCCCUAAGUUUCUUUCCCGUGAGCUCUACGGAAGGGUGACGAAAUAUGCGUUCGCCGACUCUAUCGUGUUAAGAUUCUCAAUCUUACUCACUAAGUUUCUUUCCUGUGAGCUCUACGGAAGGGUCACCAAUUAUGCGUUCGACGUCUCCUCAUUCGAUCGAACGGUACACGUGAUUCUCCCGCGGCAGACGAGCGUUGCCUAAUUCCAAUUCCGUGCCCUAUCAUGUUAAGUUUAUCAAUCUUCUUCACUAAGUUUCUUUCUGAUUUUUGCGCCUUGCUUCAGCAUUUCCACAUGGUUAUUAAACCAACAGCUCAUGAUAAGAGACCAUUAUGUAUAUUUCAGGUCGGUACUCGUCGUUGCAAAAUCUCUCAACAAAAAUGACCAUUGAUAUUUGCAACAUAUGGAUGUGUAGCUCAUUAAAACGAGGCACUGGGUGGAAUAUAUAUAGGUGUGCGUAACUAGUGAGCGUCGGAAACCUCCUCUUUCUGAGCCAUAUGGAGUUAUGUUUCUCACAUUUACCCCUAAGUUUCUUUCGCGCGAGAUCUACGUAAGGGUGACGAAAUAUGCAUUCGCCGACUCUAUCGUGCUAAGUUUCUCAAUCUUACUUACUAAGUUUUUGUCUGAUUUUUGCGCCUAGGCAGGCUGCUCAUUUAAAUGAGGCACUAGGUGGAAUAUAUAUAGGUGUUCGGUGUGCAUCACCGGCGAGCAUUGUAAACCUCCUUUUUCUGAGCCAUAUGGAGUUAAGUUUCUCAUAUUUAGCCUUAAGUUUCUCUCCCGUGAGCUCUACGGAAGGGUCACCAAAUUUGCGUUGGACGACUCCUCGUUCGACCGAACAGUACACGUGAUUCUCCCGCGGCAGACGAGCGUUGCCUAAUUCCAAUUUCGAGCCCUAUCAUGUUAUGUUUCUUAAUCUUCUUCACUAAGUUUCUUUCUGAUUUUUGCCCUUCAGCAUUUCCACAUGGUUAUUAAACCAACACCUCAUGAUAAUGGACCAUUGUUUAUAUUUCAGGUCCUUGCAAUAUCUCUCACCAAACAUGAGAGGAAUUCUUACCUCACGAAAAAAUCCAAUCCCAACACAUCCCUUUCAUAAUAUAUUAGGCCAUUUAUUAGACAUAGAUACACGAUACAAGAACAUAUCUGAUUCUCCUAUGGCAAGGCACUAGACGCAUGGUGAGCAAACGUCCAUUGAUAUUUGCAGCAUAUGGAUGCGUAGCUCAUUAAAACGGGGCACUAGGUAGAAAAUAUAUAGGUGAGCGUCGGAAACCUUUUCUUUUUGAGCCAUAUAGAGUUUAGUUUCUCAUCUUUACCCCUAAGUUUCAUUCCUGUGAGCUCUACAGAAGGGUGACCAAAUAUGUGUUCGUCGACUCUAUCAUGUUAAGUUUCUCAAUCUUCUUCACUAAGUUUUUUUCUGAUUUUUGCGCCUAGAUAGGCUGCUCAUUUAAAUGAGGCACUAGGUGGAAUAUAUAUAGGUGUUCGGUGUGUGUCCACAGCGAGCCUUGUAAACCUCCUUUUUCUGAGCCAUAUGGAGUUAAGUUUCUCAUAUCUAGCCUUAAGUUUCUUUCCCGUGAGCUCUACGGAAGGGUCACCAAUUAUGCGUUAGACGUCUCCUCGUUCGAUCGAACGGUACACGUGAUUCUCCCGCCCCAGACAAGCGUUGCCUAAUUCCAAUUUCGAGCCCUAUCAUGUUAAGUUUAUCAAUCUUCUUCACUAUGUUUCUUUCUGAUUUUUGCGCCUUCCUUCAACAUUUCCACAUGGUUAUUAAACCAACACCUCAUGACAAGAGACCAUUAUGUAUAUCUCAGGUCGGUACUCGUCGUUGCACAAUCUCUCGAUAUAAAUGACCAUUGAUAUUUGCAACAUAUGGAUGCGUAGCUCAUUAAAACGAGGCACUAGGUGGAAUAUAUAUAGGUGUGUGUAACCGGUGAGCGUUGGAAACCUCCUCUUUUUGAGCCAUAUGGAGUUAAGUUUCUCAUAUUUACCCAAAAGUUUCAUUCCCGUGAGCUCUACGGAAGGGUUACCAAAUAUGUGUUCGCCGACUCUAUCAUGUUAAGUUUCUCAAUGUUCUUCACUAAGUUUCUUUCUGAUUUUUGCGCCUAGAUAGGCUGCUCAUUUAAAUGAGGCACUAGGUGGAAUAUCUAUAGGUGUUCGGUGUACGUUCCCGGGGAGCAUUGUAAACCUCCAUUUUCUGAGCCAUAUGGAGUUAAGUUUCUCAUAUUUAGCCUUAAGUUUCUUUCCCAUGAGAUCUACGGAAGGGUCACCAAUUAUGCGUUCGACGUCUCCUCGUUCGAUCAAACCGUACACGUGAUUCUCCCGCGGCAGACGAGCGUUGCCUAAUUCCAAUUUCGUGCCCUAUCAUGUUAAGUUUAUCAAUCUUCUUCACUAAGUUUCUUUCUGAUUUUUGCGCCUUCCUUCAACAUUUCCACAUGAUUAUUAAACCAACACCUCAUGAUAAGAGACCGUUAUGUAUAUUUCAGGUCAGUACUCGUCAUUGCAAAAUCUCUCGACAAAAAUAACCACUGAUAUUUGCAACAUAUGGAUGCGUAGCUCAUUAAAACGAGGCACUAGGUGGAAUAUAUAUAGGUGUGUGUAACCGGUGAGCGUCGGAAACCUCCUCUUUUUGAGCCAUAUGGAGUUAAGUUUCUCAUAUUUACCCCUAAGUUCCUUUCCCGUGAGCUCUACGAAAGGGUGACCAAAUAUGUGUUCGCCGACUCUAUCAUAUUAAGUUUCUCAAUGUUCUUCACUAAGUUUCUUUCUGAUUUUUGCGCCUAGACAGGCUGCUCAUUUAAAUGAGGCACUAGGUGGAAUAUAUAUAGGUGUUCGGUGUGCGUCACCGGCGAGCGUUGUAAACCUCCUUUUUCUGAGCCAUAUAGAGUUAUGUUUCUCAUAUUUAGCCUUAAGUUUCUUUCCCGUGAGCUCUACGGAAGGGUCCCCAAUUAUGCGUUCAACGUCUCCUCGUUCGAUCGAACGGUACACGUGAUUCUUCCGCGGCAGACGAUCAUUGCCUAAUUCCAAUUUCGAGUCGUAUCAUGUUAAGCUUCUCAAUCUUCUUCACUAAGUUUCUUUCUAAUUUUUGCGCCUUCCUUCAACAUUUCCACAUGGUUAUUAAACCAACACCUCAUGAUAAGAGACCGUUAUGUAUAUUUCAGGUCAGUACUCGUCAUUGCAAAAUCUCUCGACAAAAAUAACCACUGAUAUUUGCAUCAUAUGGAUGCGUAGCUCAUUAAAACGAGGCACUAGGUGGAAUAUAUAUAGGUGUGUGUAACCGGUGAGCGUCGGAAACCUCCUCUUUUUGAGCCAUAUGGAGUUAAGUUUCUCAUAUUUACCCCUAAGUUCCUUUCCCGUGAGCUCUACGAAAGGGUGACCAAAUAUGUGUUCGCCGACUCUAUCAUGUUAAGUUUCUCAAUCUUCAUCACUAAGUUUCUUUCUGAUUUUUGCGCCUAGACAGGCUGCUCAUUUAAAUGAGGCACUAGGUGGAAUAUAUAUAGGUGUUCGGUGUGCGUCACCGGCGAGCGUUGUAAACCUCCUUUUUCUGAGCCAUAUAGAGUUAUGUUUCUCAUAUUUAGCCUUAAGUUUCUUUCCCGUGAGCUCUACGGAAGGGUCACCAAUUAUGCGUUAGACGUCUCCUCGUUCGAUCGAACGGUACACGUGAUUCUCCCGCCCCAGACAAGCGUUGCCUAAUUCCAAUUUCGAGCCCUAUCAUGUUAAGUUUAUUAAUCUUCUUCACUAUGUUUCUUUCUGAUUUUUGCGCCUUCCUUCAACAUUUCCACAUGGUUAUUAAACCAACACCUCAUGACAAGAGACCAUUAUGUAUAUCUCAGGUCGGUACUCGUCGUUGCACAAUCUCUCGAUAUAAAUGACCAUUGAUAUUUGCAACAUAUGGAUGCGUAGCUCAUUAAAACGAGGCACUAGGUGGAAUAUAUAUAGGUGUGUGUAACCGGUGAGCGUUGGAAACCUCCUCUUUUUGAGCCAUAUGGAGUUAAGUUUCUCAUAUUUACCCCAAAGUUUCAUUCCCGUGAGCUCUACGGAAGGGUUACCAAAUAUGUGUUCGCCGACUCUAUCAUGUUAAGUUUCUCAAUGUUCUUCACUAAGUUUCUUUCUGAUUUUUGCGCCUAGAUAGGCUGCUCAUUUAAAUGAGGCACUAGGUGGAAUAUCUAUAGGUGUUCGGUGUACGUUCCCGGGGAGCAUUGUAAACCUCCAUUUUCUGAGCCAUAUGGAGUUAAGUUUCUCAUAUUUAGCCUUAAGUUUCUUUCCCAUGAGAUCUACGGAAGGGUCACCAAUUAUGCGUUCGACGUCUCCUCGUUCGAUCAAACCGUACACGUGAUUCUCCCGCGGCAGACGAGCGUUGCCUAAUUCCAAUUUCGUGCCCUAUCAUGUUAAGUUUAUCAAUCUUCUUCACUAAGUUUCUUUCUGAUUUUUGCGCCUUCCUUCAACAUUUCCACAUGAUUAUUAAACCAACACCUCAUGAUAAGAGACCGUUAUGUAUAUUUCAGGUCAGUACUCGUCAUUGCAAAAUCUCUCGACAAAAAUAACCACUGAUAUUUGCAACAUAUGGAUGCGUAGCUCAUUAAAACGAGGCACUAGGUGGAAUAUAUAUAGGUGUGUGUAACCGGUGAGCGUCGGAAACCUCCUCUUUUUGAGCCAUAUGGAGUUAAGUUUCUCAUAUUUACCCCUAAGUUCCUUUCCCGUGAGCUCUACGAAAGGGUGACCAAAUAUGUGUUCGCCGACUCUAUCAUAUUAAGUUUCUCAAUGUUCUUCACUAAGUUUCUUUCUGAUUUUUGCGCCUAGACAGGCUGCUCAUUUAAAUGAGGCACUAGGUGGAAUAUAUAUAGGUGUUCGGUGUGCGUCACCGGCGAGCGUUGUAAACCUCCUUUUUCUGAGCCAUAUAGAGUUAUGUUUCUCAUAUUAAGCCUUAAGUUUCUUUCCCGUGAGCUCUACGGAAGGGUCCCCAAUUAUGCGUUCAACGUCUCCUCGUUCGAUCGAACGGUACACGUGAUUCUUCCGCGGCAGACGAUCAUUGUCUAAUUCCAAUUUCGAGUCGUAUCAUGUUAAGCUUCUCAAUCUUCUUCACUAAGUUUCUUUCUAAUUUUUGCGCCUUCCUUCAACAUUUCCACAUGGUUAAUAAACCAACACCUCAUGAUAAGAGACCAUUAUGUAUAUUUCAGGUCGGUACUCGUCAUUGCAAAAUCUCUCAAUAAAAAUGACCAUUGAUAUUUGCAACAUAUGGAUGUGUAGCUCAUUAAAACGAGGCACUAGGUGGAAUAUAUAUAGGUGUGUGUAACCGGUGAGCGUUAGAAACCUCCUCUUUUUGAGCCAUAUUGAGUUAAUUUUCUCAUAUUUACCGCAAAGUUUCUUUGCCGUGAGCUCUACAGAAGGGUGACCAAAUAUGUGUUCGCCGACUCUAUCAUGUUAAGUUUCUCAAUCUUCUUCACUAAGUUUCUUUCUGAUUUUUGCGCCUAGAUAGCCUGCUCAUUUAAAUGAGGCACUAGGUGGAAUAUCUAUAGGUGUUCGGUGUGCGUCCCCAGGGAGCGUUGUAAACCUCCUUUUUCUGAGCCAUAUGGAGUUAAGUUUCUCAUAUUUAGCCUUCAGUUUCUUUCCCCUGAGAUCUGCGGAAGGGUCACCAAUUAUGCGUUCGACGUCUCCUCGUUCGAUCGAACGGUACACGUGAUUCUCCCGCGGCAGACGAGCUUUGCCUAAUUCCAAUUUCAAGCCCUAUCAUGUUAAGUUUAUCAAUCUUCUUCACUAAGUUUCUUUCUGAUUUUUGUGCCUUCCUUCAACAUUUCCACAUGUUUAUUAAACCAACACCUCAUGAUAAGAGACCAUUAUGUAUAUUUCAGGUCGGUACUCGUCAUUGCAAAAUCUCUCGACGAAAAUGACCAUUGAUAUUUGCAACAUAUGGAUGCGUAGCUCAUUAAUACGGGGCACUAGGUGGAAUAUAUAUAGGUGUGUGUAACCGGUGAGCGUCGGAAACCUCCUCUUUUUGAGCCAUAUGGAUUUAAGUUCCUCAUAUUUACCCCUAAGUUUCUUUCCCGUGAGCUCUAUAGAAGGGUGACCAAAUAUGUGUUCACCGACUCUAUCAUGUUAAGUUUCUCAAUCUUCUUCACUAAGUUUCUUUCUGAUUUUUGCACCUAGAUAGGCUGCUCGUUUAAAUGAGGCACUAGGUGGAAUAUAUAUAGGUGUUCGAUGUGCGUCACCGGCGAGCGUUGUAAACGUCCUUUUUCUGAGCUAUAUGGAGUUAAGUUUCUCAUAUUUAGCCUUAAGUUUCUUUCCCGUGAGCUCUACGGAAGGGUCACCAAUUAUGCGUUCAACAUCUCCUCGUUCGAUCGAACGGUACACGUGAUUCUCCCGCGUCAGACGAGCGUUGCCUAAUUCCAAUUUCGAGCCCUAUCAUGUUAAGUUUAUCAAUCUUCUUCACUAAGUUUCUUUCUGAUUUUUGCGCCUUCCUUCAACAUUUCCACAUGAUUAUUAAACCAACACCUCAUGAUAAGAGACCGUUAUGUAUAUUUCAGGUCAGUACUCGUCAUUGCAAAAUCUCUCGACAAAAACGAGGCACUAGGUGGAAUAUAUAUAGGUGUGUGUAACCGGUGAGCGUCGGAAACCUCCUCUUUUUGAGCCAUAUGGAGUUAAGUUUCUCAUAUUUACCCCUAAGUUCCUUUCCCGUGAGCUCUACGAAAGGGUGACCAAAUAUGUGUUCGCCGACUCUAUCAUGUUAAGUUUCUCAAUCUUCUUCACUAAGUUUCUUUCUGAUUUUUGCGCCUAGACAGGCUGCUCAUUUAAAUGAGGCACUAGGUGGAAUAUAUAUAGGUGUUCGGUGUGCGUCACCGGCGAGCGUUGUAAACCUCCUUUUUCUGAGCCAUAUAGAGUUAUGUUUCUCAUAUUUAGCCUUAAGUUUCUUUCCCGUGAGCUCUACGGAAGGGUCACCAAUUAUGCGUUCAACGUCUCCUCGUUCGAUCGAACGGUACACGUGAUUCUCCCGCGGCAGACGAUCAUUGCCUAAUUCCAAUUUCGAGUCGUAUCAUGUUAAGCUUCUCAAUCUUCUUCACUAAGUUUCUUUCUAAUUUUUGCGCCUUCCUUCAACAUUUCCACAUGGUUAAUAAACCAACACCUCAUGAUAAGAGACCAUUAUGUAUAUUUCAGGUUGGUACUCGUCGUUGCAAAAUCUCUCAACAAAAAUGACCACUGAUAUUUGCAACAUAUGAAUGCGUAGCUCACUAAAACGAGGCACUAGGUGGAAUAUAUAUAUGUGUGUGUAACCGGUGAGCGUCGGAAACCUCCUCUUUUUGAGCCAUAUGGAGUUAAGUUUCUCAUAAUUACCCCUAAGUUUCUUUCCCGUGAGCUCUACGCAAGGGUGAGCAAAUAUUUGUUCGCCGACUCUAUCAUGUUAAGUUUCUCAAUCUUCUUCACUAAGUUUCUUUCUGAUUUUUGCGCCUAGACAGGCUGCUCAUUUAAAUGAGGCACUAGGUGGAAUAUAUAUAGGUGUUCGGUGUGCGUCACCGGCGAGCGUAGUAAACCUCCUUUUUCUGAGCCAUAUGGAAUUAAGUUUCUCAUAUUUAGCCUUAAGUUUCUUUCCCGUGAGCUCUGCGGAAGGGUCACCAAUUAUGCGUUCAACGUCUCCUCGUUCGAUCGAACGGUACACGUGAUUCUCUCGCGUCAGACGAGCGUUGCCUAAUUCCAAUUUCGAGCCGUAUCAUGUUAAGUUUCUCAAUCUUCUUCACUAAGUUUCUUUCUGAUUUUUGUGCCUUCCUUCAACAUUUCCACAUGGUCAUUGAACCAACACCUCAUGAUAAGAGACCAUUAUGUAUAUUUCAGGUUGGUACUCGUCGUUGCAAAAUCUCUCAACAAAAAUGACCACUGAUAUUUGCAACAUAUGAAUGCGUAGCUCACUAAAACGAGGCACUAGGUGGAAUAUAUAUAUGUGUGUGUAACCGGUGAGCGUCGGAAACCUCCUCUUUUUGAGCCAUAUGGAGUUAAGUUUCUCAUAUUUAACCCUAAGUUUCUUUCCCGUGAGCUCUACGGAAGGGUGACCAAAUAUGUGUUCGCCGACUUUAUCAUGUUAAGUUCCUCAAUCUUCUUCACUAAGUUUCUUUCUGAUUUUUGUACCUAGACAGGCUGCUCAUUUAAAUGAGCCACUUGGUGGAAUAUAUAUAGGUGUUCGGUGUGCGUCACCGGCGAGCGUUGUAAACCUCCUUUUUCUGAGCCAUAUGGAGUUAAGUUUAUCAUAUUUAGCCUUAAGUUUCUUUCCCGUGAGCUCUACGGAAGGGUCACCAAUUAUGCGUUCAACGUCUCCUCGUUCGAUCGGAUGGUACACAUGAUUCUCUCGUGACAUACGAGCGUUGGCUAAUUCCAAUUACGAGCCCUACCAUGUUAAGUUUCUCAAUCUUCUUCACUAAGUUUCUUUCUGAUUUUUGCACCUUCCUUCAACAUUUCGACAUGGUUAUUAAACCAACACCUCAUGAUAAGAGACCAUUAUGUAUAUUUCAGGUCGGUACUCGUCGUUGCAAAAUCUCUCAACAAAAAUGACCACUGAUAUUUGCAACAUAUGGAUGCGUAGCUCAUUAAAACGAGGCACUAGGUGGAAUAUAUAUAGGUGUGCGUAACCGGCGAGCGUCGGAAACCUCCUCUUUUUGAGCCAUAUGGAGUUACGUUUCUCAUAUUUAACCCUAAGUUUCUUUCCCGUGAGCUCUACGGAAGGGUGACCAAAUACGUGUUCACCGACUCUAUCAUGUUAAGUUUCUCAAUCUUCUUCACUAAGUUUCUUUCUGAUUUUUGUGCCUAGACAGGCUGCUCAUUUAAAUGAGUCACUAGGUGGAAUAUAUAUAGGUGUUCGGUGUGUGUCACCGGCGAGCAUUGUAAACCUCCUUUUUCUGAGCCAUAUGGACUUAAGUUUCUCAUAUUUAGCCUUAAGUUUCUUUCCCGUGAGCUCUACGGAAGGGUCACCAAUUAUGCGUUCAACGUCUCCUCGUUCGAUCGAACGGUACACGUGAUUCUCCCGCGUCAGACGAGCGUUGCCUAAUUCCAAUUUCGAGCCGUAUCAUGUUAAGUUUCUCAAUCUUCUUCACUAAGUUCCUUUCUGAUUUUUGUGCCUUCCUUCAACAUUUCGACAUGGUUAUUAAACCAACAUCUCAUGAUAAGAGACCACUGAUAUUUGCAACAUAUGGACGCGUAGCUCAUUAAAACGAGGCACUAGGGGGAAUAUAUAUAGGUGUGUGUAACCCGUGAGCAUCGGAAACCUCCUCUUUUUGAGCCAUAUGGAGUUAAGUUUCUCAUAUUUACCCCUAAGUUUCUUUCCCGUGAGCUCUACGCAAGGGUGAGCAAAUAUUUGUUCGCCGACUCUAUCAUGUUAAGUUUCUCAAUCUUCUUCACUAAGUUUCUUUCUGAUUUUUGCGCCUAGACAGGCUGCUCAUUUAAAUGAGGCACUAGGUGGAAUAUAUAUAGGUGUUCGGUGUGCGUCACCGGCGAGCGUUGUAAACCUCCUUUUUCUGAGCCAUAUGGAAUUAAGUUUCUCAUAUUUAGCCUUAAGUUUCUUUCCCGUGAGCUCUACGGAAGGGUCACCAAUUAUGCGUUCAACGUCUCCUCGUUUGAUAGAACGGUACACAUGAUUCUCCCGCGGCAGACGAGCGUUGCCUAAUUCCAAUUACGAGCCCUAUCAUGUUAAGUUUAUCAAUCUUCUUCACUAAGUUUCUUUCUGAUUUUUGCGCCUUCCUUCAGCAUUUCCACAUGGUUAUUAAACCAACACCUCAUGAUAAGAGACCAUUAUGUAUAUUUCAGGUCGGUACUCGUCGUGGCAAAAUCUGUCAAGAAAAAUGACCAUUGAUAUUUGCAACCUAUGGAUGCGUCGCUCAUUAAAACGAGGCACUAGGUGGAAUAUAUAUAGGUGUGCGUAACCGGUGAGCGUCGGAAAUCUCCUAUUUCUGAGCCAUAUGGAGUUAAGUUUCUGAUAUUUAGCCUUAAGUUUCUUUCCCGUGAGAUCUACGGAAGGGUCACCAAAUUUGCGUUGGAUGACUCCUCAUUCGACCAAACGGUACACGCGAUUCUCCCGCGGCAGACGAGCGUUGCCUAAUUCCAAUUUCGAGCCCUAUCAUGUUAAGUUUCUUAAUCUUCUUCACUAAGUUUCUUUCUGAUUUUUGCAACCUUCAGGAUUUCCACAUGGUUAUUAAACCAACACCUCAUGAUAAGAGACCAUUGUUUAUAUUGCAGGUCCUUGCAAAAUCUCUCAACAAACAUGAGAGGAAUUCUUACCUCACGAAAAAAUCCAAUCCCAACACUUCCCUUUCAUAAUAUAUUAGACCAUUUAUUAGACAUAGAUACACGAUAGAAUAACAUAUCUGAUUCGCCUAUGACAAGGCACUAGGUGCAAUUUUCUCAAGACAGGGCAAAAUCUCUCAACCAGUGCCAGCAACGGAUGGUGAUCAAACGACCCUUGAUAUUUGCAGCAUAUGGAUGUGUAGCUCAUUAAAACGAGGCACUAGGUGGAAUAUCUAUAGGUGUGCGUAACCGGUGAGCGUCGGAAACCUCCUGUUUUUGAGUCAUAUGGAGAUAAGUUUCUCAUAUUUACCCCUAAGUUUCUUUCCCGUGAGCUCUAUGGAAGGGUGACGAAAUAUGCAUUCGCCGAAUCUAUCGUGUUAAGUUUCUCAAUCUUACUCACUAAGUUUCUGUCUGAUUUUUGCGCCUAGGCAGGCUGCUCAUUUAAAUGAGGUACUAGGUGGAAUAUAUAUAGGUGUUCGAUGUGCAUCACCGGCGAGCGUUGUAAACCUCCUUUUUUGAGCCAUAUGGAGUUAAGUUUCUCAUAUUUAGCGUUAAGUUUUUUUCCCGUGAGCUCUACAGAAGGGUCACCAAAUUUGCAUUGGACGACUCCUCGUUCGACCGAACGGUACACGUGAUUCUCCCGCGGCAGACGAGCAUUGCCUAAUUCCAAUUUCGAGCCCUAUCAUGUUAAGUUUCUUAAUCUUCUUCACUAAGUGUCUUUCUGAUUUUUGCGCCCUUCAACAUUUCCACAUGGUUAUUAAAACAACACCUCAUGAUAAAAGACCAUUGUUUAUAUUUCAGGUCCUUGCAAAAUCUCUCAACAAACAUGAGAGGAAUUCUUACCUCACAAAGAAAUCCAAUGACAGCACUUCCCUUUCAUAAUAUAUGAGGCCAUUUAUUAGACAUAGCUACAUGAUAGAAGAACAUAUCUGAUUCGCCUAUGACAAGGCACUAGGUGCAAUUUUCUCAAGACAAGGAAAAAUCUCUCAACCAGUUCCAGCGGAGACGGAUAGUGAUCAAAUGACCAUUGAUAUUUGCCACAUAUGGAUGCGUAGCUCAUUAAAACGGGGACCUAAGUGGAAUAUAUAUAGGUGUGCGUAACCGGUGAGCGUCGGAAACCUCCUCUUUUUGAGCCGUAUGGAGUUAAGUUUCUCAAAUUUACCCCUACGUUUCUUUCUCGUGAGCUCUACGGAAGGGUGACCAAAUAUGUGUUCGCCGACUCUAUCAUGUUAAGUUUCUCAAUCUUGUUCACUAUGUUUCUUUCUAAUUUUUGCGCCUAGAUAGGCUGCUCAUUUAAAUGAGGCACUAGGUGGAAUAUAUAUAGGUGUUCGGUGUGGGUCCCCGGCGAGCAUUGUAAACCUCCUUUUUCGGAGCCAUAUGGAGUUAAGUUUCUCAUAUUUAGCGUUAAGUUUCUUUCCCGUGAGCUCUACGGAAUGGUCACCAAUUAUGCGUUCGACGUCUCGUUCGAUCGAACGGUACACGUGAUUCUGCCGCGGCAGACGAGCGUUGCCAAAUUCCAAUUUCGAGCCCUGUCAUGUUAAGUUUAACAAUCUUCUUCACUAAGUUUCUUUUUGAUUUUUGUGCCUUCCUUCAACGUUUCCACAUGGUUAUUAAACAGACACCUCAUGAUAAGAGGCCAUUAUGUAUAUUUCAGGUCGGUACUCAUCAUUGCAAAAUCUCUCGACAAAAAUGACGAUUGAUAUUUGCAACAUAUGGAUGCGUAGCUCAUUAAAACGAGGCACUAGGUGGAAUAAAUAUAGGUGUGUGUAACCGGUGAGCGUCGCAAACCUCCUCUUUUUGAUCCAUAUGGAGUAAAGUUUCUCAUAUUUACCCCUAAGUUUCUGUCACGUAAGCUAUACGGAAGGGUGACCAAAUAUGUGUUCGGCGACUCUAUCAUGUUAAGUUUCUCAAUCUUCUUCACUAAGUUUCUUUCUGAUUUUUGCGCCUAGACAGGCUCCCCAUUUAAAUGAGGCACCAGGUGGAAUAUAUAUAGGUGUUCGUUGUGCGUCACCGGCGGGCGUUGUAAACCUCCUUUUUCUGAGCCAUAUGGAGUUAAGUUUCUUAUAUUUAGCCUUAAGUGUCUCUCCCGUGAGCUCUACGGAAGGGUCACCAAUUAUGCGUUCGACGUCUCCUCGUUCGAUCGAACGGUACACGUGAUUCUCCCGCGGCAGACGAGCGUUGCCUAAUUCCAAUUUCGAGCCCUAUCAUGUUAAGUUUAUCAAUCUUCUUCACUAAGUUUCUUUCUGAUUUUUGCGCCUUCGUUCAGCAUUUCCACAUGGUUAUUAAACCAACACCUCAUGAUAAGAGACCAUUAUGUAUAUUUCAGGUCGGUACUCGUCGUUGCAAAAUCUCUCAACAAAAAUGACCAUAGAUAUUUGCAACAUAUGGAUGCGUAGCUCAUUAAAACGAGGCACUAGGUGGAAUAUAUAUAGGUGUGUGUAACCGGUGAGCGUCGGAAACCUCCUCUUUUUGAGCCACGUGGAGUUAAGUUUCUCAUAUUUACCCCUAGGUUUCUUUCCCUUGAGCUCUACAGAAGGGUGACCAUAUAUGUGUUCACCGACUCUAUCAUGUUAAGUUUCUCAAUCUUCUUCACUAAGUUUCUUUCUGAUUUUUGCGCCUAGACAGGCUGCUCAUUUAAAUGAGGCACUAGGUGUUCGUCACCGGCGAGCGUUGUAGACCUCCUUUUUCUGAGCCAUAUGGAGUUAAGUUUCUCAUAUUUAGCCUUAAGUUUCUUUCCCGUGAGCUCUACGGAAGGGUCACAUAUUAUGCGUUCGACGUCUCCUCGUUCGAUCGAACGGUACACGUGAUUCUCCCGCGGCAGACGAGCUCUGGCACCCCGGCUCAGAGCAACCGGUUUACCAUGCAUUGCCAGCCCAGAGACCUUGUCUUCUGGCAACACACAACAUCUUGGUACAGAAAACAACCGCUUUAUUGAUGCUAGCGGAUCAAAGUUUACAUUACAACAGGUGGCGAGGCCAAGCGGCACACACGGUGCGGCUGAACAAUAUGUACAUUAUUUGGUGAACAUGAAUGGGCCUCGAUCAAAGCAACUACACGGCAGUGGAACAACGUCGUAGCGGAAACUCCAUAGCACAGGCACACCAAUGUGGACACGAUCUAGACUCAGACAACACUCCUUUCCAAUGAGACUUUCCUAAAAUCUGGCAUGACACGCCACGUCAGUACAUUGAAUGUACUUGCAAGCUCACAACAAACAUAAACAUAAUGACAAACAAUAUCAUGACAAUUAACCAAUUCAUAAAAAUGCAACAACAUAACCAUCAUGUUGUGAUCAUUCCCUUGUGAUAACAGUCCCUUGGACUGACUUACCAACCAUCGUACCACCCUCGUCGUCAUGACUAAAGAUCUCGUGAUCCUUCCGGCGAUCACAACCAUGACCAACAUUUGGUCUUCAACGGUGAUCCUUCCGGCGAUCACAACCACGAUCAACACUUCGUCUACACCCAAGAUGAUCUUUACGACAUCAUCAACAGUGCAAAGUUUAUAACAUAGUGUGCAAGAUUUAUUAAAUGUUGACCCAUGGUGUGACCUACUUACGAGCGUGUCCGUAACCGUGGACUCGGCUAUCGAUAGAUUAAUACACUCUGCAGAGGUAGCGCACUGUACCCACACCACGGAAUCCAUGGCCUCGCACACCAUUUCGGGUGGACCAACGGCAUUCCGACGAAACCCCUCUGUCGCCAUGACACUCUCCCGGCCACUCCGACUCACUCCCCACUGGGCUAGUCCUGGAUGGCCCCGUGUCUACCAAAGACACAACGACCACCGUUGUGGCCAAAAUAUAAAUGAUCCCACUCGGGGACCCGGUACCAUAAACUCAACAACGGGCACACAAGGUUAUGUCUGCUUACCGGGCCAGGGUACCACACGCCCAUAACCUUCCCUAGUUGGAGGCACCGACCAGAGGCAUGACAACAGAUAGAAUAAAGGCCGUCCCAUACCGGCAAAUGUGGUUGCACUGGGAAAAGCUCGAUUCAGUGGCACCAUGACCCGGUCAACAAUAUCUUCAAGUUGUGUUAUUAUUAGGUUCAACUUAAAGUGAAAAUAACCGGUGUCACAAUGUCAUGACAUGCAACACUAACAUAUGCAUCACAUAUCAACGGGAAUGACUAAGUCAACUAUAUCCACACUAAGCAUCAACAUCAACACAUCAUGAAACUUCUCUGGUUAAGGUAAAACCUGACUUUAAACAGAAUCUUUCCAACAAAUUUUCCCAUUUUUAUUUAUGCAAGAAAAAUAACUCCACUAAUUAUUUAUAUUCGUAACUAUAUUAUUCUUUCAUCACUCAAAAUAUAUCCUAGUUUCUUUACCAACCAAACUAACUUCAAACUUUCUGUAAAUGAAGCAUAUUUCCUAAAGCAAGCAAUUAACAUAAUAUAAAUAUCAUAAUGAUUUAAAUGCAUGGAUUAUAUCAUUUGUUCAAGUAAGAAAAUCACAAAUAUUGAAAUGGCACCAUGGAAAGGUUGAUGUGGCUUGCCUUAGUGCAGACGAGGUUCACACGCCUCCUGGUGAUCCUCAAGACAAGCCUCACCCUCUGAAAAUAAUUUUAAACACAAGAAGAAAAUAUCAAGAAACCUUCUGAAAUUCACCAGAAAAUCUAGACAGCAGGGAAGAAUCCCAUCUUUGGUGAGCUGCUAGAGUUUUGAACAAAGAACACAAUGCAAAAAGAAUCAAUUCAUUUGGACUUAUGGUUAAAGAGUUUUGGCCGUUUGAAUCUCUCUGGAUAAAAAUGAAUUUGAAUUUAAAUAAAACAGACAGGGGGGUGACGUCGAAGGCGUAAAAGCCUCGGGACACCACCACUCGUACCGCUUCGCAUGCGUACUGAGUGGCUGACUAGCGGGCCCUGCUAGUCAGGUGAGGGGGAGAGAGAGAGAGGGAAAUAGAGAGCGGUGCGGCUUCGCCGGAGCGCACGCCGACGACGAGGGCUCCUUGGCCAAAAUGAGAGGGAGGGAUCGAGAGAGGAGACGGAGGCGCACCUGCCCGUACCCGUAGAGUAGCUAGGGGUGGUCGGACGGCGUCGGAUUCAACCUCUCAAGCGGAGGCAGUGGGCGGAGGUCGCCGGAGACGAAGACGACGGUGAACGGAGGCGACUCUAGGGGCUCCAACCAGCCGGAACGGCACCACCGAACAGUGGCGGAGGCCCUGGAAGGGUUGCCCUGGCCUGGGAGGGGCUGGAGCUGCGGAGAUGACCCGAGGGGAUCGCCGGCGUGCUCGAGCUCGGGGCCGGCGGUCCGCGGCCUGCCCGGCCAGGCUACGGCUAUCUACGCGAUCAUGGAGUGUGUGGGAGUGGUGGAUGGUGCUCUAGGAGGCUGGGGAGGGCUCUAUUUAUAGCCGAGCGUCGAGAGGGGUUCGGGCUCCGCCGGUGGACACCUGGCCACGCUGCCCAGCGACGAACGGCGUCAGUGAGAGGGGGAGAAGAAGACGCAGCUCACUUGGGGACUGUUGGCGAAUGGGGACGAGCACAGUGGCGAGAGGAAGGCGACGAGCACUGUGCGCACUGCACUGUUACGUUGGCCGGACCGUGCCCGUGCUCACUGCGGCGAGCUCCGGCAUCGGUGAGUGCCAGGGGGAGUUAAGAGGGCUCGGACGAAGAUGGUGGCGCGGUUUGGCACGCUCAGGUAGGCGGGGAAGCGAGCACGCGCGAAACAGAGGCUCAGGCGGCGCUCAGUGCGCGUCAGCUGCAUGCUAGCACGCCUGGAGGAACGUGGUCACCACGUGAUCUUUGCCCUCAGGCCGAACUAGGUCCAAAGUUCAUGUCUGGCUUGUUGUUCGUGGUAGUUUUGAAUGUUACCAUGCUUGGGCUGGGUCUCAGGUGCAGUAGAAAUGAUUUCACACGCCAGGUAAGUUUCUGGACAGUAACUUUGGGAGUUUACUGUGGUCAAUCUACUGGGAGUUGGGGGCUGGGCUUUGGAGUUUAGCAAUCAUCUACUAAGGUGAUGAAGCACAAGAAAGGUCAGCCACAGAAGAGCAAGUAAAAUGGUAGUUGCUGUAGAAACUACCAUUUCUGCCCAGAACAGAAAAUAUUUUCUGUAGCCAAAAUAUACCAAAAAGUGAUGAAAUAUUUUUUCUCAGAAAGGUGCCCUAGGGUUCAAAGAAUAAUUGGGAUUUUUCUCAGAUUUUUAUGGGCCAUAAAAAUUGUGGUUGCUUUGGAGCACAUUGAGUUAGCUAGGGUUUAAGAGAGGAAAAUGAAUAUUUUUCAUUAAAGAAAAAUAUUCCAAAUGCUAUUUUGAGAUGAACCAGUGAGGGAAUGAUGGCUAGAGAGGGAAACGAGACACUUGAGUGAAAGCCAAGGGGUACCCCCAAGUGUUUAAGUCCAUAUGAAAAGAUUCAAAACUCCAAAUUUCAAAUUGAGAUCAACUGAGAAUCAGGCAAAGAAGAGAGGGCAAAAACCAGGCUGUCACAAACCUCCCCCACUUAGAAUGAAUCUCGUCCUCGAGAUUCACUUGCUUGGGAAAACCAUUCUGGAUAAUGUGCCUGUAGAAAUUCUUCCCGUUCCCAGGUUGAUUCUGACUCUGUGUGAUGCUCCCACUGGACUUUGUAGAACUUCCUUGCUUUACUACGGGUGACCCUUUCCAUCUCAUCCAAAAUUCUAACCGGCCUCUCUUCGUAUGUUAAAUCCUUUGCCAGCUCUAUUUCCGUCAUAUUAGUCUUUUUCUCAAGCAGCGAUAUGCAUCGCCUCAACUGUGAAACAUGAAACACGUUGUGCACUUCCGACAAUUCAGGGGGUAGUUCCAACUGAUAUGCAACAGUACCUACUCGUGACAUAAUGGGAAAUGGACCAAUAAAUCUGGGUGCCAACUUUCCACGAGUCUGAAAUCUCUUGACUCCUUUCAUAGGCGUGACUCGGAGAUAUACGUGUUCUUCGGGUUCAAAACUGAUCUGUCGGUGCUUUCCAUCAUAAUUUCUCUUCUGUCGAGAUUUGGCCAACUGCAAUCUGUCUCUGAUUUCCUUGACUUGAUUCUCGGCUUCCAGCAUGAGAUCCGUUCCGAAAAUACGGCUAUCUCCAGUUUGGGACCAAUUUAAAGGAGUGCGGCACUUAUGGCCAUACAAAGCCUCAUACAGUGACAUAUUUAAACUGGUCUGGAAGCUAUUGUUGUAAGACAAGUCAGCAUAUGGGAGACAGUCUUCCCAUUUAGGUCCUUGGGCCAAAGCACAGGCUCGAAGCAUAUCUUCGAGUAUUUGGUUUACCCGCUCUAUUUGUCCAUCAGUCUGAGGAUGAUAAGCGGUACUAUAUUUCAGUGCUGUCCCCAAGGCUUGAUGGAAACGUGACCAAAAAGCAGAGGUAAAAAGUGAACCUUGGUCAGAAGUGAUGGUUCGGGGUACUCCAUGCAGACUGACUAUUCUGGAUACAUACAGCUGUGCAAGUUCAUCUACUCGAUAUGUGGUUCUGAUCCGGAUAAAGUGAGCUACCUUGGUUAAAGUGUCCACUAUGACCCAGAUUGCAUCAUUGCCCCGCCGAGUCUUAGGUAACCCUGUGAUGAAAUCCAUCCAGACAUCAUCCCAUUUUGAUUGUGAAACCGACAGUGGUUAAAGAAGUCUGGCUGGCUUCUGAUGCUUCGCCUUCACUUUGUUGCAUAUGUUGCAACAUGCCACAAAGUAGGCAAUGUCUUUCUUCAUUCUAUCCCACCAAAAUAUUUGUCGAAGGUCUUCAUACAUUUUCGUACUUCCAGGGUGAAUAGAAUACGAGGAUUCAUGUGCUUCUGACAGGAUUUUCUGUUUCAAAUCCGCUUGAUUGGGUACACAAAUCCUUCCACAGAAUCAGAGGGUAUCGAAUUGAUCCUUCGAGAAAUCUGAAGUCUGUCCUGCUACCAUAUUCUUGGCCCGUUUCUGUAGAAUGGUGUCAUCGGGCUGGGCCUUGCGGAUCUCUUCCUCAAGUGUGGGGGUAACUUCCCAAAUCUUAGCAAGGCCAGCAUCAACUAUGACCAGGUUGAACUGAGCAAUUUCCUCUUGAAGUUCAGGAGGCAAGGAUUCCACUAUGACAUUUAGGCUGACAGGCUUUCGACUGAGUGCAUCGGCAACCAUGUUGGCCUUACCCGGGUGGUAAUUUAUUCCAAGGUCAUAAUCCUUGACCAACUCAAGCCAUCUUCGUUGAUGGAGAUUUAAAUCUGGCUGAGUAAAUAUGUACUUGAGACUUUUGUGAUCGGUGAAAACUUGGCACCUCUUCCCGAUGAGAUAGUGUCUCCAAAUUUUUAGAGCAUGAACCACCGCGGCCAAUUCCAAUGAGUAGGAUAAUUUCCCUCGUGGAGUCAUAGUUGUCGCGAUGCAUAGGCUACUACCUUGCCGUCUUGCAUAAGUACGCAUCCAAGUCCUGGUCUGGAGGCGUCGCAGUACACAUCAAAACUGCGGUAGAUAUCUGGAAGAGUCAACACCGGUGUGGUUCUCAACCGUAUCUUUAGCUCAUUGAAACUUUUCUCACAGUCCUCAGUCCAUUCAAACUUCUUAUCCUUUUUGAGCAGCUUCGUCAUGGGUUUAGCAAUCUUGGAAAAACCUUCAAUGAAACGACGGUAAUAUCCGGCUAAUCCAAGAAAACUUCGGAUCUGAGACACGGUUGUGGGCGGCAACCAAUCGAGCACAUCCUUUACUUUGCUUGGAUCCAUGGCUAUACCUUCAGCAGAUAGCACAUGCCCAAGAAAUCCAACUUGCUUGAGCAAAAACUCACAUUUACUAAAUUUGGCGUAUAGCUGAUGUUCGCGGAGUCAUUGUAACACUGCUCGCAGGUGUUCUUUGUGAUCUUCUUCACUUCUUGAGUAAAUAAGUAUAUCAUCAAUGAAGACUACCACGAACUUAUCGAGGAAGACCAUGAAUACUUUGUUCAUCAUAUGCAUGAAGAAGGCAGGGGCAUUGGUGAGACCAAAGAACAUAACUGUAUAUUCAUAAAGACCGUAUCGAGUGGUGAAUGCAGUCUUAGGAAUAUCUUCCUUUUUAAUAUUGAGCUGAUGAUAUCCGGUCCAUAAAUCAAUCUUGGAGAAUACCUUGGCCCCAGUAAGGUGAUCAAACAGGUCAUCAAUCCUUGGCAGUGGAUAUUUGUUUUUGAUUAUGACAUCAUUCAGCUGACGGUAAUCCACACACAUGCGGAGGCUGCCAUCCCUUUUAUCCACGGAUAGCAGGUGAUCCCCAUGGUGAAGAGCUGGGACGGAUAUAUCCUUUCUGGAGCAUUUCAUCAAGCUGUUUCUUCAGCUCUACUAAUUCUGACGAGGGCAUCCGGUAGUACUUCUUGUGUAACGGUGCGGUUCCGGACACAAGAUCUAUUGCAAACUCAAGCUCUCGGUCUGGUGGCAUGCCUGGCAGUUCUUCUGGAAAUACGUCAGGAAAUUCACUGACCACAAGAAUUAAUUCCAAUUCAGCCACAGCGGUGAAGACCAUUUCUUUCUUGGGUAUACUUCUGCGAGCAUAGAAUUUUGUAGUCUGUGCCUUCUGACUAGUCAAAGUGACUUCUCGGGUCGCACAAUUUAUACAUACUUGAUAUUGAGUCAGCCAAUUCAUACCCAAGAUAACAUCCAACUUAGCAGACUCAAUAAUUAUCAAAGAAGUGGGAAAAUAGACUCCAUUGAUAUUGACUUCCAAAUUACGGCAGACCAGAUUGCUUAUGAUUGAGGAUCCCGGGGUUUGUAGCAGCAUAUUCUUGCCCAAAAGCGAACAAGGAAAUUUGUUUUGGGCAACAAAACUCCGAGAAAUAAAAGAGUGGGAAGCCCAGAGUCAAAUAAAAUCACUGCAGGUAUGUUAUUAACAGAAAACAUACCAAUUACGACUUCGGGGUUCUCUUGGGCUUCAUCGGCGGAGAGGUGAUGAACGUGCCCAAUGAUGUUUUGCUGGUCCGGGCAUGACUCCAUAAAAUUGACUUGUGGCCUGAAUAUAGCAUUCCCCUUGCUGUUCUUGGGACACUGUCUGGCAUAAUGUCCGAUUUGCCCAUAACUGAAGCAAGAAUGUUGCGAUGGCGCUCCUCGUGCACUAGGUUGGUUACGACAUUCUUGACUUGAGUGGUGGUCUUGUUAACAUUUUGUUGCCAAUUGGGCUUGUAUUCCACCUGAGUCUGCUGCCAGGUACGAGCCUUUUGCACUGGUUGCCCUUCCUUUCUUGGCUCAAACUUGCGCUUGUGAUCGUUAUUAGCAGGCUUAUUUUCCGAUACAAGUUUGUGCUCCCUUUCAGCAAUGAAAGCCUUGUUCACCAGAGUUUGAAAAUCUGGGAAAUCAAACAUACUGAGAGUACACCAGAGUUGCGGGUUUAAUCCACCAAGAAAUCUGUCAAUCUUCCUUUCUUCAGUGGCCAUGUCAUAUAGGGAGUAGCAUGACAGAUGAUUGAAUUUUUGCAAAUAUUCACCCACAGACUGAUUUCCUUGGAGGAGCGCGAGAAAUUUGCGCUUCUUAGUCUUCAUAAUUCCAGUACGGAUAUGAUAUUUACGGAAUUGUUCCUUGAAUUUUGACCAGGUGAUUUCUUCAUCAGCAGGCCACAUUGCUUUUGCAUUUUCCCACCAUAUGGCAGCAGCGCCUUCAAGAUAAUGAGUUGCAAAUGGAACCUUAUCUCCUUCUUCACUACGAGCAAUCUCAAGUUUCUUCUCAAUAGUUCGUAACCAAUCGUCUCCAUCCAAGGGAUCAACAACCUGACUGAAACAGGGAGGCUUGGUCCUUUGAAAGUCUGAUAACUUAGAAUGAUGACCGUUCUGAUUCCCAUUCUGUCCAAUCAUAGCUUGCACACUUUUUAAUAUUUCAAUCAGAUCAUUAUUCCGUCUUUCCUCAAACAUAUGCAUAAUUUGCUCGGUGGAGGGUGGAUUUGGCGGUGGAGGCGGUGGUGGAACGUACGGCUCGGGGGAGUGUCCUGCCUGUCGUGCGGAACGACAAACAGGAGAACCCUCGCGAACAUUGCUACUGCUGCCCCUGCGUCAUCCUAUUGUGAUUUUUCCCAAGGCAACGCAACCGAGAUGAGAAAUAUUCAAAAUAAAUUGGGGAAAGCCAGCAACAAAAGCCCAAGAAAAACCGAAAAGACAAAGGAAUUACGGCGAAUAAAAUAGAGUUCCAACAUAAUUAUACAUAGACUCAUACAUGAAAGAUAAACAACAUUCCAGGUUCAACUACUCUCAUACAUGGAACGAAAUCUCAUGAAUUGUACGACUACAUCCGUACACCAUACUGACGACUGUGAAUACUCAGAAACUCUACUACUCUGCUGGAGCUGCGGGGUCUUCUCCUGAAGGGGACUCGGAUCCUGAACUGACAUGGUUAACUGAGACCUCCGGGUUAAAGGUAGCACGACAACUCUGCCUCGAGGACUCUCCCUCCGGGGCAGGUGUAGGGUGAAGCAUCGGGGUUGCAGGGGUAGCGAGAAGCGAACCCACUCAGCAGGAGCACUGAGAGGACCCACGGUCGCGGUGCCCGACCUACUCGGAGGAGUAACCGGUGAAACAGGGGAACUAGAACUGGCUGGAAUAUAAGGAGUAAAUCCCACGGAUGCUGGAGCAGUAACAGAUCUAGUAGAGGCUAAAGCAGUACGAGCAUGAGUCACCUCUCGAGCCAGCUCAUGGAUCAUAACAUAGCUAGCAGUGAUAUAACGAGAAAGGUGGCUAGCAACACUAUCGGACUCCGGAUCAAUGAUAGGGAAACGGACACGACCAUUAUCGUGCAGAGAAGGAUAGUAGUAGAAACCUGGGUGAUUCUGCAUCUGAACCUCGUUGUAACGAAGCUUGACAAGGACCUCAAAUGCAGCAAACUGGACAACCUGAGAAGCGGUAGAAGCGUAACCGCUCUGAGAGGUACGAGUGUAAGUGCUGGAAUCGGAACUGGUGCGAAGAGUAACCACGACGUGAUACUCAUACACUGAGUCUGCUAGACGCUCCCGGUACACACGAUAGGCUGGGUCGUCACCGAGGGGGUACAGCCGAUGCGACACGUUACGAAGGAGAUGCGGCGACGUGUACGGCAUCAGCUGCAACUGGCACGGAUACGGCACCGGAGCCAUCUAGACUCACAACCAUUAGCAGGUUAGCAUAAAAUAAAACAAGUGUAUGCCAUGCAACAACCAGCUACUGAUGCUACCGACACUCAACUAAAACUCGUAUCUACCGUCCAGUUAACAUGUCGUAGUCUAGCAUGGACUACAGUCAGCGCGGAUCUGAUACCAAGCGUUGUGGCACCCCGGCUCAGAGCAACCGGUUUACCAUUCAUUGCCAGCCCAGAGACCUUGUCUUCUGGCAACACACAACAUCUUGGUACAUAAAACAACCGUUUUAUUGAUGCUAGCGGAUCAAAGUUUACAUUACAACAGGUGGCGAGGCCAAGCGGCACUCACAGUGCGGCUGAACAAUACGUACAUUAUUUAGUGAACAUGAAUGGGCCUCGAUAAAAGCAACUACGCGGCAGCGGAACAACGUCGUAGCGGAAACUCCAUAGCACAGGGACACCGAUGUGGACACGAUCUAGACUCGGACAGCACUCCUUUCCAACGAGACUUUCCUGAAAUCUGGCAUGACACGCCAGGUCAGUACAUUGAAUGUACUUGAAAGCUCACAACAAACAUAAUGAUAAACAAUAUCAUGACAAUUAACCAAUUCAUAAAAAUGCAACAACAUAACCAUCAUGGUGUGAUCAUGCCCUUGUGAUAACAGUCCCUUGGACUGACUUACCAACCAUCGUACCACCCUCGUGGUCAUGACUAAAGAUAUCUCGUGAUCCUUCCGGCGAUCACAACCACGACCACCAUUUGGUCUUCAACGGUGAUCCUUCCGGCGAUCACAACCACGACCAACACUUGGUCUACCCCCAAGAUGAUCUUUACGACAUCAUCAACAGUGCAAGUUUAUAACUUAGUGUGCAAGAUUUAUUAAACGUUGACCCAUGGUGUGACCUACUUAUGAGCGUGUCCGUAACCGUGGACUCGGCUAUCGAUAGAUUAAUACACUCUGCAGAGGUAGCGCACUGUACCCAAACCACGGAACCCAUGGCCUCACACUCCCAUUCAGGUGGACCAACGGCAUUCCGACGAAACCCCUCCAUUGCCAUGACACUCUCCCGGCCACUCUGACUCACUCCCCACUGGGCUAGUCUUGGGUGGCCCCAUGUCUACCAAAGACACAACGACCACCGUCGUGGCCAAAACAUAAACGAUCCCACUCGGGGACCCGGUACCAUAAACUCAACAAUGGGCACACAAGGUUAUGUCUGCUUACAGGGCCAGGUUACCGCACGCCCAUAACCUUCCCUAGUUGGAGGCACCGACCAGAGGCAUGACAACGGAAAGAAUAAAGGCCGUCCCAUACCGACAAAUGUGGUUGCACUGGGAAAAACUCGAUUCAGUGGCACCAUGACCCGGUCAACAAUAUCUUCAAGUUGUGUUAUUAUCAGGUUCAACUUAAAGUGAAAAUAACCGGUGUUACAAUGUCAUGACUUGCAACACUAACAUAUGCAUCACAUAUCAACGGGAAUGACUGAGUCAACUAGAUCCACACUAAGCAUCAACAUCAACACAUGAUGAAACUUCUCUAGUUAAGGUAAAACCUCACUUUAAACAGAAUCUUUCUAGCAAAGUUUACCAUUUUUAUUUAUGCAAGAAAAAUAACUCCACUAAUUAUUUAUAUUCAUAACCAUAUUAUUCUUUCAUCACUCAAAAUAUAUCCUAGUUUCUUUACCAACUAAACUAAUUUCAAACUUUCUGUAAAUCCAGCAUAUUACCUAAAGCAAGCAAUUAACAGAAUAUAAAUAUCAUAAUGAUUUAAAUGCAUGGAUUAUAUCAUUUGUUCAAGUAAGAAAAUCACAAAUAUUGAAAUGGCACCAUGAAAAUGUUGCUGUGGCUUGCCUUAGUGCAGAUUAGGUUCACAAGCCUCCUGGUGAUCCUCAAGACAAGCCUCACCCUCUAAAUAAUUUUAAACACAAGAAGAAAAUAUCAAGACACCUUCUGAAAUUCACCAGAAAAUCUAGACUGCAGGGAAAAUCCCAUCUUUGGUGAGCUGCUAGAGUUUUGAACAAAUAACAUAAUGCAAAAAGAAUUAAUUCAUUUGGACUUAUGGUUAAACAGUUUUGGUCGUUUGAAGCUCUCUGGAUAAAAAUGAAUUUGAAUUUAAAUAAAACAGUCAGGGGGGUGACAUCGAAGGCGUAAAAGCCUCGGGGCGCCACCACUCGUACCGCUUCGCGCGCGUACUGAGUGGCUGACUAGCGGGAAACAGAGAGCGGCGCGGCUUCGCUGGAGCGCACGCCGGCGACGAGGGCUCCUUUGCCAAAACGAGAGGGAGGGAUCGAGAGAGGAGACGGAGGCGCACCUGCCCUUACCCGUAGAGUAUGUAGGGGUGGUCAAACGGCGUCGGAUUCAACCUCUCAAGCAGAGACAGCGGGCGGAGGUCGCCGGAGACGAAGACAACGGCGAACGGAGGUGACUCCAGGGGCUCCAACCAGGCGGAACGGCACCACCGGAGAGUGGCGGAGGCGUUGGAAGGGUUGCCCUGGCCUGGGAGGGGCUGGAGCUGCAGAGAUGACCCGAGGGGAUCGCCGACGAGCUCGAGCUCGGGGACGGCGGCCCGCGGCCUGCCCGGCCGGGCUACGGCUAUCUACUCGACCGUGGAGUGUGUGGGAGUGGUGGAUGGUGCUCGAGGAGGCUGGGGAGGGCUCUAUUUAUAGCCGAGCAUCGAGGGGGUUCGGGUUCCGCUGGUGGACACCUGGCCACAGCGCCCGGCGAUGAACGACGUCACUGAGAGGGGGAGAAGAAGACGCAGCUCACGCGGGGACUGUUGGCAAACGGGGACGAGCAUAAGGACGAGAGGAAGGUGACGAGCACAUUGCGCACCGCACUAUUACGUUGGUCGGACUAUGCCUGUGCUCGCUGCGGCGAGCUCUGGCGUCAGCGAGUGCCAGGGGGGAGUUAAGAGGGCUCGGACGAAGAUGGUGGCACGGUUUGGCAUGCUGAGGCAGGCGGGGCAGCGAGCAGGCGUGAAACAGAGGAUCGGGCGGCGCUCAGAGCGCGUCGGCCGCAUGCCAGCACGCCUGGACAAACGCGGUCACCACGUGAUCUUUGCCCUCAGGCCAAACUAGGUCCAAAGUUCAUGUCUGGCUUGUUGUUCAUGGUAGUUUUGAAUGUUACCAUGCUUGGGUUGGGUCUCAGGUGCAGUAGAAAUGAUUUCACACGCCAGGUAAGUUUCUGGACAGUAACUUUGAGAGUUUACUGUGGUCAAUCUACUGGGAGUUGGGGGCUGGGCUUUGGAGGUUAGCAAUCAUAUACUAAGGUUAUGAAGCACAAGAAAGAUCAUCCACAGAAGAGCAAGUAAAAUGGCAGUUGCUGUAGAAACUACCAUUUCUGCCCAGAACAGAAAAUAUUUUCUGUAGCCAAAAUAUUCCAAAAAGUGAUGAAAUAUUUUUGCUCAGAAAGGUGCCCUAGGGUUCAAAGAAUAAUUGGGAUUUUUCUCAGAUUUUUGGGCCAUAAAAAAUGGGGUUGCUUUGGAGCACAAUGAGUUAGCUAGGGUUCAAGAGAGGGAAAUGAAUAUUUUUCAUUAAAGAAAAAUAUUCCAAAUGCUAUUUUGAGAUGAACCGGAGAGGGAAUGAUGGCUAGAGAGGGAAAUGAGGCACUUGGGUGAACGCCAAGGGGUACCCAAGUGCUUAAGUCCAUAUUAAAAGAUUCAAAACUCCAAAUUUCAAAUUCAAAUCAACUGAGAAUCAGGCUAAGAAGAGAGGGCAAAAACCAGGCUGUCACAUGAGCGUUGCCUAAUUCCAAUUUCGAGCCCUAUCAUGCUAAGUUUAUCAAUCUUCUUCACUAAGUUUCUUUCGGAUUUUUGCGCCUUCCUUCAGCAUUUCCACAUGGUUAUUAAACCAACACCUCAUGAUAAGAGACCAUUACGUAUAUUUCAGGUCGGUACUCGUCGCUGCAAAAUCUCUCAACAAAAAUGACCAUUGAUAUUUGCAGCAUAUGGAUGCGUAGCUCAUUAAAACGAGGCACUAGGUCGAAUAUAUAUAGGUGUGCGUAACCGGUGAGCAUUGGAAACCUCCUCUUUUUGAGCAAUAUGGAGUUAAGUUUCUAUAUUUACCCCUAAGUUUCUUUCCCGUGAGCUCUACGGAAGGGUGACCAAAUAUGUGUUCGCCGACUCUAUCAUGUUAAGUUUCUCAAUCUUCUUCACUAAGUUUCUUUCUGAUUUUUGCGCCUAGACAGGCUGCUCAUUUAAAUGAGGCACUAGGUGGAAUACAUAUAUGUGUUCGGUGUGUGUCCCCGGCGAGCGUUGUAAACCUCGUUUUUCUAAGUCAUAUGGAGUUAAGUUUCUCAUAUUUAGCCUUAAGUUUCAUUCCCGUGAGCUCUAUGGAAGGGUCACCAAUUAUGCGUUCGACGUCUCCUCCUUUGAUCGAACGGUACAUGUGAUUCUCCCGUGGCAGACGAGCGUUGUCUAAUUCCAACUUCGAGCCCUAUCAUGUUAAGUUUAUCAAUCUUCUUCACACACUUUCUUUCUAAUUUUUGCGCCUUCCUUCAGCAUUUCCACAUGGUUAUUAAACCAACACCUCAUGAUAAGAGACCAUUAUGUAUAUUUCAGGUCGGUACUCGUCGUUGCAAAAUCUCCCAACAAAAAUGACCAUUGAUAUUUGCAACAUAUGGAUGUGUAGCUCAUUAAAACGAGGCAAUAGGUGGAAUAUAUAUAGGUGUGCGUAAACGGUGAGCGUCGGAAACCUCCUCUUUUUGAGCCAUAUGGAGUUAAGUUUCUCAUAUUUAGCCCUAAGUUUCUUUCUCGUGAGCUCUACGGAAGGGUGACGAAAUAUGCGUUCGCGGACUCUAUCGUGUUAAGUUUCUAUCUGCUUUUUGCGCCUAGGCAGGCGGCUCAUUUAAAUGAGGCACUAGGUGGAAUAUAUAUAGGUGUUCGGUGUGCAUCCCCGGCGAGCGUUGUAAACCUCCGUUUUCUGAGCCAUAUGGAGUUAAGUUUCUCAUAUUUAGCCUUAAGUUUCUUUUCCGUGAGCUCUAUGGAAGGGUCACUAAAUUUGCGUUGGAUGACUCCUCGUUCGACCGAAUGGUACACGUAAUUCUCCCGCGGCAGACGAGCGUUGCCUAAUUCCAAUUUCGAGCCCUAUCAUGUUAAGUUUCUUAAUCUUCAUCAGUAAGUUUCUUUCUAUUUUUUGCGCCCUUCAGCAUUUCCACAUGGUUAUUAAACCAACACCUCAUGAUAAGAGAACACUGUUUAUAUUUCAGGUCCUUGCAAAAUCUCUCAACAAACAUGAGCGGAAUUCUUACCUCACGAAAAAAUCCAAUCCCAGCACUUCCCUUUCAGAAUAUAUGAGACCAUUUACUAGACAUAGAUACACGAGAGAAGAACAUAUCUAAUUCACCUAUGACAAGGCACUAGGUGCAAUUUUCUCAAGAUAAGGCAAAAUCUCUCAACUAGUACCAGCGGAGACGGAUGGUGAUCAAAUGACCAUUGAUAUUUGCAGCAUAUGGAUGCGUAGCUCAUUAAAACGAGGCACUAGGUGGAAUAUAUAUAGGUGUGCGUAACCGGUGAGCGUCGGAAACCUCCUCUUUUUGAGCCAUAUGGAGUUAAGUUUCUCAUAUUUACCCCUAAGUUUCUUUCCUGUGAGCUCUACGGAAGGGUGACCAAAUAUGUGUUCACGGACUCUAUCAUGUUAAGUUUCUCAAUCUUCUUCACUAAGUUUCUUUCUGAUUUUUGCGCCUAGACAGGCUGCCCAUUUAAAUGAGGCACUAGGUGGAAUAUAUAUAUGUGUUCGGUGUGUGUCCGCGGCGAGCGUUGUAAACCUCCUUUUUCUGAGCCAUAUGGAGUUAAGUUUCUCAAAUUUAGCCUUAUGUUUCUUUCCCGUGAGCUCUACGGAAGGGUCACGAAUUAUGCGUUCGACGUCUCCUUGUUUGAUCGAACGGUACACGAGAUUCUCCCACGGCAGACGAGCGUUAUCUAAUUCCAAUUUUGAGCCCUAUCAUGUUAAGUCUAUCAAUCUUCUUCACUUAGUUUCUUUCUGAUUUUUGCGCCUUCCUUCAGCAUUUCCACAUGGUUAUUAAACCAACACCUCAUGAUAAGAGACCAUUAUGUAUAUUUCAGGUCGGUACUCGUCGUUGCUAAAUCUCUCAACAAAAAUGACCAUUGAUAUUUGCAACAUAUGGAUGCGUGGCUCAUUAAAGCGAGGCACUAGGUGGAAUAUAUAUAGGUGUGGGUAACCGGUGAGCGUCGGAAACCUCCUCUUUUUGAGUCAUAUGGAGUUAAGUUUCUCAUAUUUACCCCUAAGUUUCUUUCCCGUGAGCUCUACGGAAGGGUGACGAAAUAUGCGUUCGCCGACUCUAUCGUGUUAAGUUUCUCAAUCUUACUGACUAAGUUUCGGUCUGAUUUUUGCGCCUAGGCAGGCUGCUCAUUUAAAUGAGGCACUAGGUGGAAUAUAUAUAGGUGUUCGGUGUGCAUCACCGACGAGCGUUGUAAACCUCCUUUUUCUGAGCCAUAUGGAGUUAAGUUUCUCAUAUUUAGCCUUAAGAUUCUUUUCCGUGAGCUCUACGGAAGGGUCACCAAAUUUGCGUUGGAUGACUCUCGUUCGACCGGAUGGUACACGUGAUUCUCCCGCGGCAGAUGAGUGUUGCCUAAUUCCAAUGUCGAGCCCUAUCAUGUUAAGUUUCUUAAUCUUCUUCACUAAGUUUCUUUCUAUUUUUUGCGCCCUUCAGCAUUUCCACAUGGUUAUUAAACCGACACCUCAUGUUAAGAGACCAUUGUUUAUGUUUCAGGUCCUUGCAAAAUCUCUCAACAAACAUGAGCGGAAUUCUUACCUCACGAAAAAAAUCCAAUCCCAGCACUUCCCUUUCAUAAUAUAUUAGACCAUUUAUUAGACAUAGAUACAUGAUAGAAGAACAUAUCUGAUUCGCCUAUGACAAGGCACUAGGUGCAAUUUUCUCAAGACAAGGCAAAAUCUCUCAAGCAGUGCCAGCGGAGACGGAUGGUGAUCAAAUGGCCAUUGAUAUUUGCAGCAUAUGGAUGCGUAGCUCAUUAAAACGAGGCACUAUGUGGAAUACAUAUAGGUGUGCAUAACAGGUGAGCGUCGGAAACCUCCUCUUUUUGAGCCAUAUUGAGUUAAGUUUCUCAUAUUUACCCCUAAGUUUCUUUCCCGUGAGCUCUACGGAAGGGUUACCAAAUAUGUGUUCGGCGACUCUAUCAUGUUAAGUUUCUCAAUCUUAUCACUAAGUUUCUUUCUAAUUUUUGCACCUAGACAGGCUGCUCAUUUAAAUGAGGCACUAGGUGGAAUAUAUAUGUGUGUUCGGUGUGUGUCCCCGGCGAGCGUUGUAAACCUCCUUUUCUUAGCCAUAUGGACACUACUAGGGAAAACCCUAGUAGUAUCGCGGGUUUUGAGGCUAGCAGCAGCGCGGGUGGCCUCGCUACUAAUAAGGCGCUACAACUAAUUUAUAGUAGUAGGGCGGUCCGUACCCGCUCUACUACUGUUGACGAUAUCAGCAGCGCUUUUGCCGAACGCGCUACUAUUAGUUAGUUGUAGCGAUUUCGCAGUCCCUCGCUACUACUAUAUCUUUCAUCAUUUUCCCCAGUACCCCUUUCCCUUUCAGAUACUAGAUACUAGGUACUGCUACUAGAUAUCAAAUUCAUAAACCAUUAUAAGUACAGGGUAGUACUCCCUUCGUUCCAAAUUACUCGUCAUGGUUUUAGUUCAAACAACAACGAGUAACUUGGAACGAAGGGAGUACUAGAUAACAAUUUCAUGCAUAGUCAACAUGCAUUCUCAAGCAGUACAAGGUCAUAUCGACGGCGAUCAUCAUAUGUAGUUCUAGAUGAUAUCGACGACGAUCAUCAUAUGUAGUUCUAGAUGAUAUCGACGACGAUCAUCAUAUGUAGUUCUAGAUGAUAUAGCCACACACACAUAUGUAGUUCUAGAUGAUAUCGAAGACAAUCAUCAUCCUCAAGCCUGGGCGGUUGGUGUUCCUGAUAGUAACUAGGAUGGCUUGUCCAACACGAAGAUUCGUGCCAUCGAGGAAUUUCUUCCACCCAACCAAGUUUAAGUGAUUGCGACCGUCCGUGUCCACGCGGUAAGUACAGGUUGUGACGGAGCCCCUUGCAGUAAGGCGUAGUCCAGCUGAGCCUUCUUCAUCAGGCUCGAUACCAUAACUCACAGAUAUGCUCUUUGCCAAUUUCUGAAUAAGAAAAACAUAUCAAUUAAUAAAUAGCCUCGCAAAUAAGUACAUAUGGAUUAUCUACACUAUUAAUAGUUCCUUAGAUUCUACACUAAUAAGCAUGUGAUCGAACUCUACACUAAAACAUAUCAUCGACUAGAUUCCACACAACAUACCAUAUCAUUGGACUGUACACUAAGUAUUUCAUCGGAUAAUUUGCAUUUGUAAGUAUAACAUACCAUAUCAUGUCGAUCAACCAUGGUAUUUGUCAGGCGGGUCACGAAUGGCACCCCGACAAAGUCAGCACGUGGCGGAAUUAUGUCCCACAGGUUGGACACCUCCUCCUCGCUCAGCCUUGUUCUUUGAGCUACGAUGGCUUCAUGAAGUGCGUCCUCAUCAUCUUCAUCGAGUGGGUCCUCAUUAUCUUCAUCAUCUUCAUCAUCUUCGUCAUCUUCAUCAUCUUCCACCAGAGAUAAAUGACAGCCAGCUUGGGUCUUUCUGCUUUGAAGGAGAAGCUGAUCAACUCACCACCAGUAAGAUGCAUGCGGGCGACGAAACGGGCCCAUCCAUCUCCUCCAAUCUGCGACAUAUUGCGUCCUUUCUCGACCUCCAUAGUCUACGGCCCCCCAGGAGCCUCAAAUGUCACAGUGUCUCCUGUCACCUUGUUGAAUUUCAACCUCACAUUGCAUGGGACGAUCUGUGUAAAAUAAGCAAAAUGACACAAUGAAGUAAUGCCAACACUAAAAAUAAAAUAGUUAUUACAUUUCAUCUAAUUUCUUACCGCCGCAUGACAAAAACUCGGCUGGAAGUAGAUGCCGAACAGCUUGCCAGUUGCAAGGCUGCUGGCGCACCUUGACUGGCACAGUCGACAUAGUGGUGGUGGUGGUGGCGCCAUUUUUCCUAAAGCAAUAUGAGCAAAGGAUUAACGAUCCACUUCACAGGAAAGAAAAACAGUAGCAUGUGAUAUUUUUGGUUCUUCCGCGAGAAGCAAUUUGAUGGACAAUUAUAAUCCUAAGAUCUAGUAACAUAUUAGAUGACAAGGUACCACCUACAUUUUGCCAAAAAGUAACUUAUUACAAAAAAACAAAAGCAACUACCUAUCCAUGUACAGAAAAAAUAACAAUAAAAUGGUGCAUACUAAAUCAACUAAAUGAACUAGCCUACUAAAUCAACUAAAUCAAAAUGUUCUAAAUCAACUAAAUCAACUAAAUCAUAUCAACUAAAUCAAAAUGUUGCAUAUGAACUAGCCUACUAAAUCAAAAUGUAGCAGGGAGGAGGGAGAAGGAGGGGCGACUCGAGGAGGGAGAAGAGAGUAGGACAGAGGAGGAAGGCGGGGCGAGGAGGCACCGGCCGGCGGCCAGUGGAGGGAGGACGGAGGAGGAAGGCGGAGCGAGGAGGGGCCGGCCAGCGGCGAGUGGAGGGAGGAUGGAGGAGGAGACCGGUACCGAGUCUAGCAAGGAGGAGUAGGUGACAGCGGCGCAGAGGGAGGAGGGGCGAUGGGGGAGGACCGGCACGAGGGGUUGAGAGGGGAUCUAGUGAGUGUGUGAGUGUGAGUGGAUCGGAUAGAGGAGAGGGGGUGGGAGAUGGAAUGGCUUAGCAGUAGCGCGCUAUAGAGAAAGACGCUACUGCUAAACUACCUAGCAGCAGCGCCUUUCACAAAGAAGCGCUACUGCUAUGUGUCAGCAUGUAAAAAUAGACUUCAAUAUAUCAAAAAUACAUUGAUCAUCAACGAUCUUUUUGUGUACAAUAUGAUUUGUCAAUAUGAGUCCUCACCGGUUUAGGAACCGGUGAAUACUCAUAUUGCGGCCACAAAUUGUACACAUAGAGUUCAAUGAAGACCAAUUGCUUGUCAAAGUUUGAGAAGUGACAUAUUUAAGGUGGUAGAAACUCUCUUCACGGAGCGAGGUGGGACUAAAUUUUUGUAGUAAACUUAGCAGUAGCGCUUAUUGGUGAAAUGCGCUGCUACGUAGUAGUAGCGCUCUUCGUGAUAACGCGCUGCUGCUAGAACUAGCCUCGCGGCGGCCUCGUGGAAAUUAUAUCAGUAGCGCGUCUUUGAGCGGGGGCGCUACUGCUAUAUUUAUUUCAGCAGCGGGUUAAGCUUGAGCUCGCUACUGCUAAGUAGCAGCAGCGCCUUAUUUUAAAGCGCGCUGCUGGUAAGAUUCUGUGUAUAGGCUUUUCCCUAGUAGUGGGAGUUAAGUUUCUCAUAUAUAGCCUUAAGUUUCUUUCCCGUGAGCUCUACAGAAGGGUCACCAAUUAUGCGUUCGACGUCUCCUCGUUUAAUCGAAAAGUACAUGUGAUUCUCCCACGGCAGACGAGCGUUGUCUAAUUCCAAUUUCGAGCCCUAUCAUGUUAAGUUUAUCAAUCUUCGUCAAUAAGUUUCUUUCUGAUUUUUGUGCCUUCCUUCACCAUUUCCACAUGAUUAUUAAACCAACACCUCAUGAUAAGAGACCAUUAUUUAUAUUUCAGGUUGGUACUCGUCGUUGCAAAAUCUCUCAACAAAAAUGACCGUUGAUAUUUGCAACAUAUGGAUGCGUAGCUCAUUAAAACGAGGCACUAGGUGGAAUAUAUAUAGGUGUGCGUAACCGGUGAGCGUCGGAAACCUCCUCUUUUUGAGACAUAUGGAGUUAAGUUUCUCAUAUUUACCCCUAAGUUUCUUUCCCGUGAACUCUACGAAAGAGUGAACAAAUAUGUGUUCGCCGACUCUAUCAUGUUAAGUUUCUCAAUCUUCUUCACUAAGUUUCUUUCUGAUUUUUGCGCCUAGACAGGCUGCUCAUUUAAAUGAGGCACUAGGUGGAAUAUAUAUAGGUGUUCGGUGCGCGUCACCGGCGAGCGUUGUAAACCUCCUUUUUCUGAGCCAUAUGGAGUUAAGUUUCUCAUAUUUAGCCUUAAGUUUCUUUCCCGUGAGCUCUACGGAAGGGUCACCAAUUAUGCGUUUGACGUCUCCUCGUUCGAUUGAACGGUACACGUGGUUCUCCUGCGGCAGACGAGCGUUGCCUAAUUCCAUUUUCGAGCCCUAUCAUAUUAAGUUUAUCAAUCUUCUUCACUAAUUUUCUUUCUGAUUUUUGCGGAUUCCUUCAGCAUUUCCACAUGGUUAUUAAACCAACACCUCAUGAUAAGAGACCGUUAUGUAUAUUUCACGUCGGUACUCGUCGUUGCAAAAUCUCUCAACAAAAAUGACCAUUGAUAUUUCCAACAUAUGGAUCGUAGCUCAUUAAAACGAGGCACUAGGUGGAAUAUAUAUAGGUGUGCAUAACCGGUGAGCGUCGGAAACCUCCUAUUUUUGAGCCAUAUGGAGUUAAGUUUCUCAUAUUUACCCCUAAGUUUCUUUCCCAAGAGCACCACGGAAGUGUGACCAAAUAUGUGCUCGCCGACUCGAUCAUGUUAAGUUUCUCAAUCUUCUUCACUAACUUUCUUUCUGAUUUUUGCGCCUAGAGAGGCUGCUCAUUUAAAUUAGGCACUAGGUGGAAUAUAUAUAUGUGUACGGUGUGCGUCACCGGCGAGCGUUGUAAACCACCUUUUUCUGAGCCAUAUGGAGUUAAGUUUCUCAUAUUUAGCCUUAAGUUACUUUCCCGUGAGCUCUACGGAAGUGUCACCAAUUAUGCGCUUGAUGUCUCCUCGAUCGAUCGAACGGUACACGUGAUUCUCCCACGGUAGAUGAGCAUUGCCUAAUUCCAAUUCGAGCCCUAUCAUGUUAAGUUUAACAAUCUUCUUCACUAAGAUUCUUUCUGAUUUUUGCGCCUUCCUUCAGCAUUUCCACAUGGUUAUUAAACCAACACCUGAUGAUACGAGACAUUAUUUAUGUAUAUUUCAGGUCGGUACUCGUCAUUGCAGAAUCUCUCAACAAAAAUGACCAUUGAUAUUUGCAACAUAUGGAUGCGUAGCUCAUUAAAACGAGGCACUAGGUGGAAUAUAUAUAGGUGUGCAUAACCGGUGAGCGUCGGAAACCUCCUCUUUUUGAGCCAUAUGGAGUUAAGUUUCUCAUAUUUACCCCUAAGUUUCUUUCCCGUGAGCUCUACAGAAGGGUGACCAAAUAUGUGUUCGCCGACUCUAUCAUGUUAAGUUUCUCAAUCUUCUUCACUAAGUUUCUUUCUGAUUUUUGCGCCUAGACAGGCUGCUCAUUUAAAUGAGGCACUAGGUGGAAUAUAUAUAGGUGAUCGGUGUGUGUCACUGGCGAGCAAUGUAAACCUCCUUUUUCUGAGCCAUAUGGACUUAAGUUUCUCAUAUUUAGCCUUAAGUUUCUUUCCCGUGAGCUCUAGGGAAGGGUCACCAAUUAUGCGUUUGACGUCUCCUCGUUCGAUUGAACGGUACACGUGAUUCUCCCGUGGCAGACGAGCGUUGCCUAAUUCCAAUUUCGAGCCCUAUCAUGUUAAGUUUAUCAAUCUUCUUCACUAAGUUUCUUUCUGAUUUUUGCACCUUGCUUCAGCAUUUCCACAUGGUUAUUAAACAAACACCUCAUGAUAAGAGACCAUUAUGUAUAUUUAAGGUCGGUACUCGUCGUUGCAAAAUCUCUCAACAAAAAUGACCAUUAAUAAUUGCAACAUAUGGAUGCGUAGCUCAUUAAAACGAGGCACUAGGUGGAAUAUAUAUAGGUGUGCAUAACCAGUGAGCGUCGUUAAGCUCCUCUUUUUGAGCCAUAUGGAGUUAAGUUUCUCAUAUUUACCCCUAAGUUUCUUUCCCAAUAGCUCUACGGAAGUGUGACCAAAUAUGUGUUCGCCGACUCUAUCAUGUUAAGUUUCUCAAUCUUCUUCACUAAGUUUCUUUCUGAUUUUUGCGCCUAGACAGGCUGCUCAUUUAAAUGACGCACUAGGUGGAAUAUAUAUAUAGGUGUUCGAUGUGCGUCACCGGUGAGCGUUCUAAACCUCCUUUUUCUGAGCCAUAUGGAGUUAAGUUUCUCAUAUUUAGCCUUAAGUUUCUUUCCCGUGAGCUCUACGGAAGUGUCACCAAUUAUGCGUUUGAUGUCUCCUCGUACGAUCGAACGAUACACGUGAUUCUCCCACGGUAGACGAGCGUUGCCUAAUUCCAAUUUUGAGCCCUAUCAUGUUAAGUUUAUCAAUCUUCUUAACUAAGAUUCUUUCUGAUUUUUGCGCCUUCCUUCAGCAUUUCCACAAGCUUAUUAAAGCAACACCUGAUAGUAAGAGACCAUUAUGUAUAUUUCAGGUCGGUACUCGUCGUUGCAAAAUCUCUCAACAAAAAUGACAAUUGAUAUUUUCAACAAAUGGAUGCGUAGCUCAUUAAAACGAGGCACUAGGUAAAAUAUAUAUAGGUGUGCGUAACCGGUGAGCGUCGGAAACCUCCUCUUUUUGAGCAAUAUGGAGUUAAGUUUCUCAUAUUUACCCCUAAGUUUCUUUCCCGUGAACUCUACGGAAGGGUGACCAAAUAUGUGUUCGCCGACUCUAUCUUGUUAAGUUUCUCAAUCUUCUUCACUAAGUUUCUUUCUGAUUUUUGCGCCUAGACAGGCUGCUCAUUUAAAUGAGGCACUAGGUGGAAUGUAUAUAGGUGUUCGGUGUGCGUCACCGGCGAGCGUUGUAAACCUCCUUUUUCUGAGCCAUAUGGAGUUAAGUUUCUCAUAUUUAGACUUAAGUUUCUUUCCCGUGAGCUCUACGGAAGGGUCACCAAUUAUGCGUUUGACGUCUCCUCGUUCGAUAGAAUGGUACACGUGAUUCUCCCGUGGCAGACGAGCGUUACGUAAUUCCAAUUUCGAGCCCUAUCAUGUUAAGUUUAUCAAUCUUCUUCACUAAGUUUCUUUCUGAUUUUUGCGCCUUCCUUCAGCAUUUCCACAUGGUUAUUAAACCAACACCUCAUGAUAAGAGACCAUUAUGUAUAUUUAAGGUCGGUACUCGUCGUUGCAAAAUCUCUCAACAAAAAUGACCAUUGAUAUUUGCAACAUAUGGACGCAUAGCUCAUUAAAACGAGGCACUAGGUGGAAUAUAUAUAGGUGUGUAUAACCGGUGAGCGUCGGAAACCUCCUCUUUUUGAGCCAUAUGGAGUUAAGUUUCUCAUAUUUACCCCUAAGUUUCUUUCCCAAGGGAUCUACGGAAGUGUGACCAAAUAUGUAUUCGCCGACUCUAACAUGUUAAGUUUCUCAAUCUUCUUCACUAAGUUUCUUUCUGAUUUUUGCGCCUAGACAGGCUGCUCAUUUAAAUGAGGCACUAGGUGGAAUAUAUAUAUGUUUACGGUGUGCAUCACCGGCGAGCGUUGUAAACCUCCUUUUUCCGAGCCAUAUGGAGUUAUGUUUCUCAUAUUUAGCCUUAAGUUUCUUUCCCGUGAGCUCUACGGAAGUGUCACCAAUUAUGCGUUUGAUGUCUCCUCGUUUGAUCGAACGGUACACGUGAUUCUCCCACGGUAGACGAGCGUUGCCUAAUUCCAAUUUCGAGCCCUAUCAUGCUAAGUUUAUCAAUCUUCUUCACUAAGAUUCUUUCUGAUUUUUGCGCCUUCCUUCAGCAUUUCCACAUGGUUAUUAGACCAUUUAUUAGACAUAGAUACACGAUAGAAGAACAUAUCUGAUUCGCCUAUGACAAGGCACUAUGUGCAAUUUUCUCAAGACAAGGCAAAAUCUCUCAACCAGUGCCAGCGGAGACGGAUGGUGAUCAAAUGACCAUUGAUAUAUGCAGCAUAUGGAUGCGUAGCUCAUUAAAACAAGGCACUAGGUGGAAUAUAUAUAGGUGUGCGUAACCGAUGAUCGUCGGAAACCUCUUCUUUUUGAGCGACAUGGAGUUAAGUUUCUCAUAUUUAACCCUACGUUUCUUUCCCGUGAGCUCUACGGAAGGGUGACAAAAUAUGCAUUCGCCGACUCUAUUGUGUUAAGUUUCUCAAUUUUACUCACUAAGUUUCUAUCUGAUUUUUGCGCCAAGGCAGGCUGCUCAUUUAAAUGAGGCACUAGGUGGAAUAUAUAUAGGUCUACGGUGUGCAUCACCGGCGAGCGUUGUAAACCUCCUUUUUGUGAGCCACAUGGAGUUAAGUUUCUCAUAUUUUGUCUUAAGUUUCUUUCCCGUGAGCUCUAUGGAUGGUUCACCAAAUUUGAGUUGGAUGAGUCCUCGUUCGACCGAAUGAUACACGUUGCUCUCCCGCGGCAGACAAGCGUUGCCUAAUUCCAAUUUCGAGCCCUAUCAUGUUAAGUUUAUUAAUCUUCUUCACUAAGUUUCUUUCUGAUUUUUGUGCCCUUCAGCAUUUCCACAUGGUUAUUAAACCAACACCUCAUGAUAAGAGACCAUUGUUUAUAUUUCAGGUCCUUGCAAAAUCUCUCAACAAACAUGAGAGGAAUUCUUACCUCACGAAAAAAUCCAACCCCAACACUUCCCUUUCCUAAUAUAUUAGACCAUUUAUUAGACAUAGCUACACGAUAGAAGAACAUAUCUGAUUCGCCUAUGACAAGGCACUCGGUGCAAUUUUCUCAAGACAAGGCAGAAUCUCUCAACCAGUGCAGGCGGAGAGGGAUGGUGAUCAAAUGACCAUUGAUAUUUGCAGCAUAUGGAUGUGUAGCUCAUUAAAACGAGGAACUAGGCCGAAUAUAUAUAGGUGUGCGUAACCGGUGAGGGUCGGAAACUUCCUGUUUUUGAGCCAUAUGGAGUUAAGUUUCUCAUAUUUACCCCUAAGUUUCUUUCUCGUGAGCUCUACGGAAGGGUGACGAAUUAUGCGUUCGCCGACUCUAUCGUGUUAAGAUUCUCAAUCUUACUCACUAAGUUUCUGUCUGAUUUUUGCGCCUAGGCAGGCUGCUCAUUUAAAUGAGGCACUACGUGGAAUAUAUAUAGGUGUUCAGUGUGCGUCACCGGCGAGCGUUGUAAACCUCGUUUUUCUUAGCCAUAUGGAGUUAAGUUUCUCAUAUUUAGCCUUAAGUUUCUUUCCCGUGAACUCUACGGAAGGGUUACCAAUUAUGCGUUCGACGUCUCCUCGUUCGAUUGAACGGUACACGUGAUUCUCCCGCGGUAGACGAGCGUUGCCUAAUUCCAAUUUCGUGCCCUAUCAUGUUAAGUUUAUCAAUCUUCUGUACUAAGUUUCUUUCUGAUUUUUGGGCCUUGCUUUAGCAUUUCCACAUGGUUAUUAAACCAACACCUCAUGAUAAGAGACCAUUAUGUAUAUUUCAGGUCGGUACUCGUCGUUGCAAAAUCUCUCAACAAAAAUGACCAUUGAUAUUUGCAGCAUAUGGAUGCGUAGCUCAUUAAAACGAGGCACUAGGUAGAAUAUAUAUAGGUGUGUGUAACCGGUGAGCAUCGGAAACCUCCUCUUUUUGAGCCAUAUUGAGUUUAGUUUCUCAUCUUUACCCCUAAGUUUCUUUCCUGUGAGCUCUACAGAAGGGUGACCAAAUAUGUGUUCGUCGACUCUAUCAUGUUAAGUUUCUCAGUCUUCUUCACUACGUUCUUUCUGAUUUUUGCGCCUAGAGAGGCUGCUCAUUUAAAUGAGGCACUAGGUGGGAUAGGUAUAGGUGUUCGGUGUGCGUCACCAGCGAGCGUUGGACCUCCUUUUUCUGAGCCAUAUGGAGUUAAGUUUCUCAUAUUUAGCCUUAAGUUUCUUUCCCGUGAGCUCUAUGGAAGGGUCACCAAUUAUGCGUUCGACGUCUCCUCGUUCAAUCGAACGGUACACGUGAUUCUCCCGCGGUAGACGAGCAUUGCCUAAUUCCAAUUUUGAGCCCUAUCAUGUUAAGUUUAUCAAUCUUCUUCACUAAGUUUCUUUCUGAUUUUUGCGCCUUCCUUCAGUAUUUCCACAUGGUUAUCAAACCAACACCUCAUGAUAAGAGACCAUUGUGUAUAUUUCAGGUCGGUACUCGUCGUUGCAAAAUAUCUCAACAAAAAUGAACAUUGAUAUUUGCAACAUAUGGAUGCGUAGCUCAUUAAAACGAGGCACUAGGUGGAAUAUAUAUAGGUUGCAUAACCGGUGAGCGUCGGAAACCUCCUCUUGUUGAGCCAUAUGGAGUUAAGUUUCUCAUAUUUACCCCAAAGUUUCUUUCCCGUGACCUCUACGGAAGGGUGACAAAAUAUGUGUUCGCCGACUCUAUCAUGUUAAGUUUCUCAAUCUUCUUCACUAAGUUUCUUCCUGAUUUUUGCACCUAGAUAGGCUGCUCAUUUAAAUGAGGCACUAGGUGGAAUAUCUAUAGGUGUUCGGUGUGCGUCCCCGGCGAGCGUUAUAAACCUCCUUUUUCUGAGCCAUAUGGACUUAAGUUUCUCAUAUUUAUCCUUAAGUUUCUUUCCCGUGAGAUCUAUGGAAGGGUCACCAAUUAUGCGUUCGACGUCUCCUCGUUCGAUCGAACAGUACACAUGAUUCUCCCGCGGCAGAUGAGCGUUGCCUAAUUCCAAUUUCGAGCCCUAUCAUGUUAAGUUUAUCAAUCUUCUUUACUAAGUUUCUUUCUGAUUUUUGCGCCUUCCAUCAACAUUUCCACAUGAUUAUUAAACCAACAACUCAUGAUAAGAGACCAUUAUGUAUAUUUCAGGUCGUUACUCGUCAUUGCAAAAUCUCUCGACAAAAAUGACCACUGAUAUUUCCAACAUAUGGAUGCGUAGCUCAUUAAAACGAGGCACUAGGUGGAAUAUAUAUAGGUGUGUGUAACCGGUGAGCGUCGGAAACCUCCCCUUUUUAAGCCAUAUGGAGUUAAGUUUCUCAUAUUUCCCCCUAAGUUUCUUUCCCAUGAGCUCUACGAAAGGGUAACCAAAUUUGUGUUCGCCAACUCUAUCAUGUUAAGUUUCUCAAUCUUCUUCACUAAGUUUCUUUCUGAUUUUUUCGCCUACACAGGCUGCUCAUUUAAAUGAGGCACUAGGUGGAAUAUAAAUACGUGUUCGGUGUGCGUCACCGGCGAGCGUUGUAAACCUCCUUUUUCUGAGCCAUAUGGAGUUAAGUUUCUCAUAUUUAGCCUUAAGUUUCUUUCCCCUGAGCUCUACGGAAGGGUCACCAAUUAUGCGUUCAACGUCUCCUCGUUCGAUCAAACGGUACACGUGAUUCUCCCGCGGCAGACGAGCGUUGCCUAAUUCCAAUUUCGAGCCGUAUCAUGUUAAGUUUCUCAAUCUUCUUCACUAAGUUUCUUUCUGAUUUUUGCGCCUUCCUUCAACAUUUCCACAUGGUUAUUAAACCAACACUCAUGAUAAGAGACCAUUAUGUAUAUUUCAGGUCGGUACUCGUCAUUGCAAAAUCUCUCGAUAAAAAUGACCAUUGAUAUUUGCAACAUAUGGAUGCGUAGCUCAUUAAAACGAGGCACUAGGUGGAAUAUAUACAGGUGUGUGUAACCGGUGAGCGUUGGAAACCUCCUCUUUUUGAGCCAUAUGGAGUUAAGUUUCUCAUAUUUACCCCUAAGUUUCUUUCCCAUGAGCUCUACGGAAGGGUGACCAAAUAUGUGUUCGCCGACUCUAUGAUGUUAAGUUUCUCAAUCUUCUUCACUAAGUUUCUUUCUGAUUUUUGCGGCUAGAUAGGCUGCUCAUUUAAAUGAGGCACUAUGUGGAAUAUCUAUAGGUGUUCGGUGUGCGUCCCCGGGGAACGCUGUAAACCACCUUUUUCUGAGCCAUAUGGAGUUAAGUUUCUCAUAUUUAGCCUUAAGUUUCUUUCCCGUGAGAUCUACGGAAGGGUCACCAAUUAUGCGUUCGACGUCUCCUCGUUCGAUCGAACGGUACACGUGAUUCUCCCGCGGCAGACGAGCGUUGCCAAAUUCCAAUUUCGAGCCCUAUCAUGUUAAGUUUAUGAAUCUUCUUCACUAAGUUUCUUUCUAAUUGUUGCGCCUUCCUUCAACAUUUCCACAUGUUUAUUAAACCAACACCUCAUGAUAAGAGACCAUUAUGUAUAUUUCAGGUCGGUACUCGUCAUUGCAAAAUCUCUCGACAAAAAUGACCAUUGAUAUUUGCAACAUAUGGAUGCGUAGCUCAUUAAAAUGAGGCACUAGAUGGAAUAUAUAUAGGUGUGUGUAACCGGUGAGCAUCGGAAACCUCCUCUUUUGAGCCAUAUGGAGUUAAGUUUCUCAUAUUUACCCCUAAGUUUCUUUCCCGUGAGCUCUACGGAAGGGUGACCAAAUAUGUGUUCACCGACUCUAUCAUGUUAAGUUUCUCAAUCUUCUUCACUAUGUUUCUUUCUGAUUUUUGCGCCUAGACAGGCUGCUCAUUUAAAUGAGGCACUAGGUGGAAUAUAUAUAGGUGUUCGGUGUGCGUCACAGGCGAGCAUUGUAAACCUCCUUUUUCUGAGCCAUAUGGAGUUAAGUUUCUCAUAUUUAGGCUUAAGUUUCUUUCUUGUGAGCUCUACGGAAGGGUCACCGAUUAUGCGUUCAACGUCUCCUCGUUCGAUCGAACGGUACACGUGAUUCUCCCGCGUCGGAUGAAUGUUGCCUAAUUCCAAUUUCGAGCCGUAUCAUGUUAAGUUUCUCAAUCUUCUUCACUAAGUUUCUUUUUGAUUUUCGUGCCUUCCUUCAACAUUUCCACAUGGUUAUUAAACCAACACCUCAUGAUAAGAGACCAUGAUGUAUAUUUCAGGUCGGUACUCGUCGUUGCAAAAUCUCUUGACAAAAAUGACCACUGAUAUUUGCAACAUAUGGAUGCGUAGCUCAUUAAAUCGAGGCACUAGGUGGAAUAUAUAUAGGUGUGUGUAACCGGUGAGCGUCGGAAACCUCCUCUUUUUGAGCCAUAUGGAGUUAAGUUUCUCAUAUUUACCCCUAAGUUUCUUUCCCGUGAGCUCUACGGAAGGGUUACCAAAUAUGUGUUCGCCGACUCUAUCAUGUUAAGUUUCUCAAUCUUCUUCACUAAGUUUCUUUCUGAUUUUUGUGCCUAGACAGGUUGCUCAUUUAAAUGAGGCACUAGGUGGAAUAUAUAUAGGUGUUCGGUGUGCGUCACCAGCGAGCGUUGUAAACCUCCUUUUUCUGAGCCAUAUGGAGUUAAGUUUCUCAUAUUUAGCCUUAAGUUUCUUUCCCCUGAGCUCUACGGAAGGGUCACCAAUUAUGCGUUCAACGUCUCCUCGUUCGAUCAAACGGUACACGUGAUUCUCCCGCGGCAGACGAGCGUUGCCUAAUUCCAAUUUCGAGCCGUAUCAUGUUAAGUUUCUCAAUCUUCUUCACUAAGUUUCUUUCUGAUUUUUGCGCCUUCCUUCAACAUUUCCACAUGGUUAUUAAACCAACACUCAUGAUAAGAGACCAUUAUGUAUAUUUCAGGUCGGUACUCGUCAUUGCAAAAUCUCUCGAUAAAAAUGACCAUUGAUAUUUGCAACAUAUGGAUGCGUAGCUCAUUAAAACGAGGCACUAGGUGGAAUAUAUACAGGUGUGUGUAACCGGUGAGCGUUGGAAACCUCCUCUUUUUGAGCCAUAUGGAGUUAAGUUUCUCAUAUUUACCCCUAAGUUUCUUUCCCAUGAGCUCUACGGAAGGGUGACCAAAUAUGUGUUCGCCGACUCUAUGAUGUUAAGUUUCUCAAUCUUCUUCACUAAGUUUCUUUCUGAUUUUUGCGGCUAGAUAGGCUGCUCAUUUAAAUGAGGCACUAUGUGGAAUAUCUAUAGGUGUUCGGUGUGCGUCCCCGGGGAACGCUGUAAACCACCUUUUUCUGAGCCAUAUGGAGUUAAGUUUCUCAUAUUUAGCCUUAAGUUUCUUUCCCGUGAGAUCUACGGAAGGGUCACCAAUUAUGCGUUCGACGUCUCCUCGUUCGAUCGAACGGUACACGUGAUUCUCCCGCGGCAGACGAGCGUUGCCAAAUUCCAAUUUCGAGCCCUAUCAUGUUAAGUUUAUGAAUCUUCUUCACUAAGUUUCUUUCUNNNNNNNNNNGACAAAAAUGACCACUGAUAUUUGCAACAUAUGGAUGCGUAGCUCAUUAAAUCGAGGCACUAGGUGGAAUAUAUAUAGGUGUGUGUAACCGGUGAGCGUCGGAAACCUCCUCUUUUUGAGCCAUAUGGAGUUAAGUUUCUCAUAUUUACCCCUAAGUUUCUUUCCCGUGAGCUCUACGGAAGGGUUACCAAAUAUGUGUUCGCCGACUCUAUCAUGUUAAGUUUCUCAAUCUUCUUCACUAAGUUUCUUUCUGAUUUUUGUGCCUAGACAGGUUGCUCAUUUAAAUGAGGCACUAGGUGGAAUAUAUAUAGGUGUUCGGUGUGCGUCACCAGCGAGCGUUGUAAACCUCCUUUUUCUGAGCCAUAUGGAGUUAAGUUUCUCAUAUUUAGCCUUAAGUUUCUUUCCCGUGAGCUCUACGGAAGGCUCACCAAUUAUGCAUUCAACGUCUCCUCGUUCGAUCGAACGGUACACGUGAUUCUCCCGCGGCAGACGAGCAUUGCCUAAUGCCAAUUUUGAGCCCUAUCAUGUUAAGUUUAUCAAUCUUCUUCAUUAAGUUUCUUUCUGAUUUUUGCGCCUUCCUUCAGUAUUUCCACAUGGUUAUUAAACCAACACCUCAUGAUAAGAGACCAUUAUGUAUAUUUCAGGUCGGUACUCGUCGUUGCAAAAUAUCUCAACAAAAAUGAACAUUGAUAUUUGCAACAUAUGGAUGCGUAGCUCAUUAAAACGAGGCACUAGGUGGAAUAUAUAUAUGUUUGCAUAACCGGUGAGCGUCGGAAACCUCCUCUUUUUGAGCCAUAUGGAGUUAAGUUUCUCAUAUUUACCCCUAAGUUUCUUUCCCGUGAGCUCUACGGAAGGGUUACCAAAUAUGUGUUCGCCGACUCUAUCAUGUUAAGUUUCUCAAUCUUCUUCACUAAGUUUCUUUCUGAUUUUUGUGCCUAGACAGGUUGCUCAUUUAAAUGAGGCACUAGGUGGAAUAUAUAUAGGUGUUCGGUGUGCGUCACCAGCGAGCGUUGUAAACCUCCUUUUUCUGAGCCAUAUGGAGUUAAGUUUCUCAUAUUUAGCCUUAAGUUUCUUUCCCCUGAGCUCUACGGAAGGGUCACCAAUUAUGCGUUCAACGUCUCCUCGUUCGAUCAAACGGUACACGUGAUUCUCCCGCGGCAGACGAGCGUUGCCUAAUUCCAAUUUCGAGCCGUAUCAUGUUAAGUUUCUCAAUCUUCUUCACUAAGUUUCUUUCUGAUUUUUGCGCCUUCCUUCAACAUUUCCACAUGGUUAUUAAACCAACACUCAUGAUAAGAGACCAUUAUGUAUAUUUCAGGUCGGUACUCGUCAUUGCAAAAUCUCUCGAUAAAAAUGACCAUUGAUAUUUGCAACAUAUGGAUGCGUAGCUCAUUAAAACGAGGCACUAGGUGGAAUAUAUACAGGUGUGUGUAACCGGUGAGCGUUGGAAACCUCCUCUUUUUGAGCCAUAUGGAGUUAAGUUUCUCAUAUUUACCCCUAAGUUUCUUUCCCAUGAGCUCUACGGAAGGGUGACCAAAUAUGUGUUCGCCGACUCUAUGAUGUUAAGUUUCUCAAUCUUCUUCACUAAGUUUCUUUCUGAUUUUUGCGGCUAGAUAGGCUGCUCAUUUAAAUGAGGCACUAUGUGGAAUAUCUAUAGGUGUUCGGUGUGCGUCCCCGGGGAACGCUGUAAACCACCUUUUUCUGAGCCAUAUGGAGUUAAGUUUCUCAUAUUUAGCCUUAAGUUUCUUUCCCGUGAGAUCUACGGAAGGGUCACCAAUUAUGCGUUCGACGUCUCCUCGUUCGAUCGAACGGUACACGUGAUUCUCCCGCGGCAGACGAGCGUUGCCAAAUUCCAAUUUCGAGCCCUAUCAUGUUAAGUUUAUGAAUCUUCUUCACUAAGUUUCUUUCUGAUUGUUGCGCCUUCCUUCAACAUUUCCACAUGUUUAUUAAACCAACACCUCAUGAUAAGAGACCAUUAUGUAUAUUUCAGGUCGGUACUCGUCAUUGCAAAAUCUCUCGACAAAAAUGACCAUUGAUAUUUGCAACAUAUGGAUGCGUAGCUCAUUAAAAUGAGGCACUAGAUGGAAUAUAUAUAGGUGUGUGUAACCGGUGAGCAUCGGAAACCUCCUCUUUUGAGCCAUAUGGAGUUAAGUUUCUCAUAUUUACCCCUAAGUUUCUUUCCCGUGAGCUCUACGGAAGGGUGACCAAAUAUGUGUUCACCGACUCUAUCAUGUUAAGUUUCUCAAUCUUCUUCACUAUGUUUCUUUCUGAUUUUUGCGCCUAGACAGGCUGCUCAUUUAAAUGAGGCACUAGGUGGAAUAUAUAUAGGUGUUCGGUGUGCGUCACAGGCGAGCAUUGUAAACCUCCUUUUUCUGAGCCAUAUGGAGUUAAGUUUCUCAUAUUUAGGCUUAAGUUUCUUUCUUGUGAGCUCUACGGAAGGGUCACCAAUUAUGCGUUCAACGUCUCCUCGUUCGAUCGAACGGUACACGUGAUUCUCCCGCGUCGGAUGAAUGUUGCCUAAUUCCAAUUUCGAGCCGUAUCAUGUUAAGUUUCUCAAUCUUCUUCACUAAGUUUCUUUUUGAUUUUCGUGCCUUCCUUCAACAUUUCCACAUGGUUAUUAAACCAACACCUCAUGAUAAGAGACCAUGAUGUAUAUUUCAGGUCGGUACUCGUCGUUGCAAAAUCUCUCGACAAAAAUGACCACUGAUAUUUGCAACAUAUGGAUGCGUAGCUCAUUAAAUCGAGGCACUAGGUGGAAUAUAUAUAGGUGUGUGUAACCGGUGAGCGUCGGAAACCUCCUCUUUUUGAGCCAUAUGGAGUUAAGUUUCUCAUAUUUACCCCUAAGUUUCUUUCCCGUGAGCUCUACGGAAGGGUUACCAAAUAUGUGUUCGCCGACUCUAUCAUGUUAAGUUUCUCAAUCUUCUUCACUAAGUUUCUUUCUGAUUUUUGUGCCUAGACAGGUUGCUCAUUUAAAUGAGGCACUAGGUGGAAUAUAUAUAGGUGUUCGGUGUGCGUCACCAGCGAGCAUUGUAAACCUCCUUUUUCUGAGCCAUAUGGAGUUAAGUUUCUCAUAUUUAGCCUUAAGUUUCUUUCCCGUGAGCUCUACGGAAGGCUCACCAAUUAUGCGUUCAACGUCUCCUCGUUCGAUCGAACGGUACACGUGAUUCUCCCGCGGCAGACGAGCAUUGCCUAAUGCCAAUUUUGAGCCCUAUCAUGUUAAGUUUAUCAAUCUUCUUCAUUAAGUUUCUUUCUGAUUUUUGCGCCUUCCUUCAGUAUUUCCACAUGGUUAUUAAACCAACACCUCAUGAUAAGAGACCAUUAUGUAUAUUUCAGGUCGGUACUCGUCGUUGCAAAAUAUCUCAACAAAAAUGAACAUUGAUAUUUGCAACAUAUGGAUGCGUAGCUCAUUAAAACGAGGCACUAGGUGGAAUAUAUAUAUGUUUGCAUAACCGGUGAGCGUCGGAAACCUCCUCUUUUUGAGCCAUAUGGAGUUAAGUUUCUCAUAUUUACCCCAAAGUAUCUUUCCCGUGACCUCUACGGAAGGGUGACAAAAUAUGUGUUCGCCGACUCUAUCAUGUUAAGUUUCUCAAUCUUCUUCACUAAGUUUCUUCCUGAUUUUUGCGCCUCGAUAGGCUGCUCGUUUAAAUGAGGCACUACGUGGAAUAUCUAUAGGUGUUCGGUGUGCGUCCCCGGGGAGCGUUAUAAACCUCCUUUUUCUGAGCCAUAUGGAGUUAAGUUUCUCAUAUUUAGCCUUAAGUUUCUUUCCCGUGAGAUGUACGGAAGGGUCACCAAUUAUGCGUUCGACGUCUCCUCGUUCGAUCGAACGGUACACGUGAUUCUCCCGCGGCAGAUGAGCGUUGCCUAAUUCCAAUUUCGAGCCCUAUCAUGUUAAGUUUAUCAAUCUUCUUCACUAAGUUUCUUUCUGAUUUUUGCGCCUUCCUUCAACAUUUCCACAUGAUUAUUAAACCAACACCACAUGAUAAGAGACCAUUAUGUAUAUUUCAGGUCGCUACUCGUCAUGGCAAAAUCUCUCGACAAAAAUGACCACUGAUAUUUCCAACAUAUGGAUGCGUAGCUCAUUAAAACGAGGCACUAGGUGGAAUAUAUAUAGGUGUGUGUAACCGGUAAGCGUCGAAAACCUCCUCUUUUUGAGCCAUAUGGAGUUAAGUUUCUCAUAUUUCCCCCUAAGUUUGUUUCCCAUGAGCUCUACGAAAGGGUAAACAAAUAUGUGUUCGCCGACUCUAUCAUGUUAAGUUUCUCAAUCUUCUUCACUAAGUUUCUUUCUGAUUUUUGCGCCUAGACAGGCUGCUCAUUUAAAUGAGGCACUAGGUGGAAUAUAAAUAGGUGUUCGGUGUGCAUCACCGGCGAGCGUUGUAAACCUCCUUUUUCUGAGCCAUAUGGAGUUAAGUUCCUCAUAUUUAGCCUUAAGUUUCUUUCCCGUGAGCUCUACGGAAGGCUCACCAAUUAUGCGUUCAACGUCUCCUCGUUCGAUCGAACGGUACACGUGAUUCUCCCGCGGCAGACGAGCGUUGCCUAAUUCCAAUUUCGAGCCGUAUCAUCUUAAGUUUCUCAAUCUUCUUCACUAAGUAUCGUUCUGAUUUUUGCGCCUUCCUUCAACAUUUCCACAUGGUUAUUAAACCAACACUCAUUAUAAGAGACCAUUAUGUAUAUUUCAGGUCGGUACUCCUCAUUGCAAAAUCUCUCGAUAAAAAUGACCAUUGAUAUUUGCAACAUAUGGAUGCGUAGCUCAUUAAAACGAGGCACUAAGUGGAAUAUAUACAGGUGUGUGUAACCGGUGAGCGUUGGAAACCUCCUCUUUUUGAGCCAUAUGGAGUUAAGUUUCUCAUAUUUACACCAAAGUUUCUUUCCCGUGAGCUCUACGGAAUGGUGACCAAAUAUGUGUUCGCCGACUCUAUCAUGUUAAGUUUCUGAAUCUUCUUCACUAAGUUUCUUUCUGAUUUUUGCGCCUAGAUAGGCUGCUCAUUUAAAUGAGGCACUAUGUGGAAUAUCUAUAGGUGUUCGGUGUGCAUCCCCGGGGAACGCUAUAAACCACCUUUUUCUGAGCCAUAUGGAGUUAAGUUUCUCAUAUUUAGCCUUAAGUUUCUUUCCCGUGAGAUCUACCGAAGGGUCACCAAUUAUGCGUUCGACGUCUCCUCGUUCGAUCGAACGGUACACGUGAUUCUCCCGCGGCAGACGAGCGUUGCCUAAUUCCAAUUUCGAGCCCUAUCAUGUUAAGUUUAUGAAUCUUCUUCACUAAGUUUCUUUCUGAUUGUUGCGCCUUCCUUCAACAUUUCCACAUGUUUAUUAAACCAAAACCUCAUGAUAAGAGACCAUUAUGUAUAUUUCAGGUCAGUACUCGUCAUUGCAAAAUCUCUCGACAAAAAUGACCAUUGAUAUUUGCAACAUAUGGAUGCGUAGCUCAUUAAAAUGAGGCACUAGGUGGAAUAUAUAUUGGUGUGUGUAACCGGUUAGCGUCGGAAACCUCCUCUUUUUGAGCCAUAUGGAGUUAAGUUUCUCAUAUUUACCCCUAAGUUUCUUUCCCGUGAGCUCUACGGAAGGGUGACCAAAUAUGUGUUCACCGACUCUAUCAUGUUAAGUUUCUCAAUCUUCUUCACUAAGUUUCUUUCUAAUUUUUGCGCCUAGACAGGCUGCUCAUUUAAAUGAGGCACUAGGUGGAAUAUAUAUAGGUGUUCGGUGUGCGUCACCGGCGAGCGUUGUAAACCUCCUUUUUCUGAGCCAUAUGGAGUUAAGUUUCUCAUAUUUAGGCUUAAGUUUCUUUCCUGUGAGCUCUACGGAAGGGUCACCAAUUAUGCGUUCAACGUCUCCUUGUUCGAUCGAACGGUACUCGUGAUUCUCCCGCGUCGGACGAAUGUUGCCUAAUUCCAAUUUCGAGCCGUAUCAUGUUAAGUUUCUCAAUCUUCUUCACUAAGUUUCUUUUUGAUUUUUGUGCCUUCCUUCAACAUUUCCACAUGGUUAUUAAACCAACACCUCAUGAUAAGAGACCAUUAUGUAUAUUUCAGGUCGGUACUCGUCGUUGCAAAAUCUCUCGACAAAAAUGACCACUGAUAUUUGCAACAUAUGGAUGCGUAGCUCAUUAAAACGAGGCACUAGGUGGAAUAUAUAUAGGUGUGUGUAACCGGUGAGCGUCGGAAACCUCCUCUUUUUGAGCCAUAUGGAGUUAAGUUUCUCAUAUUUACCCCUAAGUUUCUUUCCCGUGAGCUCUACGGAAGGGUUACCAAAUAUGUGUUCGCCGACUCUAUCAUGUUAAGUUUCUCAAUCUUCUUCACUAAGUUUCUUUCUGUUUUUUGUGCCAAGACAGGCUGCUCAUUUAAAUGAGGCACUAGGUGGAAUAUAUAUAGGUGUUCGGUGUGCGUCACUAGCGAGCGUUGUAAACCUCCUUUUUCUGAGCCAUAUGGAGUUAAGUUUCUCAUAUUUAGCCUUAAGUUUCGUUCCCGUGAGCUCUACGGAAGCCUCACCAAUUAUGCGUUCAACGUCUCCUGGUUUGAUCAAACGGUACACAUGAUUCUCCCGCAGCAGACGAGCGUUGCCUAAUUCCAAUUACGAGCCCUAUCAUGUUAAGUUUAUCAAUCUUCUUCACUAAGUUUCUUUCUGAUUUUUGCGCCUUCCUUCAGCAUUUCCUCAUGGUUAUUAAACAAACACCUCAUGAUAAGAGACCAUUAUGUAUAUUUCAGGUUGGUACUCGUCGUUGCAAAAUCUCUCAAGAAAAAUGACCAUUGAUAUUUGCAACCUAUGGAUGUGUCGCUCAUUAAAACGAGGCACUAGGUGGAAUAUAUAUAGGUGUGCGUAACCGAUGAGCAUCGAAAACCUCCUAUAUCUGAGCCAUAUGGAGUUAAGUUUCUCAUAUUUAGCCUUAAGUUUCUUUCCCGUGAGAUCUAUGGAAGGGUCACCAAAUUUGCGUUGGAUGACUCCUCGUUCGACCGAACGGUACAUGUGAUUCUCCCGCGGCAGACGAGCGUUGCCUAAUUCCAAUUUCGAGCCCUAUCAUGUUAAGUUUCUUAAUCUUCUUCACUAUGUUCCUUUCUGAUUUUUGCACCCUUCACCAUUUCCACAUGGUUAUUAAACCAACACCUCAUGAUAAGAGACCAUUGUUUAUAUUUCAGGUCCUUGCAAAAUCUCUCAACAAACAUGAGAGGAAUUCUUACCUCACGAAAAAAUCCAAUCCCACCACUUCCCUUUCAUAAUAUAUUAGACCAUUUAUUAGACAUGGAUACACGAUAGAAGAACAUAUCGGAUUCGCCUAUGACAAGGCACUAGGUGUAAUUUUCUCAAGACAAGGCAAAAUCUGUCAACCAGUGCCAGCAGAGACGGAUGGUGAUCAAAUGGCCCUUGAUAUUUCAGCAUAUGGAUAUGUAGCUCAUUAAAACUAGGCACUGGGUGGAAUAUAUAUAGGUGUGCGUAACCGGUGAGCGUCGGAAACCUCCUGUUUUUGAGCCAUAUGGAGUUAAGUUUCUCAUAUUUACCCCUAAGUUUCUUUCCCAAGAGCUCCACGGAAGGGUGACGAAAUAUGCGUUCGCCGAAUCUAUCGUGUUAAGUUUCUCAUAUUUACUCACUCCGUGAUCUCUACGGAAGGGUGACGAAAUAUGCGUUCGCCAAAUCUAUCGUGUUAAGUUUCUCAAUCUUACUCACUAAGUUUGUAUCUGAUUUUUGCGCCUACAUAGGCUGCUCAUUUAAAUGAGGCACUAGGUGGAAUAUAUAUAGGUGUUCAGGGUGCGUCCCCGGCGAGCGUUGUAAACGUCCUUUUCUGAGCCAUAUGGAGUUAAGUUUCUCAUAUUUAGCCUUAAGUUUUUUUCCCGUGAGCUCUACAGAAGGGUCACCAAAUUUGCGUUGGACGACUCCUCGUUCGAUCGAACAGUACACGUGAUUCUGCCGCGGCAGACGAGCGUGGCCUAAUUCCAAUUUCGAACCCUAUCAUGUUAAGUUUCUUAAUCUUCUUCACUAAGUGUCUUUCUGAUUUUUGCGCCCUUCAAAAUUUCCACAUGGUUAUUAAACCAACACCUCAUGAUAAGAGACCAUUAUGUAUAUUUCAGGUCGGUACUCGUCGUUGAAAAAUCUCUCGACAAAAAUGACCAUUGAUAUUUGCAACAUAUGGAUGCGUAGCUCAUUAAAAUGAGGCACUAGGUGGAAUAUAUAUAUAGGUGUGUGUAACCGGUGAGCGUCGCAAACCUCCUCUUUUUGAGCCAUAUGCAGUUAAGUUUCUCAUAUUUACCCCUAAGUUUCUUUCACGUAAGCCCUACGGAAGGGUGACCAAAUAUGUGUUCGGCGACUCUAUCAUGUUAAGUUUCUCAAUCUUCUUCACUAAGUUUCUUUCUGAUUUUUGUGCCUAGACAGGCUGCUCAUUUAAAUGACGCACUAGGUGGAAUAUAUAUAUAUAUAUAGGUGUUCGAUGUGCGUCACCGGCGAGCGUUCUAAACCUCCUUUUUCUGAGCCAUAUGGAGUUAUGUUUCUUAUAUUUAGCCUUAAGUUUCUCUCCCGUGAGCUCUACGGAAGGGUCACCAAUUAUGCGUUCGACGUCUCCUCGUUCGAUCGAAUGGUACAUGUGAUUCUCCCGCGGCAGACGAGCGUUGCCUAAUUCCAAUUUCGAGCCCUAUCAUGUUAAGUUUAACAAUCUUCUUCACUAAGUUUCUUUCUGAUUUUGCGCCUUCCUUCGGUAUUUCCACAUGGUUAUUAAACCAACACCUCAUGAUAACAGACCAUUAUGUAUAUUUUAGAUCGGUACUCGUCAGUGCAAAAUCUCUCAACAAAAAUGACCAUUGAUAUUUGCAACAUAUGGAUGCGUAGCUCAUUAAAACGAGGCACUAGGUGGAAUAUAUAUAGGUGUGCGUAACCGGUGAGCGUCAGAAACCUCUUUUUGAGCCAUAUGGGGUUAACUUUCUCAUAUUUAGCCUUAAGUUUCUUUCCCGUGAGCUCUACGGAAGGGUCACCAAAUUUGCGUUGGAUGACUCCUCGUUCGACCGAACAGUACACGUGAUUCUCCCGCAGCAGACGAGCGUUGCCUAAUUAUAAUUGCGAGCCUUAUCAUGUUAAGUUUCUUAAUCUUCUUCAGUAAGUUUCUUUCUGAUUUUUGCGACCUUCAGCAUUUCCACAUGGUUAUUAAACCAACACUGGAUGAUAAGAUACCAUUGUUUAUAUUUCAGGUCCUUGCAAAAUCUCUCAACAAACAUGAGAGGAAUCCUUACCUCACGAAAAAAUCCAAUCCCAGCACUUCCCUUUCAUAAUAUAUUAGACCAUUUAUUAGACAUAGAUACACGAUAGAAGAACAUAUCUGAUUCGCCUAUGACAAGGCACUAACUGCAACUUUCUCAAGACAAGGCAAAAUCUCUCAACCAGUACCAGCGGAGACGGAUGGUGAUCAAAUGACCAUUGAUAUUUGCAGCAUAUGGAUGCAUAGCUCAUUAAAACGAGGCAAUAGGUGGAAUAUAUAUAGGUGUGUGUAACCCGUGAGCGUCGGAAACCUCCUCUUUUUGAGCCAUAUGGAGUUAAGUUUCUCAUAUUUACCCCUAAGUUUCUUUCCCGUGAGCUCUACGGAAGGGUGAACAAAUAUGUGUUCACCGACUCUAUCAUGUUAAGUUUCUCAAUCUUCUUCACUACGUUUCUUUCUGAUUUUUGCGCCUAGACAGGCUGCUCAUUUAAAUGAAGCACUAGGUGGAAUAUGUAUAGGUGUUCGGUGUGCGUCACCGGCGAGCGUUGCAAAUCUCCUUUUUCUGAGCCAUAUGGAGUUAAGUUUCCCAUAUUUAGCCUUAAGUUUCUUUCCCAUGAGCUCUACGGAAGGGUCACCAAUUAUGCGUUCGACGUCUCCUCGUUUGAUCGAACGGUACACGUGAUUCUCCCGCGGCAGACGAGCGUUGCCUAAUUCCAAUUUCGAGCCAUAUCAUGUUAAGUUUAUCGAUCUUCUUCACUAAGUUUCUUUCUGAUUUUUGCGCCUUCCUUCAGCAUUUCCACAUGGUUAUUAAACCAACACCUCACGAUAAGGGACCAUUAUGUAUAUUUCAGGUCGGUACUCAUUGUUGCAAAAUCUCUCAAUAAAAAUGACCAUUGAUAUUUGCAACAUAUGGAUGCAUAGCUCAUUAAAACAAGGCACUAGGUGGAAUAUAUAUAGGUGUGCGUAACCGGUGAGCGUCGGAAACCUCCUCUUUUUGAGCCAUAUGGAGUUAAGUUUCUCAUAUUUACCCCUAAGUUUCUUUCCCGUGAGCUCUACGGAAGGGUGACGAAAUAUGCGUUCGCCGAAUCUAUCGUGUUAAGUUUCUCAAUCUUACUCACUAAGUUUCUGUCUGAUUUUUGCGCCUAGGCAGGCUGCUCAUUCAAAUGAGGCACUAGGUGGAAUAUAUAUAGGUGUUCGGUGUGCGCCACCGGCGAGCGUUGUAAACCUCCUUUUUCUGAGCCAUAUGGAGUUAAGUUUCUCGUAUUUAGCCUUUAGUUUCUUUUCUAUGAGCUCUACGGAAGGGUCACCAAAUUUGCGUUAGAUGACUCCUCAUUCGACCGAACGGUACACGUGAUUCUCCCGUGGCAGACGAGCAUUGCCUAAUUACAAUUUCGAGCCCUAUCAUGUUAAGUUUCUUAAUCUUCUUCACUAAGUUUCUUUCUGUUUUUUGUGCCCUUUAGCAUUUCCACAUGGUUAUUAAACCAACACCACAUGAUAAGAGACCAUUGUUUAUAUUUCAGGUCGGUACUCGCCGUUGCAAAAUCUCUCAACAAACAUGAGAGGAGAGCGAUGGUGACCAAAGGAGCAUCGCGCCAUCCAUCGGGCGAAGUAUAUUUGAUGUUCACGUGCGAAGUAUUUUCUAGAACGCAUGAAAUACGUUCACACAACGAGGGUUGAGAUAUGAGGGCAUCAGGUCCAUUGCCAAAAUCGCCUCUUUUGAGCUUGAUGUAGUUAAGUUUCCUAAUUAGGCACUAAGUUUGUUCUACGUGAGCUCUAGGAGUACGUGACGGGGGAGGGAUUGUGGGCAAAUGUGCAUCGAGUCAGCCAUAUACCGAAGGAUACACGAGAUUGUUUUGUCAUCAGUACGUCGUCUAUGUAUAGGGUGACAUUCUAUCUUUCAAACUUGUAGACAUAUACAUACGUUGCUCACUACAGGGACCCAUAAUUCUUACCUCACAAAAAAAUCCAAUCCCAGCACUUCCCUUUCAUAAUAUAUUAGACCAUUUAUUUGACAUAGAUACAUGAUAGAAGAACAUAUCUGAUUCGCCUAUGACAAGGCACUAGGUGCAAUUUUCUCAAGACAAGGCAAAAUCUCUCAACCAAUGCCAGCGGAGACGGAUGGUGAUCAAAUGACCAUUGAUAUUUGCGGCAUAUGGAUGUGUAUCUCUUUAAAACGAGGCACUAGGUGGAAUAUAUAUAGGUGUGCGUAACCGGUGAGCGUCGAAAACCUCCUGUUUUUGAGCCAUAUGGAGUUAAGUUUCUCAUAUUUACCCCUAAGUUUCUUUCCUGUGAGCUCUACGGAAGGGUGACCAAAUAUGUGUUCGCCGACUCUGUCAUGUUAAGUUUCUCAAUCUUCUUCACUAAGUUUCUUUCUAAUUUUUGCGCCUAGACAGGCUGCUCAUUUAGAUGAGGCACUAGGUGGAAUAUAUAUAGGUGUUCGGUGUGCGUCACCGGCGAGCGUUGUAAACCUCCUUUUUCUGAGCCAUAUGGAGUUAAGUUUCUCAUAUUUAGCCUUAAGUUUCUUUCCCGUGAACUCUACGUAAUGGUCACAAAUUAUGCGUUCGACGACUCCUCGUUCAAUCGAACGGUACACGUGAUUCUCCCGCGGCAGACGAGCGUUGCCUAACUCCAAUUUCGAGCCCUAGUAUCAAUCUUCUUCACUAAGUUUCUUUCUGAUUUCCGCGCCUUCCUUCAACAUUUCCUCAUGGUUAUUAAACCAACACCUCAUAAUAAGAGACCAUUAUGUAUAUUUCAGGUCGGUGCUCGUCGUUGCAAAAUCUCUCAACAAAAAUGACCAUUGAUAUUUGCAACAUAUGGAUCCGUAGCUCAUUAAAACGAGGCACUAGGUGGAAUAUAUAUAGGUGUGCGUAACCGGUGAGCGUCAGAAACCUCCUCUUUUUGAGCCAUAUGGAGUUAGGUUUCUCAUAUUUACCCCUAAGUUUCUUUCCCAUAAGCUCUACGGAAGGGUGACGAAAUAUACGUUUGCCGACUCUAUCGUGUUAAGAUUCUCAAUCUUACUCACUAAGUUUCUGUCUGAUUUUUGCGCCUAGGCACGCUUCUCAUUUAAAUGAGGCACUAGGUGGAAUAUAUAUAGGUGUUCGGUGUUCGUCACCGGCGAGUGUUGUAAACCUCCUUUUUCUGAGCCAUAUGGAGUUAAGUUUCUCAUAUUUAGCCUUAAGUUUCUUUCCCGUGAGCUCUAUAGAAGGGUCACCAAAUUUGCGUUGGACGACUCCUCGUUCGACCGAACGGUACGCGUGAUUCUCCCGCGGCAGACAAGCAUUGCCUAAUUCCAAUUUCGAGCCCUAUCAUGUUACUAUUCUUAAUCUUCUUCACUAAGUUUCUUUCUGAUUUUUGCGCCCUUCAACAUUUCCACAUGGUUAUUAAACCAACACCUCAUGAUAAGAGACCAUUUUUUAUAUUUCAGGUCGGUACUCGCCAUUGCAAAUUCUCUCAACAAACAUGAGAGGAGAGGGAUGGUGAACAAAGGAGUACCGCACCAUCCAUCGGCCGAAGUAUGUUUGAUGUUCACGUGCGAAGUCUUUUCUAGAACGCAUGAAAUACGUUCACACGACGAGGGUUGAGAUAUGAGGGCAUCAGGUCCAUCGCCAAAAUCACCUCUUUCGAGCUUGAUGUAGUCAAGUUUCCUAAUAAGUCACUAAGUUUGUUCUCCGAGAGCUCUAGGAGUACGUGAUGGGUGAGGGAUUGCGGGCAAAUGUGCAUCGAGUCAGCCAUAUACCGAAGGAUACACGAGAUUUGUUUGUCAUCAGUACGUCGUCUAUGUAUACGGUGACAUUCUAUCUUCCGAGCUUGUAGACAUAUACAUACGUUGCUCACUUCAGGGACCCAGAAUUCUUACCUCACGAAAAAAAUCCAAUCCCAGCACUUCCCUAUCAUAAUAUAUUAGACCAUUUAUUAGACAUAGAUACACGAUAGAAGUACAUAUCUGAUUCGCCUAUGACAAGGCACUAGGUGCAAUUUUCUCAAGACAAGGCAAAAUCUCUCAACCAGUGCUAGCGGAGACGGAUGGUGAUCAAAUGACCAUUGAUAUUUGUAGCAUAUGGAUGCAUAGCUCAUUAAAAUGAGGCAAGAGGUGGAAUAUAUAUAUAGGUGUGCGUAACCGGUGAGCCUCGGAAACCUCCUCUUUUUGAGCCAUACGGAGUUAAGUUUCUCAUAUUUACCCCUAAGUUUCUUUCCCGUGAACUCUACAGAAGGGUGACGAAAUAUGCGUUCCCCGAGUCUAUCGUGUUAAGUUUCUCAAUCUUACUCACUGAGUUUCUGUCUGAUUUUUGCGCCUAGGCAGGCUGCUGAUUUAAAUGAGGCACUAGGUGGAAUAUAUAUAGGUGUUUGGUGUGGGUCACCGGCGAGCGUUGUAAACCUACUUUUUCUGAGCCAUAUGGAGUUGAGUUUCUCAUAUUUAGCCGUAAGUUUCUUUCCCGUGAGCUCUAUGGAAGGGUCACCAAUUAUGCGUUCGACGUCUCCUCGUUCGAUCGAACGGUACACGUGAUUCUCCCGCGGCAGACGAGCUGUGGCACCCCGGCUCAGAGCAACCGGUUUACCAUGCAUUGCCAGCCCAGAGACCUUGUCUUCUGGCAACACACAACAUCUUGGUACAGAAAACAACCGCUUUAUUGAUGCUAGCAGAUCAAAGUUUACAUUACAAUAGGUGGCGAGGCCAAGCGGCACACACGGUGCGGCUGAACAAUAUGUACAUUAUUUAGUGAACAUGAAUGGGCCUCGAUCAAAGCAACUAUACGGCAGUGGAACAACGUCGUAGCGGAAACUCCAUAGCACAAGCACACCGAUGUGGACACGAUCUAGACUCAGACAACACUCCUUUCCAAUGAGACUUUCCUGAAAUCUGGCAUGACACGCCACGUCAGUACACUGAAUGUACUUGCAAGCUCACAACAAACAUAAACAUAAUGACAAACAAUAUCAUGACAAUUAACCAAUUCAUAAAAAUGCAACAACAUAACCAUCAUGUUGUGAUCAUUCCCUUGUGAUAACAGUCCCUUGGACUAACUUACCAACCAUCGUACCACCCUCGUGGUCAUGACUAAAGAUAUCUCGUGAUCCUUCCGGCGAUCACAACCAUGACCAACAUUUGGUCUUCAACGGUGAUCCUUCCGGCGAUCACAACCACGACCAACACUUGGUCUACCCCCAAGAUGAUCUUUACGACAUCAUCAACAGUGAAAAGUUUAUAACUUAGUGUGCAAGAUUUAUUAAACGUUGACCCAUGGUGUGACCUACUUAUGAGCGUGUCCGUAACCGUGGACUCGGCUAUUGAUAGAUUAAUACACUCUGCAGAGGUAGCGCACUGUACCCACACCACAGAACCCAUGGCCUCGCACUCCCAUUCAGGUGGACCAACGGCAUUCCGACGAAACCCCUCCAUUGCCAUGACACUCUCCCGGCCACUCCGACUCACUCUCCACUGGGCUAGUCCUGGGUGGCCCCAUGUCUACCAAAGACACAACGACCACCGUCGUGGCCAAAACAUAAACGAUCCCACUCGGGGACCCGGUAACAUAAACUCAACAAUGGGCACACAAGGUUAUGUCUUCUUACCGGGCCAGGGUACCGCACGCCAUAACCUUCCCUAUUUGGAGGCAUCGACGAGAGGCAUGACAACGGAAAGAAUAAAGGCCGUCCCAUACCGACAAAUGUGGUUGCACUGGGAAAAACUCGAUUCAGUGGCACCAUGACCUGGUCAACAAUAUCUUCAAGUUGCGUUAUUAUCAGGUUCAACUUAAAGUGAAAAUAACCGGUGUCACAAUGUCAUGACAUGCAACACUAACAUAUGCAUCACAUAUCAACGGGAAUGACUGAGUCAACUAUAUCCACACUAAGCAUCAACAUCAACACAUGAUGAAACUUCUCUAGUUAAGGUAAAACCUCACUUUAAACAGAAUCUUUCGAGAAAAUUUUACCAUUUUUAUUUAUGCAAGAAAAAUAACUCCACUAAUUAUUUAUAUUCAGAACCAUAUUAUUCUUUCAUCACUCAAAAUAUAUCCUAGUUUCUUUACCAACUAAACUAAUUUCAAACUUUCUGUAAAUCCAGCAUAUUACCUAAAGCAAGCAAUUAACAGAAUAUAAAUAUCAUAAUGAUUUAAAUGCCUGGAUUAUAUCAUUUGUUCAAGUAAGAAAAUCACAAAUAUUGAAAUGGCACCAUGAAAAUGUUGUUGUGGCUUGCCUUAGUGCAGAUUAGGUUCACAAGCCUCCUGGUGAUCCUCAAGACAAGCCUCACCCUCUGAAAAUAAUUUUAAACACAAGAAGAAAAUAUCAAGACACCUUCUGACAUUCACCAGAAAAUCUAGACAGCAGGGAAAAAUCACAUCUUUGGUGAGCUGCUAGACUUUUGAACAAAUAACAUAAUGCAAAAAGAAUCAAUUCAUUUGGACUUAUGGAUAAACAGUUUUGGCCAUUUGAAGCUCUCUAGAUAAAAAUGAAUUUGAAUUUAAAUAAAACAGUCAGGGGGGUGACAUCGAAGGCGUAAAAGCCUCGGGGCGCCACCACUCGUACCGCUUCGCGCGCGUGCUGAGUGGCUGACUAGCUGGCCCCGCUAGUCAGGUGAGGGGGAGAGAGAGAGAGGGAAACAGAGAGCGGCGCGGCUUCGCCGGAGCGCACACCAGCGACGAGGGCUCCUUGGCCAAAACGAGAGGGAGGGAUCGAGAGAGGAGACGGAGGCACACCUGCCCUUACCCGUAGAGUAUGUAGGGGUGGUCAGACGGCGUCGGAUUCAACCUCUCAAGCAGAGGCAGCGGGCGGAGGUCGCCGGAGACGAAGACGACGGCGAACGGAGGCGACUCCAGGGGCUCCAACCAGGCGGAACGGCACCACCGGAGAGUGGCGGAGGCGUUGGAAGGGUUGCCCUGGCCUGGGAGGGGCUGGAGCUGCGGAGACGACCCGAGGGGAUCGCCGACGAGCUCGAGCUCGGGGACGGUGGCCCGCGGCCUGCCCGGCCGGGCUACGGCUAUCUACUCGAUCGUGGAGUGUGUGGGAGUGGUGGAUGGUGCUCGAGGAGGCUGGGGAGGGCUCUAUUUAUAGCCGAGCGUCGAGGGGGGUUCGGGCUCCGCUGGUGGAAACCUGGCCACGGCCCCCGCCGACGAACGACAUCACUGAGAGGGGGCGAAGAAGACGCAGCUCACGCGGGGACUGUUGGCGAACGGGGACGAGCAUAGGGAUGAGAGGAAGGCAACAAGCACAUUGCGCACCGCACUGUUACGUUGGCCGGACUAUGCCCGUGCUCACUGCGGCGAGCUCCGGCGUCGGCGAGUGCCAGGGGGAGUUAAGAGGACUCGGACGAAGAUGGUGGCGUGGUUUGGCACGCUAAGGCAGGCGGGGCAGCGAGCACGCGCGAAACAGAGGAUCGGGCGGCGCUCAGAGCGCGUCGGCCGCAUGCCAGCACGCCUGGACGAACGCGGUCACCACGUGAUCUUUGCCCUCAGGCCAAACUAGGUCCAAAGUUCAUGUCUGGCUUGUUGUUCAUGGUAGUUUUGAAUAUUACCAUGCUUGGGUUGGGUCUCAGGUGCAGUAGAAAUGAUUUCACACGCCAGGUAAGUUUCUGGACAGUAACUUUGAGAGUUUACUGUGGUCAAUCUACUGGGAGUUGGGGGCUGGGCUUUGGAGGUUAGCAAUCAUCUACUAAGGUUAUGAAGCACAAGAAAGAUCAUCCACAGAAGUGCAAGUAAAAUGGCAGUUGCUGUAGAAACUACCAUUUCUGCCCAGAACAGAAAAUAUUUUCUGUAGCCAAAAUAUUCCAAAAAGUGAUGAAAUAUUUUUGCUCAGAAAGGUGCCCUAGGGUUCAAAGAAUAAUUGGGAUUUUUCUCAGAUUUUUGGGCCAUAAAAAAUGGGGUUGCUUUGGAGCACAUUGAGUUAGCUAGGGUUCAAGAGAGGGAAAUAAAUAUUUUUCAUUAAAGAAAAAUAUUCCAAAUGCUAUUUUGAGAUGAACCAGAGAGGGAAUGAUGGCUAGAGAGGGAAAUGAGGCACUUGGGUGAAAGCCAAGGGCUACCCAAGUGUUUAAGUCCAUAUGAAAAGAUUCAAAACUCCAAAUUUCAAAUUCAUAUCAACUAAGAAUCAGGCAAAGAAGAGAGGGCAAAAACCAGGCUGUCACACGAGCGUUGCCUAAUUCCAAUUUCGAGCAAUAUCAUGCUAAGUUUAUCAAUCUUCUUCACUAAGUUUCUUUCUGAUUUUUGCGCCUUCCUUCAGCAUUUCCACAUGGUUAUUAAACCAACACCUCAUGAUAAGAGACCAUUAUGUAUAUUUCAGGUCGGUACUCGUCGCUGCAAAAUCUCUCAACAAAAAUUACCAUUGAUAUUUGCAACAUAUGGAUGUGUAGCUCAUUAAAACGAGGCACUAGGUGGAAUAUAUAUAGGUGUGCGUAACCGGUGAGCGUCGGAAACCUCCUCUUUUUGAGCCAUAUAGAGUCAAGUUUCUCAUAUUUACCCCUAAGUCUCUUUUUCGUGAGCUCUACGGAAGGGUGACGAAAUAUGCGUUCACCGACUCUAUCGUGUUAAGUUUCUCAAUCUUACUCACUAAGUUUCUGUCUUAUUUUUGCGCCUAGGCAGGCUGGUCAUUUAAAUGAGGCAUUAGGUGGAAUAUAUAUAGGUGUUCGGUGUGCGUCACUGGCGAGCGUUGUGAACCUCCUUUUUCUGAGCCAUAUGGAGUUAAGUUUCUCGUAUUUAGCCAUAAGUUUCUUUUCCGGGAGCUCUACGGAAGUGUCACCAAAUUUGCGUUGGACGACUCCUUGUUCGACCGAACGGUACACGUGAUUCUCCUGCGGCAGACGAGCGUUGCCUAAUUCCAAUUUCGAGCCCUAUCAUGUUAAGUUUCUUAAUCAUGAUUAUUAAACCAACACCUCAUGAUAAGAGACCAUUGUUUAUAUUUCAGGUCGGUACUCGCCGUUGCAAAAUCUCUCAACAAACAUGAGAGGAGAGGGAUGGUGACCAAAGGAGCAUCGCGCCAUCCAUCGGCAGAAGUAUAUUUGAUGUUCACGUGUGAAGUCUUUUCUAGAACGCUUGAAAUACGUUCACACGACGAGGGUUGAGAUAUGAGGGCAUCAUGUCCAUCGCCAAAAUCACCUCUUUCGAGCUUGAUGUAGUUAAGUUUCCUAAUCAGGCAGUAAGUUUGUUCUCCAUGAGCUCUUGGAGUACGUGACGGGGGAGGGAUUGCAGGCAAAUGUGCAUUGAGUCAGCCAUAUAUCGAAGGAUACACGAGAUUUGUUUAUCAUCAGUACGUCGUCUAUGUGUAGGGUGACAUUCUAUCUUUCGAGCUUGUAGACAUAUACAUACGUUGCUCAUUGUAGGGACCCAGAAUUCUUACCUCACGAAAAAAUCCAAUCCCAGCACUUCCCUUUCAUAAUAUAUUAGACCAUUUAUUAGACAUAGAUACACGAUAGAAGAACAUAUCUGAUUCGCCUAUGACAAGGCACUAGGUGCAAUUUUCUCAAGACAAGGCAAAAUCUCUCAACCAGUGCCGGCGGAGACGGAUGGUGAUCAAAUGACCAUUGAUAUUUGCAGUAUAUGGAUGCGUAGCUCAUUAAAACGAGGCACUAGGUGGAAUAUAUAUAUAGGUGUGCGUAACCGGUGAGCGUUGAAAACCUCCUCUUUUUGAGCCAUAUGGAGUUAAGUUUCUCAUAUUUACUCCUGAGUUUCUUUCCCGUGAGCUCUACGGAAGGGUGACCAAAUAUGUGUUCGCCGACUCUAUCAUGUUAAGUUUCUCAAUCUUCUUCACUAGGUUUCUUUCUAAUUUUUGCGCCUAGACAGGCUGCUCAUUUAAAUGAGGCACUAGGUGGAAUAUAUAUAUACGUGUUCGGUGUGCGUCACCGGUGAGCGUUGUAAUCCUCCUUUUUCUGAGCCAUAUGGAGUUAAGUUUCUCAUAUUUAGCCUUAAGUUUCUUUCCCGUGUGCUCUACGGAACGGUCACCAAUUAUGCGUUCGAUGACUCCUCGUUCGAUCGAACGAUACAUGUGAUUCUCCCGCUGUCACAUCCCUAGUUCUGGUAUGAACUAGGCUAGCUAGUCAUGUGUACAUCAUGUUUAAAUUCCAUUUAAAUUUGAAAUGGGGAUCUGUGAAACCCUCAGAAAUCAUUUCUGGAAAUGACCCAGAUAAAAAUUGCUCCAAAAGGGUCCAAGAAAAUUUUCAUGUUGCCUCUGAAAAUAUUGGUCAGAGUUAAAAUUCAAACCAAUAUUUUUAAGGAGCUCAUAGAUAUUUAUUUUGGGCAUUUGGAAUUAAUGCAGUAAUUAUUUUCUUUGGAUAUAUACUGUUAUAUAUAUAUUAUUGUCCUAAAAUUAUGCUAGUUGAUGAGGAGCUCUGGAAUAAUACCACUAGCUCCUACCAAAAUUGGCAUAAGAAAAUAAAUUAGUUUGGUAUUGUUUUUAAAUCAAACAAAUGUCAGAAAAAUAGAAAAGGCAACAGAAAUGGAAAAACUUACCUGGCAUCUACCUGCAGUCCUGGCGCCUCAGCUGGCCCAGCACUGUGUGGCCCAGCUGGGCCAGUCCAUGAGCGUCGUCGUCCUCCAGGCGCCAGUCAGCCAGGCGUGUGGCCGGCGCGUGUGCACGACCGUGCCGCCACGCCACCUGCCUGCCUGUCCUCCCCUCCCCCCACCCCCCGUCGCCUGGAUGCCCCGCGCGACGCCACGCGCCGCCCCGCACCUCUCUCACUCUCUCUCGUUCUCCCUCCUCCCCUGGAUCCCUCUCUCUCGACCCGCCCGAGCGCCUCCGUCACCGCAGCUCGCCGUUGCCGCGCCCACCGCCACGGCCUCGCCUCUCCGACAAGCUCAGAAGCUCCGCCACGUCGCUGGCUACCUCUCCGCCAAGCCACGCGCCUCGGGAGGCCCAGGAGCGCCUCCAUCACCGUAAUCUUCAUCUCCGUCCACCGGAGAUCGUCUUUGCUGCCCCUCCGUCUCCAGUGCGUCCCCGAGCUCGCUGACGACGUCGUCGAGAUCGUUGUGAGCUUCUGCUCCGUUCCUCUCUCUCCGUUUAGCCGUUUGUGUGUCGUAGCUCCAUCCCCCUCCAUGGCCGUAGUUCCUUGCCGCCGUCCAUGUCGCCGCCGUCACCCUGGCCACCGCAGCCCGCAACCGCGUGCGUCACCGUGCUCCUGGUGGCACCAGGAGGCCGUAGAGCCUCUCCGCUCGCUUCCCCGUGCACCACAGCCCUCACCCGCACUUGGCCGUGCUCUGGCCGCCGCCUCGAGCUUGUUUCCGGCGAGCUCCAGCACCCUCGCGCCCUCCCGCUUGCUCCAACCGACGCGGACGAGGCUCAGCUCCUCGCCUGUGGUCUCCGCCGCCCGAAUGGUCGCCGGAGGGUGAAUCCCGUGCCCCUCCGCCGCGUUCGGCCUCGCCGGCGGCUAAACGCCGGUGGGUUUGACUGCUUUGACCUCGCCGGCCCGGCAGGUCGGCCCCGUUGACAGGUGAUUAGCUUAGUGGUAAUCACCACCUAACCUAACCCCUGACACUGACCAGUGGGCCCCAGCCCACUAAUCAUGUAAUUAGGAUAAUUUUAACCCCAUGUUUAACCCGUGACAUUGACGUGUGGACCCCACAAGUCAGGUUUGACCUGCUCGGCACCGUUGAUCUGCUGACGCAAGCAUGAUACAAUGCUGAUGCAGUUACUUAUUUUCUGGUAUUAAUAUAAAUCGGGAAAUUCCAGAAAAUGUUAUAAACUUAAAAAAUUCAUAGAAAUUCAACCGUAGCUCAGAAUGAAAUAAUUUAUAUAUGAAAAAUUAUCAGAAAAAUCCAAUCUAUCCAUCUGUACUAGUUUCAUGCAUGACAAACCAACUUAUACCUACUGUAUAAGUGAAAACGUAUAGAUGGUAUUUAUAAGAGCUUACUUUGGAGUUGCAUUUGAAUCUUUGGUUCAAAUGGACUUCAUCCAAAUGAAUGCUAGUUGCAUUAGCUCAAACAACAUCACAUCUUCAUGCCAUGUUCAUGCAUCAUAUUGUUUCAUAUGCUUGUGUAUUGAUUGUCGACACCGUUCCUUCUCGAUAGGUCCUGCUCCGGAGACCGUUCCAGAGUACCUGUCUGAGGAGCAGUGCCCCCUGUGUUGAUCUACCAGGCAAGCAACCCCCCCCCCUUGUUCAUUCUGAUACAAUCCUACUCUCUCGCUUCUACUCUCUGUUAUUGCAUUAGGACAACAAUGAUUCAAUUGCUACUUUGUGCUGCGGUAGUUGAACCCAUUCCUCUGCAUGACCUGUCAUUGCCACAGUAAAUAGUUGAAACCCACUAGCAUGUGUAGGAGUUGAUUGAAGCCAUUGUUGUGUGUUCCUACCAUGCCAUGCCUGCUAUUGCUUAGAGUGUGUUAGGUCUGAUUCAUUGGGUGUGAAUUGGAGUGCAGUGUUAUGUUCUGAUGCUGAGAGAUAAGUGUGUGAACACGAUUUGGUAAAGGUAGCGGUGAGAGGCCAUGUAGGAGUACAUGGUGGGUUGUCUCACUGGAACCGUCCAUAAGCACUGAGUUCUAUGUAUGUCGUCCAAUGACUAGCUACUACCACGCAUUGGGCUCCGGGCGCUCCAAGCCCUCUCGACUUAUUAACCGACUUGAUCUCUGUCAAGGAGUCGCAACUAGUUUCUGGUGCUUGUAGGCAGUGUUAUUCUUCUACCAAGUGGCACCCGAUGCCGAGAUACAUGACAUGUACGUGGCGGUAAGUGGCGAGAGCGUGUGUGAAGAAGUACACCCCUGCACGGUUAACAUGAUGUAUUCGAAUAGCCGGGUCCGCGGUUAUGGACUUCUUGGAUGCUUACGUGGUACAUAGACAACUUGAAGUGGAUACUCUAAAAUGCUCAAGACAAGUGUGAGUGCUAUGGAUGGCCUUCUCGUAGGAAGACGGGGAUGAAUCCAUAGCGAUGUAUUGUGUGGUGAUUAGUGGACUCGUGUGCGCUGCCUCACCUCAAAGAAGUUUCUCGUAGUCGUAGAACAAGAUAGCCACUGAGUCAAAGCUGGCUUGCUGCAACUAAACCCCACAUUACCUUCUUGAUACAAAUGCAUGUAUGAUAGGAUCUGAUGUAAGUCUUGCUGAGUACCUUUGUACGCACAUUGCUUUAUUUAUGUUUUUGCAGCGGAGACCUCGGUCUUACUAGUUUACGUGGACUUCGACAAGUAGCUUGUACCUCAGCUACGAUCUUGAUCGAAUGUUGUAGAUAGUCAGCCUCUUCAGCCUUUUUCAUUUAUAGAUGUCUAUACUCAGACCUGUAAUGCUUCCGCUUGUUGCUUGUAUGCUCUGAAUGUUGUGUCAUGUGACCCCUAUUUGUAAUAAAUACUAUGAUGGCUCUUUUGAGCUUUUAUCUAUAUGAGUUAUUGAGUUAUGUUGUGAUGCCAUGUUGUACAGCACAUACUUGCAUGUUAUGAGCACGUGUAAUGUGUAUUGCUAUGUGUGGGAUCCGACAACCUAGUUAUUUAUUCUUGGUAGCCUCUCUUAUGGGAAAAUGUCUCCUAGUGCUUCCACUAAGCCAUGGUAGCUUGCUACUGCUCCGGAACACUUAGGCUGGCCGGCAUGUGUCCUUCUUCGUUCCUGUGUCUGUCCCUACGGGGAAAUGUCACGCGGUGUCUACCUGAGUCCUGUUAGCCUACUACAGCCCGGAUUCUCCGGAGUCCUGUUAGCCCAGCUGCUACAGCCCGGAUUCACUCGCUGAUGACCGACAUGUUCGUUGCUGGGUCAUGUAUGCCUGUUCCUGUAAGUUUGUGCCACUUUGAGUUCACAACUAGUCAUGUCGCCCGGGUUCUCUGUCAUAUGGUUGCUAGCGACACAAUCAUAAACGUGAGCCGAAAGACGCAAACAGUCCCGGGCCAGGUAAGGUGGCACCCGUGGAAAUAACGUGCAUGAGGCCGCAAAGUGAUAUGAUGUGUUACAUGCUAGAUUGGUGUGACUGAGGAUCAGGGUCCCGACAACUUUGGUAUCAGAGCCUGACUGCCUGUAGGAUUACCAAGCCAAACUGGUCGAACUUGAGUCUAGAAAUUCUUUAAUUAUGUAAGGAAAUUGUUUGUGGGAAGGAACGUAAGGCUCUUUUUACUCCUUAUACCUCAUGGCCUUCUGAUCUGAGUCAUCGUAUCUUUCCUCCGGGGUUAAGGAACUAGCCUUUCUCUUCUGUCUAUCAGGAUCACGUGUCACUACUCCAUAGUUCCAUAGGAUUGGUUGGUCAGAGUCAUAUCCCAGUUCUCGAGUACUUCCAGUGUAGUCUAUUUAGAAUUAUCUCAGAACCUUGAGUGGUGAUGUUGAGUUGUUGUGCUAUCCCAUUUUUGGCACGAUGUCUCAUUCUAAUCAUUUUACUGCCAUUAUGCUGCCGGAAUUACCCUAGGAGUUCGAGAGAUAAUAUUUCCUUAUCCUACAUCGUACAGUCCAUAGUUGAUGUUGAUUCCGUCCAUGGUUUCGUUUCUCAGGAUGUCAUUAGUUAAGCGAAGUUCUAUUGCCCGUAGCCGGAACUGCGGAGAUGGUAGGGAUGAGGAUCCUCCCGACCAGCCUUCGUUGGCAGAGUUGAUGUUAGAGAUGGAGAGGAACAAGAGGGAGUCUAAUCGCUUGUUGGCACGUAUCGAGGAGAACACCGCACAUUAGUUCAAAGAUUCUGCGACCAUUCAUGACUUUGUUCGCUUGCACCCACCUACCUUUCAUCAUUCUAUUGAGCCACUCGAUGCAGAUGACUGGCUCCGUAUCAUCACUCAUAAGUUGCGUUCCACGAACGUAGCUGAAGAUGACAAGGUCACCUAUGCUACAUACCACCUGGAAGGUCCUGCUAGUCUUUGGUGGCAGAACUAUGAAGCUAUGCUUCCAGCUGGCAAGAUUCCUACCUGGAGAGAUUUCACUGAGGCUUUCUGCGAGCAUCACAUUCCUCAGGCCCUCAUCGAUCGCAAGAGAGAAGAGUUCUGUAGUUUCACCGAGAGUAAGAUGGUUGUUGACGCUUACAGUAGAGAGUUUGAGAACCUCGCCCGCUAUGCUGCAGAAGAGGUGUCUAUAGACGCCAAGAAGCAGGCUAGGAUCCGGAAGGGUCUCAACCCCAAGUUGCGUCGUGAUCUCCACCUGCAUCACUGUGAUACAUUCCAAGCUCUUGUGAACAAGGCCAUUAAUGCAGAGACAGCUCAGCUCACUUACGAGGAGUCUUGUAAGCACACCCGUGGUUUGGGAUCUUCCUCCGGUUCUAGUUCUUAGAAGCACCGGAUUUGGGUUCCGAACUCCGCUCUUCCUGCCGGAUAUUCACCGAGGCCAUCUUAUGUGGCACCUCACCCAGCUCAGUCAAAUGCUCCACCCAGGCCUAUUAGUAGACCGCUUCUCAAUGCGGGUCCACAUCCAACCUCAGGGACUUGCUUCACAUGCGGGAAGCCAGGACACUAUGCACGUGACUGCCCUCAGACUAGAUAUGCUCCACCCCAGCCCGAGAAGUCGGUUGGCUAUGUUAAGCCAUCAAGAAAGAUGAUCAGUGCCAAGCCAGCUCGCACUAAACGUGGAUGUGUGCAUCACGUUUCAGCUAAAGACGCUCAUGAUGAUCCGAAUGUUGUUCUUGGUAUACACUCCUUGUCAAUUGUCAUCCAACAUCGGUUAUGUUCGAUACUGGAGCAUCUCACUCCUUCAUUUCUGAAAGCUAUGCUAUCUUGCACAACAUGUCAUUUUGUGAUAUGCCCUCUCCACUAGUCCUUCAAACUCCUAGAUCCAAGUGGCAAACUUCUAGUGUAAGCCAUGGUAACGAAAUCCUUGUUGACAGACUUGUAUUCCUUGCAUCACUUAUAGCCAUCAAGUCUACAAAUAUUAACAUCAUCUUGGGUAUGGACUGGAUGAAAGCUCAUUAUGCCAAGAUUGAUUGUUACACUAGGUCUGUUCAGCUCACACACCCAUCUGGCAAGAUAGUCACCAUCUCCACUAGAGUUGCAAAGCGUCAGCUCUAUUCUUUUAAUGCUAGCCCUCUUCCAGACUUGGAAGAUAUCCCGGUAGUCCGUGACUUUCCGGAUGUCUUUCCAGAGGAACUUCCAGGUGUUCCACCUGACAGAGAUGUAGAGUUCGUCAUAGAUCUUAUCCCAGGAACCGCUCCAAUCUCUAGGAGACCUUACAAAAUGGCACCCUUAGAACUAGCUGAGCUUAAGAAACAACUUGAUGAGUCCUUGAAAAAGGGUUUCAUCUGUCCUAGUUCUUCUCCUUGGGCUUGCCCCAUCCUCUUCGUCAAGAAGAAGGAUGGUAUGGACCGGAUGGUUGUAGAUUAUCGUCCCAUUAAGUUGGUCACGAUAAAGAACAGAUAUCUGCUCCCCAAGAUCAACGACCUGUAUGAUCAGCUCGCUGGAUCCUCAGUCUUCUCCAAGAUGGAUUUGAGGUUAGGCUACCACCAAAUCAAGAUCAGAAAUUGGGACAUCCCCAAGACGGCCUUUGUCACUCGUUAUGGCCAGUACGAGUACACCGUCAUGUCCUUCGGUCUAACCAACGCCCCAGCCACAUUCUCCCGCUUAAUGAACUUGAUCUUCAUGGAGUACCUAGAUAAGUUCGUCGUGGUUUACCUCGAUGAUAUUCUUAUUUACUCAAAGAACGAGGAAGAGCAUGCCGAACAUCUUAGACUUGUGUUAGUAAAACUCAGAGAACACCGCCUUUAUGCCAAGUUCUCCAAGUGUGAAUUUUGGUAGCCAGAAGUGACCUACCUAGGCCACGUGAUCUCUGGUAAGGGCAUUGCUGUCAAUCCCGAGAGAGUUAAGGCCGUUCUUGAUUGGACUCCACCUAAAACAAUUAAACAAGUUAGGAGUUUCCUUGGUCUAGCCAGCUAUUGUCGCUGCUUUGUUGAAAAUUUCUCUAAAGUGGCCAAACCCCGCACGGAACUUCUUAAGAAAGAUAAAAAGUUUGAGUGGUCCCCACAGUGUGAGUACAGUUUUCAGGAACUGAAAAGACGCCUGACUUCUGCUCCCAUACUUGUGCCACCGGAUUUCACUAAGAACUUUGUUAUCUACUGAGAUGCCUCACGACAGGGACUAGGCUGCAUUCUUAUGCAGGAUCGUCAUGUGAUUGCCUAUGCAUCUCGACAGUUGCAUCCACAUGAGGAGAAUUAUCCUACACAUGAUCUAGAGCUUGCAGCCGUAGUCUAUGCACUCAAGACCUAGCAACAUUACCUUCUUGGUAAAUGUUGCGAGAGCUACACCGAUCACCAGAGUCUCAAGUAUAUUUUCACCCAACCAGAUUUGAACCGUAGGCAAAGAUGUUGGUUGGAAGUGAUCUCAGAUUAUGAUCUAGGGAUUACUUACACUCCAGGCAAAGCCAACGUCAUGGCUGAUGCGCUAAGUCGUAAAUCCUAUUGCAACAAUCUCAUGUUGCAGCAGGGUCAACCACAUCUCCAUGAGGAAUUCUAUAAGCUUAACCUUCACAUUGCUCCUCACGGAUUCCUUUCUACCUUGGUGGCGAAACCUGAUCUUGAGGAUCGGAUUGUCGCUGCUCAAAAGCAAGACACAUGAAUUUCCCGGAUCAAGAGAAACAUUAAGAAGGGAGUUGGUGGAUGUUUUUCUAUGGAUGAUCGAGCUGUUGUUUUCUUUGAGAAUCGCUUGGUGGUUCCCAAGAAUCUACAUCUGCGAAAAUUGAUUCUUAAGGAGGCGCAUGAAUCCCCUCUCACGAUUCAUCCCGGUAGUACUAAGAUGUAUCAGGACCUAGGCCAGAGGUUCUGGUGGACUAGGAUGAAGAGAGAAAUUGCCCAGUUCAUUUCUAACUGUGACGUUUGUCGUCGCGUUAAGGCAGAGCAUCAGAGACCUGCUGGCACCCUUCAGCCUUUAGCUAUUACUGAGUGGAAAUGGGAUAAAGUUGGUAUGGACUUCAUCACCGGCUUUCCCAGGACCAAGAGAGGGAAUAAUGCUAUCUUCAUAGUCAUUGAUCGUCUCUCCAAAGUGGCGCACUUCCUACCUGUUCGAGAGAGUAUCACUGCUGGUCAGCUCGCUGACUUAUAUAUUUCUCGAAUAGUGUCACUUCAUGGUGUUCCACUAGAGAUCAACUCAGACCAUGGCAGUCUUUUCACUUCUCAUUUCUGGGAGAGUUUCCAACCUGCCAUGGGAACCCAUCUUUCCUUUAGUACCGCUUUCCACCCUCAGUCGAGUGGUCAGGUGGAAAGGGUCAACCAAAUUCUUGAAGACAUGCUUAGAGCUUGCGUUAUCUCAUUCGGUAUGGAUUGGGAGAAAUGUCUUGCUUUUGCCGAGUUUUGUUAUAACAACAGCUAUCAAUCCAGUCUCAAGAAAGCUCCUUUUGAGAUUCUCUAUGGACGAAGAUGUCGAACACCUUUGAACUAGUCAGAAACCGGUGAAAGACAAUUCUUUGGACCGCACAUGAUCCAGGAGGCAGAAGAGCAAGUUCGCAUCAUUCAUGAGAAUUUGAAAACAGCCCAGUCUCGUCAAAAGAGUCAGUAUGAUCGUCGUCAUAAGGAUGUGACUUAUGAAGUUGGCGACAAAGCUUACACUACUAGGAAAAGGCUUACUAAUGGCGCACCUAAUUUGGCCAUUAAUGGCGCAUUAGUGGUGCGCCAUUAGUAGCAUGCCAUUAGUAUAUUUUACUAAUGGCGCACCACUGGUGCGCCAUUAGUAUCUGGUAUACUAAUGGCGCACCCCAGAUGCGCCAUUAGUAUAUACAACAGUGCGCCAUUAGUAUGCCUCCCAGGGGGCCAUCUAUACCCAGGUGCUUUGGCAUACUAAUGGCGCACAACAACUGGAUGCGCCAUUAGUAACUUCGGCAUACUAAUGGCGCACUGUUUAGUGAUGCGCCAUUAGUAUCCUCUGGCAUACUAAUGGCGCACUAUGAUGUGAUGCGCCAUUAGUAUGAAUAUUAGGUUUUUUUAUUUUUUUAUUUUCUGUUUUUUGCACAGGUUACAAAAUGUAUAAUUGGAGAAAAUAUAGACAGCACACAUCAACAACAGAUUCAUCGAAUACAAUAGAAGAUUAGUCUCUGAAUACAAUUCAUCAUUUUAGUCUCCGAAUACAAUUCAUCAUAUUAGUCUCCGAAUUGAAAAGACCGAACAAAGAUAGAACAUUAUAUUACAAGUCUCGAGACCGCGAGUUUGUCUUCACAUUACAAGUCGAUAUCGGUCAUCUAAACUACCAUCACAUAGAAGAGAGCUGCGGUCAUCACGAUGAGCAUCAUCACGAUGAAACUCGUCUUCAUCCGGUUCCUCCAACGCUCCCUCCCCUCUCCCGCUAGAUAGCGGGCGUAUCUAGAUUCGGCCUCGGCCCUAGUGGCGUACCCUUUGUAACUGUUACCGCUGAAUCGGUGAACCUGUCUCCGACACUCCUCCCAGUCGUCGUAGACUCCAGGAACCUUACCCUUGUACACGACAUACCACGGCAUCGCUAUGCAGUAGCCAAACGAAACGUUAGUACCAAUUCACAGACAAUACAUAAGCAAUAUAUAAGUAUGCAACAGAACGAUCGGAAGAGAAAAGCAAGACAUUAAUAGCAUCGAUUACAUCUAAGUUGAAGGACUCUCGAAACCAAAGAGACAUACUACAAGUUCAUUAAAGUUUAAUUACAACAUGAGCCAAUUGAUGUUUCAGAACUAGACACAGCAUCACUGCUUUCGACUCGACUAAAGGGACCGGAGCGUGGAUGAAGCCGCCGUCUAUCGUGGGAGUCAUGAAACAACGGGCGUUGUCAGCCUGCAUUUGUAGGAUUGUGUCGAUGUCACUGUUGGACGGUUGAUUUCUGAGGUAGAACUGCCCCGAGGUACGAAGGACAUCUUGAUGGAUGAUUUCCGCAAACUCCGACUGGAUGCGAAAGAAUUCUUGUCUGAUGUCCGCGUCCUGGAUUGCCGACACGCUCGCGGCCCAAUCUUUGAGUCUACUCGGUAGCAGUAGUUGAUGAUGGUCCCGUACAAUCGCCUGCAUGUGAUGGAUGGCGUAGUAGGCACCCUUCUGACCGCCAGGCGACUGCUUGACGCAGCAGAACGUCGUAUUGUGGGAGAACACGUGCUUGCCGUACUUACGAAUAGGCCUGGUGAAGGUGCCUCCAGAUUUGACGUAGCCGGGGAGAACAUCAUCAAGAACCUUCUUGACAUUUGUGUAGUCUACGUUCGACUGACGGUCCGGGUCGAAAUACGUGGCCAUGGAAUAUUUGGGGCUUAGGAGGAUGAGCGUGCAAUGUGUGUCACUGCAGAAAACACGGAAUGUUAAAAGAAAAACGAUCGAAAUCUAAGAAUUCAUAUGUUACGGGGCGGUUGAGGGGAGGACUUACUCGGGAAAGUAAGGCACGAGGAAGUUGUCCUUAUCUUGGUUUGCCAGAAUGACGCCUUCGAGGUAAGAACUCGCGACUUGUCAGUCCCCAGCGCUGCCCAAGAUCUUGGCACGCAUGUAGAAGGGGUCGACUAUCACGAUGUCCGGGGUCUUGUCGCGAAUGAUCCGCAUCUCCAUACUUAGUGAAAAUAGCCGAACGAAGGUGUAGUGCAGCGGAUGAAGGUUCAACAUAGCGUGGAUGUCAUCAAACCGCAGGACGAUCGUACCCUCGAUGGAGUUAUCCACAAAGCCCUUGCCCUCUGGCACCUUGGCCGCGAAAACCGGGUAUGCCACAUCCUUCUCUCAGAGACGCCGCUUCUCCAAAGAAAGAACACUGUCAUGCAGACUCCGCAUAGCACCGGUUGCAGCAUCGAGCAUAUUUCUCGGUAGCAUUGGCCUACCUGCCACAUGCACCCUCCUCGAGAUAUCCGCAGUUGAAGGUGGCCCGUCCUGAGCACGGAUCGUACUCGGUGCCGGCUGGCCCGCACCCUUGUUAGUCUUUCUUUUGCGUGCCUUCUUCUUGAUCUCCUGUAAUGGGACCGAGUUCUGCUCACAGACCGCCUUCUUGAGUGUGUUGGGGCUGAUCAUAUUUCGCACCUCGCCUAUCUAAGGCUCGGUGAAGUCGGCAGCUGGAGGCGUCUCCUGAGAGCUGAACUGCAGACGACGCCUGUUGCAACUUGGCUUCUCCGCGGUACCAGCUAGACCGCACACGUCUUUUGUUGGGUUGGGUUCUUGAGAAGGAGGCCCCAUGAAGUCGCCACCGUCCCCAUGAUCGGCAAAGUACUGAUCGACGUUGGCAAAUGUAUCGUCGUCGACGUCGUUCUGAUCCUGUGCCAUAUGCAUGUUUGGAUCCAGUGGCAUAGGGAUGUCCGGCACCGUUGCGGCGGUCUUGCCAUGGGGCCGACUUGGCGCCGGCACGACUGGCGGUGUUGUCUUUGGGGUGGUGUCCCCCGCCCCCAAACGAAUCUGGCUCUUCGGCCAAAGCAGGGGCCAGCUCAGGCAGGCGCUGAGGUUCAUCACGUCAUCAUCGUCGGCCCCGAUGGGUCGAAUCGGAGGUAACACCUCGUCGCAGCCUGGCAGCACCCGAACCAGUUGAACCCUAAACAAGUUGGGUGGCAUCUGGGUAUCGUGGAACAAGGGGUUGCCCGGUUGAACGAUUUUGCCCUUGGCGACAUCGACCAACUCGUUGUUCACGAAGUGCAGGAGAGUGCACGGAACGUCGGCGGCGCCCUGCGAAAACAUGUAGGGCGUUAGGGAUGCCCAGUCAAAGGCAAGGAGAUGAAGUCCUCAGCCGAGAGAGGCUUAAUUAGUUACUAUGAUGAUGGCGUCGAGCUCGGCUAAUGUCGAGGCACCGCCAACGGUGGGCGUGCAGUUGACGGAGGGGCCGCUUGCUGCAGAGGUGCCAGCCGGCGUACACCCGGGUGCAUUAAGCUCCCGUGCCGGUGUCGGAGACACCAAUGCCGGCUCCGCCGGAGACACCAAUGGCCCCGCCAUCGCGUUCUGCGAGUUGCUGGCCGUGAAGCUAGGAAUCGGGGGCGGCCCCUGUUGGCCACCCGCAAUCCACGCACUAAUCCCCUGGAUCAAGGUAGGCACAAUGGCGGUGAUCGUCGCUCCAAGUUGUUGUUGCACUUGCUCUUGGACAAUCUCCGGAAUCCGCGCCACCUGUGCCCUGAGUUCUUGAACCUCGCGCGCCUGGCUUUCCGGGCUGGUCUUUUUCUCCUUUCGCCCAGCAGUGUCAUAGUAUGACGACCAUUUUGUCGAAAAGCCUUUGCCGGCCACACGACCAGCUGACGUCGGCUUACUGAGCUUAUCCUUGUUCUUCAUUACAUUCAACGCCCUAUUUAGAGUGGUGUCCCAAGGGUUGCUCUUAGUCGACCCCGCGCUACUGCUUUCAGUCGCCUGCGGAAGGAAUGUGAACCAUUUAGAAAUUUGGCUUCAUUAAUUAGAAUGCAACCAUAUGGAGCUAAUUACGAGGGGGCGUAUUCCUUACCAGAACAAGCUCAAGCGCCCUGGUCUUCGGAUCCGUGGUAAGCUCCUUUGUUUUCGGGUCCUUCUUGUACCGGGCCCUGACAAAGUUCCUGGUCUGCUUGUCACCGUAUUUAUCGAAGAGGGGCGGUAGGCCUUGCUCGGCACGGUCCGCCUCCUCCUUGUCCCAUCUAGGCUCCGCCACUCUAUAACCGCCGGGACCGAGUGUGUGUUCCCCUAAGUUCAGCUCCCGCAUUUCUUUCCCCCACUUACUUGAUUCGGAGUUUGCGGUGCUCGAGCAAUUGAUCUUGAAGUCGUUGUAGUCGUCUUCGGUGAUCGAAGGAUUUUUCUCCUUGAUCUUCUCAUAACUCUCACCUUUCUCGAUCAUUCUCUUCACAUUGCUUUUCCAAGUAGACAGGGCCUUGCUCAUCUUCGUGAGGGCAGCAUUGUUCACUUUAUUCCCUUUGAGGCUUGUGUUUUCAAAUUCAGCAGGGAACUUGUAUCGUUCGUGCAGCUUCGUGAAGAGGAGGUUGCGCAAAUUCCCUCGGUCAGGAUGCCUCAGGUUCUCGGUGUUGAUCGAGACGGUGCUCCGGAGAAUGCACCCGAGCUGAAGCGAGUACCCCUUGACUAUUCGUUCGGGUGCCGUUGGAUUCCCGUCGGAGUCCACUUCAGUAACUUCCUCCUUGAGGGUGCGGAGCACGGUCGGGCGCCGGGCCUUCCGUUGCCUCUUCGGUUGGCUGCCAUCUGUGCGUGCGCCGCCUUCAUCAGUGGUGGCAUCCUCGGCGGCACCAUCAGUGGUGGCAUCAGUGGGGUCAUCCUCGGCGGUACCAUCAGUGGUCUCAGGAUCGGUGGGGAAGGCGGCGUCCUCAUACAAGUGAGGUUGUUCCUCCAUCUCCUGGGACAGCUUCCAGAAUGGCUUGACGCUCGAACCCCCGGCCUCAUCGUUGUUGGCCAUGUUUCUCUCUAAAUAGGAACAAAGUUUGGUCAAAAAGUUGGUUAUUGUCAAGGAACAAGAUCAUGGUCUCAUCAUUUAGGGUUUGUCGACACCGAGGCAUCCUAAAAGCUAAGCUUUUAUCAUUGAGGGUUUUUCGACGCCGAGGCACCCUAAAAGCCUAAGCUUUCAUCAUUUCGGUUUUUAUCGACACCGAGGCACCCUAAAAGCCAUGCAUUAGUCACAAGUACGCCGGGGCACUUGAUCCUACUUAAUUAACUACUAAGAUACCCCGGCCCAUGCAUUAGUCACAAGUACCCCAUAUGUCCUAUAUUUAGCAAAGUCAUGCUAAAAUUCACGGAAAAUUUCAGCAUGACCUUUGCUGAAAAUAGGACAUAUGGAGUACCCGAAUUUGCCGGAACGGAAGUUAAUCGACAUUCCGGCAAACUCAAGGGCCUCUCGGGUGGACAAGGCAAAAAAGGCCUCCAUCACAACAUGGAAAAUACAUUGGCAUGUGAAGAGGUGAAACAAUAUAUGCAUCUCCAAGCAGUAUCAUAUUUGUAAUGACUGAAAAUAUUUACUUCAGGAAAUAUUUACUACUGUAGUUUCUGUUACAAACAAAAAAAAGACUGAAGUUUGUCCUAGCUAUAUUUCAGGAUGAUUUUUCAGUUGCUCAUGCUUUUUACAAAUUGUAGCUACUGUUUUUUAUACCUAAACAAAAUUGCCCUAGCUAUAUUUGCUACUGUUUUUGUAAUUUGCUACUGCUUUUUUUUAUUUGCUACUGUUUUUUUAUACAUACACCACCAAAGUCCAAAGAGUAACCACUUAUUAGCUACCAGGAGUAAGUAACUAACUAAAUACACUUCUAUAACAAAAUAAAUCAGAAACUUAGUUUUCAGUGUAAUGAAACUAAUUUGGCGUUGUAGGUCUUGAUAUAUUUUUCUUAUGGACUUGGUCAAAUUUGAAUAAGGACAAAGCUAGAACUUCAAUUAAUUUGGAAUGGAGAGAGUAAUCCACAAUAGAUAAACUGAAGCAUACUAAAUGAAGACAAGCUCUUGGAUGCUACACCUUAGUUUUAGAAUAGACAAACAGACACGUUCUAACUUCUAAUGGAAAACAUGGUUAGAUAGAUGAUUAGAAAUUGCACAUGAAAGAACAGGGGUAAAUAUUGUUAACAGAAGACAGCCAAACAAAUAUAUUGCUCUUUAUGAGGUUAUGAGGUUACAGAGUACAAACUUAACUUGAGAAUGACAGUGUUCAAAAUAGUCAAUGAAAAAUUCAUCGGUACUGAACAUAAUUAACAGAAGUUAUUUUGAUGGUAUAUAAGAAUAUUUAUGGAACAAACAACAUGAAGAUAGCUGCAAUCUUAAACAAAAAUCAAAGCACACUUGUCUGUAAAAAGCUAACAAACUAUGUGAUGCUUCCAGCUAAUAUGUUCAUAGAACAGGAGCAUGAGAAAAAAUAACAGAAACUAUAUGAUUUAACUGGUUUCAAAACAUGAAGUCCUAAAAGCUCUUGUUUUUGACUUUGCAUCCACUGAUAAAGAAGAAUCAGAGUAGUGAGCAAGACUGUAAAUGUUCUAAAAAUUAAAAGAAAAGAGAGAUUGCAUGUUCAUCUUAGCUGCAGUCCUGAUCGUGAGAAGUACAUCCUAUACGUUUUACCAAGGGAACAGUAGGGAUAACAGAAAGUCACUGUUGUCACUGUCCUAGUGAAGAAUUUUGUGCUAUCUACCUUCUUGGUUUACCCCCUAGUGCUUCGAUACAUAUGCAAUUACACAACUGAACAAUAGUAUGCUGGUUUUACUUACAUGAACAGUAGCUUAGUACUGAUAGAAAAAGAAGAGUUUCUUCUACUAGAGGAUCUUUGUUUGAUGGACUCGUUUGCUGAAUAUUUGACUGCAGUAUAGUGUAACUUUUCAAAUUUCACAUGAUAGUUGGUAAUGAGAAACAUCUCGUUGGGAAAGAUAAAAUUGGGUGCACAAGGCAUGCUCUGGUUCUAAAGUGAUAGUUUAGUGAUACUGCUUGUAGGAAAAAUUUGCAAUAUGCCAUCUCAUUUGGAAGGAAUUUAAGUCUUGAUAGCCUAUAUCUAAAUCAAGAAAGGGAGGGAAAGGGUCAGUGUUAUCUGGCAUUGAUGGCAUGCCAAUUUACAUCUAAUUUUUACUGUCUAGCUUUGAUGAUAUCUGAUCUCAUAAGGUAGUCUAAGAAUGAGGGGAGCAGUACUAGAUAUAAUCAGAAUGCAAAAAAGUGAUGUCAGGGAUACUCUACAUACACAGCGAGAGCACGUCGUUGAAACAAAACCAGAGCAUAGCAGCUACAGUCAUAAAACCAGCAGCACAUUUAGGAUCAUCUUGCAUUCAGAAGAAAAUUCAGGUAGGAAAAGAGAUACUGAAGCAACACACAGGGAACUGAAAAUUAGUACUGUCAUACAGCUGAUGAUAUAGCAAAAUCAUGGUUUUAUAUAAAACAAUCCUUCAUGAAUCUAACACAACUCUGUUUCUGUACUACAAUAGCACAUGUACGCACUCUUUCACUCUACAAUAGCAUGGUUUUAUUAGGAGCAGAGAGGGAGAGGUGGGAAAUGGAGGCGGGGGUGAUUUGGAUGGGGUACCUGCGGGCGUAGAAGACGGGGGCAUCGUCGGGGACGAAGACGUCGACGCUGUGGAUGUUGGUGGUGGUGCGACGAGGUCCGGGAGGCGACGAGGUCCGGGUGGUGGUGGUGCUCCGAGGAGACGAGGAGAGCGGCGCCGAGGAGACGAGGACGACGGGGCGGCGGGGCGGCGGCGUCAGAAGAGGAGAGGGCGGCGUCGCGGCGUCGCGGCGGAGACGAGGACGACGGGGCGGCGUCGAGGCGGCGGGGCAGCGGCGUCGGGAGAGGAGAGGGGAAGGGGAUCGAGGGCGAGGGCGAGGGAGAGAGAGGGGAUAGGUUAUCCAACAGGUACAUCCAUACUAAUGGCGCACCUCACCCUGGUGUGCCAUAAGUACAUCCAUACUAAUGGCGCACCUCACCCUGGUGCGCCAUUAGUAUUUUUUUUGAUUUCUGCUCGAGCCAACAGGUUAUCUUCCACCUUACCUGAUCCACACCAAGUUCCCUCUACUAGCUCGACUGGUCAGCAGCCAGUUCUCACACCAGGAGGUCCUGGGUUCGAUUCCCAGGCUCCACAAUUUUUUUUAUGCAUUUAAAAUGUUGUUUGAUAUUUAUUUGUGUUUAAAUAUGUUCAAACUUGUUUAAAUCAUAACAGUAAUAUUUUUUUAUAAGACAGUAAUAAUUUUUUUAAAAAUAUCAUCAAACAGUAAUGCCGGUGGAGCGGGGGAGGGUGCGCGGGGUGCGGCGGGCCGGUGGACCGGGGGGUGCUCGGCGGCGAGGGGGACCGGAUCUGGCGAGGUGGGAUAGCUAGCGAUCGAGAUGGAGGGGGAUCGAGAUCGAGUGUCCAUGAAAUUUAAAAAUAUUCAUGAUAGUUCAAAAAGUGCCCAUGAAAUACAAUCAAGAAAUGAAGGCUACGAUUUAAAUACAAUCGAUCUUAGCUAGCUAUCUGUUCACAAUCUUCUUGCCCUUCUUUUUUGCAAAUGGAGUUCUUCUGUGGAACGGACGUCCUUUAGGUAGGGUGGUCCUGCUUCUUCUUGUGGUGUAUGCUGCUACUUCAUCAUCGUCGUCAUGUUCGAUUCUCGGGUCGCCGUACUUGUCGAAGUCUUGCUCAUUGGCUACUCCAUCCAUUCCGAUGAUCUUCCUUUUGCCUCUCCUCACGACAACACGACUGGGCUUUGACGGGUCGGUAAUGAAGAAGCAUUGGUCCACUUGGGAAGCCAGUACCCAUGGCUCAUUUUUCGCGGUGACGUUUGCGCCUGCGGUCUUGGAUUUGGCUUCGGGUAUAACCAUGGUGGUGAAAUACCGGUCUUCUUUUAGGACGCUCUUGGCCCAUCUGACACGGAACAUCGGGACCUUCUCUCCAGCGUAGCUCAGCUCCCAGAUCUCCUCGAUCCUUCCGUAGUAUCUGUCCUUGUCGUUACCGGUGUAGGAUUCCAUCGUUACCCCGGAGUUCUGAUAGCCAUCGCUCUUCAUGUCCUUGGCCUCGGUGUAGAAUGUGUAGCCGUUGAUAUCGUACGCCUCAUAGGUCAUCAGGUUGUGCUCGGCGCCCUGUGACAAGGCGAAUAUGAGUUGUUCUUCCGCGGAAGAAUCCUCAUGUAAAGGGUACGACAGAAGCUUCUGCUUGAACCAACGCGUGAAACAUGAGUUGUGCUCUUUGAGUAUAUCUCCGUCCGUCCUCUGUUGGCCUCGGUCAUUGUACGUCUUCUUAAUAAAGGUUUUGUGCUCUACCACCCAAGGAUCGACCACGUCUAUGUGUUGUAGCGCGACUAGGUUUGCUCUUUCAAAGUCGGCGAGUCGACCCUCGAAGUCGACAUGCAUUUCGCGGCGACCCUCACGGUGACCCCAUCCAGCGAGCCUGCCGAGGUGCCUGUUGACGGGCAGACCAACGGGGUUCUCGAUGCCUAGAUAAUUCAUGCAGUAGGAGAUGCACUCUUCGGUCAGAAAGCCCCUGGCUAUGCUUCCCUCUGGACGUGACAUGUUGCGAACGUAUCCUUUGAUGACACCAUUCAUCCUUUCGAACGGCAUCAUGCUGUGCAGGAACGUCGGCCCGAGUUGGAUGAUAUCGUCCACGAUAUGGACUAGCAGAUGCACCAUAACGUCGAAGAAUGCGGGCGGGAAGUACAUCUCAAGCUCGCAUAGUAUCACCACGAUCUCUUCCUGUAGCCUUCUAAGUUGCCUCACGCCAACAGACUUCCGAGAGAUGACGUCGAAAAAGUUGCAUAGGCCAAAUAGCGUUUCACGGACGUGCGCGUCCAUGAUCCCACGGAUUGCAACUGGAAGUAUCUGCGUCAUCAGCACGUGACAGUCGUGAGACUUCAUCCCGCUGAACUUCAGCUUCGCUAGGUCUAGGUAUCUGCUUAUCUUCCCCGCGUAACCGUAAGGAAGUUUUACUCCUACGAGGCAGGUGAAAAACUGCUCGAUCUCCUCCUGACUUAGAGUGAAGCACGCGGGAGGGUAGUCAUUUCCGGUCUUCUUGGCCUUUUUGCCUUUGCGACGACUUUCCGUGUCCUGCUUCGCCUCAUCAUCAUCAUCAUCAUCAUCAUAUAUAGCGUGAAGCUCCUGCCUGAUGCCCAUUGAUAUCAAGUCUGCCCUUGCUUUCGGCCCAUCUUUGGUCCUCUCUGGCAUGUUGAGCAGGGUACCAAGCAGACUCUCGCACACGUUCUUCGUGAUAUGCAUGACAUCAAGGCUGUGAGGCACACGGUGGAUCUUCCAGUACGGCAAGUCCCAGAAAACAGACCUCGUUUUCCAUACCUUCAGCAGCGGCUCUGGCGCCUUUCGCUUCUUUCCCGGCUCUGGCGCCUUUUGCUUCUUUCCCGGCAGUGGGCAGUCUUUCCAAUUUUUCAACAGCUCGUCUAUUUCCUCGCCGCUCCUCGUACGCGGGCGUCCUCGGGGUUCGGUUUCACCAUCGAAUAGAUCCUUGCGUUUUCUCCACGGGUCAUCGUCGCGAAGCCACCUUCGAUGUCCCAUGAACACGGUUUUCGAAGACCCGGGAUCUCUAUCUAGCUAGCGAUACGUUGUGUCAUCCAUGCACCUGACGCAUCCAGAAAAUCCGUGGACCACCUGCCCCGCGACAUAUCCGUAACCGAGAUAGUCGUGCACCGUCGUGAGCAGCGCGGCUCUCAUAGGGAAAUAUUCUUUCUCUGCGGCGUCCCACGUAUUGGCUGGCGUUUUCCACAUCGUGUCAAGCUCCUCUUUCAGCAGCCCCAGAUACAGAUUGAUGUCGUUCCCUGGUUGUUUCGGUCCUUCGAUUAGCAUACUCAUGUGAAUGUACUUCCUCUUCAUGCACAACCAGGGGGGAAGGUUGUACAUCCACACAAACACAGGCCAGGUGCUAUGUGUGCUUCUCUGGCUGCCAAACGGAUUGACUCCAUCGGUGCUCGCGCCCAGCACGAUGUUCCUUGGAUCGUUCCCAAAUUCUAGGUCUUCGAAGUUCAACGCUUGCCACUGGCUCGCAUCCUUAGGGUGACUCAGCAUCUUGUCUUUUUUAUCUAUCUCCGGAUCAUUUGCGUCAUCUUCUCGCUUCUUCUCCUCCCUAUCCGCGUGCCAACGCAGGAGCUUUGCUACCUUAGGGUCCGCGAAAUACCGCUGCAGACGAGGAGUGAUCGGAAAGUACCACACCGCUUUUCGAGGAGCUUUCUUCCUCUUCUUGUAUCGAGUGACGCCGCACACCGGACAUAUGGUAGACUCCGCGUGCUCGUCCCGAUAAAUGAUGCAAUUGUUCAUGCACACAUGGUAUUUCACGUGCGGUAAAUCCAGAGGACACACGAUUUUCUUCGCCUCCUCCAAACUGGUCGGGCACUUGUUCCCCUUGGGAAGACGUUCAUGCCAGAAUGACAUGUUCUCGUCGAAGCAUGCGUCGGUCAUUUUGUGUUUUACCUUCAUCUCCAGAGCCAUGAGCGUUACUUUCAGGCGGGUAUCCUCGGGCCUGCAUCCUUCAUACAAUGGAGUAACCGCGUCUAACUCAAGUUGAUCCAUCUUGGCUUUCUCUCGGGCGGCAGCUCUUGCGUUAUCCGUCUGCUUGAGAAGCAGCUCUUGAAUAUGAGGGUCCUGCACCCAGCCCAUCGAUGGUCUAGCGUCGUCUGCUCCGCCGGCAUCAUCAUCUUCAUGAUCAUGCCCGUCGUCUGCUCCGGCAUCUUCCUCAUCAUCAUGUCCUGCAUCUUCUACAUGAUGACUGUGUACAGCAUCACCGUCGUGAUCAUCUCCUGGGGAUUCUUCGUCUUCUCGCCCGCCCGAGCCGCGGUGGUUGUCUUGCUGCCCUUCCUCAUUUCUUGCCCGGCCCCCAUGGACGACUUCGUAGUCAUCUUCAUCACCUUGCCACCGAUAGCCAUCCAUGAAACCACGCAAGAGCAGGUGGUCCCGCACCUGCCAGGAUUCCGGGUCCGCAAUAAGGCUCUUCAGCUUGCAUCUUCGACACGGACAUCUUAUCUCCAUCUCGUUCUUUUGAAGCAUCUCGGCCUUCGCGGACCUCAAAAACCUAUUCACGAUGCCUUCGGUCAUCAUGCGGGCCAUGGUCGCCUGCGGGGUAGAGCAAAACAAUAUUUUAGAACCAAGAAAAAAUUUGGCAUGACUUUCCCUAAAAAUAGGUCCAAAAAGAAUGCUUAAUGCCAAAAUUCUCGCCGAAACGGAAAUGAAUCAACAUUUCGGCAAAAUAUUGGCAACUACCGCAUUUCAAAUACCGGUACACCUCCAAACACAAACACAUAUGCAACACCACAAACAUAUGCAACACCACGAACAUACAUAGAUCUAGCUAGGCCAUAAAAAGUGCAUGUGCACAUUGUUGUAGGGAGAACAACAUAAAUAUAGCUUCCCCCCUUACUUACCUAUCAAAACAAGGUAAUUUAACCACUUAAAUUGAAUGAAUCUAUGAUGGAAAUGAGGUGAAAAAGAGGAGGCACCCGAGACAAGGAGGAGGUGGAGAAAAUGAAGUGGGGAGAAAGUGAGUGUGGGUAGGAGAGGCUGUCCAAAAUAUCUUGUUGCUGCCCACUUACUAAUGGCGCACCAACUCUAACUGCGCCAUUAGUAAUCCAGGUUACUAAUGGCGCACCUUCUGGUGGUGCGCCAUUAGUAUGUUUGGACAGGCGCACUAGUUAAAAAAAAUUGAUACUAAUGGCGCACCCUGGGACAGGUGCGCCAUUACUAGUUACAACUAGUAAUGGCGCACUAUGUCUGGAUGCGCCAUUAGUAUGUUUGGACACGCGCACUAGUUAAAAAAAAUUGAUACUAAUGGCGCACUGUGUCUAGAUGCGCCAUUAGUAUGUUUGGACAGGCGCACUAGUUAAAAAAAAUUGAUACUAAUGGUGCACCCUGUGCCUGAUGCGCCAUUAGUAGUUUCAACUCUAAUGGCGUAUCAGAAGGUGGUGCGCCAUUAGUAUAUACUAAUGGCGCACUGCUUGUCUGGUGCGCCAUUAGUGUCAAUCCCAUCUAUAGCCCUUUUUCUAGUAGUGUUACCUUCGAGUUACUCCUUUGAAGGGUACCCAUCGUUUAGGUAUCAAGGGCAAGUUGGCUCCUCGUUACAUUGGUCCUUUUCUCAUUCUCGCUAAACGAGGAGAGGUUGCCUACCAGUUGGAACUACCCCCAUAGCUUUCUCGAGUUCAUGACGUCUUCCACGUCUCUCAACUCAGGCGUUGCUUCUCGGAUCCCAUCCAUGAAGUGGACCACGAAACGCUUGAUCUCCAAGAUAACCUCACAUAUCGAGAGUACCCAGUUCGCAUUCUUGAUCAAGCAGAGCGUGUCACCCGACGUCAGAACAUCAAGUUUCUCAAGGUUCAGUGGUCUCAUCAUUCUGAGAGAGAAGCAACAUGGGAGCGAGAAGGUCGUCUUCGACUGGAGUACCCCACUUUCCUUCCGUCGACCCCUAAAUCUCGGGACGAGAUUCUUUCAAGUGGGGGCGAUUUGUCACUCCCUAGUUAUGGUAUGACCUAGCAUAGCUAGUCAUGUGUGCAUCAUGUUUAAAUUCCAUUUAAAUUUGAAAUGGGGAUCUGUGAAACCCUCAGAAAUCAUUUCUGGAAAUGACCCAGAUAAAAAUUUCUCCAAAAGGGUCCAAGAAAAUGUUCAUGUUGCUCUCUGAAAAUAUUGGUCAGAGUUAAAAUUCAAACCAAUAUUUUUAAGGAGCUCAUAGAUAUUUAUUUUGGGCAUUUGGAAUUAAUGCAGUAAUUAUUUGCUUUGGAUAUAUAUUGUUAUACAUAUAAAAUAUUGACCAAAAAUUAUGCUAGUUGAUGAGGAGCUCUGGAAUAAUACCACUAGCUCCUACAAAAAUUCGUAUAAGAAAAUAAAUUAGUUUGGUAUUGUUUUUAAAUCAAACAAAUGUCAGAAAAAUAGAAAAGGAAACAGAAAUGGAAAAACUUACCUGGCAUCUACCUGCAGCCCUGGCGCCUCAGCUGGCCCAGCACUGUGCGGCCCAGCUGGGCCAGGCCACCAGCGCAGUCGUCCUCCUGGCGCCAGUCGGCCAGGCGUGUGGCCGGCACGCGCGCACNNNNNNNNNNNNNNNNNNNNNNNNNNNNNNNNNNNNNNNNNNNNNNNNNNNNNNNNNNNNNNNNNNNNNNNNNNNNNNNNNNNNNNNNNNNNNNNNNNNNNNNNNNNNNNNNNNNNNNNNNNNNNNNNNNNNNNNNNNNNNNNNNNNNNNNNNNNNNNNNNNNNNNNNNNNNNNNNNNNNNNNNNNNNNNNNNNNNNNNNNNNNNNNNNNNNNNNNNNNNNNNNNNNNNNNNNNNNNNNNNNNNNNNNNNNNNNNNNNNNNNNNNNNNNNNNNNNNNNNNNNNNNNNNNNNNNNNNNNNNNNNNNNNNNNNNNNNNNNNNNNNNNNNNNNNNNNNNNNNNNNNNNNNNNNNNNNNNNNNNNNNNNNNNNNNNNNNNNNNNNNNNNNNNNNNNNNNNNNNNNNNNNNNNNNNNNNNNNNNNNNNNNNNNNNNNNNNNNNNNNNNNNNNNNNNNNNNNNNNNNNNNNNNNNNNNNNNNNNNNNNNNNNNNNUGCCGCCCCGCACAUCUCUCACUCUCUCUCGUUCUCCCUCCUCGCCUGGAUCCCUCUCUCUCGACCCGCCCGAGCGCCACAAUCGUUGCAGCUCGCCGUUGCCACGCCUACCGCCACGGCCUCGCCUCUCCGACAAGCUCAGAAGCUCUGCCACCUCGCCGGCUACCUCUCCGCCAAGCCACGCGCCUCGGGAAGCCCUGGAGCGCCUCCAUCGCCGUCGUCUUCAUCUUCGGCGGCCGGAGAUCUUCUUCGCUGCCCCGCCGUCUCCAGUGCGUCCCCGAGCUCGCUGACGACGCCGUCAAGAUCGUUGUGAGCUUAUGCUCCGUUCCUCUCUCUCUGUUUAGCCGUUUUGCGUGUUGUAGCUCCAUCCCCUCCACGGCCAUAGUUCCUCGCCGCCGUACAUGUCACCGCCGUCGCCCUGGCCACCGCAGCCCGCAAUCGCGUGCGACACCGUGCUCCUGGUGACGCCAGGAGGCCGUAGAGCCUCUCUGCUCACUUCCCCGUGCACCGCAGCCCUCACCCGCACUUGGCCGUGCUCCGGCCGCCGCCUCGAGCUCGUUUCCGGCGAGCUCCGGCACCCUCACGCCCUCUAGCUUGCUCCAACCGACGCGGACGAGGCUCAGCUCCUCGCCCGUGGUCUCCGCCGCCCGAAUGGUUGCCGGAGGGCGAAUCCCGUGCCCCUCCGCCGCGUUCAGCCUCGCCGGCGGAUAAACGCCGGCGGGUUUGACCGCUUUGACCUCGACGGCCUGGCAGGUGGGCCCCGUUGUCAGGUGAUUAGCUUAGUGCUAAUCACCCCCUAACCUAACCCCUGACACUGACCAGUGGGCCCCAGCCCACUAAUCCUGUAAUUAGGAUAAGUUAAACCCCCUGUUUAACCUGUGACAUUGACAUGUGGACCCCACACGUCAGGUUUGACCUAGUCUGCACCGUUGAUCUGCUGACGCAGGCAUGACGCAAUGCUGAUGCAGUUACUUAUUUUCUGGUAUUAAAAUAAAUCAAGAAAUUCCAGAAAAUGUUAUAAACUUCAAAAAUUCAUAGAAAUUCAACUGUAGCUCAGAAUGAAAUAAUUUAUAUAUGAAAAAUUAUCCAAAAAAUCCAAUCUAUCCAUCUGUACUAGUUUCAUGCAUGACAAACCAACUUAUACCUACUGUAUAAGUGAAAACAUAUAGAUGGCAUUUAUAAGAGCUUACUUUGGAGUUGCAUUUGAAUCUUUGGUUCAAAUGGACUUCAACCAAAUAAAUGCUAGUUGCAUUAGCUCAAACAACAUCACAUCUUCAUGCCAUGUUCAUGCAUCAUAUUGUUGCAUAUGCUUGUGUAUUGAUUGUCGACACCGUUCCUUCUCGAUAGGUCCUGCUCCGGAGACCAUUCCAGAGUACCUGCCUGAGGAGUAGUGCCCCCUCUGUUGAUCUACCAGGCAAGCCACCCCCCCCCCCUUGUUCAUUCAGAUACAAUCCUACUCUCUCGCUCCUGCUCUUUGUUAUUGCAUUAGGACAACUACGAUUCAAUUGCCACUUUGUGCUGCGGUAGUUGAACCCAUUCCUCUGCAUGACCUGUCAUUGCCACAGUAAAUAGUUGAAACCCACUAGCAUGUGUAGGAGUUGAUUGAAGCCAUUGUUGUGUGUUCCUACCAUGCCAUGCCUGCUAUUGCUUAGAGUGUGUCAGGUCUGAUUCAUUGGGUAUGAAUUGGAGUGCAGUGUUAUGUUCUGAUGCUGAGAGAUAAGUGUGUGAACACGAUUUGGUAAUGGUAGCGGUGAGAGGCCAUGUAGGAGUACAUGGUGGGUUGUCUCACUGGAACCGUCCAUAAGCACUGAGUUCUGUGUAUGUCGUCCAAUGACUAGCUACUACCACGCAUUGGGCUCCGGGCGCUCCAAGCCCUCUCGACUUAUUAACCGACUUGAUCUCUGUCGAGGAGUCGCAACUAGUUUCUGGUGCUUGUAGGCAGUGUUAUUCUUCUACCAAGUGGCACCCGACAGGGUGGGCUUGGGACAGACUAGGCACAAGUGGCACGAUGUACUAAGUGGCACCCGGUUGGUGGGCUUGGGAACCCUGCUCACAUCGUUUGGGGCCAUGAUGGAAACCUCGGUCGGACUCCCUUGCUGAUAGAACCCAAAUAGGCGAUAAACCUGGACUAGAGUCUUGUGUGGUUAGUCAGGUCAUGGCUGACACCCUCGCUAGGCUUCAGCUUGAAGGUUGCCGAGAUACAUGACGUGUACGUGGCGGUAAGUGGCGAGAGCGUGUAUGAAGAAGUACACCCCUGCACGGUUAACAUGAUCUAUUCGAAUAGCCGGGUCCACAGUUAUGGACUUCUUGAAUGCUUACGUGGUACAUAGACAACUUGAAGUGGAUACUCUAAAAUGCUCAAGACAAGUGUGAGUGCUAUGGAUGGCCUUCUCGUAGUAAGACGGGGAUGAAUCCAUAGUGAUGUAUUGUGUGGUGAUUAGUUGACUCGUGUGCGCUGCGUCACCUCAAAGAAGUUUCUCGUAGUCGUAGAACAGGAUAGCUACUGAGUCAAAGCUGGCUUGCUGCAACUAAACCCCACAUUACCUUCUUGAUACAAAUGCAUGUAUGAUAGGAUCUGAUGUAAUUCUUGUUGAGUACCUUUGUACUCACGUUGCUUUAUUUAUGUUUUUGCAGCGGAGACCUCGGUCUUACUAGUUUACGUGGACUUCGACAAGUAGCUUGUACCUCAGCUAUGAUCUUGAUCGAAUGUUGUAGAUAGUCAGGCUCUUCAGCCUUUUUCAUUUAUAGAUGUCUGUACUCAGACAUGUAAUGCUUCCGCUUGUUGCUUGUAUGCUCUGAAUGUUGGGUCAUGCGACCCCUAUUUGUAAUAAACUAGCACAUAUGCCCGUGCAUUGCAACGGAAGAAAAAAUAAUAUGCAGUUAAAGUUAGUGAGAAUUAUAUGUGGAAGCAAAACCCUGUGUUCACGUGAAAAAGGAACAUUUAACUUUUCGAUUUCGCCGGGUGUGAAGUAAUCAGUCCGCUAUUUUUUCAUUCAUUUAUCGAGGGCAUUUAAGAGUUUGGUUAUGUCGUUGUACGUCAGAGAAGGCCUAUGAAUUGUUCAAUCUACAUUUCCAUUCAACCGAGGAGGUUUUAAGGUAUGAAGUACCUGAAUAUUAUAGAAAGCAUAUACCAUUUUUAAUGAACAGGUUUUUGAAAAUUAUGUACGCUUUAAGAAAAACGCGAACAAAAUUGAAACAGUAACAUCUUUUAAAAUUCACAAACGUUUUUUGAAAACACCAAUUUUUUUUUAUAAGAACAUCGACAUUAUUUGAAUUUGUGAACAUUUUUUUAAAACAGAAACAUGUGUUGAUAAGUCAUAACAUUUUUCAAAAAUGUUUAUCUUUUAUACACAUACAUUAUUUUGAAUUGUGAAAAAUUCACUAAACCAAGAAUAUUUUUCGAAUUUGGAGCAGUUUUUAAAUGCCAUAUAUUUUUAGAAAUCUCGAACAAUUUUGAAAAACAAUAAAUUAUUUUGAAAAAAUGGGAACUUUUUUGAAGUUCCGAAUAUUUUUCAAAACAGCAACAAAAUUUUAGAAUUCUGAACAUUUCCAAAAUAUAAUUUGUUUUUUAAAAUUCUGAACAUUUGGAGAAUUUUUAAUUUAUUAAAUAAAUUCUAUAAAAAAUAAACUUGGAAGGAAAAAAGAGAUAGGCGAAAGAGAAUAAAAAUAGAAGUAAAGCAUAUAAACAAAGAAAAUGGGCCAGCCCAUAACUUGUUGUUGUGUGCAAAGCUCUGUUUAUUUUCGCUCUGGGCGGAAAAUAGAAUUUUCUCAGAUGCGCUUGCAAAAAAAAAAUGAAGGCUGGCUUCGCUGGGCCACAACACGUGGCCCAAGUAUGAAAUUCUAGAAAAGCCUUAUAUUUUUAGCAGGAACGCAUAAUAAUUUUGUACCACCUCGGAUAGAAUUUUUUUUUCGACGGUGAACGGAUGAAAAAAUUGGCGAAAUGCACAUUGCUUUAUUAGUAGUAGCACAUAUGCCCGUGCAUUGCAACGGGAGAGAUAUUUAUUACGAGAAGUAACGGGAGAGAAAUGAUGUUUCCUCCGAAAAUAGUCUCCGCAACGGUGGCCGACUGAGGUAGGAGCUGCAAUUUUCUCGCAUGUCAUGUUUGGUGUACGAGAUCUUGAUCGUGGUGGGGUUGGUCGGGGUCUCCUAUCACGGUGUAACUGCAUGUAUUACUUAUUGCAGCACAUAAAUCAAAGACCUGACGACGUGCUGCUAGCUAUUCGAAGAAACAUGUCCUAAUAACCAAUGGCCAGCGCGAAUAUUUAAGAACAUAAAGAAGCGUCAGUUUUGAGUCAUUUUUUAUUUUUCGAACUUAUUAUAAAAAAAUAAGAAUAAAUUUGCAUAUAUUCUUUGAAACAUGAAUUUGUUUUUAAAUUCCAAACAACUUUUUGAAAAUGCUGAAUAUUUCCGAAAAAGAUGAACAAAAUUUUAAAUUGGAAUAUAUUUUGAAAUUCAAAAAAUAAUUCUGAAAACAUUAACCUUUUGUAAUAACCUGAACAUUUUUUGAAUUAGUGAGCACUUUUUUAAAAUUGUAAAAUGUGUUGAACAGUCAGAACAAUUUUCAAAAUGUUUUUUCAAUUAAUAAAAUGAUUUUAAUUUGAUAAACAUUUUGCUAAAACAAAAAAAUCAAUUUUGAAACAUUUUGUCAAAUGAAAAAAGAAAUAUUGGAAAUUAUGAAUAAUUGUGGAAAAAAUUCAAAAAUUGGAAGCAUUUGUUUAUUUUGAAAAACAAGUUAAGAAAGAAAAAAGUUCUGAACAUUUUCCAAACAAAAACUGUUUUGGAAUUUGGAACAUUUAUCGAAAACUGAAACAAAAUAUUUAAAUUCUGAGGUUUUUUGAAAAUUUUAAAUGUACUAAAAAAAGGAAAAAAAUGAAACUAAACUUGGAAGGAAAAAAAGUAAAAAAGAUAUAGGAAAAAAAGAUAAAUAAACAGAAAAAAUACAACAUACAAGAUAAAACUAAAAUGGGCCGGCCCAUUAUUGGGCUAUCUAUUCGAAGCUUUGGGUAUUUGACGCUCCGUGCGGCAAAUAGGGUUCUGCCAACUGUGUGUGCUGGAAAAUAAGAGGUCUGGCUUCGGUGGGCCUCAGCGCGCAGCCCAGGUACGGAAUCCUGGAUAAACGAUUUUUCUUUUGUAGCAGAUGAACGCACACAAAUUUAGUACCACCUCGGGUAAAAUUAAAAACAAACUUUUCAUCGGUGAACGGAUGAAAAAAUUGGAGAAACACACCUUGCUUUAUUAGUAGGUAUAGAUACUAUGAUGGCUCUUCUGAGCUUUUAUCUAUAUGAGUUAUUGAGUUAUGUUGUGACGCCAUGUUGUACAACACAUACUUGCAUGUUAUGCGUACGUGUAAUGUGUAUUGCUAUGUGUGGGAUCCGACAACCUAGUUGUUUAUUCUUGGUAGCCUCUGUUAUGGGAAAAUGACUCCUAGUGCUUUCACUGAGCCAUGGUAGCUUACUACUGCUCCGGAACACUUAGGCUGGCCGGCAUGUGUCCUUCUUCGUUCCUAUGUCUGUCCCUAUGGGGAAAUGUCACACGGUGUCUACCAGAGUCCUGUUAGCCUGCUACAGCCCGGAUUCUCCGGAGUCCUGUUAGCCCAGCUGCUACAGCCCGGAUUCACUAGCUGAUGACUGACACGUUCGUUGCUGGGUCAUGUAUGCCUGUUCCUGUAAGUUUGUGCCACUUUGAGUUCACAACUAGUCAUGUCGGCCCAGGUUCUCUGUCAUAUGGUUGCUAGCGACACAAUCAUAUACGUGCGCCAAAAGGCGCAAACGGUCCCGGGCCAGGUAAGGUGGCACCCGUGGAAAUAACGUGCGUGAGGCCGCAAAGUGAUAUGAUGUUUUACAUGCUAGAUCGGUGUGACUUAGGAUCGGGGUCCCGACAGCUUUGGUAUCAGAGCCUGACUGCCUGUAGGAUUACAGAGCCAAACUGGUCGAACUUGAGUCUAGAAAUUCUUUAAUUAUGUAAGGAAAUUGUUUGUGGGAAGGAACGUAAGGCUCUUUUUACUCCUUAUACCUCAUGGCCUUCUGAUAUGAGUCAUCCUAUAUUUCCUCCGGGGUUAAGGAACUAGGCUUUCUCUUCUGUCUAACAGGAUCACGUGUUACUACUCUGUAGUUCCAUUGGAUUGGUUGGUCAGAGUCAUAUCCCAGUUCUCGAGUACUUCCGGUGUAGUCUGUUUAGAAUUAUCUCAGAACCUUGAGUGGUGAUGUUGAGUUGUUGUGCUAUCCCAUUUUUGGCAGGAUGUCUCAUUCUGAGCAUUUCACUGUAAUUAUGCUAUCGGAAUUGCCCUAGGAGUUCGAGAGAUACUAUUUCCUUGUCCUACAUCCUAUAGUCCAUAGUUGAUGUUGAUUCCGUCCUUGGUUUCGUUUCUCAGGAUGUCAUCAGUUAAGAGAAGUUUUGUUGCCCGUAGCCGGAACCGCAGAGAUGGUAGGGAUGAGGAUCCUCCCGACCAGCCUUCGUUGGCAGAGUUGAUGUUACAGAUGGAGAGGAAAAAGAGGGAGUCUAAUCGCUUGUUGGCACGUAUCGAGGAGAACACCGCACAUCAGUUCAAAGAGUCUGCGACCAUUCAUGACUUUGUUUGCUUGCACCCACCUACCUUUCAUCAUUCUAUUGAGCCACUCGAUGCAGAUGACUGGCUCCGUAGCAUCACUCAUAAGCAGCGUUCCGCAAACGUAGCUGAAGAUGACAAGGUCACCUAUGCUGCAUACCACCUGGAAGGUCCUGCUAGUCUUUGGUGGCAGAACUAUGAGGCUAUGCUUCCAGCUAGCCGGAUUCCUACCUGGAGAGAUUUCACUGAGGCUUUCCGCGAGCAUCACAUUCCUCAGGCCCUCAUUGAUCGCAAGAGAGAAGAGUUCUGUAGUUUCACCCAGAGUAAGAUGGCUGUUGACGCUUACAGUAGAGAGUUUGAGAACCUCGCCCGCUAUGCUGCAGAAGAGGUGUCUACGGACGCCAAGAAGCAGGCUAGGAUCCGGAAGGGUCUCAACCCAAGUUGCGUCGUGAUCUCCACCUGCAUCACUAUGAUACAUUCCAAGCUCUUGUGAACAAGGCCAUUAAUGCAGAGACAGCUCAGCUCACUUACGAGGAGUCUGUAAGCACACCCGUGGUUUGGGAUCUUCCUCUGGUUCUAGUUCUUAGAAGCGCCGGAUUUGGGUAUUCACCGAGGCCAUCUUAUGUGGCGCCUCAUCCAUCUCAGUCAAAUGCUCCACCCAGGCCUAUUAGUAGACCGCUUCUCAGUGCGAGUCCACGUCCAACCUCAGGGACUUGCUUCACAUGCCGGAAGCCAGGACACUAUGCAUGUGACUGCCCUCAGAUUAGUUAUGCUCCACCCCAGCCCGAGAAGUCGGUUGGCUAUGUUAAGCCAUCAAGCAAGAUGAUCAGUGCCAAGCCAGCUCGCACUAAACGUGGAUGUGUGCGUCACGUUUCAGCUAAAGACGCUCAUGAUGAUCCGAAUGUUGUUCUUGGUACACUCCCUGUCAAUUGUCAUCCAGCAUCGGUUAUGUUCGAUACUGGAGCAUCUCACUCCUUCAUUUCUGAAAGCUAUGCUAUCUUGCACAACAUGUCAUUUUGUGAUAUGCCCUCUCCACUAGUCAUUCAAACUCCUCGAUGCAAGUGGCAAACUUCUAGUGUAAGCCAUGGUAACGAAAUCCUUGUAGACAGACUUGUAUUCCUUGCAUCACUUAUAGCCAUCAAGUCUAGAGAUAUUAAUAUCAUCUUGGGUAUGGACUGGAUGAAAGCUCAUUAUGCCAAGAUUGAUUGUUACACUAGGUCUGUUCAGCUCACACACCCAUCUGGCAAGAUAGUCACCGUCUCCACUAGAGUUGCAAAGUGUCAGCUCUAUUAUUUUAAUGCUAGCCCUCUUCCAGACCUGGAAGAUAUCCCGGUAGUCCGCGACUUUCCGGAUGUCUUUCCAGAGGAACUGCCAGGUGUUCCACCUGACAGAGAUGUAGAGUUUGUCAUAGAUCUUAUCCCAGGAACCGCUCCAAUCUCUAGCAGACCUUACAAAAUGGCACCCUUAGAACUAGCUGAGCUUAAGAAACAACUUGAUGAGUCCUUGAAAAAGGGUUUCAUCUUUCCUAGUUCUUCUCCUUGGGCUUGCCCCGUCCUCUUCGUCAAGAAGAAGGAUGGUACGGACCGGAUGGUUGUAGAUUAUCGUCCCAUUAAUUUGGUCACGAUAAAGAAUAAAUAUCUGCUCCCCAAGAUCAACGACCUAUAUGAUCAGCUCGCUAGAUCCUCAGUCUUCUCCAAGAUGGAUUUGAGGUUAGGCUACCACCAAAUCAAUAUCAGAAAUUGGGACAUCCCCAAGAUGGCCUUUAUCACUCGUUAUGGCCAGUACGAGUACACUGUCAUGUCCUUCAGUCAACCAACGCCCUAGCCACAUUCUCCCGCUUAAUGAACUCGAUCUUCAUGGAGUACCUAGAUAAGUUCGUCGUGGUUUACCUCGAUGAUAUUCUUAUUUACUCAAAGAACGAGGAAGAGCAUGCCGAACAUCUUAGACUUGUGUUAGAAAAACUCAGAGAACACCGCCUUUAUGCCAAGUUCUCCAAGUAUGAAUUUUGGUUGCCAGAAAUGACCUACCUAGGCCACAUGAUCUCUGGUAAGGGCAUUGCUGUCAAUCCCGAGAGAGUUAAGGCCGUUCUUGAUUGGACUCCACCUGAAAUAGUUAAACAAGUUAGGAGUUUCCUUGGUCUAGCCAGCUAUUGUCGCCGCUUUGUUGAAAAUUUCUCUAAAGUGCCCAAACCCCUCACGGAACUUCUUAAGAAAGAUAAAAAGUUUGAGUGGUCCCCACAGUGUGAGUACAGUUUUCAGGAACUGAAAAGACGCCUGACUUCUGCUCCCAUACUUGUGCCACCGGAUUUCACUAAGGACUUUGUUAUCUACUGCGACGCCUCACGACAGGGACUAGGUUGCAUUCUUAUGCAGGAUCGUCAUGUGAUUGCCUAUGCAUAUCGGCAGUUGCAUCCACAUGAGGAGAAUUAUCCUACACAUGAUCUAGAGCUUGCAGCCGUAGUCUAUGCACUCAAGACCUGGCAACAUUACCUUCUUGGUAAACGUUGCGAGAGCUACACCGAUCACCAGAGUCUCAAGUAUAUUUUCACCCAACCAGAUUUGAACCUUAGGCAAAGACGUUGGUUGGAAGUGAUCUCAGAUUAUGAUCUAGGGAUUACUUACACUCCAGGCAAAGCCAACGUCAUCGCUGAUGCGCUAAGUCGUAAAUCCUAUUGCAACAAUCUCAUGUUGCAGCAGGGCCAACCACAUCUCCAUGAGGAAUUCUAUAAGCUGAACCUUCACAUUGCUCCUCACGGAUUCCUUUCUACCUUGGUGGCGAAACCUGAUCUUGAGGAUCGGAUUGUCGCUGCUCAAAAGCAAGACACAAGAAUUUCCCGGAUCAAGAGAAACAUUAAGAAGGGAGUUGGUGGAUGUUUUUCUAUGGAUGAUCGAGGUGUUGUUUUCUUUGAGAACCGCUUGGUGGUUCCCAAGAAUCAACAUCUGCGAAAAUUGAUUCUUAAGGAGGCGCAUGAAUCCCCUCUCAUGAUUCAUCCCGGUAGUACUAAGAUGUAUCAGGACCUAGGUCAGAGGUUCUGGUGGACUAGGAUGAAGAGAGAAAUUGCCCAGUUCAUUGCUAACUGUGACGUUUGUCAUCGCGUUAAGGCAGAGCAUCAGAGACCUGCUGGCACCCUUCAGCCUUUAGCUAUUCCUGAGUGGAAAUGGGAUAAAGUUGGUAUGGACUUCAUCACCGGCUUUCCCAGGACCAAGAGAGGGAAUAAUGCUAUCUUCAUAGUCAUUGAUCGUCUCUCCAAAGUGGCGCACUUCCUACCUGUUCGAGAGAGUAUCACUGCUAGUCAGCUCGCUGACUUAUAUAUUUCUCAAAUAGUGUCACUUCAUGGUGUUCCACUAGAGAUCAACUCAGACCAUGGCAGUCUUUUCACUUCAUGGUGUCCUUCUUCGUUCCUAUGUCUGUCCUUACCGGAAAAUGUCACACGGUGUCUACCAAAGUCCUGUUAGCCUGCUACAGCCCGGAUUCUCCGGAGUCCUAUUAGCCUAGCUGCUACAGCCCCGAGUCACUCGCUGAUGACCGACACGUUCGUUGUUGGGUCAUGUAUGCAUGUUCCUGUAAGUUUGUGCCACUUUGAGUUCACAACUAGUCAUGUCGGCCCGGGUUCUCUGUCAUAUGGUUGCUAGCGACACGAUCAUAUACGUGAGCCAAAAGGCGCAAACGGUACUGGGCCAGGUAAGGUGGCACCCGUGGGAAUAACGUGUGUGUGGCCGCAAAGUGAUAUGAUGUGUUACAUGCUAGAUUAGUGUGACUUAGGAUCGGGGUCCCAACACCCGCGGCAGAUGAGCGUUACCUAAUUCCAAUUUCGAGCCCUCUCAUUUUAAGUUUAUCAAUCUUCUUCACUAAGUUUCUUUCUGAUUUUUGCGCCUUCCUUCAGCAUUUCCACAUGGUUAUUAAACCAACACCUCAUGAUAAGAGACCAUUAUGUAUAUAUCAGGUCGGUACUCGUCGUUUCAAAAUCUCUCAACAAAAAUGACCAUUGAUAUUUGCAACAUAUUGAUGCGUAGCUCAUUAAAACGAGGCACUAGGUGGAAUAUAUAUAGGUGUGCGUAACUGCUGAGCGUCGGAAACCUCCUCUUUUUGAGCCAUAAGGAGUUAAGUUUCUCACAUUUACCCCUAAGUUUCUUUCCCAUGAGCUCUACGGAAGGGUGACGAAAUAUGCAUUCGCCGACCCUAGGCAGGCUGCUCAUUUAAAUGAGGCACUAGGUGGAAUAUAUAUAGGUGUUCGGUGUGCGUCACCGGCGAGCGUUGUAACCAUCCUUUUUCUGAGCCAUAUGGUGUUAAGUUUCUCAUAUUAGCCUUAAGUUUCUUUCCCGUGAGCUCUACGGAAGGGUCACCAAAUUUGCAUUGGAUGACUCCUCGUUCGACCGAACGGUACACAUGAUUCUCCCGCGGCAGACGGGCGUUGCCUAAUUCAAAUUUCGAGCCCUAUCAUGUUAAGUUUCUUAAUCUUCUUUACUAAGUUUCUUUCUGAUUUUUGCGCCCUUCAGCAUUUCCACAUGGUUAUUAAACCAACACCUCAUGAUAAGAGACCAUUGUUUAUAUUUCAGGUCAGUACUCGCUGUUGCAAAAUCUCUCAAGAAACAUGAGAGGAGAGGGAUGGUGACCAAAUGACCAUCCAUCGGCCGAAGUAUAUUUGAUGUUCACGUGCGAAGUCUUUUCUAGAACGCAUGAAAUAUGUUCACACGACGAGAGUCGAGAUAUGAGGACAUCAGGUCCAUCUCCAAAAUCACCUCUUUCGAGCUUGAUGUAGUUAAGUUUCCUAAUAAGGCACUAAGUUUGUUCUCCGUGAGCUCUAGG
Molecule: long non-coding RNA, 329230 nt
Filed under: Triticum aestivum (bread wheat)
Lineage: Eukaryota; Viridiplantae; Streptophyta; Magnoliopsida; Poales; Poaceae
Description: long non-coding RNA (TAES_LNC023751)
Source: RNAcentral